Molecule: long non-coding RNA, 229577 nt
Filed under: Brassica napus (rape)
Lineage: Eukaryota; Viridiplantae; Streptophyta; Magnoliopsida; Brassicales; Brassicaceae
Description: long non-coding RNA (BNAP_LNC017883)
Source: RNAcentral
CAAAUUUGUAGAGAUCGACUUCUGCGAUGAUGGCGACAGGUAAAGGAGCGGAGGCGGCUUUGCGUUUAAGGUAGUGAACGACUAGUUCUUCGUCGGUUGGGUGAAACCGGAAUCCUGGAGGAAGGUUAGGCUGCGGCGGCGGUGGAGGACCACCGGAAGAAUCGGUGCUCUCCAUGGCGAGUUCCUUCUACGUUUAGAAUCUAGCACUGUGGUCGGAUGAUUUGGUUAUGAUGGUAGGAGAAGCUCAUAUAAUAUUUACUCUGAGAUUCUUCCUCUCUCUCUUUUUUUGCUAGAUAUUUCUUUCUGAAAGGUGUGCUGAAAAAUGCUUCACCGAGUCAGCGUUACCAUUCUUUUAAAUGGCCACAUAAAACGCUUAUUUGUGGGUUCUAAUCGUAUGUUUUUUCUUACAUACACCCGCGGAGAUUAGGGUAAAAAUGCAAAGUAAACAUAUAUUUUGAAGAGUUUUUUUUUUCUUGAACUGGCUUUCGAAAUGUAUGAGUUUUUUUUUGUGAUCUUUUGAAGAGUUGUUUUACAUUGAUUAUUAGGUGAAAUUUUUUUAAUCCAAAAUAUUUUAUAUUUUAUUUUUAAAAUAUUUGAAAUAUACCAUCAUAUCAUUUAAAAUGCAUGUUUUGAUUUAACGACAAACAAAAUUAAUUGAUUAAAAAAUUAACAGAUAAUUUUGUUAUUAUAUUUUUAGUUAAAAAGUUUGUCUGAAUUAUGUUAAAGAGUUUCACACUAAAAACCCUAAUGUUUACUUCAUAUAUAUUUUAAUUCACUAUUAUUAACACGAUGCAUGUACCUAAAUUUAGUUAUUAGUUACAAAAUUCAUCAAAGGUUUGAGUAUAAAGAUUUAUAGCCCAUGCAAACAUUGUGUAACUUUUUAAUGAUAUAUUAGAAAUUUAAAAUACUGUUACAAUUUGUGUUAAUGUAGAUAAGAAGUAUGAAAAAGCAACAAUGAUUUCAUAGAAAGGCAUAUACAAUACAACUUAGUUAAUAAACAUAAUCAAGGCAAUUGUAUUAACACAAUGGCAGGAAAAAAGCUUUUUAACGUUAUACUGAAAUAAUUUAGAGUCACAUAAUUCAUGUUAGCGAUAAUCAAAAAGUACAAUAUUCCCCCAUAUUUCAGCCGAUUUUAGUGUGCUUUGGUGGCACUAAAGAAUCUUAAUGUGCGACAAUGCGACACAUAUACAAAGCCUGACUAAUCAUGUCGAAUCUGUGUAAUUACAAGAUUAACCAAAUACUGAGGACAUAUUAGUCAUUCGACUAUAUGAUAACUAUAAUGUAUCCAUUGAACUAGAUAUUUUGGUUGUGUUAAAAUAUAGGCUGAACUACGGCAAUGGAGAAGAAGCUGUAAUUAACGUCGAAACCGUGGGCAAUAAAAAUAUAUUGAUAUACAAAAAAUAGUAAGAUAUAUCGCUUUCUUCGUUAGUUGAUGACAAAUUACAAUUAACACAUCAAAGUCCAAUAAUCGAUAUAUCUUGCUGUAAUAAUAAUAAGUAGUUAUUAACGAUAAAGUAUAUAAGAAAAAUGAAGAAAAGUUUGAGGAAUUUUCUAAUUUCAAGUUGUAACAAAAUUAGGUUAGUUUAUUAAUUUUUCUGUGGCCUCCUUUGUUCCAAUGAAAAUUCGACACGUAUGAUUCCUAGUGGAAGAAAUAUUCACACGUGGCAAUCGAGACAUGGGACCCAUAUUAUCGCCACAGAAGGUAACAAAUUUAUGACGUGGAAAUAGAUGGCCGGGUGGGUGUGGAAAAAAAAGCUUUACGUUUCAGAUGUCAUAUGUCACGCUUUUGAUAUUGAGAUAAUCGCUCCACCAGAAAAAAAUUAAUAAAAAUUAAAUUUUAGGAAACAAACAAAUCGACCCAUUUCAUGUGAGUUUUAGGUCGAUUACUUUAUUGUUACUUUAUUCUAACAAUAUUUCUUGAUUUUCCAACGUCACAUAAAAUAAUUAUGACUGCAUAGUUUAUAGAUAACCAUGCAUAUUUCUCGACCACUAAAAGUCUAAAAUUUUUUUUGUUUGUCAACAGUCUAAAAUACUUAUGGUGUGCACAUAUUUAUUACUUUUCAUACUUAUUUUGAUUUAUCAUUUUUCUAGGAAGGGUUUUCGUAUGACUUUUCAGUUUUGAUAUCGGACCUUCAGAUUCUUACAAGUUCAAAAUAUUAGAUAGUUUUGUUUGGUAAAUACUAAUAGCAAUAUUAUUUUAUUUAACAUCUUUUUUUUGCUAUGAACUUAAUCAUAUACAAUCUCAGCAAGUGAUUACAAAAGAGAAGGGAACACUAAUCAACCAGAAACAAUCAGAUCAUUCACUUCGAGUUUAGAGGUUAAGAAAUAGCACUUAUAUCCGCUUGCCCCUCGGUUUCCACGUCCUCGGUUCCUCAAAAUUGAUUUACUUCCUCUGUUUUUUAUUUCUUUGAAAAUUUACUUCCUUUGUUUUUGUUAAUCUAGUUUACAUUUUAUUUAUGUUCUAAUUUACAUAUAUCAAGUGAAGAUUUAGAUUUAAAUUUUUAAUUUACAAAUGAGCCAAUGAGGCCACCUUUAAUAUCACAAGUAUUACAUUACCUUUUUUUCUAAAUCAAAAAUUUAAAACUUAAAGAGUCCCAAAGUAAAGUACAAAUGUCAUGAGUUUUCAAAAUCCUCAAAAAUAAAUUAUUUUAUAUAUUUUCUAGAAAAAUUGUUAAAUAAUUUUCUAAACAAAAUAAAAUAUUAAUAUUUUUUUGAAAAAGUUAAAAUAUAUAGUUAUAUUCAAAAAAUCUGUUAUAUUUUUUAAAAAAAUAAUUGAUAACAUUAAAUGGUGGUAUUGGUUCUUUUGAUACAAAUUAAUUUAUAAUUUGUCCCUCAUACAUUUUAAUUUCUGUAUUAUAUAUGAAGUGUUUUACAACAAACUAUCAAUGAACUGAAAUUGUUUCUUUUUUCAUAAUCAAACAAAGACAAUCAUAUAUCCCCACUUUUGUCUUUUGGAGCACUUAGAUUUAAAAUGAAAAAAAUAAAGAACGAAAAAUGCUCAUUAAAAAAAACGAGAAAUGUGGCCCAUAUUUUACACACGGUACCAACUCAAAUAAAUGCUUGCCUCUAAUUAGUUAAUCUAAUUACAUUAUUUCUUAGUCAAGAUCAUUAUUCAAUACUCGAGAGACAUCCUAUUUGCAUUCACAGAGAUUUCUAGUGCUUUACAUGGGUGCACACCAUCUCCUUUUUCUUUCUAACUUUCAGAAUCUCAACACAACCCACACACAUCCCGCCCGAUCUAUUUACUAUCGAACCCAUAGUCAUAAGAAAACUGUAAUAUGUUGUCUGUUACCUUUAACAAAUACGCGAAACUAUUUCCAAGUGUUAUCAACAUAUAAAAAUUUGGAAUGAUAAAUAAGCCAGAUUUAUAACGAUUUUAUCGUCCAAGCACAAUACUCAAAACUAUAUAUGAUAGGCAUAGACUGAAACAUGGAUAGGGCGAAAACACAUGUUCAAACCCCUUAAUAAGCGAGAUGCUAGGAUGAUUCGAACAAACGAGAUUAUUUCAAGAACAUAUGUAGGUUGGUAAAUUUCACCCUUCUAUAAGGUAUAUAAUAUGGGUAAACCUAACUUAAAAUUUUAUACUAUAUCUUAUGCUUUCCCCAUUAAGAAAAACUAUACGUAGAAAAACGACCUACUUUCAAAUGAUCCAAUGUGUAAGCUUUUGUAAAAAUAGCUUUCAGUUCACCAUGUGAUACAAUACUUUUAUGCCAGUUACAAAAAUAUCUAAACCAACUUAAAUUCCAUAUUUACACGGUCUUAUGUUACGUGACAAGCACAAACAUCGGACAAUUAUCAAACAUUUUGAUACUAUUUUACCUAGCUUAAAAACAUAUUAUGUCAUAUGAUUGUAAGCAUUAUCUGGAACUCUGCCGAUGGUUUCACUUCCCUAAACAUAGAAAAAACUAUUUGUAGUUUUGUAUUGUAUUUACUGUCCUCUAUUUGUUUCACAGUCAUUCAAACUAUAAGGUUCUAGUAUGUGAUGAUGUCUUGUAUUGUAAUUACAUAGAUCUAUAUGAUGCCAUCCAAAGUUCCUUACGGAGCCAGCCAAGACGAUAUCUAGACUCUCAAUCGUUCACAACACCUUUUGAGUUAUAUUUUUAGUUACGAAUUAGGUUUCUAGCUAGUCGAUGGUCACGUAGUAUAUAUCUUAGAGACAUGCAUGGUCCUUAGAACUUAACUAGAACUAGAUUUUAACCCGUAAACCCGCAUGGAUGUUUAAUUUAAUAUUUAUCUAAUUUAAUUUUUUUAAUAGGAUUGAAUAUAUAUAUAUAUAUUUAUAUAUACUUAUUUAUUUAUUUAUUUAAAAAAAUUGCCACUAUUAAAUAUUUGUUUAAUGUAUUUUGAACACAAAAAAUUUGUAGCGAAUUCAGUAGACAAUCUAAUUAAUUAAUUAGAUUCUAUAGCAUUUUAAAUUUUAAGAAUAUGAUAAAGAUAUACAAUGUAUAAUAUAGUAAAGUGUGAUUUUGAAGUAUAUAUAUAUUAUUGUUAUUAAUGUGAUAGCUUAAUUUAGGGGUUUGUUAUGUUAAGUUAGUCAGAUAUUCAAUUAUUUUAGGAAUACAUAGUUGAUUUCUUAUCUAUAGGAAAUUAUUAAUUCUUGUUUUAAUUCUAUGUCCAACUAAAUCCAUAGGAAAUAUAUCAAAUCGUUGAUUUUUUUGUUUGAAAAGAAAUUGAAUAAAUUUACAAUUAAUACAAACUUAAACCAAAUGUUUUUUAAAUUGUAUCUAAUUCAUGUUACAUAUAUAAUCUGGUUUAGUGAUGUUCUCAUCAAUUACAUUUACUAAAGUUUUUUUCUAAUGAAUUUUAAUGUUAAUUCAAUUAGAUGUUGACACUUGAUUUAAAACUUUUGGUUUACUAAUAUAGACAAAUGAUUUUAUGCAGAGACUAGGAUUGUGGCGCAAUGAAGAUGAAAUCUAUUUUAUGGUCUUAAAAAAUACAAAUUAUAUUAGUGGGUAACCAAACAUUAAUGGGCUUGUUAUUUAUUUCCUAUUGUAAUAUGGCGUGAAAGUUUACUGACUAUCUUCAGUGGUUCAUUCUAUUUUUCACUCUAAAAUAUAAUAACUUUGUAAUAGUGUUGUAAUAUACUUUAAUGGUACUCUAUUUUAAAAUGAAAAAUAGAGCGAUGAAAUUUUUUUUUUACUCUAUAUAUAGAGUAAAUCUAUUUUUUACUCUAUUAUAGAUGGAAAAAUAGAGUACUAUUAGGGCAUUUUUACUAUAAACUCUAUUUUAGAAUGGAAAAUAGAGUUGGGUUAGAGAUGUUUUAAUAAUUAGAAAAAGUGUAGAAAAUUAUCAGUGACAUUUGACUGUGAAUAUUUAGAGAAAAUAAGGGGUCAAUUCAAAUUUGUACUUAUGUUUUAAUAGUUUAGAUGAUUUAAAUGUUUUUAUUUUCAACUUGUUGUUUAAUUUGGAUCCUAUUUCAAAAAUCGGAAGGAUAUAUAUAUGUCUCUAUAUAUAUACUCUCGAUCUUUUUUUUUUUACAGCAAAUAUUUACAUAUUCAUAUUGACUCUGUAAACCAAGGUGGUAACUCUGCAUCCAUUCACAUACUCUCGAUCUUAUUUGGAUCUUUGCUGGAUGUUCUAAUUUAUGAGGACAAUUAGUCUGGUAAAUGAGAAUCUUCAAAGAUAUAUAUAACGAGGCAUAUAUCAUAUAUAAUUUUCCGGUAUAUUAUAUAUAUAUAUAUAUAUAUAUAUAUANNNNNNNNNNNNNNNNNNNNNNNNNNNNNNNNNNNNNNNNNNNNNNNNNNNNNNNNNNNNNNNNNNNNNNNNNNNNNNNNNNNNNNNNNNNNNNNNNNNNNNNNNNNNNNNNNNNNNNNNNNNNNNNNNNNNNNNNNNNNNNNNNNNNNNNNNNNNNNNNNNNNNNNNNNNNNNNNNNNNNNNNNNNNNNNNNNNNNNNNNNNNNNNNNNNNNNNNNNNNNNNNNNNNNNNNNNNNNNNNNNNNNNNNNNNNNNNNNNNNNNNNNNNNNNNNNNNNNNNNNNNNNNNNNNNNNNNNNNNNNNNNNNNNNNNNNNNNNNNNNNNNNNNNNNNNNNNNNNNNNNNNNNNNNNNNNNNNNNNNNNNNNNNNNNNNNNNNNNNNNNNNNNNNNNNNNNNNNNNNNNNNNNNNNNNNNNNNNNNNNNNNNNNNNNNNNNNNNNNNNNNNNNNNNNNNNNNNNNNNNNNNNNNNNNNNNNNNNNNNNNNNNNNNNNNNNNNNNNNNNNNNNNNNNNNNNNNNNNNNNNNNNNNNNNNNNNNNNNUAUAUAUGACAAUUAAUGAUUUUGAAUAAUAAAGAUCUGAUAAAAAAAAUGUAUCUUCUAUCAAAUUUGUUUAAUUUAAAACUAUUAAAAUAACUUUUAAAAAACACAAUAACCAUAUUAUAAAAAUUUAGAUUUUUCUGUAUAUUUUAUAUUUUGAAUUUUAAAAAAUGACUAUAAAUUACUAAAACUGUUAAAAGUCUCACAUUCAAAUUUUGCGAUCCAUGGUUUAAAAUUUUUGUUAUGACAAAAUACAAAUAAUUACAAAAUCAUAUAAGUAAAAAGUCUAAUUUAAUUAAUUAUUAAAACCAAUAUAUAUAUAUAUAUAUAUAUCAUUGUAUUUCAUCUAUGAUAUAUUUUCUCAGAGAGGACACACGGAUUAAACGUAUAACUGAUGUAAAUCAAUACAAUACUAAAAGUUGAAUAAGAUAAACAUCUAAACUGUCCACAUAUGACUAAAAAAUCAACCAAUAGAAAAGAGUUAUUUUACCAUGUCAUAUGAGCUUUGUUCGAAAAUGAUAAUUAUCGAGACUUUCGUGUGGGCUUAUGAUAUUUGGCCCAGUCAAACCCACUUCUGGAAAUGGCUCACAAACUUUCUCUUCUCAGUUUCGGAUCCUUGGAAAUCUCCGUUACACGCAACACCUUUAUCAAUCAAUUAUCUUUUACUCUUUUCUUUAUGGUCUCAUUUCACCUCCCUAUUAUCUUCUCCUAUAAAAAUCGUUUCUUCCAAACUUUAAUUCAACCAAAAUUGAAAGCUACGGCCAUGAGAAAUAAAUAAUUCAGAGUCUCUUGCUCUUCCUCUACUCUUCGUACCCGGUAAUCAAACCCCACAGUAUUCAUAGCUAUAGGAACGGCGAAAUCCACCGCCACAGCCCCGGCUUAAUUUUAUAAGGAUGUGAUCGUUUACCACCAAGUUUGCUUGCUUACAUGGUUGCAGCUUCAUAACUCGUGCCAUGUUUGUCAUACGAGUUCAUGACUCAUGGAGGUCAGACCAGUGGGGAAGACAGACAACAAACGGUUGAGAGUUCGCCGACUCCGAGGAGGUUUAGUUUAUCAUAUCCAUGGCCACUCAAGAGACAUGAUACAAAUUAGGAUUCUGGGAGUGGAUCUGAUAUCGAUACUACGUAGGAUGAAUUGGAUUGAGGUUAGUGGAUUGUCUAUCCUGUGAAUCUUGGUUCUGACCAAUCUAUUGUUUGUGUUGUGUGUGUGCAAAGUACUUUCCCUUUUGAUUUUUUAGAAUAAAAAAGUAUGAAAACUGUAUCAUUUUCCGGAAUAAAGUAUUGGCCUCAACUGAUACAUUGUUUUGUCUUCCUGUUCUGUGCAAGAAAUUCAUGGAAUACAAUGAAAUUCUCAAAACAUUUGAAGAUCAAGAGGAGUUAAAAGAGGUUUGACCUUCAAAUGCUAGCAAGAAGGCGGAUCAAUGGGUAGCUUUUCGAAUAUACUCUGUAGACAUUCCUUUUACCUNNNNNNNNNNNNNNNNNNNNNNNNNNNNNNNNNNNNNNNNNNNNNNNNNNNNNNNNNNNNNNNNNNNNNNNNNNNNNNNNNNNNNNNNNNNNNNNNNNNNNNNNNNNNNNNNNNNNNNNNNNNNNNNNNNNNNNNNNNNNNNNNNNNNNNNNNNNNNNNNNNNNNNNNNNNNNNNNNNNNNNNNNNNNNNNNNNNNNNNNNNNNNNNNNNNNNNNNNNNNNNNNNNNNNNNNNNNNNNNNNNNNNNNNNNNNNNNNNNNNNNNNNNNNNNNNNNNNNNNNNNNNNNNNNNNNNNNNNNNNNNNNNNNNNNNNNNNNNNNNNNNNNNNNNNNNNNNNNNNNNNNNNNNNNNNNNNNNNNNNNNNNNNNNNNNNNNNNNNNNNNNNNNNNNNNNNNNNNNNNNNNNNNNNNNNNNNNNNNNNNNNNNNNNNNNNNNNNNNNNNNNNNNNNNNNNNNNNNNNNNNNNNNNNNNNNNNNNNNNNNNNNNNNNNNNNNNNNNNNNNNNNNNNNNNNNNNNNNNNNNNNNNNNNNNNNNNNNNNNNNNNNNNNNNNNNNNNNNNNNNNNNNNNNNNNNNNNNNNNNNNNNNNNNNNNNNNNNNNNNNNNNNNNNNNNNNNNNNNNNNNNNNNNNNNNNNNNNNNNNNNNNNNNNNNNNNNNNNNNNNNNNNNNNNNNNNNNNNNNNGUAAUCAAACCCCACAGUAUUCAUAGCUAUAGAGAACGGCGAAAUCCACCGCCACAGCCCCGGCUCAAUUUAUAAGGAUGUGAUCGUUUACCAUCAAGUUUGCUUGCUUACAUGGUUGCAGCUUCAUAACUCGUGCCAUGUUUGUCAUACGAGUUCAUGACUCAUGGAGGUCAGACCAGUGGGGAAGACGGACAACGAACGGUUGAGAGUUCGCCGACGCCGAGGAGACAUGAUACGAAUUAGGAUUCUGGGAGUGGAUCUGAUAUCGAUACUACAUAAGAUGAAUUGGAUUGAGGUUAGUGGAUUGUCUAUCCUGUGAAUUUUGGUGCUGACCAAUCUAUUGUUUGUGUUGUGUGUGUGCAAAGUACUUUCCCUUUUGAUUUCUUAGAAUAAAAAAGUAUGAAAACUGAUUCAUUUUUCGGAAUAAAGUAUUGGCCUCAACUGAUACAUUGUUUUGUCUUCCUGUUCUGUGCAAGAAAUUCAUGGCAUACAAUGAAAUUCUCAAAACAUUUGAAGAUCAAGAGGAGUUAAAAGAGGUUUGACCUUCAAAUGCUAGCAAGAAGGCGGAUCAAUGGGUAGCUUUUCGAAUAUACUCUGUAGACAUUCCUUUUACCUGUUCUUCUCUCCAAUAUUUGUGUUGCCACUUGCCAGUGUUAACAAUGGUGGCUUCCCUAAUCCCACGUCUGUUAUUUUCUUCAACUAACAAAAUGUGUUUCAUGUAGCAUUUAAAGCACUGAAUUUUUCUCAGGGUUAUGGAAAUGGGGAAGAAGCUCGCAGAGAGGAUAAGGAGCAAAGGGCCUUAUAUUGUCCUGAGUGUAUGUACGUUAAUCAUUUCACUCUCACUAUUGAAGCUUCUUAUUUUCUUUUUUUGUUGUUGCACAUACAGCUGUAAGACUAAUAUUAUUAUUACUUUUUUAUAAUUGGGUAUAAUAUGCUUACGUGAUAUAAUAGUUCAAAUAAGAAUAUAUAUAUGAUUUAUAAAAUUUGAUUGUUACUGCUCUCAAUGGUGUAUAUAUGUUACUUUGUCUUAUUUAUUUUCCCUGCAGCUAAUUGUGGCUUUGAAAAUUCAUUUUCUACACCGAAGAAAAGAAGAAGCCAGUGACUGUUUUAACGUUUUGUUGUCUUCUAAGCUCUGUAAAUGUUUAUAAAACUGGUGUUUGAUGAUUAUGUGCCUCACAUUGUUUUUAUUUUUAUGGAUAGGUUGAAUCCCAGCUCACUGAAUAAAAAAAAAAUACCCAACUCCGUAUUUUCGAAUGGUCUUACAUAACUGUCUCCACUGGGAUCAGUGGCCUUAUGCUACUGUCGAUAUACUACAGAUUCCACCAACGCCAUAUCUACAAAGCCAAAAAGGAGGAAGAUGAACAUGACGACUUGAAGCCAGCCUCUAUCGCUGGGGGUGGAAACUGCAGCAAAUCAUAGUAGACACUACAAGGUACUCGCAUGUAAACACUACAUCCUUUGUAUUACGUCUUCUUUGUUGUUUUUGUUAUUCUCCCUUUCUUUAUAUGGCAUCUUACUAGAUGUUUCCAAAUGAAAUUUGGUAGUUCAUCACAAAACUUCUCUAUUUCAUUGAUAAAGGGGAGUCAUUCACCAAUGAUGUUUUAUCGUUACAUGGAUUCCAGUUUUAUUCAUUUGAAACUCUGGUACAUGCUUACCGAACAAAAUAAUGUAUAGCGACAUUUGUAUAUAUUAGUGAAUUAAACAUUUUACAUGGUUUCUCAUAUUGCUUCAUGUGCAGGUUGAAGCAAAAGAAGUUUUCUUUUCUGUUACAAAGCUUUCCCAAUCUAAAGACACUGGUUUGGGAGAGAACGGUUUACUUGACCAUAAAGGAACUUUCUCCAUCAGUUGCUAAGGUUCAUAGUUUGCAAUUUGCUUAGGUGGCUGAAUCCUAACACCAAUACUGAAGGUAUAGUUUCUGAUAAGUGGUUUGUUUUUCCAUGGUUAUUAUUGUUACAAGCUCCCUGAUCAGGGAUAUGAUCAUAUGAAUAGCAAGAUUGAUAUGUAUCUUGCAAACGGUAUAACUCUCUUAUACCGAAUAAUAGACGAAACCCUUUUUACACAAAUUAAGUGGUACUUGAAACAAACCAUUGUCGAUAAGAACUAUGUUGUUUCAAUCUCUGUUAGUAAGUUCUUUUGCAUGCUUCUUAGUUGCAAAACCAUAAUUUUCUAAGAUGGCUACCACUACAGAUGCAUUAGUUACUACUCAGGUUAUGCUGCAAAAUGGUUAGUUUCAUAAGUUUCACCUUAUACAUUGAUAUAUAUGUAGAAAAGAAGAGAAAGAAGAAAAACUUACAAGGCUAAAAGAUGUUAAGGGUCAUUAAAAGGAUAAAUCACUGCAAGAGCAUCAUUUCGAAGUAUUGGACUUAACGUGUGUUUUUUUUUUUUUAUCUUGGGAGUAUUCCUUAUGUACUGCUAUUAGAUUACAUUGAUAAGAUAAGAAAUGUAUUUCUUAAUUUGUUUUACCAGUGCCAACAAUCACAAAAUUAUAAUUUGUUCUUCUUCUUUCAGAUUCUAAUGAUUGGUUGUUAUUUGAGUUAUUGUGAUUUUCAGUAGGGAUGUUUAAAUGAAGAUAGAAUCUAACAAGUCAGUGUCGGAGGUUAAUAAUGAAAUUGAGAGUGAGGAUGGUAGUGAAUAAGUUUGUAGUUGAUCAUUUUAAAUUACGUUUUAUUGUGUAUAAUCAAAUUCAUGAUGAUAACGGUGACCAAGGUUGAAAUUUGUAGCAUGAGUACAUAUGGUUGAUCUCUUUGUCUUCUUUAUGUUUUCGUAAAAUUGUUAUGGGAAUGAGUAAAAGAGAGUGUUUUUCUUUAUUAUUCUCUUUGUUUUAAUACUUCACAAAAUGUUUUAUUCCCUACAUAAUUUAGAUUCUUAUUUUAUAAAUUUGUGAUCUCAUAUUUCUAUUUUGACAUGUGAUCAAUUCAAAUAAAAUUGUAGAUGAAAAUUGACAAAUAAAAUUGAUUUAAUUGGCCAAGAUAAUGUCAUUGUUUCAAACUCAUGCCCAAUUCUAAAUUUACACAUUUCUAAAAAAUUAAAUAUAAUAUCCUUUUGUAUAUAAAUUAUCAAAAAAUAAAUAAAGCAACAAAUAAGUGAUAAAGCAGUAUAAGGAAUUGUAUUAAUAUUUGAUGAUGCAAUUAAAUAAAACANNNNNNNNNNNNNNNNNNNNNNNNNNNNNNNNNNNNNNNNNNNNNNNNNNNNNNNNNNNNNNNNNNNNNNNNNNNNNNNNNNNNNNNNNNNNNNNNNNNNAAAAUUUAUUGAAUUAAUAUAUUUAAUUAUUGCAUCCUUAAAUAAUAUUUUAUUAAGACAUUAGAGAACUAUGUUUUGAGUUGUUUUGUCAAAAUUGUACAAAAAUCUAUGCUUUUUCAUAUUUGUCACGAAAAUUUAUAUGUUAAACUUACUUUUACAAAAUUCUUAACUUUGUCACGAAAACAAAAAUCUAUUUCUUUGUGGUAUAUGUCAAUGUUCUCACACUUUCAAAGAAUAUAUUAGCUUAGUCACUUACUUAUUUUUUUUUUACAAAACAAUGUAUUGGAGUCUUGAAAGUUGAAUCCAUAUUAUUGUAAAUGUACAUAAGAGUGUGAUUACAUAUUUAGUGAUUCUUGUAUAUGUGUCCAAGAAAGUCUCAAUGGCUUAGUGGUAUCUCUCAUAUAUUCAUGUCAUUCUAACCCGGGUUCGAUCAUUUCCUUUGCAUUGGUUUUUCAUUUUUUACGAAAAAAUAAAUGAGAUGACGUGGCAACUUCGGACUCUCUGAUUGGACGAUUUUUUGUGCGUACGUGGACACUCUAAGAGGAGCUUAUAUCCUCCUUUUAGUAUAGUAUAGAUAUUUGACAAAAAAAAUCAAAAAAUAAUUAUUAAUAAUAAAGAAAAAUAAAUCUACAACAACACUGAUAUAUGUAAUCUUACAAUAGACAUAAUAACAUUUAGCAUGCAAAUACAAUUAGCCCUAUAGAAUUGAGAUAGCUUCAUAAUAGUCACUCACAUUAACACACUUGUAAGGUAUGAACCGGGUCAAAAUCACGAUAUUUCUACGUGAAUCCCUUGCAUAAGAAUCAAAACAGAAAAGAAAGUGAUGAGAAGUACGAUGAAUGGCGAGGUUGCAAGUUUUGGAGUUGCGUUAGGGAGCCAUGGAUAAGAAUCUGGAGGUGGCAUAACGCAGUUAUCUCCAUUGAAGUAAAUACGUCUUGGAAACGCCCACCCUUUAUCGAGUGUGAACUUUGACGGGCUCUUUCGGAAGAGAAUUUCUGACUGUACAUUUCCUAAUGGACCGGCUUGGCUCAACAUAUCGUUGUAGAACUUGAUUCCCCAUAGAAUGGCCGUGUCAUCUGCAAUGAACGAUCCAAAUACAUGAAAUUGAUUACCUACAAAAACCCUCCAUAUCACAAUCUAAUCACCCUUAGUUUUGUUUAUAGGCAUCAUAAGGGUAUCCGAGCCUACGAUCAAAACUAGUAUACUAUAGGGAACAAAAGGGUAUCCGAGCUAAUAUAUCGCCUGAUCAUUUAGUACCCAAAAAGUCAAAAUGAAUGUGAUUACUUAUUUUGGCUGGAAUUUAUUGAUACGGUUUCACGCAAAUAGUUAUAACCAGGCUUUAAAUCAUAGUUUCAAUUUAGACAGACUGGCUAAUAGGUGGGACAAAUGGUGCGACCACCCGGGGCCAGACCAUGUUUCUGUAUUAAGGGGUUUCGAUUUUUUUUAUAUAUACAUAUUUUAUACAGAAAAUAAAAUUUUAAAAAUAAUGAUAUAAGAAAAAAGCUAAAAAAUAUUUUUAUAUGUAUAUAGUUUAGUUUUCAAAAAUUUAUAAAAAUAUUAAUGAUGUAAUAUGAAAAAUAAAUAAGUUAUUUAACUUAAAAAAGAUAUAAAAUUUCAAAGUCUAAUUUUUUAUUCUAGAAUCCAUAAAAAUGUUGAACCGGCCUUUAGUACCUAACCCCAUGCCUACCAAGAGUUAUGCAUACUAACAAGAGAAAAAAAUGUGAAUAAAGGAAUAAAAAGCAGCUUGGGCUUACUUAUGCCAGCGUAAGGACUAAGGGGUUUGUAGUUAAAGCUGAAAAGCUUAGUGACAUUGUCGAAGUUGGGAUGCUGUGCAACCAUAUUCCACAGCGAGUAAUUCAUAUUGUAAUUAAAGUUUGUGAUUGCAACCUUCACUCGCCAGUACUCUUUGUAGUUAGUUUUUACAUGCCAAUGAACUCGGAUGGGACACAUAUGCUGCGUACAUUGCAAUAGCGGUUGAUGGUUGUUCUUCCCUGAAGCUUGUAUUACCGAAGCUAUUUUCUGGCUGUUACAAUAAAUGAUUUAAGAAAACAAACAAACCCAAGAUUAGGUUCCUUAAGCGAACAUGAACUUACUUGACACAUGUACCAGUUUGAGAAUUAUUUUGACAACCACACGAACAAGUUGGGCAUGGUACGAUAGUUUCAUUGUAGAAGGAUGAGAGUGAGACACAACAAGUGGGAGAUUUCUUGGCUAGAAACUGCGAAUAUGUGCACGUCAUGUUCCAUGUCACUAAAUAUAACAACAAUAAAAUGUUAAAUUAGAAGCAAGAAAAUAAAACAUAACUUGGAAAGAAACUUUAAAACCUCUAAACUUACACAUAGCCUGAGUCUUUCUUCGUUUAUCAUCAGAAAAGAAUUUGGUCGGCGCAACGGUUUUCGCGGGGCCACAAGUAUAACCAGGUCCUGGUGCCUUCAAAGUGAUGUUCCUAGGUGCUCUAACCGUUGUAUUAGUUGUUCCAGAUUGGCCAACACUAAUCUGAAAAGCAGAAACAGCGGUUGCGGAGUCUUGUGCCCACGCACUAACCACACCGCCUCUACAACAGUUUGAUAUCUGGUGGUUGUAUGGAGUUCCUGGUAACAAGUCAACGACAGUUGGAGUUUUCUUGCAGCAAUGAGGAGGGUCACCUUUGAACUUAGAACAAUCUCCUUGUUCUGUUGCUUGUGCACCAACCAUAUUCCAUAUCACUUCCUUCUUUAACCAAGUCCAUCCCAAUUGCCAACCCGGGGACUCAAUGUGACGGUAUUGUUGAUAAUUGAAGAUUGUUACACGAGCCUGACGAGGAAAAAAAUGUCAUGAAUCAGUUUGUGUGGUAAACAUAAACUCCUUUGAAGAAACAUUUGACAAGAUUUUGGUUAUAUAACAAGUGGCAUUUAAAAAACUGUGAUUUGAGGAGUAAAAUGUUAAAGAUUUCUUACCACAUAGCCAUCAGGAGUCCAGCUCAGGAUAUCCCAUUUUAUGGUAAUGUUUCCAGUUGGAUCAAGUGCAUCAUAAGCUUCUGUGUAAGAGAUAAUAUCAAAUUGGUGAGCUCAUAAGCCAAAACCAGAAAUAAACCAAAAAAAUCGUUUCUAACAAUUGGUUAAUGAUUUUACCAAAAAAAAAAACUGGUUAGUGAAAUAAUAUAUCAUAUCAAAGCUUAUGCAUUCAACAAGUUGAUCACCACCACCAUCAUCUUGGCAUUGAGAUGGAUGUUUCAAAUGUAAAUUCCUAUCAGUGUUUCUUUACUUUUCACCUUUUCUAAUCGAUUUCAAUGGAUUUCUUAGAACCAACAGUAAUUAUUACAGAAUGCAAAGGAGCCAAAACUUUAUAAAACAAAAAGAACAAAAACUUUUAUCAGAGAAUUGAGCAGACCUGUUGUGGUGAAGCUGGUCCAAGAAAGGAGAAAUAGAAACAAAACUGAGAACUUAGAGAGGAGAAUUUUCAUUUUUGUGAUUUCUGGUCUUUGAUCAACCGUUUCUUGAUCUCAGAAGAAAACUUCUCGAAGAUGUAAAAGGGAGAAUGAAAGAGAGACAGAGCUGGCUUUAGUUAACUUUAAGACUUGGGAGCACUAAAAAACAAAACUUCCUAGUUUUAAUCGGUCUUUUACUUGCUUAAACUUUCCAUAUAUUAAUAGAUAAUAAUUAUAAACCUUGACCAAAAAGCUUAAUAAUUUAAAAACUUUCACAAGAGUUGCAUUACUACUAUUGUAAAUACUUUGAAGAAGCAUUCACUAUUUUAUAUACAUCACGCCUAUCUUGGGUACUGGCGUGUUGUUGCUAAAGAUGUAUUUCUUAUAUGAGAUUAAGCUAGAGUAGGAAAAUGAAAUUAGGUUAAGAGUAGGCCAUAGGUACACGCCUAAAUCAUUGAUGAUGUAUGAUACAUCAGUCAUAAGAAAAAAUCUACUUGUUGCAACAUUACAUUCCGUUAGAAUUUCCAUUAGUGAUCUGCAAAAGAAAUAAAUAUUAUCAUGUGCGAAGGUUUGUUUUCUCCGAUGGUACUAAUUUUUUUUGUUAUAAGUGUUCAGAAAGUGAGAAAAAGAUAUACAAAUGCUAAGUAAUUUUUUAAACUUGUUAAACAAAGCCUAAAUCCCAAACUAUAAUGAUUUUUUGUCAACUUAAUAAAUUUGUUAAACAAAGCGUAAAUCUUCAGCCAGCCAAAUAAAUCGAAUAAUAUUAAGCGAAAAAAUUAACUAUUCAACUGAAAUAUAUUUUAUUCAGUCUCUUUAUCCUAUAGCUAGGCUAUUUGCAAAGUACAGUUGUUUCAAGAAAGCGACCGCAUAUUUGUCUAUUCGUUUGGUUGGGUCCAUCAGAAUCUAAAACCUCAAUAUCUAUCAUUCGUCUGUCACGGAGAAAAGCAUCACCGCCAAUCGUUAUUGCUGCCUCGUCAACAAGCCGCGUUACUUUUUCGUCAGGUUGUGUUCUUUUUCUGCUUUCUGAUAAUAUUUUUUUACUAUAUUGACCGUUACUAUCAGUUACAAAACCUUGAAAAUUAUUCAAGUAAUCAUAUGGGCUUCGGUUUUAAAAUUGAACCAAGCCCAGGUAACUGAUUUUUUGUCGCCUCGCCCCACAAAACCCACAACAAAAAUGUAAAUUAGUAACAAGUAACAACCUCCCUACAUGUAAGCUGAGGUUAUCAUUUUCUCGUUUUUGUGGUACAGGUUCUGCGACCAGAGACUGAAUUAGCGAUUAGUUUUACCUCAAAAACUUAACCGAUGAUCUUGCAUCCGAUGCCAUCAUCAGCUAUCCUCUCUUAAUUUUUUUGAUUGAGAAAACCUUUGUAAGCUAAAGUCCUUUAUGAAAUAAGAAAACAAUUUCAACAUUGUUAUCUUCUUUAAUUUUAAUUUUUCUUUUUUGAAACUAUCUUCUUCUAGUUAUUUUUUUUUGUUGAUCUAGGAUAUCCAGCGGUCGAGACCUAACAACUAAUCUUCAUGUUCAUCGAUGCCGGCUCCAGACAGAUCUAGUUGCUCGCAGGAGAAAUUAGAUACUCUUGUCGCCUAACCACAAGAAUUAGUAAUAUGAAUGUGAGGUUUCGAGCCCGAAUCCCUUAGGGACUCUCCGAGCCACCUUCGUCACCCACCAAAUCAGCGUGGUUUCUUCUAGUUCUUUUAGCUUAUGUUUUCAAUAUUGAUAUGAUCAAAUUAACCUUUAAACUACUUUAUCAAAUAAUUGGUUCAUCGUAAUGUUUAAGGAUCGAAUCCGUAUGAAUUGGAGGUCAGACAAUAAACUUAUAGUUUUAAAUUAAGCUAAGCAAUAAAGUAGAAAGCAAUAAAACAAAGCAGUAAAUAAUAGAUUGUAAAAUAGAUAGAUAAGCAUUAGAUCUAAGAAUAUAAAACAUGUAAUCAUAACUCGGAUGAACAGUUUCCAAGGCUUUUAUUAAGAUAAGUCCUAGAACUCGAAUUCAUAAGUUAUCUAGCUCUCGCAUGCAAUUACUAUCAGAUGCCUGAAAUAUCAGAUGCCAACUCUCGUUGUGGAUCCAAUUAUUCUAGAGAAGCGUUAAUGUUCUAAUUAGGCAUGGACAUAUUUCCCGGAUCCGAAGAUCCGAACCGGUAAUUACCCAAAAAAUCGGGUUUUGGAUUGGAUUCGGUUAUCAAAAAUUACCCGGUCGGAUAAGGUUUAUAAUUUGGUCGGGUACCGGGUCGGUUUCGGGUUAUACCCGGGAUCCGUACGGAUGUCGACUUAACCCGAGUUAGCCUAACGGUUAGUAAGUAGUAAUCUAGUUACCCUACACUAGUUAAUGCGCCCACGCGCCCACGCCUUAGACAAGUUCUAUUUCCAAAAUCCAAUCUUCUCUUGAUACUCGUAAUCGCUGUUUCUUCUUCACGACAUAGACGACCUUUGCGAUUUCAGAUGGUCUUAAGCUGCUUACUAAAAGAGCAGACUUGUUGGGGAGAUGAUUAUCGGAAACAAAUCUCAAAUUCAGUCUCUCCCUCUUGCUUCUGAGUCAUCGAGAAACAUAUCUCAAGUAAGAAUUCUUUUUUGCAUGUCGGUUUUGAUCUCAAGUAAGGAUUGUCUGAUUGUGUUUCUGUUUAGUUCUUAUGAUCAAUUUAGUUUUUGCAUCUCGUUUUUUGAUCAUUAAUUGUAGGAUUGUCAGAUUCUGUUUCUGUUUAGUUCUUGUGAUCAAUUUAGUUUUUGCAUCUCGUUCUUUGAUCACUGAUUGUCAGAUUGUGUUUCUUUAGUCUUUAUCACUUGAAAUCGAUUUGUUGUGUAAAGAUGGGAUUGAAAUCAAUUUAUCUUCUCUUAUUGAUGUUCUUUAUUUUGUUCAACAUCUUAUUGGUGUUCUUUUAUUUGUAGAUGGAUUCUUCACCAUUGCCAGAUAACAAUGACUCUGAGACAGAGAAUGGAGUUCAAGCAACCCAAGAGGAGAUAACACGGCAUGAUAAGAAAGGCAAAAGGAAGGUUCGUUCAGGAGGUAGUUCUCAGCCAACUACAAAAAAGCAGUCAAGCACAAGAUCUGAUGUCUGGGAAUACUACACAAGAACAGAGGACGACCGUGACAAGUGCAGAUGCAACCAUUGUCAGCGUAUCUUCGGCUGUGCGUCUUCGCAAGGAACUUCUAACCUUAGGAAGCAUCUACUUUCAUGCAAGUCUCACUUGGCGUGGAAACAGAGCCAAGGUCCUGGUUCAACCGUGAUUACUAAUGACGGAGGUCUGACGAAUGCUAGAGUUUCUGAGGCUGUGUUCAGAGAGGCGACUAAUGAGCUAGUGGUGUUGGGUGAAUUGCCACUCUCUUUCACUGAGAGUGUUGCUUGGAGGCACUUCUGCGAUCGUGCUGGUCUCUACAAACCUCAUUCAAGAAGGACUGCAACUAGGGACAUUGUGCAGAUGUAUGUGAGAAAGAAGGAGGCUCUGAAGAAUUGGUUUAAGGUCAGUAAGCAGAGGGUUUCACUUACCACAGACAUAUGGACAGCACAUGCUACAAGAGCAAGCUACAUGGUGGUUACGGCUCACUUUGUUGAUGAUACUUGGCAGCUAAGGAAGCUUAUCAUCGGCUAUACAAUGAUUACUUCAACGAAGUUGAGAAUGGGAACAAAAGGAUAGGACCUCCUGCGACUGUUGAUUGGAAUGUAGUGGAGAGGUUGGUGAAGUUACUUAUCAUCUUCUACAACUCUACACUAGUUGUCUCAGCUUCGACAACAGUCUCCUCUCAUAAGUGUUAUGGUGAGAUCGUCAUUAUAGAGACGAAUCUGACACGGCUAAGUUAAAGUUUGGAUAAGGAGUUGAAAGGCAAGGCUGAUUGCAUGAAGGCAAAGUUUGAGAAGUAUUGGGGAGGCAUAAUGUCAACAAGAUGGUUAUUGUCGCUUCUGUCUUUGAUCCGACUAAGAAAAUGCAGUUUGCGAAGCUGUGUUUUGAGAAGCUUCACGGCAAAGAAACACCAGAGGCUAAGGCGAUGUAUCAGUCAGUUCACAUUGUGUUGACUGAUAUGUUCAAGGAGUACAGUCUUCGCUUGAGGAGAGAUUCAACUGGUGGACAAUCAUCUCAGUCUACUCAAGCUUCGUCAUCAAAUGGACAAGAUCAAGAUCAGGAUCAAGGGUUAGGUGAAAACGUGGAAGAAGCAAUGGAUUUGGUCGAUGAUCUCUGUUAUGAAAGGAUGGACUUUGCGUAUACUGAAUUGGUUGCUGAAAUAGGAGUUGAAGAAGCAAGGGAUGAGCUAGAGCUGUAUUUGAAAGAGAAAGUAGAGAAUCCUAAAAACUUUCUUGGAACCGAGUAUGAUGUGUUGUCUUGGUGGAAGCUUAACUGUCAGAAGUAUCCGAUCUUAGCAGAGAUGGCCAAAGAUGUACUUGCAAUGCAAGUCUCCUCUGUUGCAUCUGAGAGUGCUUUCAGCACCAGUGGUCGGCUUAUUGAUCCAUUUAGGAGUUGCUUGACAUACUACAUGGUUGAAGUAUUGAUGUGCACAGAGCAAUGGAUGAAGGCUUAUAUCAAUCUAUGUGAGAAACGUGUUACCAAUGGUCAAAUGCUACCUGAGGUUGAGCUACAUGACAAGCUAGAGAAAGGUACAUUCUCUUCUUUUUUAAUUCUUACAUUUCUUUAUGUUCUCAUGUUACAUAUUCUAAGUUGUAACACAAUCUUGUAAUAUAUGUAGAGUUUGAUACUCUAAACUUGACCUAGAAGAAUGUAUGGAACUCGGGGAAGAUGGAGAUGAAGGGGAAGAAGAAGGUGGUCCGAAGAGUGAAGUUGUGUUGUUGCUUGCUUGCUUUGUUGCUCUGUUUUCUUUUAAGAACUUAUGUUGGCUUUGCUUUUCUCGGUUGCUAUCUUUUUUUCAAAACGGAUGAUAUGCUUGUUUUCAUUUUGGAGAUUCAACUUUGGUUUGGUAACUUUGGUGAUUCAAAAUGGUAUUUUUAGGCUUUUAUUUGUUCAUUGCAUCAGUUUUGGAUGCUUCAAUUAAGUCUUCAAUAGUUUGAUAAUGGUUGGAGUAGAGUUCUCAUGAAAUCAUUAGUAAUAGUUUGGAUAUUUUUGGUUCUUUUGGAUUAUGUUCGGUUCUAGCGGGUUUAAUGGUUUGGUAUAUACUAAGAACUGAACCGAAUCCGUUAAUAUUUUGGUUACUUCGGAUAUAACCGGAUCCGACAAGUACCGAACCGUAACCGAACCAAAAUUUUAAAUUAUCCGUACGGUACCAUUUUUUCUAGUUCCGAAAUAUCCGAAAUCUGAAAGACCAGAUCCGGAUCCGAACCGGUUAUCCGAAUGCCCAGGUCUACCUGGGUUGACCAAAACUAAUUAUCAAUGGUCCAUAAAGAAUAUCUACUUAAAUGGAUAUUGGUCGACGCAUAUUGGUAAUUGGAUGGCCAUGAUUUAACUAGAAACUUUCAUUAGUCUGUUACUCUGUUAUAUGUACUGACAACAUUCAUCGUGGUUGCAUCAUAUUUCUUGCAGCAUAUUUUUAUGAAGAAUCUUGUUAAUAUAUAGAUGUGGCAACGAAUUAUAGACAACGUAAUUAAUGAAAAAGUUUCAGACAUGAUCACCAAGAUAUAUAUUUUUGUGUAUGCACAUACCUCUUAUGUAAUUCUAAAAGGUAUUUUUCUUCUUAAAAACUUUGAUUAUAUAAAAAAUUGUUUUCAAAAAUUUAUAUGCAGUUUCUAUCAAUCAAUGUUAAUAAAAUGUAAAGUGCAAAAAUACUACUUGGACAAAUUUGAAUUUAUUAAAUUAUUAUUGGUUCAUAGUUAUGAGAAAGUGUUUAGUAUAUAUGUCAAAUUUAUGUAUUUAUAACUUAAUAUUGAUUGUCUUAUUUAUAUGAUUUUUGUAACAUCGUUGUUUUAUUAACUAAAGGUGCAUUAAAUUUUCAGUGAUUAGAGGAUCACCAACAAUUGAUUACAAUUAGCGACAGCUAUGAAUGAGUGGCAUAUCCGAUGAAAAUGCUGUGCUAUGCCUACUGCUAGCAACACAAAACAUGAAAGAGAAUAUUAUGUGCAUAGAAAAGAAUAUUAUGUGCAUAGAAUAUUUUUUAGUACAGCUACAACCCGGGUAAUAUAAAUACUUUAAACAUACAUAUUCCCUUCAAGUAUACACAUGCAUGUCAAAAGAUUGAUUUUUUUUAAAGAUUGAUUUAUUAUUAGUAUUGUCUCGUUUUUUUUUUGUUUAAUAGUAUUGUCUCAUUGCUAUUUCUGGUAAAUACGUUUUCAGUAUUUUCAAAAAUAUUUCACGCAAAGAUAACUUAUUAGUUUUCUGAAACCUAAAUGAUACACAACUUGAGUAUCAACGCAUGCAAACUCAAUAUAAACUGACUACUCUGAAAGCAAAUUAAAAACGAUCGGUAAUGAAUAUCAAGCAUGUUACUGAUCUGAAAAAAAAAAAUCUACUUUGAAACACAGAUAUUUUGUAGUGAAAAGAUAUUCACCUUACUGCAGCGUUCCAAGCCACCAAAAAAUGGUCGUGCCAUAAUGAAAAUAUCACGUAGCUUAAGCUGCCUUCUGUUUGACAGCCCAAAGAAUGAAAAACCUGCUCUCGAAAUUACUUCCAGAAAUUCAAACUUUGAAAAUUUAAUUAUAUUAUUAAAAUAAAAAUCAAAAAGAGUAACCCCAAAGUUGUUUCAUUGUUUUAUUCAAUACAAAAAAAAACUCGGGAUAUAUAUAUAUAUAUAUCACCAGAAUGAUGACAACCAUUAAUCGUGCUCUGUUUUUUUUUUUCAGAUAUAUAAUCCUUACGUUUGAUUCAAUGGAGUGGGUUCGAGGAGAAACAAUUGGAUACGGAAGCUUCUCUACAGUCACUCUAGCCACGCCGACUGAUAACGACUCCGGCGAGUUCCCACCGUUGAUGGCCGUGAAGUCAUCAGACUCAUACGCUCGCCAACGAGAAAUCGGUUUUGGAUAAACUCGGAGGCGACUGCGACGAGAUCGUACGGUGCUACGGGGAGGAUCGGACGGUCGAAAACGGCGAUGAGAUGUAUAACUUGUUCUUGGAAUACGCUUCGAGAGGAAGCUUAGGGAGCAAUCUCAAGAAACUUAACGGCGAAGGUCUACCGGAAGCUACCGUGUGCCGCUACACAGGAUCGGUGCUUCGUGGUCUACGACACAUACACGCCAACGGAUUCGCACACUGUGAUUUAAAACUCAGGAAUAUUCUGUUGUGCUGUGACGGUGCCGUUAAGAUUGCUGAUUUCGGACUGGCGAAGAGAACGGAAGAAGUAACGGCGUCAUCAGGGGUGCAGAUUAGAGGUAUGCCGUUGUAAAUGGCGCCGGAAUCCGUUAACGAUAACGAGUACAGAUCAGAAGCUGACGUGUGGGCUUUAGGAUGCGCCGUUGUUGAGAUGUUUAUCGGCGAAACGGCGUGGAGUUUUAAGGAAGGAUCACACUUCAUGUCGUUGUUGAUACGCAUGGUGUCGGAAAGGAACUUCCGAGGAUUCCCGAGAACUUGUCGGGACAAGGAAGAGACUUUUUGUCAAAGUGCUUUGUUAAAGAUCCCAAGAAGAGAUGGACCGCUGAGAUGCUUCUAAACCAUCCAUUCAUAGCCGUCGAUCUUGAUCCCGAUGAUUUGGAAGAAACUGAUAUUCACUUGAAAACAGAGGACGUGUCCACAUCGCCGAGAUGCCCAUUCGAAUUUGCCGAUUGGGUUUCUGCUUCCUCCGAUUCAGAAACGCAGUAUCGACCUUUCGAUUCGCUGGAUGAGAGGAUUGCGAGUCUGGCGACUGAUUUGAUCCCUGAUUGGUCUGUCACCAGUAACUGGGUCACACCGUAAGGUGACGACAGUUGUCAAAAAAAACAGCGGACCAAAACAGAGUUGCACUGAAAGGUUAAGAGCAUCAACAAUGCCAAUAUUCUGAGCUCGAUAACCAAGGUAAGUUUUUAAAUUAUUUUAUUAUUUUCAUUUUUUUUUAGUUUAAAAAAAAAAGAAUCAAUCUUGGGUUUUCACGUGGCGAUGGGAUCUGCGCACAGUAACGAAUCUGUGGAAGAUUAAUCUUUAGCUAAGGAUUAAUUUGGCACAUAUUCUUAAAUUUAACGGGUCCCGCAGAUUAUUAUAAUAACUUUAAUGGUAACAAUUUGUUAAAAAUCAGCAUUAGAGGUGGUCUAAAAAGCUUUAAAAAAAAAAUUCUUAGUCAGAUCCAACAAUUCUAAUUAAUUUAUUUGUAUAAUUGUUUGUCAAUAGAAAGAAAAGUUUUUUUUUUCACUAGUAAUAUUAUUAAACAAAGUUUACAACGUGGGACAAGGUCCAUCAUGCCCAUCUAAACUUAAAGCCCGAAGGCUACACAAUAAUUACAUAAGAGGGCCAACAUAAGGCCAGACAACACCCCAAUAGAGAACUCGGAAACUAUCCGACUCGACACCACGUGUAUGAAGAGGAGACACGCGUCGAUAAAGGAAAACACCAACUCCGUUCACUGACUUGAAGGUCGUCACCGGAAAUCAAUCGGCAGCCACCGGAAACCAACCGGAACAUUAUGCACAGAUGAUUUCAACCAAUAACGAUGCAAGCAGGAAUUAGAGAGAGAACCACCAUCGCUUGAAGGAAGAAAAAGAUUCAGCCACAUGCAAUCGAUCAGAUUCAACAGAUACAGAAAACGAUAAAAGAAAUAUAAAAGCCGGAUAAACCAGCGAGGAGCCAGCUGUCAACCCCGAAAGAGAAGGUCUGACGCCGGAGACCAAAGCCGAACAAGCGACGCUGGAGGAGCCAUCGUUUCCGGAGACAAAGCCCAUUCACACGGGAGUCGUAACGCCGACUGAAGUUACGAUUGAUAACGAACCGUCUCUCUCUCUAAAAGAUUUUGAAGAGAUAAGAGAGAGAGAGCUCGACUAUAGUGUGUGUAGACACCAGUUCUUGUAUUCUUGAGCUAUAGUAUAUGAAAAUAUUAAAUUUGUUUUCGUGAUCUUAGUCCAUGAAUGUUAGCACAAUUAUCGCAGGCUCUUAGUGGGCUUCUAAUAGGCCUGGGCAUUCGGGUCGUCGGGUCGGAUUCGGGUCGGGUAUUUUCGGGUCUAAGAGUUUAGGACCCAAUAGGGUAAUUUCAAAUUUUUGGUUCCGGGUCGGUUCGGAUCGUGCCGGGUCCGGGUCGGGACGGGUCUUAGAUAGUUAGACCCAUUCGGGUAACUAGAAUUUAUCGGUUCGGAAUCGGUUCGGUUUCGGGUCGGGUUCGGGUCGGGUUCGAUUUAAAUAAAGAUCUAAAGAUACAAAAAUAUAUCUGAAAAUAUUUAUAUAUCUGAAAAUAUUCGAAAUUUUAUUCAUAUUUUGUGUUUUUAUGGAUACCGUUCUUACUCGAAGGGUAUUUUGGUAUUCUUGCAGAUUUCUCGUCAACAUGGCUCUGAUACCAAUUAAAGUUGCAAGAACAUAAAAGAUUACAAGAACUAACUCUUUUUAAUAGACUUAGAAACUCUCUUAAAACUAAAUCAAUGUGUUUUUCUUUUUAUGCGUUCUUCGAAAGCCUUCAAUGUUCCAACAAUGUCUUUGAAUCCCGUUGAAUUUAGAUGUAACACUUGUUCUAACGAAGAUACGAUGUGAAUGAACUUUUUUCUUGGAAGUCCCUUCAAAAACUUUUUUACCAUCUUCGAUUCUUCCAUUAUCUCUCCUAACGCGGCUGCUCUCGAUGCUAAGCCUGAAAGUUUCCUACAUAGUCAUCCACUGUGUCUGUGUCUGCCAUCUUCAAUUUGUUGAACUCAGACAUCAAAGUCUGUAACCUUGCUUCUCCAUGCGAUCAGCACCUAGGUUAUAGGAUUUGAUAGCUUCCCAAAUCUUCUUUGAUGUAUCAUGUUCACCUAUCUUAAGUAUUAACGCCCCCGAGACUGAUUGAAAGAGUAGAGCAAUCGCCAUAUUGUUCUUCUUUGCAUCAUCACUCCCUGGAUCAAUCGUAUCCCAAACUUCGUAUAAAUUGUGUGUCCUUUUUCAUCUCAAACUUUAUCACGGGCUUGAGAAUUUUUAUCGUCUCAUGUUUUGAUCGAAUUAUAACUCCUCUUGUAAACGAUUUUUGAACCAUGGAGCUCUGAUACCAAUUGUUGGGAUUUAUUAAAUCCAUGUCCAACUUUAUAUUGUUUGUUUAGACGAUAUUGUCCAAUUUGGACCUUAGGCAAGCCCGUAUGGUUUUACUUUUGGUUUCCUUCCCAAAAAUCCUCGUACUAAUUAGAGUUGGACAUCGCUUUUAUAUAUUAGACACUCUUUGUCUAAUUCUCCAAUGUGAGACUUAGUUUGAUAUUUCACAACAUUGUAGCUUUGCUUCUCGUUUUUCUUGCUGAACAUUAGUCUCUUUGGCUCUGUCACAAUGUUUAUCCCUUCAAGCCUCUCAUUCUCACGCUAUAGCUUAUCUUUGCUUCCCCCACGUUUGUCAACAUUCUUUGAAUAAUCUUGGGACCUUGUGAUACAGAUCACGAAAACCAAUCUAGAUAGGCAACAUCGUUGUAAAAUGACGAAAGGGGAUUUGGUUUUCUGCUAUCGAUUUGUAUACUAUUGACUCUCCAUAAAUGAUUUCACUUUCUACCUCUAUAAAAUUGUGCUUUCGUUUCGUUUCUAUUUCACUGAUAUGGGUUUUGUUUCUUGUUUUUAAAUUCUUCUAUGAAUUCGAUGAAUUACAUAAGUGUCAAUUUAAAAAGAUGAACAUCUUUAAAAAUUAGUUUCACUCCAGAUGCAUAUCUAAGUGCAUAUCUAAGAAUCAAUUUUUUGUAGAAAAUCACCGGCAAACUCUAUUCACAUGUUAGUGUUCAAAUCUAAUAUAUCAAGCUGUUAUAGAAUAUAAGUGCAGACUCGAAAUAUAAAUAUUUGUCUAAUAUAUAUUCGUCAGUUCGGUCUAAAAAUCAUUUAAUUCUAGAACAACAAAACAUAUAACUUAUUUUAUUAACCUACGCUUUUGAGGUUUAGUUACUUAAGGGUAUAUUGAUAAAUAUAAUACUUUACCAUUCUANNNNNNNNNNNNNNNNNNNNNNNNNNNNNNNNNNNNNNNNNNNNNNNNNNNNNNNNNNNNNNNNNNNNNNNNNNNNNNNNNNNNNNNNNNNNNNNNNNNNNNNNNNNNNNNNNNNNNNNNNNNNNNNNNAGACAUCACUCACCGAGACAGUUUUAGCCGCUGCAUGCACGAAUUUGACACCUGAACCAUCGCAUUCUACGAAAAAUAUCACAUGUUUAUCAUUUACCUGAAUGCGCCGGGAGUUCGAAUCCUCUUGCUGAAUCUCGCAUCGGAUCGAUCCUUCCACGACGUGGAGUCUGCCGAAACAGAUCUUAUCGGACUGAAGCCAUUCGCUAUGCUUUUAUCUCACGGAGACCUCACGUACCACCACGAGAAAUGUAUGCUCGAAUGUCUCCUCUCCUCUUCUUCUUCCUCGAUAUUGGAGGAAGACGUGUCUGAAGCGCUUUUACCAUUUUUUAUAUUAAUUUUUAUAUAAAAUUAAUAACAAAUUCCAAUAUAUUUUUUUGUUAAUUUUUACAAUUGUACAAGAAGAAAAGGAGAUGAAGAUACAUGUAUCAAUAUUUGUUAUUUAUAUUUAUUUAUGACAAAUACAUAGUAUUAUUAUAAAUAUUAUUCGAGUUUUAAUGUAUAUAAAAAAUCAGUUAGCGCAGUCAAUCUCACAUUGGCAUCCGUAAUUUAUUCUAAGGCAUUUACUUAUCAGUGCUUUUUUCUUUGUGAAACAUAAGGCUUUACAGCUAUCGGGAGUACAUCUUGGAGGGUUUGGAUUUUUUGAUGAUGGUACAGGUGUUAAAGUUGUGUGACACCACCUAUUUUCUCCUAUCCGAGCAAUAGCCCUUUCUCCUGUUAUUAAUAAUUAAAACAUAACUUUAUUUUUCAUAUUUAAAGUAAAAAAAAAAAUCAUUUCUCGUAAAAAAUAUGUUUAAGGAGUAUUCUGCAUUUUUUUUAAACGGAAAGUUUAUUCAUCUUUUGUUUAUCACUGAUUAUUCUUAGAAAAUCAUUAAACUCAAUAAUAUAAAAUUAAAUAUGUAACCUAUGUAGGUAUAUAAAAUAAAUGGCAUCAAAUAAAAUUUAUUUUUGAAUGAUUAUAAAAUACAUUAAUAAAGCUGUAAAUGUAAACACAAACCAAACAGAAGAAUUGCGAGCAUAACGAAACCAAUAAACCAAGGUUUGAAAGCAACUUUCAUUUUUGAUAAUGAAAUAAUGGUGUUUUAAAAAUUAGAACGACAUAGAAGUACAUUUAUAGAUGAAUCACAAAUUGAAACAAGUCUAAUUUAAGCUAUACAUCUUUUCAAAUUCCAAUAUAAACGGAUCUAGUUUGACAAAAACAAAAAAUCACAACCACUUGUUUUUAAAUUUAUUAAAUAAAAAUAGCCUUUUUAUAUUUAAUUUAAAGUAUUUUUGAUAUGCAUAAACAAUAAUUCGAUUAAGUCACAGAUUCAGAAUUUAUAUAAUAUAUAUAGUCUAUUAUAUAUGUUUGGAGUCUAUUUUAGAGUCAUUUCAGGUUCACAUACGUUUGAGGAACUUUGUUGAUUUCAGAAUUAUUUGAGUUGCAGAACUGUAAAGACGUGUCCAAAAUUUGGCGAUGGACGGAGACCUUCCCACGCUGGGAUUGAGCUCAUAUUUUGACACAAGAUAUAUAUUUGAGUUACCUUUCCUAUUCCAUCGGUUUGAGGUCCAUCUGAAGGUUAAAUAUAGAGUUAUGAUCAUUUCACUGAAGAAUGGUAUGUCAAACUCGCGAGAGGAAACUGUCGAAGAAAUGAAGGAGUGUCGAUCAAUAAUGACCCUUUGGUGUCGAUCGACACUGAUGAAAGUAGAUGGCCGAGUCUAUUUCAAGACCGACUGAGACCCAGAAGUCACCACAAAUUAACAGGAUGCCUUUGGCCAACUCAAAAUUCUAUUUAUGUGUUUUAUUAGUUGUUGUUUAGGGUAUUCUUUCUUUUAUGAUUUAUAUUAUUUUAUUUUAGGUUUUCUCUUAGGUUAAAAAAAUAUAAAAGAAUUCCUUCAGAAUCUUCUUGGAACUCCUUUGGUUUUUGUAUUGAUUUCUAUUUUAUAUAUUGGAUUGAUCGAUGGAUGUCGAGAAGGAUGCCAAUGACAAUCUAUAAUGCCCUGCCCUACAUGUUUCUUAGAUGGUUUUUUUUUUAAGAUCAGAAUAAUUUUUCAAUGAAAAUUUAGAAAUCAACAUAUUUAUAUAUUUUUAUAUAGUAUAUAAUUUUAUUUAAAUGAUAUUAAUAUAUAUAUAUAUAUUAAUGAGACUUCAUAUUCAUACAAUUUAUGAUCAUGUGUAUCUUGUUUGAACAAAAAAAUUAAAUCAUUGAUCACAAAAUUUUUCCUUGUGAGACGUUUACCUUUUUUUAUUAAUUUAUAGUCGUUUUAAAAAUUCAAAAUAUAACAUAUAAGAAAAUAUCUAUUAUUGAUAAUCAUUAAUUUUCAUAUAUAUAUUAAUCAUAUAAGGUAAUUUCAUAGCUUUUAUUUAAGGAAAAAUUAAGAAUAUUCUUUUGUACACUAAUAAUCAAUUUGAUAGUUAGUUUAACAAAAGUAUAAUAUGUAUUUAUGUGGACCGACUUAUCUAAAGAAUGCUAUUUCCUCGUUAAGCCACGUCAGCACGAAGGGGUGGGCAAAUAAUAUGUUACCGGUGAUGUGUGUCUAUGCUGCAUAUAAAAAAAAGUAUUUCUGGUUUUCAUGGAAUUACGGUGACGUGAGCAAUUUGGUGUUUCGAAAAGCAUGGCAACAAGACACAGAUGUGAUCCACAAUGAAAGGAGUAACGAAUAGAGAUUUUUCUUUGAUAAUUUAUGAUUUUUGUUGGUAUGUGAUCUGACUUUCGUUCCAUGUAGAUUGAUAGUUGUUUCACCGCUUCAAGUGAAUCGAAGCAUAGAUUUGAAAAAAAUUUCAUUGACGUACGGGAUGGAGUCUAUCACUUGGGCAGGAAAGGAUUAUCUUGGUCUUUUUAAUACUAGGAGAAAAAAGAGUGAGCUUUGCUUCGUAUGGAGUUUGAUCUUCAGCCGUGUGAUAGUUCUUGUUGGGGCAAUAGUGGACUUGUUGGAAGUGGAGUCUACAGCAGGAAAACAAAUAUUUUUGUCAGAUCGCUUUUCCUAAGUGCAAGGUUCAUCCAUUUUUCUCUGUGGGAUCAUUGUCACGUGGGAUGUGGAGGAGUCUGAGUUUGUAUAUCAAAUAUUAGAUCAUAGUUUAUCUUCCAUCAUUACAUGUUUAUGAUACACGGUAUGGUAUCAUAUACAAAAGAAAGAAGAUUCAAAAGUAAUAUUUCCUUAAAGCAUUAAGAAUAGAGUUUUGGUAUUUUUCCUUUUAAGAUACUUUAAGCAGUUUUUCAAAUAUUCGUAGGGUUAUGAUUUGUAUAACCCUAUAUAAAAAGAGAUCUAAUCUUAUUAUACAAAGCUUAGUUUUUCAAAGUUGUUAAUUAACAUGACGAUGACACAUGACAAUUAAAAAUUUAAGAUGAUGAUAUGUGUUAAAAUUUAUCAUAUUUGUAAAUAUAAUAAGAAAAUAACACAAAAGAAUUAUUUAAUCGUAGUUUUCCUUUCUAAAUACUAAACAAAGAUAAUAAUAGCAAAAUAUUAUUUGAUGGUUUUUACUUGACAAUAAUUUCCUUUUUCUAAUUUUUUUUUCCUUUUUACAAUUCCUAAACAAAAAAUAUGUAUAAUAAUUUACUUAACAGUAAUUUUUCGUUUUGUAAAAUCAUUUUUUAAAAUACUAAAUAAAGAUAACAUCAAAAGAUUAUUUGAUAGUUUUUUUAGUUGACAAUAAUUUCAUUUUUCUAUUUUUUUCCUUUUUACAAUUCCUAAAAAAAUAUGUAUAAUAAUUUACUUAAUACUAAUUUUCGUUUUCUAAAAUAAAAAAAAUAUAAAUUUAAAAAUUUGUUUGAUAGUAAUUAUCCCUUUAUAAAUUUUUCUACAAAAUGAAAUUGGUUAAAAAGUAUUUAAUUGUAUUUUUCUUUUUUUUUUUCAAAUCUAAAAAAUGUAAAAUAGGUAUUUCAAAUAUUUUCAUAUAAUAAUAGACUCUAUUAUUUAAAUGCUAAAUUUAUGUUUAAGAAAUCAUAAUCCAAAAAGGAUUACAUUAUUUUUUUGUAACUGAAAGGAUUACAAUUAUUCACAUCUAUAUAUAAGAUUAAACUCUCCUAUAUUUUGUGACCAAACAUAAUUGCUUAAUAUAUCAUAAUUAACCAUAUAAAUAUAAUAAUAUAAUAACACAAAAAUUAUUAAUAGUAAUUUUCCUUUUUAAAAUCCUAAACAAAGGUAAUAGCAAAACAUAAUUUGAUAGUUUUUAGUUGACAAUAAUUUCCAUUUUCUGAUUUUUUUUUUCUUUUUUACAAUUCUUUAAAAAAUGUAUAGUAAUUUACUUAAUAAUAAUUUUCGUUUUCUAAAAUCAUAAAGAAAAUAUAAUUGUAAAAAUUUGUUUGAUAGUAAUUAUCCUUUUAUAAAAUCUUCUACAAAAAAAAUUGUUAAAGACUGUUUAAUUGUAGUUUUCUUUUUUCUUCAAAUCUAAACAAAAAAUGUAAAACAAGUAUUUCAAAUAUUUCCAUAUAAUAAUAAACUUUCUUAUUUAAAUAGUAAAUUUUAUGUUUAAGAAAUCAUAAUCCAAAAAGGAUUACAAUAUUCUUUUCUUUUUUUUUGUAACUGAAGGGAUUAGAAUAAUUCACAUCUAUAUAUAAGAUAAAACUCUACUAUAUUUUGUCACCAAACAUAAUUGAUUAAAAUCAGAACUCUCUCAUAUAAGAAAAACAUUAGGUGCACUUUUUUUUGAUAUAACUUUAUAAUUAUCAUAAAAUAUGAUGUUGUUGUGCGUAAGUUAUUGACACAAUUAUGUGUGUUAGUUCUUAUAGUCGAUAUAAAAUUGGUUAUUUUGUCAUAGUAAGUCAAUGUCAACAUCAAUUUAUUAUGUUACGUCAGUAACGAUUGAUCAAUUCAGUAUAAACGGUUUAUUAUGGUUAUGUGAGUUAGAUAAUAAUUUUAAAUACUUGAACAAGAAGAAAAGGAGAUGAAGAUACAUGUAUCAAUAUUUGUUAUUUAUAUUUAUUUAUGACAAAUACAUAGUAUUAUUAUAAAUAUUAUUCGAGUUUUAAUGUAUAUAAAAAAUCAGUUAGCGCAGUCAAUCCGACACAUGCAUCCGUAAUUUAUUCUAAGGCAUUUACUUAUCAGUGCUUUUUUCUUUUUGAGACAUAAGGCUUCACAGCUAUCGGGAGUACAUCUUGGAGGGUUGGGAUUUUUUGAUGAUGGUAUAGGUGUUAAAGUUGUGAAACACCACCUAUUUUCUCCUGUCCGAGCAAUAGCCCUUUCUCCUGUUAUUAAUAAUUAAAACAUAACUUUAUUUUUCAUAUUUAAAGUAAAAAAACAAUCAUUUCUCGUAAAACAUAUGUUUAAGGAGUAUUCUGCAUUUUUUUUAAACGGAAAGUUUAUUAAUCUUUUGUUUAUCACUGAUUAUUCUUAGAAAAUCAUUAAACUCAAUAAUAUAAAAUUAAAUAUGUAACCUAUGUAGGUAUAUAAAAUAAAUGGCAUCAAAUAAAAUUUAUUUUUGAAUGAUUAUAAAAUACAUUAAUAAAGCUGUAAAUGUAAACACAAACCAAACAGAAGAAUUGCGAGCAUAACGAAACCAAUAAACCAAGGUUUGAAAGCAACUUUCAUUUUUGAUAAUGAAAUAAUGGUGUUUUAAAAAUUAGAACGACAUAGAAGUACAUUUAUAGAUGAAUCACAAAUUGAAACAAGUCUAAUUUAAGCUAUACAUCUUUUCAAAUUCCAAUAUAAACGGAUCUAGUUUGACAAAAACAAAAAAUCACAACCACUUGUUUUUAAAUUUAUUAAAUAAAAAUAGCCUUUUUAUAUUUAAUUUAAAGUAUUUUUGAUAUGCAUAAACAAUAAUUCGAUUAAGUCACAGAUUCAGAAUUUAUAUAAUAUAUAUAGUCUAUUAUAUAUGUUUGGAGUCUAUUUUAGAGUCAUUUCAGGUUCACAUACGUUUGAGGAACUUUGUUGAUUUCAGAAUUAUUUGAGUUGCAGAACUGUAAAGACGUGUCCAAAAUUUGGCGAUGGACGGAGACCUUCCCACGCUGGGAUUGAGCUCAUAUUUUGACACAAGAUAUAUAUUUGAGUUACCUUUCCUAUUCCAUCGGUUUGAGGUCCAUCUGAAGGUUAAAUAUAGAGUUAUGAUCAUUUCACUGAAGAAUGGUAUGUCAAACUCGCGAGAGGAAACUGUCGAAGAAAUGAAGGAGUGUCGAUCAAUAAUGACCCUUUGGUGUCGAUCGACACUGAUGAAAGUAGAUGGCCGAGUCUAUUUCAAGAACAUCGCUUUCUUCAGCCGCACUUUAGCAGCCGCCAUGUCAAGCUGACUGCAUACGAACGAGAAUUGAUUGGGUUAGCUAAAGCAAUGAUUCAUUGGAGACCGUAUUUGUGGGGAAGACGUUUUCUUAUACGUACAGAUCACUACAGCCUUAAGUAUUUAUUGGAACAACGUCUCUCGACAUCUCCACAAGUACACUGGAUCAGUAAGCUACUUGGGUUUAAUUUCUCAGUCGAGUAUCGUUCCGGGAUGACAAAUAAGGUUGCUGGUGCUUUGUCUAGAUGUCAUGAGAACGAUUCAGAUGAGGAUAAGGAAUUACAUGCCAUCAAUGUUUCUGAGGAUGGUAUUUUGGCUCGAGUUCGCAGAGAAAUUCUGAACGACGAUAAGCUAGGAGAACUCAGAGAUAAAAUCAUUCGGGGCGAGGAAUAAGAGAUAUGGGAAGCAAAGGAUGGUCUUAUUUUUCGCAAAGGGGUAGUUUAUAUGGAUUCAAAUUCAGAUUUAGUCCGAGAUGUUAUGACUGGUUUUCAUAAUUCUGGCCAUGAGGGUAGCCAAAAAACUAUGGAACGGAUCCGUCGGAAUUUUUAUUGGAGAGGUUGGAAGAAAAGUGUUCAAGAAUUUGUGAGCACUUGUCAGAUAUGUCAGAAGAAUAAAUGGGAAACGCUGCAGCCCGCGGGAUUGAUGCACCACUAUCGGUUCCAACGAAGAUAUGGGCUGAUAUCUCGAUGGAUUUCGUCGAUGCAUUGCCAAAAGUUUCAGGGAAAACAGUCAUCUUAGUGGUGGUUGAUCGCUUCUCAAAGUAUGUGCAUUCUAUCGCUUUAAGUCAUCCUUAUACUGCUGUCUUUGGGCCAAUUUUUUUUGAGACAUUGUCCGAUUGCAUGGUAUCCCACAGACAAUUGUAUCAGACAGAGAUAAGGUUUUCGCAGCAUUUUCUGGCGGGACCUCUUUCGACUUAUGGGUACCAACUUGUGUUUUAUAACAGCCUAUCGGCUACAAUCCGAUGGUCAGACUGAGGUGGUCAAUCAGACUCUAGAGAUGUAUCUUCGGUGUGUCACGGGGGAUGAACCACGAAAAUGGCUUACAUGGCUUCCUUGGAUUGAGUAUUGCUAUAACACAUCCUAUCACAUUAGUCUAAAGGAUACGCCAUUUAGGAUGGUUUAUGGAAGAGAGCCACCUCGUCUUUUAGACUAUACUACUGGAAGUUCGAAAGUAGAAGCUGUUGAUGUUGCAUUGGAAGAGAGAGAUGAGUUUUUAGCAUCAGCAAGAGAACGUUUACUAAACGCUCAGAACAGAAUGAAAGCAUCCUAUGAUAAACAUCAUCGCUCAGUCGAGUUUGGCAUAGGGGAAUGGGUUUUGUUGAAGUUACAUCCGUACAGACAGAUCACUAUUCCUAAGAAAGCUUUCACAAAGCUUUCCCCAAAGUUUUAUGGACCAUUUGAAGUACUAGCUCGCGUGGGAACAGUUUCCUACCGUCUUCGUCUUCCAGAUCGUGCUCAAAUCCAUGACGUUUUCCACAUCUCACUACUGAAACCGCACAAAGGAGACAAGCCCGAUACAAGUCAUGUGUUACCACCGGUUUUACAAGGACGAGUGUUACCAGCUAAACCAGUGAAGUUUCUUCGAGCCCGUACUCAUGGUGGAGUUCGUCAGGUUCUGGUGAAGUGGACUGAUGAGGAAACAGAGACUGCUACUAGGGAAGAUGCCCAGAAGUUAAAAGAAGCAUUUCCAAAAAUAGAGCUUGAGGACAAGCUCCUUGUCGAGGAGAGGAGUAAUGAUACACGCUAUGGUAUCACAUACAAAAGAAAGAAGAUUCAAAAGUAAUAUUUCCUUAAAGCAUUAAGAAUAGAGUUUUGGUAUUUUUCCUUUUAAGAUACUUUAAGUAGUUUUCCUAAUAUUCAUAGGGUUAUGAUUUUUAUAAUCCUAUAUAAAUAGAGAUCUAAUUAUCAAUAAGAACUAUCUUCAGCAUUAACCUUAUUCUCAAGAGUCAAUCUUGGGUUCCCACGUGGCGAUGGGACCUGCGCACAGUAACGAAUCUGUGGAAGAUUAGUCUUUAGCUAAGGAUUAAUUUGGCACAUAUUCUUAAAUUUAAAGGGUCCCGCAAAUUAUUAUAAUAACUUUAAUGGUAAGAAUGUUGUUAAAAAUCAGCAUUGGAGGUGGUCUAAAAAGCUUUUAAAAAAAAAAAUUCUUAGUCAGAUCCAACAAUUCUGAUUAAUUUAUUUGUAUAAUUGUUUGUCAAUAGAAAGAAAAGUUUUUUUUUUCACUGGUAAUAUUAUUAAACAAAGUUUACAACGUGGGACAAGGUCCAUCAUGCCCAUCUAAACUUAAAGCCCGAAGGCUACACAAUAAUUACAUAAGAGGGCCAACAUAAGGCCAGACAACAGCCCAAUAGAGAACUCGGAAACUAUCCGACUCGACACCACGUGUACGAAGAGGAGACACGCGUCAAGAAAGGAAAACACCAACUCCGUUCACUGACUUGAAGGUCGUCGCCGGAAAUCAAUCGGCAGCCACCGGAAACCAACCGGAACAUGAUGCACAGAUGAUUUCAACCAAUAACGAUGCAAGCAGGAAUUAGAGCGAGAACCACCAUCGCUUGAAGGAAGAAAAAGAUUCAGCCACAUGCAAUCGAUCAGAUUCAACAAAUACAGAAAACGAUAAAAGAAAUAUAAAAGCCGGAUUAACCAGCGAGGAGCCAGCUGUCAACCCCUCUGACGCCGGAGACCAAAGCCGGACAAGCGACGCUGGAGGAGCCAUCGUUUCCGGAGACAAAGCCCAUUCACACGGGAGUCGUAACGCCGACUGAAGUUACGAUUGAUAACAAACCGUCUCUCUCUCUAAAAGAUUUUGAAGAGAUAAGAGAGAGAACUCGACUAUAGUGUGUGUAGACACCACUUCUUGUAUUUUUGAGCUAUAGUAUAUGAAAAUAUUAAAUUUGUUUUCGUGAUCUUAGUCCAUGAAUGUUAGCACAAUUAUCGCAGGCUCUUAGUGGGCUUCUAAUAGGCCUGGGCAUUCGGGUCGUCGGAUCGGAUUCGGGUCGGGUAUUUUCGGGUCUAAGAGUUUAGGACCCGAUAGGGUAAUUUCAUAUUUUGUGUUUUUAUGGAUACCGUUCUUACUCGAAGGGUAUUUUGGUCUUCUUGCAGAUUUCUCGUCAACAUGGCUCUGAUACCAAUUAAAGUUGCAAGAACAUAGAAGAUUACAAGAACUAACUCUUUUUAUUAGACUUAGAAACUCUCUUAAAACUAAAUCAAUGUGUUUUUCUUUUUAUGCGUUCUUCGAAAGCCUUCAAUCUUCCAACAAUGUCUUUGAAUCCCGUUGAAUUUAGAUGUAACACUUGUUAUAACGAAGAUACGAUGUGAAUGAACUUUUUUCUUGGAAGUCCCUUCAAAAACUUUUUUACCAUCUUCGAUUCUUCCAUUAUCUCUCCUAACGCGGCUGCUCUCGAUGCUAAGCCUGAAAGUUUCCUACAUAGUCAUCCACUGUGUCUUUGUCUGCCAUCUUCAAUUUGUUGAACUCAGACAUCAAAUUCUGUAACCUUGCUUCUCCAUGCGAUCAGCACCUAGGUUAUAGGAUUUGAUAGCUUCCCAAAUCUUCUUUGAUGUAUCAUGUUCACCUAUCUUAAGUAUUAACGCCCCCGAGACUGAUUGAAAGAGUAGAGCAAUCGCCAUAUUGUUCUUCUUUGCAUCAUCACUCCCUGGAUCAAUCGUAUCCCAAACUUCGUAUAAAUUGUGUGUCCUUUUUCAUCUCAAACUUUAUCACGGGCUUGAGAAUUUUUAUCGUCUCAUGUUUUGAUCGAAUUAUAACUCCUCUUGUAAACGAUUUUUGAACCAUGGAGCUCUGAUACCAAUUGUUGGGAUUUAUUAAAUCCAUGUCCAACUUUAUAUUGUUUGUUUAGACGAUAUUGUCCAAUUUGGACCUUAGGCAAGCCCGUAUGGUUUUACUUUUGGUUUCCUUCCCAAAAAUCCUCGUACUAAUUAGAGUUGGACAUCGCUUUUAUAUAUUAGACACUCUUUGUCUAAUUCUCCAAUGUGAGAGUUAGUUUGAUAUUUCACAACAUUGUAGCUUUGCUUCUCGUUUUUCUUGCUGAACAUUAGUCUCUUUGGCUCUGUCACAAUGUUUAUCCCUUCAAGCCUCUCAUUCUCACGCUAUAGCUUAUCUUUGCUUCCCCCACGUUUGUCAACAUUCUUUGAAUAAUCUUGGGACCUUGUGAUACAGAUCACGAAAACCAAUCUAGAUAGGCAACAUCGUUGUAAAAUGACGAAAGGGGAUUUGGUUUUCUGCUAUCGAUUUGUAUACUAUUGACUCUCCAUAAAUGAUUUCACUUUCUACCUCUAUAAAAUUGUGCUUUCGUUUCGUUUCUAUUUCACUGAUAUGGGUUUUGUUUCUUGUUUUUAAAUUCUUCUAUGAAUUCGAUGAAUUACAUAAGUGUCAAUUUAAAAAGAUGAACAUCUUUAAAAAUUAGUUUCACUCCAGAUGCAUAUCUAAGUGCAUAUCUAAGAAUCAAUUUUUUUUUAGAAAAUCACCGGCAAACUCUAUUCACAUGUUAGUGUUCAAAUCUAAUAUAUCAAGCUAUUAUAGAAUAUAAGUGCAGACUCGAAAUAUAAAUAUUUGUCUAAUAUAUAUUCGCCAGUUUGGUCUAAAAAUCAUUUAAUUCUAGAACAACAAAACAUAUAACUUAUUUUAUUAACCUACACUUUUGAGGUUUAGUUACUUAAGGGUAUAUUGAUAAAUAUAAUACUUUACCAUUCUAGUAUAUGUAAACUAUUUAUAAACUAAGAAAUGUUUGAUUUAUUAAAUUAUAAACAAGAAAACUUAUAAUAAAUAGUUCAAAUAUCGCAUUCUUACAAUUAUAAUAGCUAGAUAUGAUAUUAAGAAGAAACACAUAUUAGACGAAUGAUCAAAUCUCUCAUUAUUCGAACAAACUCAAAAGGAGGUGAUUAGAAUCUUGUCAUGAUAUUUCAUUAAAAACUUUUUAGAAAUAAAAAAACAAGACCAAAUAUUUAAUUUGAAUGAAUUAAUAUAUAUAUAUUUUUUUAAAAUCACUUCGAUUUGAAGAAGUAUAUUUUUAGGUUUGUCAGGAUCAAAUAACAUUUUAGAAACCACCUAUUAAAAAAUAAUUUUCAUUCAUAAAAGUAUAUACAUUAGAGUAAAGACAUGAAUAAAAACCAAUACCUUUUUUUUAUUUACAAUCAUGUUUUUGGCAGAGUCUACAUGAGUCUGCUUUGUUUGCUGACAAAAAAAAAUAAAAAUACAAUCAUGUUUUUGCUAAGUAAAUCAAAACAAUCAUGUUAUUUACUUUACAUGGUAUAUAGUUAAAUUUUAGUGAUAUUGACAUAUAUAUAUAUAUAUAUAUAUAGUAUACUUUAAUAUAAAUAUUUAUUAUUGACACUUCCUAGUCAUAUAGUUUAAUCAACAUUUGUAUAUUUGCUGUAACAAAAAAAUAAACCAUUAAUCACAAAACUUUUAAUGUGAGAUUUAUUAAUACAAUUUUCAAAAUUAAACUAUUAAGAUCUGAAUAAUUUUUCAAUGAAAAUUUAGAAAUCAACAUAUUUAUAUAUUUUUAUAUAGUAUAUAAUUUUAUUUAAAUGAUAUUAAUAUAUAUAUAUAUAUUAAUGAGACUUCAUAUUCAUACAAUUUAUGAUCAUGUGUAUCUUGUUUGAACAAAAAAAUUAAAUCAUUGAUCACAAAAUUUUUCCUUGUGAGACGUUUACCUUUUUUUAUUAAUUUAUAGUCGUUUUAAAAAUUCAAAAUAUAACAUAUAAGAAAAUAUCUAUUAUUGAUAAUCAUUAAUUUUCAUAUAUAUAUUAAUCAUAUAAGGUAAUUUCAUAGCUUUUAUUUAAGGAAAAAUUAAGAAUAUUCUUUUGUACACUAAUAAUCAAUUUGAUAGUUAGUUUAACAAAAGUAUAAUAUGUAUUUAUGUGGACCGACUUAUCUAAAGAUUCUAAGAAUCAUUAUAGUGAUGACAUGUGGUUACGAAAACAUGUUGUAAUGUUCAAGAAUUAAUAUAUGGGGGAUAAUUGAUUUUGUACUUUAAUAUAUAAAAGUGAUAGUAAUAAUAAUAAUCAGAUUUCUUACCCAAAAUAAAAAUGCAGUUUUGGAUAUUUUAUUAAACUUUUUUAAUAAUAUAAGCUUAGUAUAGAGCUGGAUGGGUGGAAAAUCAGUAAAUGAACGGUUGAAAAGUAAGAGUACUUAUAAUAUAGGAUACUGAUUAGGCCCGGGCGUUUGGGUCUUCGGGUCGGGUUCAAGCCGCUUUCUUUUGGGUCUGUGUCUUUCGAAUCCUAGACAUUUAUACUCAAUAGGUACUUGUAAAAUUUCAGUUCGGAUUCGGGUCGGUUCUUCUCGGGUCUGAGUCGGUUUAGGUCUAUAAUUAAAUUACAUAUAAAAUACAUAUAAUUUUUGUAUCCCUAUCGAGUCCGGAUCAGAUUCGGAUAUUUAAGAUCUGAAAAGGACAUGAAAUAUCUAAAAUCCAUAAUUUAGUUUAUAUUUGUCAUAUAUAUCUAAAGUUUUAAAAAAUAAUUUUAAACUCAAAUUUUUAGACUUUAAAGCUUCAUAUUACUUAAAAUGUUACAAAAUAAUAAAAAAAUAUUAUUGACAAAAGAUAUUUUAACUAAAUCAUAAAAUAAUAUAAAUAAAAUAGAACAUAAAAAAUCAUAGUUUUGGAUAUACAUGUUUUUAAGUCGGGUACAAAUUGGUUCUUAUCGGAUCGGUUUUUCUGGUCUGGAUCUAUUCAGGUCGGUUCUUUUCGGGUCCAGGUCUAUUCGAGUUGGUUUCUAUCGGUUCCGAUUUUUUGGUUAAAAAAAUUUUUAGACCUAAAAGGUAUUUGUAAAAUUUUGGUUUGGUUUCGGGUCGAUAUUUUUAGGUUGGUUCCGGUUCGAGUUUUCAGGUUCAAGUUAAAAUGCCCACGUCUACUGAUAGUUAUAAGUUUUCCUUUUUAUUUAUUAUGACUAAACAUGAAAAAAGGCAAUCAUUUCAAAAGUAAGGUCUUGCAAGAGUUUCACCAUUUUUCGACAAAUUACAAUAAAAAGUUAUUGUUUUCCACCAGUAAAGUUUGUCUCGUGGAAGGUGAUAAUAGACGACAUACAUUUUGGUAGAAUUUUUUUUUGUUUAUUUUAUUGAAUAAAACUUCCAUAUUGUCCAUUUGAAAUGACUCUGAUUCAGUUUCUCAAACCAUGAAUGAUAUCUUGAUUUUCAGAAUCUUACGGUUCGGUCAAAGAAAGCAGGCCAGCCACAACCAGAGUUCGAAUUUGGUGGCGGAUUUGUAUAGAGGAGUUUGUUGUAUACAUAGAUACCGUCUGCGAACAGUUGCAUGGUUGUAUUCCCAUGUCCUUGGAUAUUUACAUUUACAUGUGUAGACUACUGAUAUAUAGUGUUUUUGUACAUUAUUAAGCAUUCUUUUUGGUCAUUUUAAGUGUUUAAAUAUUGCAUUUAGGUGUAUUAUUAGAAGUUGCAUAUGUACAUUUUGCAUAUACAGGUGCUUGGAUAACAUAAUCGGAAGUUUUGGAGCAAAAACGAGGAAGAUGUGCACCAAAUGAAAGUUCUGGGGGACAAAGCCGAAGACUCUCAAACAGCGGGGACCAAAUGUGAAAAAAGGGAAAAGACUAUUCUUGAGCCAUCGAGGAUGGUGAAUAUUGAGACCGGUUAAGUUCGGUCUGAUCUGGUUUGAUAUACGUUCUAGAAGUGGUGAGUGAUAAGGCCGAGUUGGUAUGAAGAUAUGCUUGAUAGAUUGAGAUAAGGCUUUGGUAGAUUGUGUUUGUUAGAGAUUACUAUCGAUCUUGUUUGAGAAUAUCUUUGUGUAACGUGAGUAUAUAUAUAUGUACGUGACAUGAGUACUCAAUAAACAUACAGUUCAAUCUAUACAUUCUCUCUUAGUUUACAGUGAAUCGCUCGCCUACGACGACCCGAUCUCUCGGUCUGACGAGCUCGAACCAGCCUUCAGUCCUUCGAUCCGAGCUGGACGAAUCGACCGAUAUGGACAUGAGCCGGUCUGCUCGAUGUGGUGCUCUCGGCCUAAGCCUCACCUCGUGAGCCUCCAAUCGAUAGAUGGAGAUGUGAUGGCGUCGAGAAAAGAAGACGCAGACACGACGGCGCUCCGGUGGUCGCAGUUACGGAGACGACACAGCGGCGAGAAUAUCUGACAAUUCUGUAAAGGUGCGGCGACGGUCACGUUGAGAAGCUUGAGUCACAUACUCACGGAGGUGAAGAAGAAGAUGAUGAAACACAAAGGCAUUUUUACAAGUCGCUGCGUUUUCAUUAAAACAAGAGUCAAAAUCACUGAUGACUAAGGAAGCGCCUUUGUAGCUCGGAGACAACAAAACUUCAAGGCGAAAAACAAAGGGAGGUUCAAGACACAAUGAUGGAAGUGAAAGAUCUUACAUAGAUAAAAAAAAUUUAAGUGCUACAGGUGUGGAAAGCUUGGGUAUUUCAAAAGGGAUUGUCGAGUCAAGUUGAAGGAAACAAAUAUGGUGGAGUCAAAAACUCACAUUGAAGACGAAGAAUGGGGGAAAUGUUUCACAGUGGAGGCUAUACAUCCAGAUACACCCACAACUAAGAACUUGAGAAAUGACUGGAUCGUAGAUUCCGGUUGUAGCCAUCAUAUUACCGAAGACGAGAAGUUAUUUUCUAGUCUUCAACGUCAUGACGGGAAAUAAGCCAUUAUUACCGCUGAUAAUUCAAUCCAUCGAGUUGAGAAGGAAGGGACUGUUGUCACUAAAGGAGAUGAUGAAGAGCCGAUCACCUUCAAGAAUGUGUACCAUGUCCCUAUAGUAAAGAAGAAUCUUCUUUCGGUGGUGAAGACUAAAGACCAAAAGACGUUAAGUUCUUAAGGAAUAUUAAAGAAUUAAAGGCGGAUGUUGUUCACACUAGAGCACGCGGAAAAGAUUUAUAUGUUUUAUCGGCCUCACACGCCUAUGUGGAGAAGAUGAGUAUGAAUGACAAUGCUUCCAUCUGGCAUGCAAGACUUGGCCAUAUAAAUAUGACCAAGCUUAAGGUUAUGGUGAAUAAAGACUUGGUUCAUGGGCUUCCAAAGUUGAAGAUUCAAGAUGGAGGAAAAAAUUGUGAAGGUUGUCAAUAUGGAAAGUCACAUAGACUUACAUUUGAUCAUUCAGCUUCAAGAUGCAGCAGUCCAUUGGAGAAGGUCCAUAGUGAUUUGAUGGGUCCAACAAGAACAUCUUCUUAUUCCGGGUUUCGCUACAUGUUGUUGUUCGUAGAUGAUUUCUCACGGUACACUUGGGUAUACUUUGUGAAGGAAAAAUCAGAAGUGUUUCAAAGAUUCCAAGAAUUCAAGGUUACCGUGGAAGGAGAGUUUGGUCGGAAGCUGAAGACUCUAAGGACGGAUAAUGGAGGAGAAUUCAUGUCAAAGGAGUUUCUCUCUUUUUGCCAAAAGAAUGGUAUUAAGAGAGAAUACACAUGUCCGUAUACACCUCAACAAAAUGGAGUAGCAGAAAGAAAAAUUAGACAUCUAACCGAGACGUGCAAAAGCUGACUACAUGAUAAGAAUUUGCCAAAGGCCUUAUGGGCAGAAGGCAUGAGACGCGCAGCCUAUGUCAUCAACCAGAUGCCACUCAAUCCAAACAACAUGAAGUCGUCUUACGAGAUGAUUCACGGGAAGAAGCCGACGGUGAAGCAUCUCAGGAUAUUUGGAUCAGUCUGCUCCGUCCAUGUGUUCGACUCCGAAAGAACAAAGUUGGAAGCAAAGGCAAAGAAGUGCAUCUUUGUCGGUUACGAUGAAAAACAAAAGGGCUGGAGGUGUAUGGAUCCAGAGACACAUAAAUACACAGUGUCUUGUGAUGUUGUCUUUGACCAAGUUUUAUCCUAUUAUGGACCACAUCAAGUCUUAGAUGAGCAAGAUGGUUCAGGUUCCUCUAAGAAUGAUGAACAAAUUAUUCAAAUUCCAAGUGAUAAUGAAAGCUUUGAGAAGGAGGCUCAAGGUGAAAGGGGGAAGCGUUGACCAAGAUGAAGAAGAGGAGCAUGAUCAUGGUUCUGUCGCCAAUCAACGACCAAAAUGGAACAUUGUCAAACCUGCUCGGUUCAGAGAUGAAAGGUUCGUCACCACUUACUCUUGUUACUUUGCAGCUCCUCUAGAUGAAGAUGAACAAUCAUCUUAUGAAGAAGCAGAAGGAGUUUAGGAAUGGAUGACCGCAAUGAAGGAGGAGAUUAAUGCUCUCAUGAAAAAUGAAACUUGGAAUUUGGUUCUGAAACCCAAGGAUGCUCAGCCUGUUUCUUGUAAAUGGGUGUAUCGACUAAAGCGAAAAGCAGAUGGGAGCAUUGAUAGAUACAAAGCAAGGUUGGUUGCUCGAGGGUUCUCUCAGAAGUACAGAGAAGAUUAUGAUGAGACCUUCAGUCCAGUAGCAAAGAUGACUACGAUACGCUCACUCUUAUCUUUAGCUGCAAGCUUUGGAUGGAAAUUAUGGCAGUUAGAUGUGAAGAAUGCUUUUCUAUAUGGUGAGCUUGAUAAAGAAAUAUUUAUGAAGCAACCACCUGGUUUUGAAUCACAAGAGUAUCCUAACCAUGUGUGCAAGCUAAAGAAGGCCUUGUACGGGUUAAAACAAGCUCCACGAGCUUAGUAUGGAAUGCUUGCUCAAUUCCUUCAGUUUUGCGGUUAUAUUGCAUCAAGUGCUGAUCCACGCCUAUUCUUCAAAAGAAGUGGAAGAGCUCAUGUAGUAGUUCUCCUCUACGUGGAUGAUAUGAUCAUUACUGGAAAUGACGAUGCUGAAAUUGCUCGUCUACAAGAGGAUAUGUCGGUGAGGUUUGAGAUGAAGAAGUUAGGCGAGCUGAAUCACUUUCUUGGUCUAGAGGCCGAGAGGGUAAAGGAUGGAAUAUUCAUCGGCCAACAAGGUUAUGCAAAAAGGAUUGUUGACAGGUUUGGAGUACACCAAGGAAAGGUACGUUCUACUCCACUAGAUACUAACAUAAGGCUCAAACGCGAUGAAGGAUCCUUGUUAGCCAAUCCUCGGCCUUAUCGCUCUCUUGUUGGAAGUCUUCUAUACUUAACCAUUACAAGACCAGAUAUUGCCUUUGCGAUUGGUCUUAUAAGCCGGUUCAUGCAGGAACCAAGGAAGCCACAUCUAGAAGCGGCAAAGAAGAUACAUAAGUAUGUGAAGAGAACUCUUGGCAUGGGACUGAUGUACAAGUAUAAUGCCAAGGUUUCUCUUCAUGGUUUCACAAAUACUGACUUUGGUGGAGAUUUAGAUGAUCGAAAAUCAACUUUGGGUUUUGUGUUCUUAUGUGGAGACACAAGCAUUUCAUGGUGCAGUAAGAAGCAAGCAACGGUGUCGUUGUCUACUACCGAAGAAGAGUAUAAAGCUUCAACACUCGCAGCCCAAGAAUGUAUAUGGCUUCGAAGACUCUUUGAAGACUUGUUCGAGCCAAUCAAUAAAUCGAUUACCAUCUAUGGAGAUAAUCAAAGUGCUAUCAGGCUGGCCAAUAAUCUAGUGUUCCAUGGAAGAACGAAACACAUUGAAUUGGAACAUCAUUUCAUAAGAGAGAAGGUGCUUGAUGGAACAAUUGAAGCAUUGGAGGUUCGAAGCGAGGACAACAUUGCUGAUAUCUUCACCAAGUCGUUACCUAAAGGUCAGUUUGAGAUACUCCACUCCAAGCUCGGAAUGGUGGACAAAAUCAAGUUUAAGGGGGAGUAUUGAAGUUAAACUUGAUUUUUGGCUAUGCUUAAUUAUGGGCCAAUAAACUCUUAUUGGACUAAACCCAAAAUUAAACUCAAGUUCUAGAAUCUUCUAGAACUAUCAUCACCUCCUCAAGAAGAAAAAAUCUAGAUAUUGUAGUAGAAAAAUCUAGAGAAUAUGAAAAAAAAAAAAAAUCUAGGAAGUAAGGAGGUUAUAGUAGAAUAAUCUAGAUAUUUGUAAGAUAGUUUAGAAGGCUAUAAAUACCUCUUCGUCCUUUCAUUUGUAACAACACAAGAAGUUGAACAAGUGUAAUAAUAAGAAAAUUUCUUAAAGAAAGAAAGAGUGCUCUACUCGAAGUUCUCUAGAUAUUUUUGAGAAUUCUUCCAUAAAAAGAGUGUUCUACUCGAAGUUCUCUAAAUCGUUUUGAGAAUUCUUCCAUUUUAUUCUUCAUACUUAGAAAUACUCUUGGUUCUUUCGGGUUCUCGGGUAUUACGGUCUUGGGCUAGUGUUAAGCACUAUCAAGGGUGGUUUCUUUACAUCACAUUACCUAGCGUCUAUAAUCGACAUGGUGAUCUGGUUCACUGUGCAAGAUUCACGGUCUCGCUGUUUACUCCAAGUCGAAUAAUUUCCUAUGACGCAAUAACCUGGCGGUUUAGGUUGAGGAAUAUCUGCUGCUUCGCUUUCCAGCAUGAAAACAACAGCCGACAUAAUUGGUCUAUCAUCUGGACGGGCUUGAACACACAAGAGGCCAAUUUGUAAACACCUUUGGAUAUCACGUGGCCUGAACGUUGGUGAUGAAGAAUCUAUGAUGACCGUGUCUACAAUCUCUAGACCUUGACCUUCUUUCCAAUUCCUCCACACCUGGUGCAUAAACGUUUAAUCUAUUCUUAAGUGAUAUCUUCAGAUAUUUUGAGUGUGCGUGCAACACAAUCAAGUUAAAGAGGUUUCAAGCUUACACAAUCGAGAAGAUUGUUGUCACGGCCCGAGUUGUUGAAUCCUUUAUUCCUCUUGCCACUUAUAAUUUCAAGAAGCAAGACUCCAAAACUAAAGACAUCUGACUUCAUAGAGAAUAUCCCUUCCAUAGCGUAUUCUGGGGACAUGUAGCCGCUGCGUAGAAAAUAUAGCUAUCAGGUUUUAAGCUGUGUUUGGGUAGCUCUUAAUUGCUUCAAAAAUGUGAUGAUGUUUUUUUUUAACUACUUACUAAGUUCCGACCACCUUCCUUGUGUUAGCUUCCGUCUCAUCUCGUCCAAAGAUCCUAGCCAUUCCGAAGUCCGAAAUUUUUGGAGUCAUAUCUUUGUCAAGCAAGACGUUGCUUGCUUUCAAAUCCCUAUGGAUGAUUCGAAUGGAUGAAUCUCGAUCGGUGAAGAUAGAGAAUUCCUCGAGCAAUACCAUUGAUGAUAUCAAAUCUCAUUUGCCAAUUUAGCAUACUGCUUCUGGUUAAACCUACACAUCGUACGUUAACAACAUAAACUUAUUAAUGUAUUGACUCUUGUGGAGACUUGAGGCACUAACCAAAGAGAUGAGAAUCGAGGCUUAGAUUCUCCAAGUACUCGUAGAUCAAGAUCUUCUCUCCCUCAUCAACGCAACAUCCAAGAAGCCGUACAAGGUUUAUGUGCUGAAGCCUUGCAAUUAGCCUGACUUCAUUCAUGAAUUCAUUGGUACCUUGAGCUGACAUUUCUGAUAGUCUCUUCACCGCAAUUUCUUGCCCGUCAAGUAACCUUCCCUGGUUACACAUAUUACAUCAAUAAAAUUAGAAACAAUGAUCGUGACAAAAAAAAAAAAAAAAUUAGAAACAAUGACUUAAGCAUUUGAUUUCAAAUAAAACUUUGUAGCAUGUUUACAGAUAUCUUUAUUUUAUAUGGUGUCAAGGUUUUUUUACAGCUUUCCAAAAAAUUCUAAGUUAACUGUGUUUUCUAGCAGAAAUUUAGAAAAUGCACCAAGAAGCUACGGAAUGAGAAAUUUAGCUAUUUGUAUGUAAAUUGUGGUAAAAAAAUUACAGAAAAAAAAUAUCAUAAAAUAAAAUAUGACUAAAAAUAUUCACAAUUAUGCCACAAAUAUUUCUUGACAAAACAAAACUACAAUAAAAUAAGUGGCUAAAAUAACAAAAUAGGGAUUAGCGGCUAUAAAUCUACCUUGUAAACAGCGCCGAAGCCACCUUCUCCAACUUUGUUACAGUCAGAGAAAUGUUCGGUAGCUGUGAGAACAGCUUCAAACUCCAUCAAUGGAAGUUCCAAAUCUUCUACCGCGUUGUCUGAAGAGAACGCUUCAGACAAGUUUCUCCGGGGUGGUAUUUGUCUUGGUAAUACCACCCCGUAAAUUAGAACUUGAUUUUGAACUUAACAUUUGAACAGAUAAAGGAUUAGAAAAUAAAAUUAAAAUUACUGGAAAUUAAAUAAAAUAUAAAAGUGAAGGUUAUUACUGAUUUACCUUAUAGGUGUUUUUUAAAAAAAAAGCCUUAUUUACCUAUAAGUUUUUUUUUUGAAAGCUGGUUUGUUUACCUAUAGGUGUUGCAGCUGCUUUUGCUUUCUUCCGUCUCCUUUUCCAAAAGCAGAACACGAUAACACUCAGAAUAAGCAUUAAGCUAACUCCUACACUCCAACCUAUUUUUUUUCCAUUUCUGUCUCUCUCCUCGUCCGAGGAAAAAACUGCAUAUACAGAAUUAGUAAUCAUAAAUACUUUAUAGAAUUUAUUUAUACUCCUAUUCAUUUAUUUAAAUAUAUUUAGGUGGCAAUAGAUAUGUCAGUCUUAUAAAGAAAUUUUGAUAUCAAUUGUUACCUAAAUAUAUUGGUACCACAGGAUAUCCUGAUGUAUAAAGAAAUAGAGCUAACCUAUAUCAGCAGGAGCCAAUUUGACAUAGAGAUCUUGACCACCGAUGGAGUAAGUCCGGGUAUCAUUAAGCUGCCUGGUCCACAUCACACAACCCGUUCCGCCAUUUCGAACAUCCGCAGCCGCGAACGAAGUACAGGUACAAUCCCUAAGGCACCUCUCUUCACAUUUCUUCAAGUUAAUUCUCCGAUCAAAACUAGCCAUCUUGGUAUCUGGAAGUUUCGUCUUCUUAAGCAAUAAAAACCUAUUUCCGCUGCAACUCAGCGGUGUCCUCCUCACACACCCUUCUGAUCGUUCUGUCCCGCUCCACUGCCGCGGGUUCAUGCGGUGGAACCCUUCCAAACAGUUACAUGUAUUGUUUAACUUACAAUAAGCAUUGGGUCCACAGUGAUUAUAAUAAUCGCAUUCUGCCGUUGGUAAAGCAUCGAAAUCCCUCCAUCCAGAUGAUGGCGGGAUCCACGUGGAUAGAUAGAGGGACCCAUAGUAAACGAUGGUAAAUCUAGAGUAGAUGCUUUGGUUGGCACUAAGGAACGUGUACGUGACCUCCUCACUGUUAUCCGUGUAAUUGUAAUAUAGUUCUUGAUCCUUAGGCUUCGGUAUGCCACUAAACUCGAUUCCAUUCCACGGACCGCCCCGAUACUGUUCAAUAUCGUUAUACAUCACAAAGAAUUCGGGCAAGCCCCUUCGAGUGUCGAGUUCGUACGUGAAAUACCCGCUUGAGGGAUCAUCAGAACUUCUCCAUGAUGUGAGGAACCUGCUGCGCCCUGUUUUGCGAUGGUAACCUAGUUUCAUCCCCGGAAGUAAAGUAUCCGUCGGAAAAUCGAAACUCUGCCACAAGAAUCCACUUGGAGUGUCGUUGUUGGAGUAUCUCAUUACAAAAUUACCGUUGGGAAGAAGCUCUGCUACCACCGGAGAACUAACAUUUCCUCUGGUAAGAUUCGAGGACCACAAAACAGAGUGACCUAGCAGGACAAGAUUGUUGCCAGAGAUUUUGAGGGUUCCAAUGGAAUUUGACUGAGGGUUGUCUCGGUUGGCGACCCAUGCGUAGGUUUUCUGAUCAAAGACUUUUCUAUACCAUAUUCCCAAAUACCAACGCUGGAGCGCCGAUGGUUUGAAGAAACCAAGCUCGAAGACUCCGCCGGGAGAAACAAGUGUUCUGUUGCUUGAGAUUGUAAGAGAUUCUGUGGACGACAAAGUGUUGACAUCGACCGAAACGGUAGGAUGAUGAAAUAGUAGAAUCGAGACGAGCAAUAACGACAAGGUGUAAGAAUGGUGGCAUGUGCUCUGUGCACCUUUCAUCUUUCUUCUUCUUCUUUUUUUUUUUCCGUUUAUGUUUGAACUUUUCUUGACGCACGAUUGAUGAAAGUAACUUGCAUGUGUUCCUAUUCAUAUAUUAAUCUUUAGUUACUUUCGCAAGAAAAUUCAAACUUAACUAAUUAAUUAUCAUCACUAACCUACCAGACAAGCAAAAGGUUGUGUUUCCUUUUCCAUGACUUUCUCACCCUUUCAAUCAAUCCAUUUCCACAAACCUUACACACUGAAACCUCUAUAAAUUAAUAAUGUUGAGACUACACCAAGACUAUAAUCUUUUUAUUAAUUUAUAGAGAUAUUAAUUUAUAGAUAUGCUAAUUAAACCAAAAACUCAAUUUGAGACUAUAAAAUUAUAUUAUUUUAUAGAUUUUUAGUGUAUAUUAAUUUAUAGAGUAUUAAUUUAAAGAGGUUAUAUUGUAUAUCAUUAGUCUACAUUUUUCAAAUUAUUAGUUCUCACGCUGCCAACAUGUCGUCUAUGUUGUUCGGCAAGUAUAGCAUUCUUUUUUUUUUGAAACAGUCACAAAAAUACUCUAAACCGUUUGGUGUUCGGCAAGUAUGGCGUCCCUAAGAGCAUCAUACGAUCCAGUAGAGUUUGUGGUUGCAUCCGGAUGAAUGUGGAUAAAUAAAUGUAAAAUAUUUUAAAAUUGAAAUAUCAUAAAUACAAAUUAUAAACUAUAUUUAUACUCACAAACAAUAUUAUAAAAACUUUAAAACAAAAAUAUUCCCUAUAAUUUUUAAAUAUUACUAUAUAUACAUGUAUACAUUUAUAUAAAUUAUAUUUCAGUGAGAAGAAGAAAAAUGAGAGCAGCUGAAGAAGGGGAAGGACAAACUGCUCAUGCAUGCAUGGUGGUACUGGUAGCCUGGUAGGGCAAUGAGUACGGAGUACCAUUAGUUGGCUGUAAAGUAUAACCUUCCAUGUGUUACCGUUUGGUUGCUCUUGCAGGAAAUGAACUUGGAGUUCUCAUGUCAAACUUAAAGACAUAUGACCAAGUCAUCACUAAUGCUAUAGUUAACUAACAUAUAUGUGGUUGUAACGAAUAAACUAGGAAACUUCACGGUUUUCUCUAUACGUGUGUUUGUUUGUUGUAUAAGAGAUUCUAAAUUUUUGGUGAUUUCACCUUUCUAAUUAGUAAAGAUAUUUAUUCGACACAGUUGGAAUUGAGAUUUGCAACAAACUACUUAAGAACAAAGACCAUGAGCAUCAUACAGCUCUUUUAAAUACAUUGAAUCGAUCGAAAUAGCUUAUUGUCCAGAUAAUUUUUGAGUUUCUUUGUUAAGCCUUGAUCUUGAUCUGUCUGAACAGAGACAUGGAUCUUAACAUCAUGGACACCAUCAGUCUGUCCAUGUCAAGCUUCCAAACAAGUGGCCACACGAUAAAUAUUAAGGACAUACAAUCUCCCUAUCAAUCUAACUCUAAGCACACAGUCAAGCUAUUAACUCUUUCUUGAAAAGUGAAUUUCUCGAGAACUUGCAAGGCGUCUUUGAUAUUAGGCCUUCUCUGUGGCAUUGGAGAAGCACAUGCCUAUUUUCAAACAGGCUAACACAGCUUCGUCUUUGCCCUCUAAGUCUCUUAACUUUACUCACCUCUUAUAGCCAUAUCUAAUUCAAAGAGGAUAUUAAUAGGCUUGAGAAUAUUACCAUGCACGUGCUUCUUGUCGUGUAACUUUACUGACCUCAUAUGUAAGUUAGCCCACGUGUAUGUAAGUAAACACAGCUUCUUCUUUGCUAUUUUUUAUAAUUAAAUUCUUGACUGUGCAGAAAAAAUAUUUGGUAACUAAAUUAUUUUCUGUGUAAAUUGCACGUAAUGUGAUAACAAAUGUACUAAAACUAAAACUAAAACUAAACCAAGCGCUCGUAGCUUGGUGGUAAAGGAGGUACAGCUGUACUGCCCGUCACCCGGGUUCGAGCCUUGGCCACAACGGAUUUAACAUCCCUUCUGUUGGGGCGCUGGACUUCUUUUAGGAGAUAGUUGGGAACGUGACUGACCAAAUACCAGAGUUAUCAAAAAGAAAUGUACUAAAACUAUCCCGACGUCGCUUCUGUCGUUUCUUACGUUUAUAAUCAACGUGAACCAACCAUCAUUAUUAAUUGUUUUUUCAAAGAACGUAACAAAAGCAUAUGAAUCUGGAUAUGUAGAUAUCUUUGCUAGAGUAUAAAAUAUUAUCUAUGUAUUUCUUUUGAUUGUGCGAUGUUCCGAAAAAAAAUGUGACGUCGGAUGAUUCAUGACGUGUGUGAAUACUAAUCAGUUAAUUAAUAUUGAAGAAACAUGACCAGAUGGGAGAGAAUGGUAUCUUUCAUAUAAGACAUUCAGAUAAGUUUGAAGUUUUACAGGCCCCUCCAGAAGCGUGCUUACCCUUGUUAUGAGAAAGAUAAUUACCUUAGACCCCAAUUUGUAUAACACAUUUUAGGGGUUCCAUUUUAAUUUCACUUUAAAUUGGUUAUAUUGUAUAUAUAAACUUCUCUUAGUUUUGGAUUUAAACAAUAAUUUAUUUAUGCUAUUUAGACUUAUUUUAUUCUAUUUUACACUUUUAAAUUUAAUUUAUCAUCUACCUUCAUAAAACUAUGACUUUAUUUAUUUAAUUUUUAGACUUUAAAUUAUAAUUUUUUAGCCUGUAUAAUUUUAUUUUAACUAUUGUAGUAAUACAUUUAUAAGAUUACCAUUUAACAUAUCUAAAUAAGCACAUAUCUAAAUAAGCACACCGAAUUCCGACGGACACCAAUGUCGUCGGACAUUUGUGACGGAAUACUGACAAAUUUCCGACCAAAUCCAAAAAAAUUAAGUCGUCGGAAUUCCGUCGGCCGUUUCCGACGGAAUUCCGACGAAACAUGGUUCGCCAGAAUUUUCCGACGACUUUUCGACGAAAUUCCGAUAAAAAAUGUAACCGUUGUAGUCGUCGGAAGUUCGUCGGUAUAUUCCGACGAAUUUCCGACGAACUUCCGAUUAACAGUAAAGUCGUCGGAAUUCCGUCGGUAUUUUCCGACGAAUUUCCGACGAACCAUGUGACCGUUGCCGACAAAUAUAUAUGACCGUUGUAUAGCCGUUUGAGAUUGGACAAUACCGACGGAAUUCCGACGGACUGCUGUACAUCCGUCGGAAUUUCGUCGGAAAGUCGUCGGAGGUCCGUAAGCAAUUUCCUAUAAAUACAACCCCUCCUCAUUCAACUCAUUCACACUUCAUUCUCUCUUCAUUCUCUUUAGUCAUAACAAUUCCGUGAAAAUCAUGUCUUCAGAAGUUUAUUAUCGUCCGUGGAUGGAUAAACCUCAUUUGGAUCCGAACACCAAUUUGCUUACGGAAGAAUACGUUCAAGGGAUUGGAGAAUUCAUGAGGCUUGUUCAACAGCAACCGGAUGCAAAAAGUGGUAUGUUAAGAUGUUUCUGCUCUUCUUGCAAUAAUAAUAAGGUUAUAAAAGAAUUUGAUGUUUGGACUCAUUUGUAUAUGAAAGGGUUUUCACGUAAUUAUAAAGUUGGGUACCUUCAUGGGGAAACUGGUUAUGAAUAUGGUAGUACUAGCGAACCUUAGCCUGUUAGUGAACUUCAGCCUGAUAUUAGGUUAGAAGAAUCUAGAACGGAUAUAGAUUAUGGUGUAGGUACUGAGCAGAUGGUACAUGAUCAUUAUAGAGGGGAAGAACCAAACCCCGAAUCUAGGAGAUUUUUUGACAUGUUGGAUGCAGGAAAACAACCUUUGUAUCAAAAUUGUAGAGAUGGUCAUUCAGUCUUAUCAUCUGCAACUAGAUUAAUGGGUAUUAAGACAGACUAUAAUUUGGCUGAAGAAUGUAUGGAUGCGAUUACUGAUUUUGUCAAAGGUAUUCUACCUGAGGAUAACCUUGCACCGGGUUCAUACUACGAGGUUCAGAAACUUGUUGCAGGUCUUCAACUACCGUUUGAAGUGAUAGAUGUAUGUAUUGACAACUGCAUGAUCUACUGGAGAGCAGAUGAGACACGGAAUGUAUGCAAAUUUUGUGGGAAACCUCGUUAUCAGGAGACGAGGGGAAGAGUUCCGAUCCCAUUCAAAAGAAUGUGGUAUUUGCCUUUGACGGAAAGAUUGAAGAGGUUGUAUCAGUGUGAGCGCACAUCAAAAGCAAUGAGAUGGCAUGCAGAGCAUUCCACAAAUGGUGAGAUUAGACAUCCUUCAGAUGCAAAGGCUUGGAAACAUUUCCAGUCAACAUAUCCAGAAUUUGCGGAAGAGAGAAGAAAUGUUUAUCUUGGAUUAUCUACUGAUGGUUUCAGCCCAUUUGGAAAGCAUGGAAGACAAUAUUCUCUAUGGCCAGUUAUUGUGACACCGUACAACUUACGGCCGCGCUUGUGCAUGCGACGAGAGUUUUUGUUUCUCUCAAUUCUCGUCCCCGGGCCAGAUCAUCCUAAAAGAUCACUAGAUGUGCUUCUUCAACCACUAAUAUAUGAGUUGCAACAACUAUGGGCGCAUGGUUUUGAGACAUACGAUGUUUCGCGCAAAGAAAACUUUCAGAUGCGGGCAGUACUUAUGUGGAAAAUAAGUGACUUUCCAGCAUAUGGUAUGUUAUCUGGAUGGACAACACAUGGGAAGCUAUCAUGUCCAUAUUGUCAAGAUGACACAGAUGCUUUCCAACUAAAGAACGGAAGGAAAACGUGUUGGUUUGACUGUCACAGACGAUUUCUACCACCUGAUCAUCCAUACCGCAGGAGUAAGACUUCGUUUACGAAGAACAAGCAGGUGUUUGAUGGUCCACCUGAGGAAGUUAGUGGGAAAGAUUUGUUGAAGCAGUUUAGGUAUUUUGAUGCAGAAAGGACGCCAGAUGUAGGUGGACAUGAAAGCAUUCGAGUCAAUGCGGUUGGAGAGCUACAUAACUGGCACAAAAAGAGUAUUUUCUGGGAUCUGCCAUAUUGAGAGAGUCAUCUAUUGCGGCAUAAUUUAGAUGUCAUGCAUAUUGAGAAGAACUUUUUCGAUAAUCUGAUGAACACAGUCCUUAACAUCCAAGGUAAAACGAAGGAUAAUUUGAAGUCAAUGUUGGAUUUAGUCGAUAUUUGUGAUCGUUCUGAACUUCACGUUGAUGAGAAUGGUAUGGCCCCUUUUCCCAUUUAUCGGCUGGAUGGUGCUAGAAAAGAAGAGUUCUUUGAUUGGAUUACAGAUAAAGUAAAAUUUCCUGACGGAUAUGCAUCAAAUUUGGGGAACUGCGUUGAUAGAAGCGAAUGAAAGUUUACUGGCUUGAAGAGUCAUGAUUGUCAUGUAAUUAUGCAGCGCCUCCUUCCGUAUGCUUUUUCAGCAUUAUUGCCACGUAAUGUUCAUGAAGCAAUUGCAGGUAUAUUAUAUUUUUACAAUUUAAUUUAUUUUUAUAUUUAACAAUUAUGCUUAUAAAAACUUAAUACUUACGAAAAUUAUGUUUUUUAUCUAUGUAGGGAUUAGUGUUUUCUUCCGCGACUUAUGCAGCAGAGUAGUGACUGAAGAGGGUAUUAAUAAUUUGAAGACAAACGCACCAGUCAGCAUGUGCAACCUUGAGAAGAUAUUUCCUCCAUCAUUCUUUGAUGUAAUGGAACAUCUUGCUAUUCAUCUCGCAAGAGAAUUGGAACUUGGUGGUCCUGUGCAGUACAGAUGGAUGUAUAUUUUUGAGUGUUAUAUGCAUCAUCUGAAGAAGAUGGUCAAAAAUCAAAGCAGGGUGGAAGGAUCUAUAGUGGCACAGGUGAUCAAUGAAAAAACUGCAAUCUUUGCUGAAAAUUAUUUUCCACCAGAAGUGCAUACAAAACACCGAAGACCUGCUCGGCAUGAUGAUAGAGGGGAGAUAGCAACAUAUCAUGUUACUGUCUCAAGCAUGUUCAAGGAAAUAGGACGACUUAGUGGAAAAUUCAUGAAGCGGAGACUUACGGACACUGAGCACGCUCAUUUGCAAACAUAUUUGCUCACCAACUGUGAAGAUGUUCUACAAUAUGAGAGGUAAAAAUAUUUAUUCAUUUAUUGUUAGAUUAAUAUUCAAUAAAUUUAUUUCAUAUUGAUAAUAUUUUUGUAUAUAGUGUAUAUAUGGCGGAGUUGCGUAUGACUCACAGGCAUGCAACAGAAGAUGAGCUUCGACAACUUAGAGAUAACGGAUUUGCUGCGUGGCUUCGUAGUUAUGUGAGUCAUAUAUCAUAUUACCCUAUGCAAAUGAUUAGUUUAAAUUUAAUAUAUAUAAAUUAAUUAACUUUUCAAUAAUAUAUGUUUUUAAUUUAUAGGUGAAUGAUGGUUUGGCCAGAGGUCUUGUGUUCGAUGAUUGGAUACGCGAAUUUGUGGAGGGGCCAAACUAUGUGGUCAAAUCAUAUCCUAAAUUUUGUACGCGAGGAUAUGCAUUCACAAGGAAAGGUCAUUCUAAGACAACAUAUGAUGCUGGUGUUUCAUCUUCUUCUGGUGACGAUGUCUACUACGGCAACAUAAAAGAAAUAUUGGAAAUCCAAUUUCCUGGAAUGGUUGGAUUGCGUUGUGUAGUAUUCUAUUGUGAUUGGUAUGACACCACCCCAGAUAGAGGAGUGAAGAUUGAUGCGUUUGGUGUUACAUCAGUUCAUUCGCGGCGGAAACUUCAAUAUUAUGAUCCCUUCAUUCUUGGUUCGCAAGCUGAUCAGGUAUGUCAAUCUAUUAAUAAUUUUUUACCAAUAUAAUUAAUUAAUGUUAUAUAUUUUACUAAUACUUGUAUAAUUGAUAUGUAUAGGUGUGCUAUAUCAGUUACCCUCGGGUGACGUACAGAGACGAUCCAUGGGUUACUGUAACGCAAAUCAACCCAAGAGGACGAGUGGAUGGAACUUCUGAUGAUGAUGAACCAUUGCAACCAGAGUCUACCAGCAACGCCCAGGCAGUUGAAGAUUUGGAAAAUGUUCAACUCGUUGAGAAUUUGACUGUGUUUGGACAUGAUGCUGUCGUACAUUCAGAGCCAGAAGCCGAGGUUGGGGAGUUUGAUGAAGAUUCAGAAGAUUCUGAUUAGUUUUUUUUUUUUUUUUUAAUUGGUCCGUCGGAAAUCCCUCGCAAUAUACCGACAACAUAGCGACGACAUUGGGUUUCAUUGAAAUUUGGAAAGAUCGUCGGUAUUUCGUCGGAAUAUACCGAUGACAUUCCGACGAACUGGACACGAAUUACCGACGACAUGUGUUUCUAUAAAAUUUCAAUCAUAAAAAUCUAUAAAUUUAGAUACCAAAACUAUGAAAAUAACACAUAAUAAGUGUUUAAUAUAGUAUUAGAUCGCAACCGUUCAAAUAUAACAACUCAUUAAAAUGUUUAUGUAUGCAUAUCAUUGUUUUCAUAACAUCUCAUCUUAACAUUAUAUACUUAUACAAUCAUAUUUAUAUAAGAUUACACUACAAAAAAUGUUGUUGUGUAAAAUCGUGUUAUAAAACAUUUUUAUUGUUAAAUCUUUAUGCAAAUACUAUAUAUAUAUUAUCAAAGAUUUGGAUUUUGCAUUUAGAAACUUGAAAUCAACACCCUAAACACUAAGUCGUCGGAAUUCCGUCGGAAUAUAUCGACGGAAUGUGUCCGUCGGAAUAUACUGACGGACACAUUCCGUCGGAAUUUCAAUUUGCCCGGGAGAACCAAACCGCUUGAAAAUUUUCGCGAAUCGGCAUUUGGUAUAUUUUAAUUAUACCGACGGAAUACCGAUGAACCCGUGUCCGUCGGAAUCCUCGGAUAUAAUAACCCUCCUUCUUCCUUNNNNNNNNNNNNNNNNNNNNNNNNNNNNNNNNNNNNNNNNNNNNNNNNNNNNNNNNNNNNNNNNNNNNNNNNNNNNNNNAUCGUCUCAUGACUCGGUUCCCGCAUAUAUUCCCGCUCCAGCUCCCUCUGCCUCUCACGCUGCCCCUCACGCUGCUGCUCAACAGGAUCCGGGGGUCAUGCCGGUUCAUCUAUUGGUUCAACAACCAGGUCGAGAGCAUCUCCCGUUUCUCCAACUCAACCCACGACGAGGCCAUAGCACUUGGUUAGUAUUUUUUUUUAUUUGUACCGUUAUAUUUUUUGCUUUAAUUAACUUGCUAACUUGUAUUUUUUUUAAAGGUUCACCAAGUCGAAAAAUGGCAUUAGCCGGAGCAUCAACCAGAUGAUGUACUCCAUGCUCCGUUUUGGAUAUCCAAAGUGGAGUGUGAUCCCUUCCGACGAACGAGAGUUGUGGUUUCGUCAGUUUGCGGUAUAGUAACUCUUCAUUUUUUUAAAGUUUUUACAUUUUUUUAAAUAUAUUUACUUAUUAAAUUGUGUUUGUUUUGUAGCAAGAAUUCAACUGGCACUCCGAUCUUACGGAAACAGUCCGUAAGAAAUUCAACGAAAAGGCCAUGGACUCUUAUACAAAGCAGAUAAACGCGUGGAAGACAGUUUGGCAGAAGAACAAGAAGCCACGGUUCAUCAACGGGACGGUGUGGGAGCAGUUGAUAGCUCAUUGGGAGAAGGAAGAAACUGCAGAGACGUCUUCUAGGAACUCCAGGAACCGGAAGAGCGAUCGUGGCGGGAAAGGUAUGUAUGUGCACAACCUCGGCGCUUGCUCUAUGUCAGACCUGGAAGAGCGAUCGUGGCGGGAAAGGUAUGUAUGUGCACAACCUCGGCGCUUGCUCUAUGUCUACUAAGGAGGAUGAACUUGUAAGUUUUUUAUUAUUAUUUAUCUUUAUAUUUUUUAAAUAAAUAUUUUAUAUAUUCCUUGGCUAAUAAUGGCGGGGUUUUUAGAUCGAAGCAAAUGACGGUAAUCCCGUUGAUCGUCUCCAACUCAUUAAGGUGGCUCACACUAACAAGACGACGGGUCAAAUUCAGGACCCCAUGAUCAAAGGUGUAGUUGAUUUGGUGGAAGCUGAAAUAGUUUCUCAAUCUCAGCCUCUCUCUGAUGACGGCGACUCUACGGGAGCUUCAACCAACCUGUCUCUAUUGCAAAUAAAUGAGAUGGUUGAAAAGGUAAUUUUUUUUAUUAAUAUAUUUUUUUUAUAAUGUCGAUUACUUACUUGUCCCUAUUUACUUACUUUAAAUAUUUUUGUAGGCGGUUCCUAAAAGGAAAGGAGGCCGUUUAGUUGGGUUGGCCCGUCGUGCUUCUUCGUAUCCGGCAUCUUCUUCGCAAGCUCCGUAUGCCGAUCCCAUGAUUCUCGAGGAGCUACAUGACAAAGAUGAACGGAUUGGGGUAUUGGAGGAGCAGAACACCACUAUCCUUUCGGAGAAUGCCACUAUCCGUUCAGAGAAUGCCACUAUCCUUUCGGAGAAUGCCACUAUCCGUUCGGAGAAUGCCACUAUCCUUGCUGAGUUGGCAUCCCAGAAGAAGUUCAACACCGAGAUUAUGCAGAAGCUAGAUCGUUUGAUGUCUUCGAGUUCAUCUUAGUUUAUUUCGGCUUUUUAAAACUUUCGGAAUGUUUUUUUUUCUAUUUCGGUUUGUAUGAAUUUUAAACUUUCUGAAUGUUUUUUUCCUAUUUCGGUUUGUAUGAAUUUAAAUUAUAUAAUAUUAUUAGUUUUAAAUUUAUGAUUUUUUUUAAUUUAUUAAUAUCAAAAAAUAUAUAAAAAUACAAAAAUAAUUCAUUUUUAAAAUUGGUAUAUACCGAUGGACAAUGGUCGUCAGAAUAUACCGACGGACAUAUAUCCGUCGGAAUGUACCGACGAACCGCAUUUCGUCGGAAUAUACCGACGAACACGUUUACGUCGGAAUUGUCCGAGGAACGUUCUCCGUUGGUACGUAGUUUUUCGAUGAACUCUGGUCUCGUGUGUCCGCAUCGUAAUAUCGUCGGAAGUUCGUUAGAAUGACGUUUCUCGGUAUUCGUCAGAAAGUCGUCGGAAGUUCUGACGAAAUUCCGACGAAUUUUUUUUUUCCAACGAAACAAUACCGACGGACAGGUUCGUCGGAAAUUCGUCGGAAUCGGUCUAUUCCGACGAAUUUCCGACGAUUUCGGCCAUCAGAAUCCUUCUGUUUUCUUGUAGUGCAAACACCUAGGCACGACACUGGGUCCCUCGCUAGUUACUAAGUGAUUUACUAAACAUAAUCAUAUACGUAAAAGACCUGAAAAUUUCGAUAUGAAUAUGUGUACAUAUGUCAUAGCAAUAAAUAAUCAAUUAGAGAAUGACUACUAGUUUGGUGGUGGACAAGUGCCUAAGAAAUGCAUGGCGUGUUCUACUUAACAUUUUGCAAAGCUUCAAACACUAUCGCCUUGUAAAAUUACACCCAAUUCGAUAGUUUUUCAAACAGUGAACAUACAAUAAUAAUAGAGCCAUUGAUCAAUGUCACUUGAUCGGUCGGGUGUUUUUCUCUUUUUGGAUAUGUUAUGAUAUCUGCUACGACUUUGUAUUUCUUUGGUUCUCAACAAAACGAUUUAGUAACAACAAAAUAGAAGAUUUCAAGGGUCAAUGAAUAACAAUACCAAUGAUAUUUAUAUUUGUUUUAUAUGUCUAUCAAGUGAUGAAUGAACACAUCGAAGCCAUUUAGUAGUAAGCUACUUUCCGGUAGUUUUUAACAACGACGUCAAUGAUUAAGUGAAAUGGACCAUAGUUUAUUUUAUAGAUAAGUUAAGGAAACAAAUUUCGAUAUAAAAAAAAGAAGACAAAAGCUUAAACUCCCUUUUUGCUUUGUUAAUGAUGUGACGGAACUAAUAUGCGAUGUUUUGUACCCGCUAGAUAUCAUAGUUCUUUACAUAUCAAACGCUCUUGAAGGAUGAUAUAACUAUAAAAUAUACACAACUAGGAUCAGCCGCUCUACGCGCUGAAUAUUUGUCAUUUGUCUAAUUAGUGACUGAUCGUAUUUUACAACGUUAAUUUUUGGAUGAAAAAUGUGGAUUGGAUUGUAAUAGCAUGUGUUUGUUAUUAUAUACCUUCGGAGGCGUCUCUGAGCAGAGCAAGCUUAGGCCUAUGCCUUAUUUUAUUUUAAAUGUUAUAUAAUUAAAGUAGAAAUGCUUCUCUGUAUAUUGAAUUGAAAAGAAAAAGAAAAAAGCACUAAUAAAAAUUCAUAAUUAUCAUACUUAUAUUUUAGUUUCAAAAAUUAAAUUGGGCUUUUGGCGUGUUAGGAAUUUUGUUGGCGUUUGUCUUUAUAUAAAUGAAGUUCUUGUUGAUUUUAUCUUACAAUUACGAAAAUUAUGACAUGUUUACCGUAAAAAUAUGUAUUGAAAUAAUAUGCUAUGCAUUGUAGUGGUAAGUGGCCCUAGAGUUUAUAACAGGUGACGUGGCCAGAGUUUUGUUUGUGGUGGUAUACGGAACUAACAGCUCUCGGAGAAAGAGCUAUGUCCGCAAAUAAUGUAAGCUCGGUAAAGUAGGUAACCUACCCAAAGUCUACCAAUAUGUUCAAGCGUCAUAUCUUCAUUCAAAAGGUAUAUUUUCAUCUUCUCAUCUCGGAGUCUCUUUGAUCAGUUGAAGUAGCUAGUUAUGUAUUUCUAAAAAGGUAACGUGAGGGUUAGAUCAUUAAUUUUAUUUUAUUUUAUUUUACUGUUUAUCAACCGCUGGUUUUGAUUAUUGUUCCAUGGAUAUCAAUGGAUUGGUUUGAUCCGUUUUGCCUUAUUUUCCAUUAAUAAGAGCAUCAACUUGAGAUACAAGUUAGAACACAAGCCCAUGCGGCCAUGCAGUUUUCAGGUAAACAAGGAUUUUACCGGUCCAUCUCUAACCGCAAUCGGUUUACCCCAACCAAAAUCGUUUCCAAACAUAUUGAACCGUGGAGAGCUAGCAACAAGGACCGAAUUGUUCACCACCAAACCAUUCGGUAUUUUCGGAUCCUUCACCUAAUUGUCAGCAACUCGUUUGAAUUCUUCAUUUGUGACCCCACAGUUUUGUUUAGUUUCAAAGCAGCUCAGCCCAGUCCAUUGUUAAGCAUUUCUCCAGCGGUUGUGGUGGCUGUCGCCAGUCCGAUUGGAGGGUUUAGUCUCUGUCUCAUAUUGCAAUGAGUCACUUCUUCCGGGUUGAGCCCACUCUUUCUGAUUAUCGAUCGCCACAUAUGGGCCAACACAGCUUGAAACGAAGAGAUUUUCAGAUCCACAUCAGAACCAGCAACCUCGCUGUUGGCUUUCGCUUUGAGCUCAGAUAUAUGUCUACUCGUGAACCGAAAUAUCAUCUUUUGUAGAUCCGCCAACGAUAAGAAACAACCUCAACAGGUGAUGAUAUAAUAAACCCGCCACGAGGAGGCAAAGGAGGAAAUGUUUUCAGGUCAAAACCGGUAGAGCAAAUCUCAGUCCAUAUUUAAAAAAAAAACUCCAAAAGGAAGUUCCGUCAGAAACCAAAUGGUUAACGCCAUAUCCGAUGAACACUCCAUCUUUCAACUCUGUUACUUGGACCGCAAGCAAAGACUCUGAGACCUCUUACUAGCUUUCAACUCUGGAAAAAAACUCAGUCCAGUAAGCAUUGUCCGAUCUAAGACAUCACUCACCGAGACAGUUUUAGCCGCUGCAUGCACGAAUUUGACACCUGAACCAUCGCAUUCUACGAAAAAUAUCACAUGUUUAUCAUUUACCUGAAUGCGCCAGGAGUUCGAAUCCUCUUGCUGAAUCUCGCAUCGGAUCGAUCCUUCCACGACGUGGAGUCUGCCGAAACAGAUCUUAUCGGACUGAAGCCAUUCGCUAUACUUUUAUCCCACGGAUGUGGUUAAAUCACGGAGAUCUCACGUACCACCACGAGAAAUGUAUGCUCGAAUGUCUCCUCUCCUCUUCUUCUUCCUCGAUAUUGGAGGAAGACGUGUCUGAAGCGCUUUUACCAUUUUUUAUAUUAAUUUUUAUAUAAAAUUAAUAACAAAUUCCAAUAUAUUUUUUUGUUAAUUUUUACAAUUGUACAAGAAGAAAAGGAGAUGAAGAUACAUGCACUACAAGAAAACAACAAGGAUUCUGAGGGAAAAAAUCGUCGGAAUUUCGUAGGAAUAUCGUUAUUCCGACGACAUACCGACGAAACAAGUCGUCGGAAAUAAUUCCUCGGAAUUUCUUCUUUCCUCGGAAAUUCCUCGGAAUUUUCCGACGGAAUUCCGAGGAAAUAAACUUCCGAGGAAAUUCCGAGGAUCACUAGUUUGUCGGAAAGGUCCUCGGAAUAUACCGAGGGAGAACUUCGUCGGGAUACUUCCUCGGACGUUCAUCGAUCGAUGCGUUUUUAGGCAUAUAUACAUCGAUCGAUAGGAAUAUACCGAGGGACAUAUUCCUCGGAAAAUUCCGAGGAAUGUGUCCCUCGGUAUAUUCCGAGGGAUCUGUCCCUCGGAAUAUUCCGAGGGAAAUGUCCCUCGGUAUAUACCGAGGAACCGUUCCCUCGGUAUAUUCCGAGGAAAGGUUUCCCUCGGUAUAUUCCGAACGUUUUUUUAUAAACAGAUCGAUCGAUGGAUUUAUGUCCAAAAACGCAUCGAUCGAUCGAGUAAAAAAUAUAAUUAAUUUCCUCGGAAUGUAAAAAAUAUUAUUUAAAAAAAAAAAAAAAUUUCUGAAAUUUAAAUUCGAAAAUAUGAAAUUAAAAUUAAAAUUGAAAUCAUAUUAAUUAAUAUUCAAAGUUUCACAAUUAAAAAUAAAACAUUCCGAGUUUUUGGAAAAAAAAAAAAAAACUACGGGUCUGGCACGUCCGGGAAGACCUCGUUCGGGUACAUCCUUUGCAUCAUCUCCAUCAUUUGCUGGUUCAGCCUCCUCUGUGCCUCAUAGCCCGCCUGUUGAGCCGCCAUCUGGGUCUCCAACAAAGAUAUACGAUCAUCUUUGUCCUUCAACUGAGCCGUAAGCACUUCUGGAUCAACAAAGGGCGGUGGUGCAGAAGAAGGAGGAACCGACCGGGUGCGACGACCCAAACCGACCAAACGUCCCUUCUUCUUUGGAACCGACUGAAUAGAAAAUAGCCAAAUUUACAAAUUUAAACCAAGAAAUAAAUGAAUUGAACUUAAAAAAAAAAAAGAACUUACGGAUUCAACGAUUUCGUUGAUUCGAAACCGGGACAAGUUGGUCGAAGCCGUCGAAGCGUCAUCCUCGGUUUGAAGCUGAGACACUUCGUCUACCACCUGAGUUUGGACCAGGUCGACCACGUCCCUCACAAGACCGUCAUCAAUCUGGUCGGUCUUCUUGUUGGUAUACGCCCUCCUCAUUAGGGCGAGAUCAUCGACCGGCUCGCCAUCAUUUUCUUCCGCCUUGAAAAAAAACAUAAAAUUAAAGAAACAUUAGAAAUUAGAAGAAAUGCACAAUUAAUUUAAAUUCUGAAACUCAAAUAAUUGAAGAAAAAAAAUAUUUGCCCGGUAAAAUGAAAAUAUUCCGAGGAAAUUCCGACAGAGAGUAAAAUAUCCGUCGCAAUUUCCUCGGAAUAUUCCGAGGAAAUACCGAGGAACUAGUGUUUGGGGUUUCAAAACAUCAAUUUUUUUGCCGUAUUUCAUUUCUUAUACAAUUGUAAUGCAUACCAUUGAGGAUUCUUUGUAUACAUGAGCAUAAACCAUGAAAUAACAAAUUUCAAAACUAAUUGAAAGUAUUCCCUUUACCGUUCAUUAAAAGGUAUAAGUGUUUCUCUUAUGUUGCGAGAUUUCGUUCAUACAAUCGGAAAAGUGUUAAUUAUACGGUAAGGAACAAAUUUUUGACUUCAUAAUGAACGUAAGACACUUAAUAAGGGUUAUAUAGGUGUUAUUCAAACGGCAAAACGUUGUUUUCGGUUUAAAAACCCUAUUUCCUCGGAAUUUCCUCGGAUUAUUCCGAGGGAACUCCGAGGAAACCCUCUUCUUCCUCGAAAUUUCCUCGGAAUAUUCCGAGGAAAUUCCGACGAACUAGUGUUUGGGGUUUCAAAACGUAAUUUUUUUUAAAAAAACGCAUCGAUCGAUGCGUUUUUGAACAAAAACAAAUCGAUCGAUUACUAAGAUGGCCCGGGCCGUAAGAUUGUGAUCGAUCGAUGAGAGUAUCCCAUCGAUCUAUCGACAAUCUGAAUUGUUCCUCGGAAUUUCCUCGGAAAAUCUUGUAUGUUUUUUUAAAAAUGCAUCGAUCGAUGCGUUAUAGAACAAAACCGCAUCGAUCGAUUACUAGGAUGGCCCGGGCCGUAAGAUUGUGAUCGAUCGAUGAGAGUAUCCCAUCGAUCUAUCGACAAUCUGAAUUGUUCCUCGGAAUUUCCUCGGAAAAUCUUGUAUGUUUUUUUAAAAAUGCAUCGAUCGAUGCGUUAUAGAACAAAAACGCAUCGAUCGAUUACCAAGAUGGCCCGGGCCGUAAGAAUGUGAUCGAUCGAUGCGUUAUAGAAAAAAAACGCAUCGAUCGAUGCGUGUUCGGAAAACAGAAUUAUAAGGCAAAACCCGACCUUUUUUGGAUCUAAACCUUAGAACUCUCAUCCCCUCCGAUUUCCCCUAUAAUUCGCCCCCCCCCCCCCUUUCUCUCUCUAUAAUCAUCCGAUUUGAACAAUUUUGGGCUCUAUUCCACUUGAUUUUUCGAGCUCUACCUGAUUCCUACACUCGUCUUCACCCUAAGACAGGUAUACUCCGCGAAUCUCCACAUUCUGAAAUCGUGUUCUUGAGCAAUUUUUUGGGUUUUGUGAAUUUCUUAUUUCCGUGUUGAUUCCUUGAUCAAAUAUGCAUGAAACAGAUGUUUAAACAUGGAAUAGAACACAAUUGUCUGUGAUCAACGAGUUUGAAACAUGAUUUGAGAUGAUUUAGGGAUAGAGAAUUUUUUUCAAUUUCGUUUUUUUUUAUCACAACUCGAUUUCGCUUUUCAUUUUCAUGUUGCUUUGAGUUCUUAAUUGAUUAUAACCAUGUUGAGAGCAAUGAUUCUAUUUUGUAGAGAAUGAAGCGCACGAAAACAUCAGCAAAGAAAAACACACAAAAAGAGGGUUCGUCACAGCUGGAGAAGCAAAGGCCAAAGAAGUGGGAUAAGUCUGAUACCACCCACUACAACAACAUGAAGAAGGUAGCCGUUCAGGCUACACAACUAGCAUGUCCUGAGACGAUGAAAAUAUUGGGAAUCAAAGCAGACAUUGAAGGACUGUUCCAGAACAUGGGUCUAGGCCAACUAUGCAACCUCAAGGAACCCACUUAUCCGGAGUUGGUACGCCAGUUCAUAGCAUCCGCAUACGUCACCCGUCCCGAUGAUAGCCAUCAGGAAGGUUUUCUGGCAUUCGUAGUGCAGAAAGUAUACUAUGAGGUAUCUUUCACAGACCUCUGCGGACUAUUUGGAUUGAGUGCGGGGGAGAGGACAUAUGGUCUUUAUUGGACUUCAGAGCUGUUGAACUUCUGGGAAACGAUUGGCACAGGGGUUUAUAGAUGUUCUCAGGCAAAGGAGUCACUUAUCCGGAGCCCAGUACUGAGACAUGCGACACGCCUCAUUGGCUCAUUGCUAUACGGGACAACCACAGCCGCAUCAGUCACGCAAUGGGAGUUGUGCCUCCUGUACCAAGGUGUGAGGCAUUUGCUACCGGCAUUUGGAAACUCUACAUUCCCACCUGCUACUGCCUUCAACAUGGGAGCGGUGCUGGCCGCAAACUUAGCAGGAUACAAGGGGAAAGUAACCAAAUCCAAGAGCAAUGCAUGUGGAUUUGGUGCAGUGAUUACUCGGAUCCUUAGACAUGUGGGUGUAGACUGCGAGAACCAGCAGGUAGCACUGGACAGAUCGAACAACAUUGCUUGGAACUACCUGGAUGUCAUUUCUCUAGUAAGUAAGGAGUUCAUAGCUGGUCCCCACUCGAGGAUCCAUCGGGAUGGUCCUUACGUCUACGUAUUCCAGGACCGAGCGAAGAAAACACUCUACUGCCACCUGCCUCAGAUCGGCCUGACUUCUCUACUUUCAGAGGCUGCAGUUGAGUUCCUACCCCCUGCUACCGCACUAGUAGACAAGCCAUCCUUCUUCACGCCAAAAUAUCAGACCAAAGGCAAGGGCGUGGUUGAUGAAGAAGGACAAGAUGAGGCUGCACAAGCCAUUCCAGAUGAUUCACAACCCCAUCAGCUACUCCCAUCAGACUCCAGCCAGUACAAGCUGCAAGAGCUUCCACCGAACGCCACUUCGCGCCAGCAACAACAUUGGAGAGAUCAGAGCAUAAAGACAAACAACGACAUGCUACACAAGAUCUGGGCUGCCAUUUCACGUAUCAGGCCGUGUCGUUGCCAAAAGGAUGAUGUAGUUCAUCGGGACAACUCUCCAUCCAGCUCUGGUUCGGGUUCGAGUGGUACACACAGGGUAAGAAAGAGGUCCAAGAGACCCAACGAUGCAGGAACAUCUGAAGCAGGAGACGAGGAGUAGGAGCUAUCACCGGCUAUUUUAUUUUCUUUUCUAUUCUAACGUUUUAUGGUCUUAUUUUCUGUUAAUUUUGAACUGAGUUUUUUUUUAGGUUUCUUAAUUAUGAGUUCGUAUUUCUUUUACAUGGUUUCUUUGUUUUAUUUAGUUGUGUUUUGUGUAGCUUUUAAUUCGUAUUCAGCUUUGCCUUGCUAGAUAAACCAAAUAACUAUUAUCCGAGGAAAGAGGUUAUAUCAAGUGUUCCUCGGAAUUUCCUCGGUAUUUCUUAAAAAAAAAAAAAAAUAAGUUCAAUGGUAGUCUGUUUCCGAGUCAUCAUCACCAGAUGAAUCUGAAUCUGGAUCUUGGUGAAACUCUCCAAUCACUGGUUCAUCCUCUACGUGAACGACGGCUUCCUCUCCAAAGUCGGUUAAAUCGACUACAAGGUCAACUCCAGCUAAAUCUUCUGCUGCACUACAGUUGCCGGAUGUGCUUGGUUGUAGUGGGUCUUCCAGCUCAGAACUUCCCUGAACUCGGCCUCUCGGGUUGAGUCUUGUAACAGUAACCCAUGGAUCAUCUCUGUUCCUUACCCGGGGGUACUUGAUAUAAAAAACCUGUAACAUUUAGAAAAAUUAUAAAUUAAUACACAUGAUGAUGAAUCAUUCUGAAUAAUUAACAUUUAAUUACCUGAUCGGCCUGGGAAGCAAGAAUGAAAGGAUCAUAAUAUUGCAGCUUUCGCCUCGAAUUUACUGAUGUAACACCAAAUGCAUCUGUUCUCACACCUCGAUCUGGGGUGUUGUCGUGCCAAUCACAAUAGAAAACAGUACAACGCAAUCCAACCAUGCCCAAAUACUUGAUUUCCAAAAUCUCAUGUAUGUGUCCGUAGUAUACAUCAUCUCCUGAUGCAGAACAAACGCCAGCAUCAUAAGUCGUACUCGAACGUCUCCUCUUCUGAGUUAUGAAUGCAUAUCCUCGAGUACAAAAUCUCGGAUAUGACUUCACAACAAAGUUUGGUCCAACGACCAUCUCACGUAUCCAAUCGUCAAAUGUUUCACCUCUGGCCAAACCAGCAGACACCUAUUAAUAGCACAUAUAUAUAUAUUAUAUCAGUAAAUGUGAAUUAGUAUAAAUAUGUGAUAAAAUAUAUUUUAAUUUGUUUAAAGCACUCACAUAAGUAAACAUCCAUCCAGUAAAUUCUCUCUGUUUCAUUUCUUCUAGUUCGUCCUCUGUGGCGUAUCUAUACUCGAACCGCUUUUCUGCCAUGAAAAUCCUGUAUAUGAUGACAAUAAUGUAAUUAAUUAAGAUUUAAAUUUCAACUUGUUAAAAUAAAAAUUUGUAAGCUCAUUUAUUUACCUCUCAUAUUGAAGAACGUCUUCGCAGUUGGUGAGCAAAUAUGUUUGCAAAUGACUGCGCUCCUGCUCAGUAAGUCGACGGUCCAUUGGUUUUCCGCUAAGUCGUCCAACGUCUGUGAAAAUGUCUGGAACCGUAACAUGAUAUGUUGCCCGUUCGCCUCUAUCAUCAUGCCGAGCAGGUCUUCUGUUUUUGGUCUGAACUUCUGCUGGAAAGUAGUACUCGGCAAAGUUUGAAGUUUCUUCAUUGAUCAUCUGUGCGACUAUAGAACCUUCCACCCUACUUAAAUUUUUCACCAUCUUCUUCAAAUGGAACAUAUACCGCUCAUACAGAUACAUCCAUCUAUACUGCACAGGACCACCAAGUUCCAAUUCUCUUGCCAGGUGAAUAACAAGAUGCUCCAUAACAUCAAAAAAUGAGGGAGGAAAUAUCUUCUCAAGGUUGCACUGAAUCACGGCUAUGUUAGUCUUCAAAUUUUCAAUACCUUCAAGAGUCACUGAUCUCGUGCAUAAAUCGCGGAAGAAACCACUUAUCCCUGCAAUUGCUUCAUGAACAUUUCGUGGUAAUAGUUCCUUGAAGGCGAACGGAAGGAGGCGCUGCAUCAUUACAUGGCAAUCGUGGCUUUUCAAGCCAGUAAACUUUCCUUCCUUUCUGUCGAUACAGUUACGCAAAUUUGAUGCGUAACCGUCUGGAAAUUCCACAUCGUUUGAAAUCCAAUCAAAGAACGCAUCUUUUCCCGCUGCAUCAAGUCGGUAUAUGGGAAAAGGAGCCCUACCAUUCUCAUCAACAUGAAGUUCUGAACGAGCACAUAUAUCGACUAAAUCCAGUCUUGACUUCAAAUUAUCCUUUGUUUUACCUUGAACAUUAAGGAUCGUGUUCAUGAGAUUAUCCUUUGUUUUACAAUUGUACAAGAAGAAAAGGAGAUGAAGAUACAUGUAUCAAUAUUUGUUAUUUAUAUUUAUUUAUGACAAAUACAUAGUAUUAUUAUAAAUAUUAAUCGAGUUUUAAUGUAUAUAAAAAAUCAGUUAGCGCAGUCAAUCUCACACUGGCAUCCGAAAUUUCUAGUAAGGCAUUUACUUAUCAGUAGUUUUUUCUUUGUGAAACAUAAGGCUUUACAGCUAUCGGGAGUACAUCUUGGAGGGUUGGGAUUUUUUGAUGACGGUACAGGUGUUAAAGUUGUGUAACACCAUGUUCGCCUAUUUUCUCCAGUCCGAGCAAUAGCCCUUUCUCCUAUUAUUAAUAAUUAAAACAUAACUUUAUUUUUCAUAUUUAAAGUAAAAUAAUCAUUUCUCGUAAAACAUAUGUUUAAGGAGUAUUCUGCAUUUUGUUUUAAACGGAAAGUUUAUUCAUCUUUUGUUUAUCACUGAUUAUUCUUAGAAAAUCAUUAAACUCAAUAAUAUAAAAUUAAAUAUGUAACCUAUGUAGGUAUAUAAAAUAAAUGGCAUCAAAUAAAAUUUAUUUUUGAAUGAUUAUAAAAUACAUUAAUAAAGCUGUAAAUGUAAACACCAACCAAAUAAAAGAAUUGCGAGCAUAACGAAACCAAUAAACCAAGGUUUGAAAGCAACUUUCAUUUUUGAUAAUGAAAUAAUGGUGUUUUAAAAAUUAGAACGACAUAGAAGUACAUUUAUAGAUGAAUCACAAAUUGAAACAAGUCUAAUUUAAGCUAUACAUCUUUUCAAAUUCCAAUAUAAACGGAUCUAGUUUGACAAAAACAAAAAAUCACAACCACUUGUUUUUAAUUUAUUAAAUAAAAAUAGCCUUUUUAUAUUUAAUUUAAAGUAUUUUUGAUAUGCAUAAACAAUAAUUCGAUUAAGUCACAGAUUCAGAAUUUAUAUAAUAUAUAUAUAGUAUAUAUAGUCUAUUUUAGAGUCAUUUCAGGUUCACAUACGUUUGAGGAACUUUGUUGAUUUCAGAAUUAUUUGAGUUGCAGAACUGUAAAGACGUGUCCGAAAUUUGGCGAUGGACGGAGACCUUCUCACGCUGGGAUUGAGCUCAUAUUUUGACACAAGAUAGAGAUUUGAGUUACCUUUCCUAUUCCAUCGGUUUGAGGUCCAUCUGAAGGUUAAAUAUAGAGUUAUGAUCAUUUCACUGAAGAAUGGUAUGUCAAACUCGCGAGAGAAAACUGUCGAAGAAAUGAAGGAGUGUCGAUCAAUAAUGACCCUUUGGUGUCGAUCGACACUGAUGAAAGUAGAUGGUCGAGUCUAUUUCAAGACCGACUGAGACCCAGAAGUCACCACAAAUUAACAGGAUGCCUUUGGCCGACUCAAAAUUCUAUUUAUGUGUUUUAUUAGUUGUUGUUUAGGCUAUUCUUUCUUUUAUGAUUUAUAUUAUUUUAUUUUAGGUUUUCUCUUAGGUUAAAAAAGUAUAAAAGAAUUCCUUCAGAAUCUUCUUGGAACUCCUUUGGUUUUUGUAUUGAUUUCUAUUUUAUAUAUUGGAUUGAUCGAUGGAUGUCGAGAAGGAUGCCAAUGACAAUCUAUAAUGCCCUGCCCUACAUGUUUCUUAGAUGGUUUUUUUGCAGCGUAUUAUAAAACUGUUUUGCAUGUUAAGUUCUUCCCUGCUAUUAUCAGAAAUUACAGUUUCAUAAAAUACAUUUGUAACCAUAUCAUAAUAUAAAUUUCUCUGAUGCUCAUCAUACACAUCACCCACGUUAUUUCCAAAUAUAUAAUGUACUUGGUCCUCGUAAUAAAUAGCAUUGCACUAUAAGUUGGUUUUUCGAACUGUUUUGUUCACAAAAGUAGGCACGUUUUUACCACCAAAUAAAAUAAUGCCAAAACGUGUAUCUAUCUAUAUUAUUAAAAUUAAUAUAAUUUUGGUAUUGUUUGGAAAUAUGGAUAACAUAAUAAAUGAGAAUUGUUUGGAGACACAUGUAGUAGAUUAAAUAUUUAUUUUUAUUUACACAUUUAGUCAAUGUUUUUAUAAUAAAUUAAAUACUUCAGUUUUGUAUUUUGUUUUUAUUUACACAUUUCAUCACUGUAUUUUUAAUCAAUUUAAGUUAAUUAAUUACAAUGUUGUUGUUUCUUUGUGGUGAAAAUAAAAACUAAAACUAAAAUAUAUAGUAUAUAUAUAUUAUGUAAAACAAUUUUUAAAUAUAGUAUUACUUUGUUUAGUUUAGUCAAAUAUUAAAAAAAUUGAGAAUUCAGUUUUCAAAAGAACAAAAUAUCAUAAAAUCUAUAAUAAUAAAGUUGGGUAUGCUAUUUCCUCAUUAAGCCACAUCAGCACGAAGGGGUGGGCAAAUAAUAUGUUACCGGUGAUGUGUGUCUAUGCUGCAUAUAAAAAAAAAGUAUUUCUGGUUUUCAUGGAAUUACGGUGACGUGAGCAAUUUGGUGUUUCGAAAAGCAUGGCAACAAGACACAGAUGUGAUCCACAAUGAAAGGAGUAACGAAUAGAGAUUUUUCUUUGAUAAUUUAUGAUUUUUGUUGGUAUGUGAUCUGACUUUCUCUCCAUGUAGAUUGAUCGUUGUUUCACCGCUUCAAGUGAAUCGAAGCAUAGAUUUGAAAAAAAUUUCAUUGACGUACGGGAUGGAGUCUAUCACUUGGGCAGGAAAGGAUUAUCUUGGUCUUUUUAAUACUAGGAGAAAAAAGAGUGAGCUUUGCUUCGUAUGGAGUUUGAUCUUCAGCCGUGUGAUACUUCUUGUUGGGGCAAUAGUGGACUUGUUGGAAGUGGAGUCUACAGCAGGAAAACAAAUAUUUUUGUCAGAUCGCUUUUCCUAAGUGCAAGGUUCAUCCAUUUUUCUCUUGUGGGAUCAUUGUCACGUGGGAUGUGGAGGAGUCUGAGUUUAUAUAUCAAAUAUUAGAUCAUAGUUUAUCUUCCAUCAUUACAUGUUUAUGAUACACGCUAUGGUAUCACAUAUAAAAGAAAGAAGAUUCAAAAGUAAUAUUUCCUUAAAGCAUUAAGAAUAGAGUUUUGGUAUUUUUUCUUUUAAGAUACUUUAAGCAGUUUUUCAAAUAUUCGUAGGGUUAUGAUUUGUAUAACCCUAUAUAAAAAAAGAUCUAAUCUUAUUAUAUAAAGUUUAGCUCUUCAAAGUUGUUAAUUAAGAUGAUGAUGACACAUGACAAUUAAAAAUUUAAGAUGAUGACAUAUGUUAAAAUUUAUCAUAUUUAAUAAUAUAAAUAUAAUAAGAUAAUAACACAAAAGAAUUAUUUAAUCGUAGUUUUCCUUUUUAAAUAUUAAACAAAGAUAAUAAUAGCAAAACAUUAUUUGAUGGUUUUUACUUGACAGUAAUUUCCUUUUUGUAAUUUGUUUUUCCUUUUUACAAUUCCUAAACAAAAAAUAUGUAUAAUAAUUUACUUAAUAGUAAUUUUUCGUUUUGUAAAAUAUUUUUUUAAAAAUACUAAAUAAAGAUAACAUCAAAAGAUUAUUUGAUAGUUUUUUUAGUUGACAAUAAUUUCAUUUUUAUAUUUUUUUUCCUUUUUACAAUUCCUAAAAAAAAUAUGUAUAAUAAUUUACUUAAUACUAAUUUUCGUUUUCUAAAAUAAAAAAAAUAUAAAUUUGAAAAUUUGGUUGAUAGUAAUUAUCCCUUUAUAAAAUUUUCUACAAAAUGAAAUUGGUUAAAAAGAGUUUAAUUGUAGUUUUCUUUUUUUUCAAAUCUAAAAAAAUGUAAAAUAAGUAUUUCAAAUAUUUUCAUAUAAUAAUAGACUAUAUUAUUUAAAUACUAAAUUUAUGUUUAAGAAAUCAUAAUCCAAAAAGGAUUACAUUAUUUUUUUGUAACUGAAAGGAUUACAAUUAUUCACAUCUAUAGAUAAGAUUAAACUCUCCUAUAUUUUGUGACCAAACAUAAUUGCUUAAUAUAUCAUAAUUAAUCAUAUAAAUAUAAUAAGAUAAUAACACAAAAAUUAUUUAAUAGUAAUUUUCCUUUUUAAAAUCCUAAACAAAGAUAAUAGCAAAACAUAAUUUGAUAGUUUUUAGUUGACAAUAAUUUCCAUUUUCUGAUUUUUUUCUUUUUUACAAUUCUUAAAAAAAUGUAUCGUAAUUUACUUAAUAAUAAUUUUCGUUUUCUAAAAUCAUAAAGAAAAUAUAAUUGUAAAAAUUUGUUUGAUAGUAAUUAUCCUUUUAUAAAAUCUUCUACAAAAUAAAAUUGUUAAAGACUGUUUAAUUGUAGGUUUCUUUUUUCUUCAAAUCUAAACAAAAAAUGUAAAACAAGUAUUUCAAAUAUUUCCAUAUAAUAAUAAACUUUCUUAUUUAAAUAGUAAAUUUUAUGUUUAAGAAAUCAUAAUCCAAAAAUGAUUACAAUAUUCUUUUCUUUUUUUGUAACUGAAGGGAUUAGAAUAAUUCACAUCUAUAUAUAAGAUAAAACUCUCCUAUAUUUUGUCACCAAACAUAAUUGAUUAAAAUCAGAACUCUCUCAUAUAAGAAAAACAUUAGGUGCACUUUUUUUUAUAUAACUUUAUAAUUAUCAUAAAAUAUGAUGUUGUUGUGCGUAAGUUAUUGACACAAUUAUGUGUGUUAGUUCUUAUAGUCGAUAUAAAAUUGGUUAUUUUGUCAUAGUAAGUCAAUGUCAACAUCAAUUUAUUAUGUUACGUCAGUAACGAUUGAUCAAUGCAGUAUAAACGGUUUAUUAUGGUUAUGUGAGUUAGAUAAUAAUUUUAAAUACUUGAACAAUUGUUAUGAUUUUGAUUGUCAUCAGGGUUUAGUUAAAAGGUUAACCACACACUUCUUACAAUAAGACUAUGUUUGAAAAUUUUUUUUACUAUUUUCUAAAUGAAAUUGUUAUUUAAUUUGCUAUCAUGCAUUAUCAAGGAAACAAUGAAUUCAUAAGGUUAUUUAACACUAAAUCAGUUAAAAUAUUAAAAGAUAAGAAAUUUGAAAAAAGAAUAAUGAACUUACAGGAAGGAAUAUCUCAUACUUAAUAAACGUAAUUUAAAAAAAAAAAUCUUUUAAACUUUUUAUUCAAAUUGAUUUUUUAUUAUAUAGGAAAAUACAAUCAAGGUUGUGUGCAUCAUUCUCUUCUUGAAAAGCUUGGAGAUGAACUAUGUGUAGAAAUUAUUAUCGACAUCUUCUAUUUAUAAUGUGCAAGAUUGCAGUAAGAACUAUAAAGUCUCCGAUCAUAAAUUUCAGAUAAGAGUGAUUGAGAGGACAACAACUGUAUAUGUGUGAAACAAUUACCUCAAAUACUCUGUGAAAAAACAUUUGAUUUCAACUACAAUGAUUUUGCUCAACUUAAAGAUACAAGAAACUAUUAGUUAGAUGAUAACUUUCAUGCAUAUAUAUAUAUAUAUAUAUAUAUAUAUAACUGUUUUUUGUUACAGACAGGAAAAUCAUGGAGGGAAAUCAAAGACCACGAAGCCAGGAGUGAAAAAACCAACGCCACAGAAGAAGUUUUGGAAAAAAAUAACACCGGCAGAGAUGGCGGACACUGGCAGAGAUGGCGGACACUGGCAGAGAUGGCGGACAGAAGAGCAAAAGGACUAUGUUUUAAUUGUGAAGAAUUAUACGUACAUGGUCAUGUGUGUAGUCCUGUUCUUUUCUAUAUCAUGCCAGUCGCGGAGGGAGACAACCAUGAAGAUGAGUGGAUUGAAGAAGAUGAGUUAGAAAUCUCACUCAAUGCCAUGAAUGGGGAACAAACCGAGGAAACCUUCUAAGUGCAAGCUAAUUUUGCCACAGGAACAAGAUGGUUGUUACUAGAUACGGGGAGCACGCACAACUUUAUCAAGAGUAGUUUGGUGGAGGAUCUGGGAAUUCCGAUACACCGGAAAUCCAGGUGGUUUGUCGCUCUUCCUGAUGGUGGAAAAUGUCCGAUUCAGGGGUUUUGCCAAGGAAUGGUAAUGUCUGUACAAGGGCACCAAUUCAAAGCCGGCUGUUUUGCGAUUCCGUUAAAAGGUUUUUAUGUGGUUCUCAGGAUCAGAUGGUUGAAUGCUUUAGGGAGAGUGAUCUGGGAUGGACUGAAUAAGACUAUUGAGUUCCAUCACAGCUCUACACCGGUGGUAUGGCACGGUGAAUCCAAAGCACGUGGGAAACCACAAGUAUCCCUUCAUGCACUAGAGUGUGAUGGUGAGCCAUUGGACAACUGGUUCUCUGAUGAAGAAGAAGUGUUCACCACACCGGGGUUUGCUAUAUCACCCAUAGCACAUGCGCCAAAACAAAGCAUCUGGGCCUUGGCUCAAGUGCCAACAUCGGACUUGCUCGAUAACAUAAUCAACAAGUUCAGUAUGGUCUUUUCAAAACCCAUCGGCCUGCCCCCUAAACGAGAAUGCGAUCACCGGAUCAGAUUACUUCAAGGAUCCAAUCCAGUAGCAGUAUGUCCGUACCGCUACCCUCACCUCCUUAAAGAUGAAAUAGAAAGGCAGUGUACAGAGAUGCUUCGCAACGGGGUCAUUCGUCCGAGUAGUUCUCCGUUCUCCUCUCCGGUAUUGUUGGUGAAGAAAUCUGAUAACACUUGGAGAUUUUGUAUUGAUUAUAGAGAUAUCAACAAAAUUACAGUGAAAGACAAGUUUCCGAUUCCGGUCGUCGAUGAAUUACUUGAUGAAUUACAUGGAGCUCGAUUUUUUACAAAACUCGACUUAACAUCAGGGUAUCAUCAGGUUCGCAUGUUCGAAGCUGACAUUGAGAAAACAGCUUUUCGCACCCAUCAUGGUCACUACAAAUUCUUGGUAAUGCCGUUUGGUCUUGUCAAUGUCCCAUCCAACUUUCAAAGCCUAAUGAAUUCGGUGUUUACUGAGGUUCUUCGCAAGUUUGUCUUAGUAUUCUUUGAUGACAUCUUGAUCUAUAGUAAGACGUGGACGAAUCAUGUACGACACGUUGAGUAUGUGUUAGAGGUGUUACGAACACAUCAGUUGCUGUUAAAAAGGGUCAAGUGUUCUUUUGGAACGCAGGAAGUGGGCUAUUUGGGACAUAUUAUCUCAGAGAAGGGUGUACAAGUUGAUAAAAAAAUUUGAAGCUAUUACUAAAUGGCCUCAACCAGCAUCAUGAGGCACUCUCUGAAUCUCCAGUAUUGGCGCUCCCAGACUUCACCAAAGAAUUUGUUGUAGAAUGUGACGCUUCAGGAAGUGGGAUUGGUGCGGUUCUCCAGCAGGAAGGUCACCCCAUCGCUUUCUUCAGCCGCACGUUAGCAGCUCGCCAUGUCAAGCUGGCUGCAUACGAACGAGAAUUGAUUGGGUUAGCUAAAGCAAUGAUUCAUUGGAGACCGUAUUUGUGGGGAAGACGUUUUCUCAUACGUACAGAUCACUACAGCCUUAAGUAUUUAUUGGAACAACGUCUCUCGACAUCUCCACAAGUACACUGGAUCAGUAAGCUACUUGGGUUUGAUUUCUCAGUCGAGUAUCGUUCCGGGAUGACAAAUAAGGUUGCUGGUGCUUUGUUUAGAUGUCAUGAGAACGAUUCAGAUGAGGAUAAGGAAUUACAUGCCAUCAAUGUUUCUGAGGAUGGUAUUUUGGCUCGAGUUCGCAGAGAAAUUCAGAACGACGAUAAGCUAGGCGAACUCAGAGAUAAAAUCAUUCGGGGCGAGGAAUCAGAGAUAUGGGAAGCAAAGGAUGGUCUUAUUUUUCGCAAAGGGGUAGUUUAUAUGGAUUCAAAUUCAGAUUUAGUCCGAGAUGUUAUGACUGGUUUUCAUAAUUUUGGCCAUGAGGGUAGCCAAAAAACUAUGGAAUGGAUCCGUUGGAAUUUUUAUUGGAGAGGUUGGAAGAAAAGUGUUCAAGAAUUUGUGAGCACUUGUCAGAUAUGUCAGAAGAAUAAAUGGGAAACGCUGCAGCCCGCGGGAUUGAUGCAGCCACUAUCGGUUCCAACGAAGAUAUGGGCUGAUAUCUCGAUGGAUUUCGUCGAGGCAUUGCCAAAAGUUUCAGGGAAAACAGUCAUCUUAGUGGUGGUUGAUCGCUUCUCAAAGUAUGUGCAUUCUAUCGCUAUAAAUCAUCCUUAUACUGCUGUCUCUGUGGUCCAAGAUUUUUUUCGAGACAUUGUCCGAUUGCAUGGUAUCCCAGAGACAAUUGUAUCAGACAGAGAUAAGGUUUUCGCAGCAUUUUCUGGCGGGACCUCUUUCGACUUAUGGGUACCAACUUGUGUUUUACAACAGCCUAUCGGCUACAAUCCGAUGGUCAGACUGAGGUGGUCAAUCGGACUCUAGAGAUGUAUCUUCGGUGUGUCACGGGGGAUGAACCACGAAAAUGGCUUACAUGGCUUCCUUGGAUUGAGUAUUGCUAUAACACAUCCUAUCACAUUAGUCUAAAGGAUACGCCAUUUAGGAUGGUUUAUGGAAGAGAGCCACCUCGUCUUUUAGACUAUACUACUGGAAGUUCGAAAGUAGAAGCUGUUGAUGUUGCAUUGGAAGAGAGAGAUGAGUUUUUAGCAUCAGCAAGAGAACGUUUACUAAACGCUCAGAACAGAUUGAAAGCAUCCUAUGAUAAACAUCAUCACUCAGUCGAGUUUGGCAUAGGGGAAUGGGUUUUGUUGAAGUUACAUCCGUACAGACAGAUCACUAUUCCUAAGAAAGCUUUCACAAAGCUUUCCCCAAAGUUUUAUGGACCAUUUGAAGUACUACCUCGCGUGGGAACUGUUUCCUACCGUCUUCGUCUUCCAGAUCGUGCUCAAAUCCAUGAUGUUUUCCACAUCUCACUACUGAAACCACACAAAGGAGACAAGCCCGACACAAGUCAUGUGUUACCACCGGUUUUACAAGGACGAGUGUUACCAGCUAAACCAGUGAAGUUUCUUCGAGCCCGUACUCAUGGUGAAGUUCGUCAGGUUCUGGUGAAGUGGACUGUUGAGGAAACAGAGACUGCUACUUGGGAAGAUGCCCAGAAGUUAACAGAAGCAUUUCCAGAAAUAGAGCUGGAGGACAAGCUCUUUGUCGAGGAGAGGAGUAAUGAUACACGCUAUGGUAUCACAUACAAAAGAAAGAAGAUUCAAAAGUAAUAUUUCCUUAAAGCAUUAAGAAUAGAGUUUUGGUAUUUUUCCUUUCAAGAUACUGUAAGUAGUUUUCCUAAUAUUCAUAGGGUUAUGAUUUGUAUAACCCUAUAUAAAUAGAGAUCUAAUUAUCAAUAAGAACUAUCUUCAGCAUUAACCUUAUUCUCAAGAGAGACUAGGGUUAAAGGAAGCUUUUGCAAACAAGUUCUUUGUUUCUUACUUACAAGCUACGGCUCCGGUUACUCGAGCUCAGGCUAGGCGACAGGCUCAUAUCAGUUUACAACUGUUCUAAGAGAGUUCGAUCGUGUAUGUCGUUGGAUUGCAUUGGCGUCCUUAUCAAGAGUGGCUAAAAUUCAUGUGUCUGAUAACACUGAAAUCAUCCGGUGAUGAGCCAGACUUUCUUACUACCGAGGUGUCACAGUUUGUUAGACCUAUAUGGCUCAUGCAUGGUGAUUUCGCGUUUCUCACCAUUGCUCUUACGGCGACUACAUUAUUGUUCAUUUCAACAUUUUAUGUCUAGUAUAAGUCUCGUGAAGGUGCUUAUAUGUACAGAAGCGAAGCUGUGUGCUAUCCACAUUGGGAGUAUACAGAGGCGGAUGUACAUGGACCAAUAGGGUGUCACUUGACACACCCGUAAUUUAAAAAAUCAGUUAUGGUUAUGUGUUUUUAUGAAAAUGAACCCCCUUAAGUUUGACAUUUGACAUCUGAUUAAUGUAAGCUCAAUCCUUUUGUAUGGAAAAUAUUAAAAGUCCACUCCAGCAUAAAUAAUCAGUACUAGAUUUUGACCCGCGCUUGAAAAGCGCGGGUUUGUUUUUGUAAUUAAAUAUAUUUUAAACAAAUUUCUAUAUAAGAUAAUGUAUAAGUUUGAGCACAUUUAUCCAAAAACAUAGACCAAUCCGUACUAAACUGAAAAACCAAAAUUGAACUGAAUUGCAUAAAUAAUAGAGCAAACCAUAUAUCUAUGACUGAAAAAUUGAAACCAAACCGAGAACCAAAUGAGUGCCUGAAUUUUCAAAUAAAAAUUAUAUAUUUAAAAAUAUUAAUUACAUUCAAUUUUAAAUAACCAAAUAUCAUACAAAUUCUAUUUAUAAACCGGAUAACCCGAAAACUUGAAUUACCUGAAUAUUUUUAUUUGGUUGAUAAAUAAUUUAGUUAACCAAAAGUAUAAAUUAUGUAUAUAAUUAUUUAUUUAAAAUAUAUAUAUAACUAUGUUUAAUAUAACACAUAGUAUCAAAACUAUUUUCAAAAUAAUAUUAUGUUUUAAUAUAAGUAAAUUUUGUUCUAAAACACAAUUCUACUGCUAACCUAUUUUAAAGUAUCGAUAUAGUGUUAAUACAUAACUAUGUGUUUUCAAAGUUUUUAGAAGUUAUCACUAACCGAUUUAUAAUUAGUUAGACUAAAUAUUUAACAGAACCAAAGAUAAAUAGCAAUUUUCUGAAAAUAUAGCAGAUGGAAAGAUUGAACCGGUUUUAUGUAGACCAUAAUCAUAUAUAUGGAUUCGUAUAAGAACUAGUUUGGUAUUAAAUAAUACAACCAAUUUGGAAUAUUAAGUUGUGACAAACAUCCUUUAGUUUGUGAAAGAUAAUGCUGAAGUGUUCAUAUAUAUAACAUGGUUAAUGAGAUCAGUUUAGUUAAUAAGGUUGGUCUAAAAUAAUGGUUGAUCUCUGUAAAAAAAUUUUUUACAAUGGAUAUUGUAUUAUGUUUAUAGUCUCCAAAGAUAUUUACUAUUAAAUAAAUCACAAGUAACCAUUAUAAAUAUAGGGUGGACAUUAUUUAAUAAUAACACAAAAUAAUUAUGAUGGAAUAAUGUGUAUAUAGUAAAUGUAUAUGUAGAGAAUUAGGUUAGUAUCAUUUUUUAUGACUAAUUUAUCUUUAGUGAAGAAUAAUGAAGUAAGUUAGUAGUAUGAGAAAUAAUAGAAAUUCUAGUUAAAUGAAAUGGUCCAACUAUGACUUGUUUUAAGUAGAUUUUUAGGACUCCUUCCCUUUUAAUAGUAUUGAUUUCUUUAGCACAAAUUUGAAAAAUAGAAAAAAACAACUUGUUGAUCAAAAGAAAAAAAAAACAGGCUUAAAUAAAUAAUUACAUCAAACGUAAAGCCUAAUAAACCUUUAAACGGAAUUGGAAACGUCUCACAUCCAAAACUUUCGUCAUCUUCCCUAGCAACUUAUAAAAAAUCACACAUAUUUUUUUCUCUUAAUUUCCAUUAGUAACUUGUAAGUUUAUAUUUAUAUUUAUAAUUGGAGAAAAUUACAAACAAAAUUAUAAUGAAAAUAUUUCGUGAUAUACAAGAUCGUACAAUGAUUUUGUAGAACAUUGUUAUAUUUUAUAAAAAAAAAAAUUAAUAUUCAGAAUUUUAGCUAUGCAUUAACACCGAUUAAAAAAAAUCAUGGGUCCACCACUGGGAAUAUAUGUUUCCAGCCAAGGCCGAUAUAUGUUGUUGUGUGGCACUGUGCAACUGUUUUAAAAAGGGACGAGCUUAUUUGGAUCAUUUUUCAUAAUGAACCUCUGUGUUUUCUACAGACGAAAAUGACGGGUUAUUGAAAAGAAACAAGGGUUGCGCGCAAGUGGAACCAUUAUGAGUCAUCUUCAAGUGUAUUCGAGCAUAUUGGUGAUCUUCGCAAUAUUUUGUCUACAUGUCUUGCAUUGUGGAGUUUGUAUGCUGAGAAAAGAAGCUUUUCCUAGUCAACGGCUUGGUUUCAGUUAUACAUCCAUAACCUUGAGUUACGUUACUUGUGCAUCAAGCAACUACUCGGGGGAGUCCUUUAGUUGUGUUUCAAUGUUCAUUGUCACGCCCCUGUUUUUCUACUACCAUCGUCAAUUGGUUUGUCUGCGUAAAAUUUAGUACAUUAUUUUGAAAGGGAGAGAGUAUAACAUAAACCAAUACUAUACAAAUAGCCUAAUUAUAAAUAGGCAAGGUACAGCUACAUCGCAUUAUGCUUAAAAUCUUUUCAUGUUAAUCAAAUGUCCAUUCUCAUCUAAGGACAGUCUUAAAAAGUAAGAAUUUACUUAUAUGAUAAAAGAAAUAACUUCUGUGGGGUGUUGUUGCCCAUCUUAAAUGUUUGCCAAGAGUAUUGCUGUUAUUAGUUUUGUGAGCAUCUCGUCUUGUUGAUACAGAAAGCAUAAACUUAUUAAACAAUAAACACAAUACUUAAAAAGAAAGUUUUAUUUCAUCAAAAAAAAAAGUUUUAUAUUCAAACAAAACUUAAAAACAAUACUUAAAAAGAAAGUUUAUUGUUAAAUAAACGUUGGAGGAAGGAUAGGGAGAAAGUGUGCAACGGCGGUGGGGAGCGUGCGGCUUAACAAGAGAAUCUGACGUUUUCCGACCAAACUCGUACCGUACAUAUCAAGAAAACGUCAGCUUCUGUACUGGCUUUAUUUUCGCGGAAUAAAUCACAUAUAUCUUUUUUUUUUUGAAACACAAAUCACAUAUAUCUAUUUUCAGGAAAUAAAGGCAGUAUGAUUUUGCGUUCCAGUGCGGCAACCUAUCUUGUCGUUUUCUUCCACGUCACCAACGUCUAUCUAUCUUUUUUGACAGCCGCCCAUUUACAUCACGUUUCUUAAACUCGAACAUUUAAUAUCUCAACUAUAUUUCUCAUAAAUUUCCGAUAGUAUCUCUCGCAACAAAUAUAGAAAAACCUCUAUAAACUAAUACUCGAUAAAUUAUUAAUUUCUAUAAAUUAAUAAAUUUCUUCGGUCACAACUUGGACCGAUGUAAAAUAUGACACCAAUCAAUAAAAUAAUAAAAUAAUAAUAUUUUUUAAAUUCACAUGUAAAUAUAUAGUCUCAUUAAAAUCAUAAAUUAAUAAUAUAUCUCUAUAUAUAUUUUAUAUAAGUACAAACUAAACAUUAUAUUAUAUUGUUGGUUUUAUAUUCACAAUGAAAAUACUUUUAUUUUUCUUAAUAUUUUAGUAUAUUUUAAUAAUAUUUAGUAAAAUUAUAUCGAAAACCACAUAACAAUUCUAUAAAGCAUAACAAUAUACACCAAAUAAGAUAAUAAAAUAAUAUGAAAGUCAAUUUUCUAAAAUUUAAAUAAUUUGUAUAUGGUAAAAUCAAGUAUUUUUUAUUUUUAUAAUAAAAAAUAAAAAAAUAGAAAAAUCUAAAAAAUGAAAUUUUUGUAAAUUAAUAUCUCUAUAAAUUAAUAAAAUUUUAAAGUCUCUCUAUUAUUAAUUUAUAGAGGUUCUACUAUAUACUGAACAAUAAGUACACUGAAAUCUCUAUAUAUUAAUAAUGUUGGGACUACACCAAAACUAUAAUUUUUUUUAUUAAUUUAUAGAGAUAUUAAUUUAUCUAUAUACUAACUGAACCAAAAACUCAAUUUGGAACUAUAAAAUUAUAUUAUUUUAUAAAGAUUUUUAGUGUAUAUUAAUUUUUUUUUACAGCAAAAAGAUUACAGACUCAUAUAGACCCUGUAAACCAAGAUGGUAACUCUGAAUUCAUGUGUAUGACGAAAGACGGUUGUUGCCGAGCACUACGUGCCAAACUAUCUGCCCUUGUAUUCUCCGUCCUAGGUACAUGAACAAUAUCUGAGUUGACGAAACUUCUUCUCAGCAGCUUAAUAUCUUUCAGGUAGCUUCAAAUGCUGGUCAUGGAUGCUUUUCUACCUCUGGUUAGUGAGUUCUGGUCUACUACCCCGAGACUAUUUCAUUCGACUUCUGCUUUGUUCAGGUUUUCCAAAAAGCUAAAGAAUCUUAAGCCACUCAUUAGGGAGUUGGGUAAGAUGAAGCUGGGAAAUCUAACAAAGAAAGCUAAAGAAGCUCAUGAAGUCUUGUGUGAGAAACAAAAGAACACCUUAUCAAUCCCGAGUGAAGUCUCUAUUCAAGAGGAAGCGGUGGCUUAUGAGAGGUGGAUUUAUGUUGCUAGUUUGGAAGAGGAUUUCUUAAAGCAACGCGCGAAACUCCAUUGGUUGGAUGUGGGGGAUCAGAAUAAUAAAACAUUCCACAAUGCCAUCAAAUCAAGACAGGCGCAAAACACUAUAAGAGAGAUAAGGUGUCAGAAUGGCUCUACUGUCACCCAGCAACAGGAUAUUAAGGAGGAAGCAGUCAGAUUCUUUUCUGAGUUUCUCAAUCAGAUUCCUGAGGAUUAUUCUGGUGCUACUAUGGAAGAGCUGAGAGAGUUAAUAGGAUUUCAGUGCUCUGUGGAGGAGUGUAAUCUGUUGGAAGAGGAAGUCACGGGGGAGGAAAUAACUAAAGUUCUAUUUGCUAUGCCAGCUAAUAAGUCACCUGGUCCUGAUGGAUAUCCAAGUGAAUUAUUCAAGACAGCCUGGUCUAUUAUAUCCCAGGACUUCAUUAUAUCUGUUCAAUCAGUAUUCAGGUAUGGGUUUCUACCUAAGGGGGUGAACUCAACUAUUCUGGCUUUGGUUCCUAAAAAAUCUGACUCAUUAGAGAUGAGAGAUUUCAGACCAAUAGCAUGUUGCAAUGUGAUCUACAAGGUGGUUUCGAAGAUCAUAGCAAAUAGACUGAAGAGGAUUCUUCCGCGUAUAAUCUCUGCAAAUCAGUCUGCUUUUAUUAAAGGGAGACUAUUGUUGGAGAAUGUAUUGCUGGCUUCAGAGUUGGUUAAGGAUUAUCAUAAGGAUGGAGUCUCGCCUAGAUGUGUGAUGAAGAUCGAUAUUUCGAAGGCGUUUGAUUCGGUUCAGUGGAAUUUUGUUCUUCAGAGUCUUGAGGCUAUGGGUUUUCCAAUGAGAUUCAUUCAUUGGAUCAAACUCUGCAUAACUACCCCUUCUUUCUCUGUUCAAGUGAAUGGUGAGCUUGCAGGGUACUUCCAAAGUAGGAGAGGGUUGAGACAGGGUUGUUCUCUCUCGCCGUACCUCUUUGUAUUGUGCAUGAAUAUAUUGUCUCUCAAGAUAGACCAGGCGGUGAGUAUGAAGAAAUUCAAGCUGCAUCCUAGGUGCAAAGCUCUAUCUCUCACUCAUUUAUGCUUUGCGGAUGAUUUGAUGGUUUUUGUGGAGGGUACGAAAGAAUCCAUUGAGGGUGCUCUGUAUGUUUUUGGGGAGUUUGCAAAGUGGUCGGGGUUGAAAAUUAGUAUUGAGAAAUCUACAGUUUAUAUGGCUGGAGUUGAUGAUGAGGAAAAAAGAAGAAUUUUGGUUAAUUUUCCAUUUGCAGAGGGUACAUUACCUAUCAGGUAUUUGGGUCUACCGUUAAUGACCCAGGCUAUGAGAAGGCCAGAUUAUCUUCCUUUGAUUGAGAGAGUGAGAAGUAGAGUUGGAACCUGGACAUGUCGUCAUUUAUCUUACGCUGGCCGACUCCAGUUGAUCAAAUCUGUGCUGGUUAGUAUGAUUAAUUUUUGGGCAUCGGUGUUUAGACUCCCAAGCAAGUGUGUUAAAGAGUUGAAGCAGAUCUGUGCCUCGUUUCUAUGGUCAGGUCCAGUGUUAAAGUCCUCGGGUGCUAAGGUAUCAUGGAAUGAGAUUUGUAAGCUAAAGAGUGAGGGAGGUCUGGGUUUGCGCUCUCUGAAAGAGGUUAAUAUUGUCUACGGAUUGAAGCUUAUAUGGAGAAUGCUUUCUGGUGAUUCCCUGUGGGGGAGUUGGGUAAAAACAAAUUUACUAAAGGAAAAGAGUUUCUGGGAAGUAAAAGCUAAUAUGCAAGUUGGAUCUUGGAUGUGGAGGAAGAUGCUUAAGCUCAGGCCUCUAGCAAAGUCCUUCUAUAAGGUUUAGAUUGGGAAUGGCCGUCACAUUUCCUUUUGGUAUGAUAACUGGUCCUUAAAGGGUGGGCUAAUGGAUUUGUUGGGUGAUAGGGGUAUCAUUGAUAUGGGUAUCAGGAAGGAUGCUACUCUUGCUGAAGCUGCUCUAAAUAUGAGAAGGAGACGUAACCAUCGUUCUGGUAUUUCAAAGGAAGUUGAAGCUGAGUUGGAUUCUGCUAGGGUUUGCAUUCAGAGAGAAGUGGAUGAUGUUAGUCUCUGGAAAGGAAGCUCUGGGCAUAAAGAAACGUUCUCAACAAACGAUACUUGGCGAAUGAUAAGAGGGUCCAAUGAGCAAUUCAAUUGGGCGCGGGGGGUUUGGUUCUCUAUGGCUACUCCGAAGUUUGCAUUUGUAUCUUGGUUAGCUAUGCUGGACAGGCUCUCUACUAUGGACAGGAUAUCAAAGUGGUGCAGGGGAGCUGAUACUAUCUGUGUGUUAUGUAAGGCUGCUGCAGAAACCCGUAAUCAUUUAUUCUUUGAAUGUGAAUUUUCAUCGCAGUUGUGGAGUCAUCUCAGCAGUGGAAUUCUAAUGAAUUCUUAUACUAACGUUUGGCCUUCACUUGUGCUGAUGAUUUCAAACAGUAGAGGUGAUAAGAAGAGGUUAUUUUGUAUUAGAUAUGCAUUUCAAGCUGCAGUCUAUGCAAUUUGGAGAGAAAGAAAUAGGAUCAGACAUGGAGAAAAACCAAUGCCGCUGUCUAUGAUUAAGAAGCUCACAGAUAAGGGUGUUAGAAACAGGCUCAGCCUGAUGAGAAGGAAUGGAGGAAGGGGUAUGGUGGGAGCUCUUCAAUUUUGGUUCCAAACAAGAGUAUAGGAAUUAUAUGAGUUAAGGUUGCUGGAAAUUUGUAUUAACCAGGUCCACACUUAGUUGUAACAAGGCUUUUUGAUUGAAUAAAAAUUUAACAUUCUUUCAAAAAAAAAAAAUGCUGUCAUUCCUUUGGUUCUGAAACCAUCUUCACCAAUUGAAAAUAAUCCGUUGUAAACGUAACCUGAAACCGUCUUAAGUUUCUCAUGCAUUCCAUUGCCCAAAUUAAUGUCUCCAUCUCUGCAUGAAGCGGUAAAAGACAUGCCCUUACAUUCCUUGCUCCUAGUAAACCAUCAAACCUGGUAUUGUACUGAGCCAACAUUGCCCUGAAAAUAGAUUUUUAUCUUUCCAAGAACCAUCUGUGAAACACCAUCUUCCUAUGGUUCAUACGUUAGGCCUAACAUGUACUUCAUGUGCACACCUGUUGUUACUAACAUGUGCCUCAGUCCAAAGUGUUGAUUCGACUUCUGCUAAUCGAAGUGUUUCCCUCGGAUCAAUAUCAAGAUUACUGAAAACUUUAUUGUUCCGACUUUUCCAAAUGUACCAUAGUAUUCAUGCAAACUGAUGAUCCUCCAUCUUUGGAUUAAUUCUCCAAAAUAGAUAGUCCAUAUUAGCAAAGCCAAUAGAAAAAAAAAAAUUUAUUGUUAUUGUUUAAUUUAUAGAGUAUUAAUAGAGGUUAUACUGUAUUUGGUUUUUUUUUUUUUGGCAACUACUGUAUUUAGUUUUAGAUUCAGUUUACUCAGUUAAACUAGAUUGUAACUUGUUUGAUUUACUCAGUUAAAACAAGGUUAACAUUAGUCUUGCCAAGAACAUGAUUACAUACAUGGAUUAGGUAUGUUGUGUGUUUGCCUAUUAAUAUUUUUUUCCCUUUUUAAUGACAAUUUGCUUCUUUCUAUACAGUUUCGUAGACAAUUUGAUUAGUUUUUCCACCCGGAAAACCGGUUAUGUAAAGUAGAUAUUAUAGAAAGUUUGUGGAGGUGGUUUGUCUUCUGCUAUUCUAAAGUCGGACUAAACAUAAAAAACUGUCCUUACCCGAACCUAACCGUUAUCGUCUUUUUUUUUUAAUUUAAUUUAAAUUCAACUCAAAAUGUGCGAAUAUUAUCAUAGCUUUGCUAGUUGGGUUUCGAGAUUUUGUCUCUUUAACGACCCACUUUCACCACUCUCUUUUUAUGCGCGUACAGCAACAAGCCUAGCAAAUUGACUUUGAUUGAUCCCCACGCUCCUCUAUACCUUUUUUUUCCACUGAAAAUAUAUUAUUAGCUCGAACCCAGUUCACAAGAAAACAUACGGCCCAAAAAACCGAGCCAAACUAAAACAACAAAACAACAAGAGGCAUAAAAGCCCAAGAUCAAAAGAGCCCAAUAGAGUCGAUGACUCGAUCUACAACACGCAACACGUGUUGAACACGGAGCGAACGAGAAACACGUGUUGACCAAACCAUCGACACCACGACUGGAGAGUCAUCGCCGGAACAACUCGCCGCCGAUCCACCGGACACACCGGAAACAGGACGUCGAAGAGAAGAAGCCGUCGAGAUGACUCUGGCAAUAACCAAGCCACAACUCCAAGUCUUUUGUCGCAGUAAUACCAUAAGUCGGUGAGCAUCAAUCGACCCUAGUCGAGAGCAAACCAUAGCAUUCGAAACACCAAAAACGCCAAAAGAUCGAGUCAAGAGUUCUUGCUUCACAAAUAAAGAUUUCAAUCAAAAUCAACCGCUUCCAACCAAUCGAUUUUCCUGCAUGUAGCUACAGACACCUUUAAUGAUUGAAGAAAGCCCGAAGAUGCAUCAGCCUUAACCAAGGAAGGAAAAAGCAAUCUUUGGAGAACCGCUUGCGUGGAAGAAGCGUUGCCCAGACUAAACCGGUUUCCGGUUAAACUAUUUCCUUAGAACUGCUGUAUAAAUAGUUUUGUCCUCGAACUUCUUGUGUUAAACAUCUCUCUCAAUCAACAAUUACAGAGAGAAAAUCACUAUAAAUUCCGAAAUAAAUCUUUAUUUUAGAAAAAAAAAAUCAAUGGCGGAUCGGAUUAAAGGUCCAUGGAGUCCUGAAGAAGACGAGCAGCUUCGCAGGCUCGUGGUUAAAUACGGUCCAAGAAACUGGACGGUGAUUAGCAAAUAUAUUCCCGGUAGAUCAGGAAAAUCAUGUCGGUUACGGUGGUGCAACCAGCUUUCGCCGCAGGUCGACCGCACGAGCAGUUCGGUAACAAAUGGGUGACGAUUGCUCGUCUUCUCAACGGUCGUACGGCUCCGUAAAGAAUCACUGGAACUCGACGCUCAAGAGGAAAUGCGGUGGUUUUGACCGCCGAAGAGAUCGGUGAGCGACGGCGGCCCACCUGUUGCUAAUGGGCUUUACAUGAGCCCAGGAAGCCCAACUGGAUCUGAUGUCAGCGAUUCGAGUACAAUACCGGUUUUGCCCUCUGUUGGGCUUUUCAGGCCCGUUCCACGCGCGGGUGGUCCGCUUCUAGGGCUGUCAAUUGGUUGGGUGUCCAUGGGUCUGACCCAGUCCAGACUGUGUUGGGUGGGUGUUGGGUGAACCCAUAACUUAAUGGUCCAGUUGGGCUACAAAACCGAAUUUGCCACUGGGUUAACCCAAUACAUUAAAAAAUUAGGUUUUUUAAUUUUGGGGAAAAUCAGAUUUUUCCAUUUUACGAUUCCCUGAUGAAAAAUCUUCUUCUCGCGAUGAAAGAUCCUUGAGGCUUCUCUUCAUCUCGAUUCGUCUUCUCCAACCAUGAUUUCUCUGGUUUAUCUCUUCAUCCAUCUCGGUUUAUCUCUUCAUCCUUCGAUUUUUAUCUCUUCAUCCUUGAAUGCUUUCUCUGGUGAUUAUUGAUUCUUCUUUAGCUUUAUUUGAUUGGGUUUCUGUUUAUAGUUUUGCGAAAAGACUUUGAAGAAUCUAGGUGGUAAUGCAAAAAUAGGUUAAUAAUCCAUCUGACACGUGUUUGGAUUUGGUGAACCGUGCUCAUGAGUCAGUCUUUUGAGUUGGCAAAAGGAGGCUUCUUGGAGAAUCAUCUUCGGAGUUGUUGUGUGUCUCAGAGAUUCAAGGUGAGUCUGAGAGCCUUGGAUCUACAAGUAUUGAUUCUUGGGAAACAUUCCUUCCUGUGUUGCUCUUUCUCUUCGCUAACCCAGAGUCGUGCUUGUGCUAUCUUCGUCCUAUUUCCCUUGAUCAUGCAACUCCUAAACCUUCUCUGUUUAUUAUCUAAAGUGAAGUGGAUCCUGGUUGCUCACUAUUUUUUUUGUAGCCUUGUCUGUCUUCACCUUGAGUUUCCCUUAGAGCAUUUGGAGCUUGAGAACUUAGUAGAAUGUUCUCGUGUCUUUUUAGUUCCUUUGGUUGCUGGUACAUCCUUCAGGCCAGAUUCAAAGAUGGAUAACUAAAGAGUACUCUUCAGGCUUUUAAUUCCUUUAGUAAAAAAUUCUGAUUCAUACUGAAGUAACAUUGGUGCAGAGAGGCAAUGGGAGGUAGGUCUGUCCUCUUUGGACACCGACCCAUCUUUUUUAACCCGGUUAUUCCAAUUUUUUACGUCAGUCCCAAACGUUGUUUGAUAGUCUUUACCUUGCUUUUACGAUAGGUUGGGGAUAUCCGGUUUAAACCGGAUAUGUUUUCCCAGAUUUCAAGAACUGAAGUGAGCGAAGCUUUUCUUUCUGUACGAAGGCUCCAUCAACCAAGAGGGCCGUGUUUAGUUUUUAUAAUUUGUAAAUCUUCUUGUUUUGAUGUUACUUGCCUCUUGGAGAAAGCUUAUUGGAGUCGUUUCAUAACUGGAUUGUCUUGGUGAUGAUUGGAUUGGUCUAUUGCAGGUUACAUAAGCUUUUCCAUCAGUUCGUAAUGGAGGGGGUACAUUUCAACCUUCGAUCUCGGUUUAUCUCUUCAUCCAUCUCGAGUUUUAGCUUCAAAUUCAUUUUUUGGUUUUUUUCUUAAAAUCACUUCAAAAGCUUCGUUCUGAUUUAGUUUUUUUUUCUCUAGUUCUGAUGAUAAUGGUAUGAUUUCUCUGAUGAUAAUGGUAUGAUGUGAUUUAUUCCUCUCCAGCUUGCUUUAGUUCACGACCGUUGUUCCUUCUCAAGGCGUUGAGAACGUUGGAGUAUCAACGUUGGAGUUUUGGAGUUUUGAGAAGUUGCUGAAUCAGACCCUCUUAAGCUCUCUCUCUCUCUGGAGGUAUGAUGUUUCCUUUUUAUGAUGAUGAGCCUCGUUUGCAUAACUGAGUAGUCUCGUUAUGUGUUGUGGCCUUGUGGGUUUUGUGUGUUCAUGUUUCUGAGAUUCUACUCAACUUUUAUUCUCUUAACUUGAGUCAGUCUCGUUAUUGUUGUGGGUUUUCUAUGUUCAUGUUUCUGUGUUCACAGUUUGCUAGUAUUAUUAUGUGUAUCUUUUAUAGAUUGUCUUCACUUGCUAGUAGAUAAUGUACUGCUCCUUUCUCAUUUAAAUAUUUUGCUGUUUCAGAAAAUGGAAGCGAUAGACUUGAAUGAUGAUGGUCAGAAUGAUUUGAUGGAUGAAGAUAUAGAAGAUCAUGAAGUUAUUGAGAUUUCAGAGGCUAACAGAGGCACGCCACCAAGACAUGCUCAGUCACGCCGUAGAGCUAGGUUGUGGUUAAAGUUUACUAUAAUUGGAGGACAGCGGCCUGAUGGUAAAACCAAGAUCAGAUGCAACCUUUGUAAAAGGUUCUACUUCAUUAAGCUUCGCAAAAAUGGAACCUCAACCAUGUCUCGUCAUUUGAAGGUAUGUCCAAAAGCUGUUGGAACACCUGGAACACCUAGAAGUAGUUCUAGGAAGGUGGAUAUGAUGGUGUUCCGUGAGAUGAUAGCAAUGGCCAUUAUAGAGCAUGAUCUGCCUUAUAGGUUUGUAGAGUAUAAGAGGAUUAGAAUGGCUUUUACUUAUGCUAAUUCCAGUAUUGAGUAUUGGAGUAGAAACACAGCAGCUUCUGAUGUGUUGAAGAUUUAUGAACAGGAAAAGCAUGUGUCUUCUUUUGUGAAAGAUACAACCGAUCAUCCAAGACAUCACCCAAUCCCUUCAGAAGAACCGGAGCUACAGAGUAGAGUUUUUCUAUAGAGACGGUAACAAAAUGGCAGAUAGGAUAGCAAAGGAAGCUUUUUCUCUUUUGAAUCAUGUUCCUAAGUUGUAUUCUAUGGUGCCAAGUUGAUUGAAACCAGUGUUAGAGGCUGAUAUGCCUUCUGUAGGACUGAACUAUGAUGUAGGUCUGAACAAUAUUGGUUAAUGGAAAGUUUGUUGUUGAGCCAAAAAAAAAAAAGAAUCUUAUGCUACCAGAAUAAAAACAAAGGACAAGCUGCACAAAGUUGGUCUCCUACGUACUUCUAUCUCCCGCCGAUAAUGUCCUUAUCAUUUUUAUCUCUCUUUUUUUUUUUAAUUUUCUACUUUGAUUUUCCAUGAGCUCCUUUUUUAACUUUUAUCUACAUACAACAAUCGUAUGCUUUCAUGUGUCUUCUUUUGUGUUAAACAUGUGUUGCUUUAGUAGGUUGAACCGUAGAUGUUGAACCUUAUUUUUUUCCUUUUUGCAGGCUGAGGACAAGUAGAGAAGCUGGAAGCUGAGAAGAAGUGAAUCAAUAAAUCAGAGAGUUAUAUUUUUUUUUUACAUAAAAGUAUAAAACAGAGCUAUCAAAACCUUAAAAUUGUAUCCACAUUUGAGAGAUAAUUUGUAUUCAGAAUUUGAGAGAUAAUGAGUUCAAAACCUUAAAAUUGUAUCCACAUUUUUUUACAUCAUAUUUGUAUUAGAGGUGAACAAAUACAAAUUAAACAUUCAGCAGAUUUGAGAGAUAAUUUUUUGACAUUAAAUUGGGCUUAAACAGAGUUGCUAAUCAUGGGAAAGCUUGGGUUGGUCAUAUGGGUGUUGGGUUAAGUUGGGUGUGGGCUAGACAGGGUGUGGGCUAGAUGUGGGUGUGGGUGUCUUGAGACCAGGAAAAACAAAUACCCAUUGGGCGUACCCAUUUGGGUGUGGUCCAACCCAACUGACACCCCUGUCCGCUUCCCACCGAAACGUCGUCGUCUUCUGGUGACCCAGCGACUUCCCUGAGCUUGUCGCUUCCUGGUGCUGACGUUAGCGAGGACUCAACUAAUAUCAACACUUUAAGCCGCCGCCAAAACAAAAACGCAGAAUCGUUCCUACCGUUUUCCGGUGGAUUCCGAGGUGCGAUUGAGGAAAUGGGGAAGUCGUUUGCUGGAGACGGCGGCGAGUUUAUGGUGUUGGUGCAGGAGAUGAUUAAUGCGGAGGUGAGGAGUUACAUGGCGGAGAUGCAGAGAGACCGUAAUGGUAUUGUGGGAUAAUGGAAUGUUUCCGAUUAAGUAAAAUUGGUGUUGGGAGCAGGCCCGUCUCAAUGUUUAAGAAGGCCCAGUGCAUAAAUAAUGUAAAAUAAUUUCAAAAAGGGCCCUAAAUUUUAAAAAACGGGCCCUAAAUUAUAACUAAAACUAGGUAAAAAUUUUGGGGUCCAGUGCAAAUGCACUUUGGGCACACCCAUAGAACCGAGCCUGGUUGGGAGAAUGGCGUAGACAAGUGAGAGCUUAGAAACUGUUACAAUGAAUAUUACAAAUUCUUUUAAGAAAUGUGUAGAGAAAAUCGAGUGAGCAAUCUCAGUCCAUGAACCUAGAGACGAUGAUAAAAUUUAAUAAAAUACUCGAAAUAAGCUUUUUUCUUUAUAAGAAUGUUAAUGAUCAUCGAUAAAUUAUGUGAAUGAUUCACUAAACUGGUGCCAUUUUUGUAGGAACCUUAUUUUACUACCAUAGCACAAAUGAUAUUUGUAAAGAAUAAUAAGAACAUAUAUUAAAAUUACAAUACCGAAAUAUCAGAGUAAAAACGAAUUGCAGAGUCGAGAUAGUUAAUUUCUUUCCUUAAAUCUUUAAACGUUCCGUAGUGUGACGGAUUCAUGGCGCUCAGAUUCCCAAGAUAAAACUGCAGCAUUGUUUCUGUUUACCAUCACCGAAAAACAGAAUCUAUCGAUCCUAAUUUUGUGUUGUACUUUCAGACUCAAAAUAAAUAAAAAAUAAACAUAAUUAUUCAUAAUGGGAGAUAUUGUUUUUUUUUCUUUGUUGUUGUAUUCAAAAUCACUUGUAAUGAGAAGACCAAUAGCUAUUAUAUUGCCCACAGACCAAACCAUACGUUUGUCAUAAACCACACCUUCAAUGUAAGGUAAUUAAUAUGGAGAUUUGAGAAUUAUUCUCUCAUUAUAAUAUGGAUGUGCAUUUAAGCAGAAGUUACAAAAUUAAAAUCAACUUUGCAUUCAUUCUCUUAAAUCAUGUUGACCAUGUCCAUUAUUAUUAGAAAAGAUAUUUUCCCAUUUCUAUUUUAACUUUUGUCAACCACAAAGUCCAAAAUAAAGACUGAGACCAAGAAGACCAAAACAUGAAAUUUAUUUAUGGUCCAAAUAUCUUUUCUUAUACAAUCAAAGUGUUAAACUUUAAUAUAUUUUCUCCAUUUUAAAUAAAAGAGGAAUUAAACCUCAUAUUUCUAAUAUUGAUAUUUUAUAAAUAAUCCAUUUUAGACAUUCAUUUCUUAUUCAAAACCAACUCCGAUUUUGACAUACAAGUACACUAUUUCAUAGUGUCAAACAUUCGGUUAUUCCAACGAACGUCUUCGUCCGAAAACUUACCGGAAAAUGGUCUAAAACCAUUUCGUAAAAAACGAGUUCCAACAAUUUCAUAUCUCUCCCAAUCAACAUUAAAGCCAAGACUUUGACUUAGUCAACUUGGGCCGUCUCUUACUAUUUGAACUCUGCUGCGCUAGGCAUUGUGUAGUUGGAACCUACGUAUUCACGAGGACUCAUAGCCCUAUUGGCAAAAAAGGGUAUCUAUCAUUUUCGUUCGAGCUAGGAACGUGCACUAUUGGAUUUUGAUAAUAGGUGAAAUGGGUUCAGCCCAAAUGGAUGAAUUUAUUGGAUAGUGAUCGGCCCAUUACAACUAUCUUGUGUUUAGACAUUCAGUUGACAUAGGCCCAUUAAUAAAUCCAACAUCUAUGGGAUUAUGGUUCUGCUCUUAUCAAAAUUUGUUCAGAAAGGACUCCAGUACUCAAUUGUUUUCACCAUUCACGUCUUUCUUUAGAAUUCACAUUAACUUCCAGGUAGACUGGGCAAGCAGCGUCUUUGGCUUUGGAAGAGCAAGAGGCACUGUUUGUAAUUCUCCCGUGACUAACGAGCUCUGAUAGACGUCCUUGUAAGUACGUACGAUCUUGGCCCAGUUUUUAGGACCAUACUUUUUAAAGCCCCCCAAACAUUGUUUGGUCUUCAGCUGAAGAAAACAAACGGGCGUUUCUUAUCAGAGGCUUUGGAAUUUUUACUGGUCAUUGUCAUGUAACGGUCUUUGAUGUUAACUGAGUACAUCUUCGUAAGCACCUCUGAUACUGGACCAGACAUUUAGUGCGAAACUUCUUAAACUCAUCAAGUAUUGCUUGGUCUUCAGUUGGAGUAAAUUCUUCUCUUUCUCUCCUACUAUCGGUGGUCCAGCUACAUUCCCCAAGGAACUAAGGUUCCUCACAGUGAGCUUCCACCCAAGGCCAGGAGCUCUGUCAUGGUCUUCAUCAAAGAUGGUGAUUGAAAAAGUCGUUGCUAUCACCAUGUGGAGGAUGAGAAUAAGGAAGAUUUGAUCCACAGAGCUCACACUUAAUCUUGUCGUGUGGAAAUUCAAAUAAGUAAAAAAAUAAUUAAAUUUUCUACGUAUAUGUAAAGGGUUUAUAUGUGAAAUAAUUAAAAAAAUAGAUUUGUACAAGGUAGAAAGAGAUAGGAAGAAAGGGUAAAGUUUUGAUUAGUUAAUGUAUUGUAGUUUUUUUGGUCAUUUGACCUAAUUUUCCUUUAAAAAAUCUAGAGAGAAAUAAUAAGAUGUUAUUCUAUAUUGAACCCAACAAUAUAAAACCUAUUAUCUUAUACCAUCCUUCAAAAACCCAAUAACCAACCAAAUUCUAGUCAUGACUAUAAGUUCAUAUCUCAGAAAAGAACUUUUGCUUUAACCUAGUAAAUCAAAAUAGUUAUUAUACACUACCAGUUAGUGUGGAUUUGUAGAGACACCCAGCUUAUCCUUGUGGCCGGAGAAUAUUUACUUUUUUGAGAUAGCAAAGAGAAAACAAAGAGCUAUUACAAAGAAGGGCACUACAAGGUCCGUGACUUUAUUCUUUCCAUCAAGCCCUUUAAUUUUGUCUCAAUUUACAACUAUGUCCAGCUAAUCGCUACGGGACUAGCCACCACGUGUUUCCCAUCUGACCAUUCGAUGCUCCCGAAGCUAUUAGACCUAGAUGCCUUGGACGAGUUUACUGUAAACGUCACUGAAUGCGAUUUCUUCUCGUUUAUAUCUUUGAAAUUCAAAACCGCUGGUUCAACCGAAAUCUUCACAUCAGUAGUCUCCGAAUUUACUUUAACCGAGUAAGACCCGGCUCCUCCCACGCUCGUGACAGUGCGCGUGUACUUGAACACGCUGGAUCCGUCAACGUUAACGGCGAACGACGGAUAGUUUAGAUGAGCGACGGAGUAGGAUUUACUCGGAUCGCAAGUGUAAUUGCGUCUCGACACACUUGUGAUCUGCGACGGUGUGUAAUUCAAUGCACAGAGGAAGCCUAAGUAAUCCACCGUCGUUAGAUCGUAAAUAAGUCCCGGAUUGAUCGCCGUCGUCGGCAACACGUGUCCUGCGCCAUGGUCAAACGGCGUUGAAGGUUUCCCUGUCGUGACGUCGAUGAUCGGUUUCCCGUCGUUGUAAGUUUUGUAAGCGGUGGUCAUGAGAGCCGAUCUGAUCGCCGCCGGGCUCCACUCCGGAUGCACGGAGUUGAGAAGCGCAGCUAAACCGCUCACGUGAGGGCAAGACAUGGACGUUCCUGAGAUGAUGUUGAACUCCACGCGUCUAGCAUCGGAAGCUAGACCGGUAGGUCCCUUGGAUCCGGUCCAACCGGCGAGGAUAUUAACUCCCGGUGCGAUUAAAUCCGGUUUAAUAAUAUCGGGUGUGAUCGAAUUAGGUCCUCUCGAGCUAAACGCCGCAACAACCAGACACGGCUGGACGUUAACAACGGUCCCUCGAAUCAAAACCGAAGCGGUUGGAUUCGGAUCGGUUAAGACGUAAUGCCGGAUAAUAUCACCGGCCUUCUCUCAUACCGCGGUGGCAGGUAACAAAUGAGCAUCCGCCACAAGCUACUCUCCGUUCUCCGCCGUGUUAGCGAGAAUCAUCCCGAGUCCGCCGGCAGCCUUCACCACCUCUCCUUUCUGAACCCUAGCGUUCACUCCUCUAUCGCACAUCACGAUCUUCGCCUUAACUUUCUCUGGAAUCAAAGUCCCGGGCCUGUUGACAUGAAGAAUUAAACAAAGGGAAUAAUAGAGGAAGUAGGAGAAGUGGCCAUAUCACUUACCAAAUAGGGAGGAGUGGCUAGUCCAAUACUAGUUAGUGGAGGAAGUGGGAGGAGUGGCCAUAUCACUUACCAAAUGGGGAGGAGUGGCUAGUCCACUACUAGUUAGUGGAGGAAGUGGGAGGAGUGGCCAUAUCACUUACCAAAUGGGGAGGAGUGGCUAGUCCACUACUAGUUAUUUAUUCUUCCACCAUUGAGUGCUUAUUGCUUUUGUUUCCUUUAAAUACACCAUGUAUGUUACACAAUUAAACACACAAUUCAAUACAAACAUUUCUUUCAUUCUCUCAAUCUCACAAAUCCUCUCAUUCUCUUAAAUUCGCAAAUUUCUCUUCUCUCUCAAAUACUUACGGUUACUUCACUCCUUUUUUUUUUACUUUGUUUGUGUGCUUCAUCACGGUUAAAACACUUAGAAGCUCUCAUAAUCCCACAAAUUAUCAUGGUAUCAGAGCAGCAACAAUCUUGAAACCUUUCUAAAUUCCGCAAAAUCAAAACUCUGUUUCUAGUUCUUAAACUUUACCUCUGGCCAAGUAAAUCCUCAAAAUGGAGAACAACAACAAUAACAACAACCGUAUCAGCAUACCUGUGACCCUGAAGGGGAUUAACUACCUCUUGUGGGCCAGGAUGGUGAAGAUUGCCCUUGGAGGAAAGGGUUUGUGGAGUCAUGUCUCAGCAGAAGCAGCUCCAAAACAAACCACCCAAGGAGAAGAUGGACAGGAGAUUGUGGUAGCUACUGAUGAAGACAAAUGGGCUCAGGAAGAUCUCAUGGUUCUCACGGUGCUCCUUAGCUCCCUAGAACCCGCCAUCAUGGAGUCUUACUCCUACUGUGAAACUACCAAGCAGCUGUGGGAUGCACUCUACAAAGUGUAUGGAAAUACCUCCAACCUUACAAGGGUCUUUGAAGUAAAAAGAGCUAUCAAUACCCUCAACCAAGGAGAUAUGGAGUUCCAGCCUCACUUUGGCAAGUUCCGGUCUCUUUGGGCAGAGAUGGAACUACUCAGACCACAUACUACCGACCCCGCCACUCUCUUAACCAGGCGUGAAGAGGACAGAGUGUUUGGACUACUGCUCACGCUUAAUCCAUCUUAUGGGAGCUUAAUCAAGCACAUCCUGAGAGCUGACAAGUUACCUGACCUGGAUGAAGUAUGCGCUCAAAUUCAGAAGGAAGAAGGCUCUGUGGGCUUAUUUGGAGGGCAAGGGAGACUUAAACAUGGCACAUCAAGCUGAACGAGCCGUGUCAAACAAGGCAGCUUACAAGCUAGAUGAGAAGAAAAACUUGACCUGCGAUCACUGCAAGAAGAAGGGCCACAUGAAGGACAAAUGCUGGAUACUACAUCCGCACCUCAAGCCCAACAAAUUUAGGGACAACCGCCCUCAAUACCAAGAUGCAAGAGCCAACUUCUCAACUGAUGGUGCUGAGCCAACAACACCAAUCACCAUGGGUAUAAGCAACCUAGGUGUGGGAAGAGCUACUGCCUCCACAUCAGGCUAUGCCACGCCACGCCAAGAGCCAAUCUAGAUGAGACCAUCAAGAAGUCUGACUUAACCGCUCUCAUCAAGGCUCUCAAGGAAUCUGGUAUAUCUAAAACUCUUGGUAUCUCCCUUAAUGCUUCUCACAAUGCAAAUGGUUCUAUGAAUAAUUUUAAAUCGGCUAAGCCCUUAGUUAUAGACUCUGGUGCUUCUCAUCACAUGAUAAGUGAUUUAAAACUGAUUAAGAACAUAGAACCGGCUUUAGGAAAUGUGAUGAUAGCAAAUGGAGAUAAAAUUCCAAUAAAAGGUGUAGGUGAACUUAGAUUGUUUGAUAAAGAAUCUAAAGCUUUCUAUAUGCCUACAUUUGCCUCAAACCUACUGUCUGUUAAAAAAGUGACUAAUGAUCUCAAUUGUCAAGUUACUUUCACGCCUAACAGUGUAUACUUUCAGGAUAUUGAUUCUAGUAAGUUGCUUGGCAAAGGUGUUACCAAGGGAGACUUGUACUUACUUGAGGACACAAGACCUGUAUCUCAAUUAUCGUGUGUGUUUCAUUCUGUUUCUGAAUCCCCUAAAGAUGAAAUCUGGCAUGCUAGACUAGGACAUCUCCAUUCUCGUGCCUUGAACAUCCUGUUGCCUAGUAUUUCUUUUAAAAAUGAGUGUGAAGCGUGUAUAUUAGGAAAACAUUGCAGAACUGUGUUUCCUAAAUCAAAAACCCAAUAUGAAAACUGCUUUGAUUUGAUUCACUCUGAUGUGUGGACUGCUCCAUGUGUAUCUAGAGAAAAACAUAAAUAUUUUGUGACAUUCAUUGAUGAAAAAUCUAAAUACACAUGGAUCACUUUGUUGCAAUCUAAGGAUAGGGUGCUAGAAGCAUUUAAAAAUUUUCAGAACUAUAUUACUAACCAUUUCAAUGUUAAGAUUAAAAUUCUUAGAUCAGAUAAUGGUGGUGAAUAUACUAGCACAGCCUUCAAACAACAUCUAGCCUCACAUGGAAUCAUUCAACAAACCAGUUGUCCUUACACACCCCAACAAAAUGGUGUGGCUGAAAGAAAGAAUAGACACUUGAUGGAAGUGGCAAGGAGUAUGAUGUUCCAUACAAAUGUACCCAAGCGGUUUUGGGGGGAUGUAGUAGUCACAACCACCUACCUAAUCAACCGCACACCUACAAGAGUCCUCUUUGAUGCCACCCCAUAUGAGGUACUAAACAAAUCUAGACCAUCAAUUGAUCAUUUGCGUGUGUUUGGGUGUGUGUGCUUUGUUUUGAUUCCAGGAGAACUAAGAAACAAACUGGAGGCAAAGAGCACAAAGGCAAUGUUCAUUGGAUACUCUACGCACCAAAAGGGGUACAAAUGCUAUGUACCAGAGACAAGGAGAGUCCUAGUAUCCAGAGAUGUUAAGUUCAUGGAAUCCAAGGCCUAUUAUGAUGAGAAGAGUUGGGAGGAAUUCAAAGAUCUAUCUCAUUCUGCCUCGGACAGAGCUAACAACCUGAAGAUUCUUAUGGAAAGACUCGGCAUUAACCUAGAAAAGGAACCAGAGAAAUGCCGGGAAACUACUCCUUAUAAAGAGACCAUGGUUCAUAACACUGAAGACUCUCAUCCUGACCAUGAAGGGGGAAAUGAAGAUAAUGAAGAUCAACCGGCGCAAGCUCAACCUGAAGAAAACCCAGUAUUAUCUCAUGAUCAAGAUGAGAUGGGACAACCAGACACUGAAGCUCAAGAAGGAGAACCAAGCAGCAGUAAUGAACCUGAGCAGACACAAGUACUAAGGAGAAGUACAAGGAUCAGAAGACCAGCCUCAGAUUGGGUUAAAAAUGAUUUUGUUUACUACAAUGCUCAAGCUGUGGCACAUCCAGAAAGUGGAUUAUGCUCCCUAGCUCACUAUCCAGAAGAACAUCAAGUCUUUAUGAGUUCAUUGGACCUGGAAUGGAUACCAAGAACAUAUGCAGAAGCUAUGGAAGAUGAUGAAUGGAGGAAAUCGGUGGAUGAUGAAAUGAGGGCCAUGGAGAAGAACAACACCUGGUAUGAGACAGAACUUCCAAAAGGAAAGAAAGCCGUGACCAGCAGACUCAUACAUACCAUUAAGUAUCUUGCAAAUGGGAAGCCAGAAAGAAAGAAGACCAGACUGGUGGGAAGAGGAUACACACAAGUGUAUGGAGAGGACUAUCUAGACACCUUUGCACCAGGGGCCAAGCUUCAUACAAUCCAGAUUCUACUCUCAUUAGCAGUGAACCUAGAAUGGGACCUUUGGCAAAUGGAUGUGAAGAAUGCUUUCCUGCAAGGAGAACUAGAAGAUGAAGUGUAUAUGAAACCACCUCCGGGGAUGGAAGAAAUGGUGAAACCAGGGAAUGUCCUUAGACUCAGAAAGGCAAUCUAUGGCUUGAAGCAAUCACCAAGAGCUUGGUACCACAAGCUAAGCACUACAUUGAAUGGAAGGGGAUUUGUGAAGUCUCAAGCGGAUCACACACUCUUCACUCUCACCAGCAAGCAAGGAAUUAUAGUAAUUCUAGUCUAUGUGGAUGACAUCAUCAUCACGGGUAGUGACAAGGAGGGGAUCAGUUUAACCAAGACAUUUCUCAAGGCCGCAUUUGACAUCAAAGACCUGGGAGAACUGAAGUACUUCCUUGGCAUUGAGAUGUGCAGAUCAAAGGAAGGAUUAUUCAUGUCCCAAAGAGAGUAUACCCUGGACAUAUUAAAGGACGCAGGAGAUCUUGGAGGAAGACAUGCCAAGACACCACUUGAAGAAGGUUACAAGGUAUUGCGAGAGGGGGAGUAUGAAGACACUCCAUUUGAAGAUGUCAAGCAGUAUAAACGGAUGGUUGGGAAGCUGAUCUAUCUAACCAUCACUCGGCCAGAUGUGUGUUUCGCAGUUAAUCAAGUGAGCCAGCACAUGCAAACUCCCAAGGUUCAUCACUGGAACAUGGUGGAGAGGAUUCUAAGAUACUUAAGAGAAGUGCCAGGACAAGGUGUAUGGAUGGCUUGCAACAAGAACACUGAGGUGAUAGGAUAUUGUGAUGCAGAUUGGGCUGGAGAUAGAGUAGACAGAAGGUCAACCACCGGUUAUUGUACAUUCAUUGGAGGGAAUCUUGUCACUUGGAAGAGCAAGAAACAGAAAGUAGUAUCUUGUUCAAGCGCAGAAGCAGAGUACAGAUCAAUGAGGAAGCUAACCAGUGAGCUUAUCUGGAUAAAGGGGCUUUUAGGCGACUUGGGAAUUGAGAUCACCUCUCCCAUGACCAUGCACUGUGACAACCAAGCCGCAAUACACAUUGCAUCUAACUCAGUCUUUCAUGAAAGGACAAAGCACAUAGAAGUAGACUGCCACAAGGUCAGACAAGCAGUGGAGCAGCAAGUGAUUCUCCCAUGUUAUACAAGAAGUGCGGAUCAGCUGGCUGACAUCUUCACCAAGGCGGCCAGUAGCAAAGUUUGUGAGUCCAUUCUUCCAAGACUUGGACUCAUAAACCUUCCAUGUCAAUGAUCUCCUCACCGUGGAGUAUUCUACUCUUUUUCCUUUGCUUGGUUUUUAUCCCAAGUGGUUUUUCCAAGAAAAGGUUUUAAUGAGGGAAUACUACAUGGCUUUCCAAGCUUGACACUCACUACUGUCAAGCUUGAGGGGGAGUGUUGACAUGAAGAAUUAAACAAAGGGAAGUAGUGGAGGAAGUAGGAGAAGUGGCCAUAUCACUUACCAAAUGGGGAGGAGUGGCUAGUCCACUACUAGUUAGUGGAGGAAGUGGGAGGAGUGGCCAUAUCACUUACCAAAUGGGGAGGAGUGGCUAGUCCACUACUAGUUAUUUAUUCUUCCACCAUUGAGUGCUUAUUGCUUUUGUUUCCUUUAAAUACAUCAUGUAUGUUACACAAUUAAACACACAAUUCAAUACAAACAUUUCUUUCAUUCUCUCAAUCUCACAAAUCCUCUCAUUCUCUUAAAUUCGCAAAUUUCUCUUCUCUCUCAAAUACUUACGGUUACUUCACUCUAUUUUUUUUUAACUUUGUUCGUGUGUUUCAUCACGGUUAAAACACUUAGAAGCUCUCGUAAUCCCACAAAUUAUCAGGGCCCACAUAGAUUCCCAUUAGCCGCGUUAGUAGCAUUCCCCGCGUAAACAAACGGCAGUGUUUUAUCCGGAAGGGCGUCUCCUUUAAACAACGAAACGCCCGAGUAAUUCUUCCCUUUUCCGAGAACCGCAACCGCUGGAAAAUCGCGAUCUAUCGUACCCACACCAACGGUGGUGAUCCACGGAGCUACGUUUGAUAAAGUUGACGAGCUGGGACCAGAAUUACCGGCGGAGCAGGAGACUAAUAUCCCUCUCUCCAUGGCCGCAAAUGCUCCGAUCGCGACGCUGUCUCUAUAAUAAUCCAACGAUAUCGUCGACAGCUUUAUCGAUCGCAGCUAAAAUAUCGGAGCUGAAACAACCGCCUUCCCAACAAACUUUGUAAACGGCCACGCGAGCGCGUCGCGCCAUCCCGCGGGCUGCCCCGCUAGCGAAUCCCAAAAGGCUAGCUCCUUCCACGACGGAUCCAGCUGCGGUUGACGACGUGUGGGUCCCGUGGCCGUCGUCGUCUCUAGGAGAUCUUGAUUCUUUUGACUCGUCCACUGGUCCCAUCGUGGCUUCGUAGCCGCGGGCGAAGAAUCUAGCUCCGAUUAGUUUGCGGUUACACAGCGAAGCCGUGAAGUUAGUUCCAGCCUCGCAACCGCCUCUCCACGUGGAGGCGACCGGACCUAAUCCAACGUCGGAGAAGCUUUUGCUCUCAGGAUCCACGGGGAGGCGACCGGACCUAAUCCAACGUCGGAGAAGCUUUUGCUCUCAGGCCAAACUCCGGUGUCGAGGACCCGGACGACGACGUCGCUGGAGGAGCCGGUUUCGGGGAAGAGGUCCGCGUUAUGGACAUCGAGGCCGAGGAAGAGUGGAGUGCGAGUGGUGUGUAGCUCGUACCGGUGCUCCGGUAGUACCGAGAUGACACCUGGCAGAGUCAUGAGCGAGUCGGCUUCUUCGGGAGUUAGCCGAGUGGAGAAUCCGUGAAUGGCGUUGGCGUAAGUGUAGAGGAGCUGAGCAGAUUGUGAGACGGAUCUGAGGGAGGAGUCGUACCAUAGAGAGUGGAGGUCGAAGCCCGACGGCAUCUGAGACUGCGCCAUGUGAACGAUGUAAGUUGCAUGUUGAGCUCCAUCCGACACGUGGCAGAAGCCAUGAUGGAGGAGGAGGAAGACAGUGAAGAAAGCAGCGGAGGAGAGAAACGAAGAGUAAGACGUAUCUUUCGGUAUCGCUCUGAAUUUGGACCAAGAGUUUAUUAUAUAUAGUAAGUAGAGAGAGACAGGAGAUGCUAGUGAGAACACACAAAGAGGUUUUCGAUCGCUAGUAACCGCAAGCUUCUGACACUGUCAUAACGUGCCGUUUCUCAGAUCUCUUUGUAUCGGUUUUAUAUUCCCAAACCCGAACCAGAUCUCAACUCCUGCCGUAAAAGACAAAUCUAUAAAGCUAACUCCAAACCAUUCUCAAUUACAACUAACCAAUGAAUCCUUCUUCUAAACGGAAUUAAUUAUCAUCUGUAAACCCAUAUUCUUUAAGUAAGAAAAUAUACAGUCUAUCCGACUACAUAUAUUAAAAGUUACUAACCAUUUUGUUCCACGCAUAAUUAAAUUAUAAUUAUCCGUGGAUUCAAUUAUGACAGUUAGAUGAGCAGCAACAAGUAGAUAUAUUAAUUUGCGACAUGUGACCUUGAUUAUUCUUAAUUAAUCAAACCUGCCUAACACAGCUUUAAUCUGUUUCCUCACUUGUAGAUAACUUCCAAAUAAUAGGAUGUGACAGAUAAAUCGCCUAUUAUUUUUAUUAAACCGACUAAUUAUUGUCUUAGCUCCGGUUCGCUUGAAUACGGUAUGGUCGUGUCCACACUCCACAGUCCACUCCAGCCCAGUUAAAUUCCCCUAAAGAAGGUUACGGUUUUUUUUUGGUCAACUAAAGAAGGUUACGUUACUACCCCACAUUCAAUGGAUUCCAUCGGGGAGUGGAGUCAACAAUUUUCUCUUUACCUCGAACUAAGUGUAUACAAAAGAAUCUAGAUACUCGUGAGUCUUUUAUGUUCGUAUAUGGACAACAGUACAAUAUACUCCUGUCCAUAUUAGUUAUCAAAACGUCUUUAUGUCCACACUAUUUAGAGCCAAACGUCUUUAUGCAAUUACUUCUACACCAAAAUGUAACGGUCCGUGGAUGCCAUAAGAGUGCUUUGUUUCAUUUGGUUUAGCAAUUUACUCUUUGUUUUGCGUACAUUGAUUAUUUGAUUACGCGCAUAAUCAUGAUUUAUGUUUUGAAAACGUACAGAUACAUAAGGAACUACUUUUCAUACUAGAUAUGAAUGGGUUUGGAGAAAGACAUCAUCAACUAACCAAUGCUUUUGAGUUUUGACGGUCGGGAUCCAAAUAAUGUGUGUGGCAAUUAUCGAGACUUUGGUUCGUAUGGUACGACAUGAAGUAACGUGUCUUUACAUCAGAUCAGAAUUCACGAAAACCAUAUCUAAAUAAUUAAGCUACAUUUGAAAAUGUUCAUAUUGUUAUUAGUUUAUGUUUUAUUUUUUAUAAACGAGCAAAUAAGAACAUCAGAAAGCUGGCAGGCUGGUCUAUUUUAUCCGACUCUCAGUAAUAAUGCCACGAUGAGGUAUUGAAUAUUGUCCACGUCCCUGAUUGAUUUCAUAUAGUAUUAAAUUUUGGGAAAAAAUAGUAUGUAUCAGGGUUUUAAUUGGACCAUGCUAUUUAUCUUCUUGUUUUAGAACUUGGUUAAAAUUGAACUGUGUGCCUACAAAAUUCACCUCAUGAACAUUUCUCUUCUUCUUUCAGUUAUAUAAGAAGUUAAAAACUAACGCAAUCUAUCGAAAAGUAAACUGAUGAUUUUAGCCUUUUAACCGUGAAAAGUUAUAUAGGCCGUUAAUCUAAGCCAUUUACAUGAUUAAGUUGGCCAAUUAUAGGCCCACGUAAUCCACAUUUUGUAAAAUAACUGGUACGGUAUUUGGCAAUUAUAGGCAUUUUAAUCAAAACUGAAAGACCACAUAGUGCAUUUGUGUUGCUCUAUACUAGUUUGACAAAGUACUAUUUAACAAGAUCAUCCCAUUUGCAGUAUUGACCACCGGCCAAUGUAGGCCUGGGCAUAUUUCCCGGAUCCGAAGAUCCGAACCGGUAAUUACCCGGAAAAUUGGGUUUCGGAUCGGAUUCGGUUAUCAAAAAUUACCCGGUCGGAUAAGGUUUAUAAUUUGGUUGGGUACCGGGUCGGUUUCGGGUUAUACCCGGGAUCCGUACGGAUAUCCACUUAACCCGAGUUAGCCUAACAGUUAGUAAGUAGUAAUCUAGUUACCCUACACUAGUUAAUGCGCCCACGCGUCCACGCCUUAGACAAGUUCUAUUUCCAAAAUCCAAUCUUCUCUUGAUACUCGUAAUCGCCGUUUCUUCUUCAGAUGGUCUUAAGCUGCUUAUUAAAAGAGCAGACUUGUUGGGGAGAUGAUUAUCGGAAACAAAUCUCAAAUUCAGUCUCUCCCUCUUGCUUCUGAGUCAUCGAGAAACAUAUCUCAAGUAAGAAUUCUUUUUUGCAUGUCGGUUUUGAUCAUUGAACGUAGGAUUGUCUGAUUGUGUUUCUGUUUAGUUCUUAUGAUCAAUUUAGUUUUUGCAUCUCGUUUUUUGAUCAUUGAUUGUAGGAUUGUCAGAUUCUGUUUUUGUUUAGUUCUCGUGAUCAAUUUAGUUUUUGCAUCUCGUUCUUUGAUCACUGAUUGUCAGAUUGUGUUUCUUUAGUCUUUAUCACUUGAAAUCGAUUUGUUGUGUAAAGAUGGGAUUGAAAUCAAUUUAUCUUCUCUUAUUGAUGUUCUUUAUUUUGUUCAACAUCUUAUUGGUGUUCUUUUAUUUGUAGAUGGAUUCUUCACCAUUGCCAGAUAACAAUGACUCUGAGACAGAGAAUGGAGUUCAAGCAACCCAAGAGGAGAUAACACGGCAUGAUAAGAAAGGCAAAAGGAAGGUUCGUUCAGGAGGUAGUUCUCAGCCAACUACAAAAAAGCAGUCAAGCACAAGGUCUGAUGUCUGGGAACACUACACAAGAACAGAGGACGACCGUGACAAGUGCAGAUGCAACCAUUGUCAGCGUAUCUUCGGCUGUGCGUCUUCGCAAGGAACUUCUAACCUUAGGAAGCAUCUACUUUCAUGCAAGUCUCACUUGGCGUGGAAACAGAGCCAAGGUCAUGGUUCAACCGUGAUUACUAAUGACGGAGGUCUGACGAAUGCUAGAGUUUCUGAGGCUGUGUUCAGAGAGGCGACUAAUGAGCUAGUGGUGUUGGGUGAAUUGCCACUAUCUUUCACUGAGAGUGUUGCUUGGAGGCACUUCUGCGAUCGUGCUGGUCUCUACAAACCUCAUUCAAGAAGGACUGCAACUAGGGACAUUGUGCAGAUGUAUGUGAGAAAGAAGGAGGCUCUGAAGAAUUGGUUUAAGCUCAGUAAGCAGAGGGUUUCACUUACCACAUACAUAUGGACAGCACAUGCUACAGGAGCAAGCUACAUGGUGGUUACGGCUCACUUUGUUGAUGAUACUUGGCAGCUAAGGAAGCUUAUCAUCGGGUUCAAGCAUGUAUGUGAUCACAGAGGCCAGAUGAUUGCUAAUGUUCUUCUGGAAUGUUUGGCUGAGUGGGCAAUACAGAAGGUGUUCACCAUCACGGUUGACAACGCAACAGCAAACACAUCUGUACUGAGAAAGUUUCAGAGCGAAUUCAUCUUGCUUGGCGACGAAGCAUUGGUGAUGGAUGGCAACUACAUGCAUAUGCUGUGUGCAGCUCACAUUAUCAACCUGGUUGUGAGAGAUGGUUUGCAGGAUAUUGAUGGAAAUGUGGAAGCAAUUCGUAAUGCGGUGCAGUAUGUGAGGUCUUCUACUAGUUCUAAUUUGAUAUGUUCACUAAGUUCUUAGGCCAAAUCUCGUUGUAUCUAUCAACUUAGCUCGAGAUGAUUUAGUUCAAUUGUUGAACCCAUUUUCACGGUUGUCAACUAUCCUAAAUCAGAUUUCUAAUUAAUUAGUCUAGAAACAAGCAGUCAGAACAAUCUGUGAAGGAUACUAUAUGAUUACACUAACAAUUAUAUAUUUCAAAAGUUCAUCAAAACCCUAAAAAUUCCUAAACCUAACAAGUGCACUACUCAGACAUGAUAUCACUAACCCAAAUUAGACCAGAUAAAUAAAACCAUAGGAAUUCCAAGAAAACUUCCGAAGGAGUUCUUCUCUUCUCUCCCAAUCUUAAAACAAGAUUUAAAAGAAAACACAGUCGUCAACAAUGGUUUAAAAACAUAAUAUAAGAGUUAAGAUACAUUCUGAGCUCUUUUGUAAAUAAGAAAAACUUCUGGGACAAAAUAAAUAUUUUUGGAAAUCGAUAAAAAGUCGUCGGGUUUGAUCAUGAGGAGUGUCGUUCUAUACCCACACUUGGUGUUGUUCGACACUAGGACACAAGCUCGACAUCUUCUACUCGCAUGUCAUGCAAACCACUCUUCAACAAAAUGGAUAUAACUUUUGAUCCAAUUGUCUGAUUGACAUCAAAUCUGUGACAUUAGAAAUCUAACUCAAAGAUCUAUAUGUGUCAAAAUAUGAGCUCAGUUGGAUCAUGGAAAGUCCUCUAUCCAUAGCUAAACUUCUGAUGCAUAUGCACAGUUUUACAUUUCAAAUAAUUUUUUUUUUUGAACAAAAAAAAAAAACAUUUCAAAUAAUUUUAGAACCUUCAGAGUUGUCAAAAACGUAUCUAAACCUGAAAAUACUCUAAAAUAACUCUAAACAUAUAAUAUAAAUUCUAAAUAGGAUUUAUAUCAUAGUCUAAAAGGUGGUAAAAACUAUGGUAUAUCAAGUAUGCAUAUAAUUCGACAAUCAUUUUUUGUUACAAUAGAUCUACUUUUUUUAUUCUUGUUAUACUCUUUCUCUCUUUCCCUUGACUAAAAAAUCAUAAAAAUACACAUGGUUAAAUGGAAAAAAAAAUAUAAAAAAUGAUAAAAGGAUGAAGGAAAAAUUAAGCUGAACGUUGGCAACGGUCGUAGUAAGUGCAAGUUGUGUCUUUCUCAUUAACAGCUUUGAUGCAAUUACCGGCGAUCUUCCAAGGUAAAGCCGGCUGUCGCUGCAGAGGUUUUGGGCUUAUAAAUCUCCUUUGUUGCAGAAUCCUCCUUCUCAGCCGCCGCCAUUAAGCAUUCUCUGACCGUAUCUCCGGGAGCACAUCCAUCAUAUCUCAACUCACUUGUGCCGUUCCAUGCAGAUGCAGCCGUGAGAAGAAGCAAAAGAGAGACUGUGAUGAAGAAGGAGAAAUCUGGUUUGUUCAUGUUUAAAGCUUAAGAAUGCUAGGAGGUGUGGAAUUAUUGAAUGAGAGGAAGAAGAAAAUAACCCUUUUUUCAAUUAUCUUUACAUCCACACAUUAGUUUUACUACUGUCUUUUAAUUAUUUGAUUAUGUCGCAAUUGUUUUGUUUGAUCCCAAAUCUACCAUUUACUGAAAUGUUUAACGUUUAAAAUGUACAAUCACUUCACAUAUUAUAACAGUAUGUGAAUCAUAUAACGUCAUCAAAUACAUUGUUUUUACUUUUGACAACUCAGAGGUCACUGUAGAUUUGUAUCUUUCUUCAUUUCAUUCUUUAUAUUACUUGCAAGUAGGCGUUAAGUAAUUAACAGAAGAAACAAAACAACAUAUACAACAAAUAAAAAGGGAAAAGGAACUAAAACAAAAGUUAGCUAAGUAGCACGUUUGCAUCUGUUGUAGUAAGUGCAUCGUGCGUUUCUCCGGUUAGCUGUUCCAAUACAGUUACCUGCGAUCUUACCAUUACAAGUUGGCUGCUUCUGCAGAGCUUUGUAGCUUAGUUUCCUCCUCUGUUGUUGCAGAAUCCUCCGCACCACCGCCUCAACUCCCUCCUCAUCCUCAACCACCGCCGUUAUGCACUCUCCAACGGUGUCUCCGGAGCCACAUCCACCAUAUCCAAACCCACUUGUCACGUUCCCUGAAGAUGCCGUUGCUGAAGCAGCCGCAAGAAGAAGCAGAAGAGAGACAGUAAAGAACAAGAAGAAGAAAACUGAUCUUGCCACGUCUUAAGCCAAAAAGCUAGGAGAUGUGGAAUGAUGGAAUGAGAACAAGAAGAUGAUAUUACAUCUCUUCUUAUAUUGUCAUGUACACAUUAAUUUACAAUCUUUUAUUCAUUCUUGUUGGUCUAAUAAUUGCUGUUGGUCAUUGACUCCAGUAAAGAUAAACAUAUAUUAUUCAUUUAAAACAACAAAUUAUUCUGAUAUUAUUGAUCAUAUGGCUAAGAGAAGAAGACAAAAAUAGCACUAAAUCAAGUUUUUGUUCCCAAACUAGCACUCAAGGUCAAAAGUCACAAAAAUAGCACUUAAUGUUUUAUCAAAAGUCACAAACUUAGGGUUUAGAGUUAAAGGGUGGGGUUUAGGAUUUAGGGUUUAGGGUUUAGGGUUUAGAGUUUAGAGUUUAGGGUUUAGGGUUUAGGGUUUAGAGUUUAGGGUUUAGGGUUUAGGGUUUAGAGUUGAGAAAUGAGGUUUUGGGGAUAAGAUUUCAAAUUUUGAAAAAUAAAAAAAUUAAAAUUUUCAAAGGAUAAACUUAGAAAUGUGCUAUUUUGGUCAUUUUAGUUUUUGAGUGCUAUUUUUGUGAUAUAAACUUAGAAAGGUGCUAUUUUGGAGAUUUGCCCUAUGGCUAAAAUAAAUAACAUUUUCUAUAAACAUUUUGUUUCUUGUGAAAGCAGAACAACAACAAGAAAGAAAUACAGACAUAACAGUAAGAAAAAAAAGCCAGAAACAAAAUGAAACAAGAAAAAACAAAAUAUAUGUAUGAAGACAUCUAUCUGUGAGAGGCUCUAAUCCUGGCAAUCUCAAGUAAAAAUUUAUGCAAAGCUUGUGGCUUAGAGAAGAAAGGAGCAUGGUCAGCACCUUUUAACCGGUAAACUUUUUCAGGUGGACUACUAUUGAUCAUGUGUUCUUGGAGAGCCAACGGUAUGGCAUUGUCUUCCAGCGUCUCUAUGUAGUACCGUCUCACUGAUCCGUAGUUACCAUCUGAGAGAGAGAGUUUCUCAAGAACCGGCGCAAACGGGAUUGACCUCAUUGACACAGAAGCCAAUGCAACAUCUUUUGAAGGGCUUUGAUUGAACAAAAGGUCUUUAAGAAGUGACUUGUCUAAGUCAAUGGCCGUUGGAGGGUGUUCAUUACCGUUUGUGUAGAUAAAUAUCUGAGCUUUUCUCAUUAAGUCGCUCUGACCUGCCUGCAGCGAGAACAUGUCGAGUGUGCUCUGGCCAUUAGUCAACAUGGCUGCAGAGAGGAACACAGCUUUUGAGAUCUUGGAAGGAAACUGUUCCAUAGCGUAAGAUAUACAUGCUCCACCGAAGUCAUGACCAACCAAGAUCACCUUCUCUCCUGUGGGAAGCUUUUCAAGAACAUCAGUAAGUGGUUUCACGUACUGUGACAAGCUUGCGAUGCUGUUUAUGUUGCACGAGUUGAUACCGCAACCAGCUAAGUCUAUGGCGGUGACUUUGAAACCAUCUUCUUCUAGGAGAGCAAUGGUUUUGUACCAACACCAAGCGCCGAAACCUCCUCCAUGGAUGAGGAUAAAAUGGUUUGUUUCCAAGUCAUCUAGCUUUACACCCUAUUCAAAGACCGGAACAAAAUAUUUCAACUUCCAAAUAAAUAAUGUAUUAAACUGUUUCCUGUUUUGCACUUAGGUAAACAGAAACUGAAUCAUCCACAAAGACAAAGGUGAACAAAUGGUCAAAACAAUAUAUAUAUAAACAGUCCUACAUGGAAGAUAGGUACAACACAUGAAGAGUGUAACUAAACUUCAACAAUGAUGUUUGGCUAAAACUAAAAGGUAAUAAAAAUGAAGUACAAUCUCAAGAUUUAAGAUAAAUACUUCCAACACCAAAAUUAAAAGUAGUAAAAUCUCAAGAUUAAGAUAAAUACUGGCAACAUCAAGACUAAGAUAAAUACUUGCAACAUCAAGAUUAAGGAAGUAAAACAUCAAGAUUCAAGAUUAAGAUAAACAAUUGCAACAUCAAGAUUAAGGAAGUAAAAUCUCAAGAUUAAGAUAAACACUUGCAACAUCAAUAUUCUCAUCCUCCUUUUGUGACUAUAUAUAUUCUCAUUGUCACCACAAUCACACCAUUGUCCAUAGUCAAAGAAAAAUAACUGAUGAAAAUAGAGGCACCAAGGUUUUUCAAGACUCUAACACCAACUUCUAAAGUGGUUGAGCCAACAAAGUACACUAAAGAAUCUACAUUAUACUAGAAUCCAAGGCACUGAAUGCUAAGAAAAGAAACUAAUCAAUGCUCAUUACAUAUCACAUUCUUCCCAUAUCAUAGACUAAGACACUAUACACAAUCAAUUCAAGUUCCGAAGAAUGUCUCUAUUCAAAAUACCAUUGAGACAACUUCCAAGUUCUAGCUUUGAAUUAAGACACGAGUUUGAGGAAUGUCUUUGACUUCGUCAACUAAAGAUUAUUCAAAGUCAAAAAAACCUUGUUAAGAAACUGAUGAGGCUGCAACAGAGGAUCCGUGGAGGAUCUUGACCUCGAGCUGGAGCUCCGAGGCAACUGAUUCUUCUUCGAACCAGAAACAGGAUAACGCUGCGACGUGGACCGAUCAAACGGAAGCGAUCCAGCUUCGCCGCUGUUUUGCUGUCCGAACAAAAUGGUAUCUUCGAGCUUGUUGUCCCUCGUAGAGGAAGAAGAAGACGAUCUGCGCCUGUUCCUAGGACCGGAAGCUGAUCUGGGUACGGAUGGUUGCCGCUUCGUGAUGGGUCGUCUCUUCUUGACGGGCUUAGGCGGAGCAAACAAAGAACAGAGGUUUCCCAUGAAGAAACUUGAGAGAGAGAAACAGAGUAAGAAAGGUUUGGGCUUUAUGGAGUUUUUAGAGAGAGAGAGAGAGAGAGAGAAGGUGGGGGUUCAGGUGAAAGUGGUGGCGAGAAGCUGGCAACUUUUGAACAGCCUUCUCAUCGUGUGCAACGGUGAGUCUAGAGAGGGACCAUGCUAAAGGGGAAAGUGCAUACAAUUUUAUAAUUACAUUCUUUUAUUGUUUUUUUUGUUUUAUAAAAAAGUUUUCUAUUGAAUAUAUUAUUUUUUAUAGGAUUAAUUUGACUAAUAACCAAAAUCAUAAGUGAAAUUAAAUGUAGGACACUCAUGUUGACGGAAUGAAAAAAAUGUCAUUUACCUCUAAGUCAUCCGAUUAUAUCCUUCGUAAAGACAAGUUGCAAGUAUCAAAGGAAAAAAAGAGAUGAAGUCGACGGUUUAUUUACUAACUCACGUCUUUACUGCAUACGUUUUCACUUUAUUUAGUAAAUAAGUGGAUACAAUAUAACACUCUCACAUUAUCUGUUGUAUUCAAUUUGUAUACGCCGUGAGUCUAUUUCCAUUUCAUAAACAAACACAUAAGGAAGAAGAUGAAUGCAUAAAGAAGUUAAUGUUUACCAGAUUGUGCGUGUACUAUUAUAUCUCGGUUUCACAUGUACUAUUUUAUUUCGCUGACAUAGUACAUCACUCAAACCUUCUCUCGGAACUAUAUCUACAAAACCAACCACAUCUGAUAAAUAAUAUACUCAAACUCCUACUUAGUUAAUUUAAACCCUACUCAGAAAACUAUAAACUCAAAUAUAAUUUAUAAAUUGUUUUCUGAUAUUAAACACAUGAAGGCACAUUUACUUGGUUUGCAUGGUUGCAUAUGUUCUAUUCCAUAUAGUCCAAGUAGUAUAGUAAACCAAACCAAACCUAUCUCGGUGACAUAGUACAUCACCCAAACGUUAUGUGGGAACUAUACAUAUAAAGCCAACCACAACCGCUAAAUAAUAUAUCUAACCCCUUAUUUAGUAAAUCUAAACCCUAGUCAGGAAACUAUAAACCCAAAUACAAUCUAUAAAUUGUUUUCCGAUAUUAAGCACAUGAAGGCACAUUUAAUUGGUUUGAAGGGUUGCAUAUGUUCUAUUCCAUAUAGUCCAAUUAGUAUAGUAAACCAAACUUACCGGAGAAACCUACAUAUUAAAGCCUCUCACACCCGCAACUUAUUAUACCUAAACCCCUAAAAAUUAAUCGAUUCAUAACAAUGAUAUGACAUCAAAACAUAACAAAUGUUUAUUCACUGUACAUCCAUAUUUAUAAUAUAUUUUUGUCAAAUAGAAUAGAAAAAUACAAAUAACACAUUGCAACUGAGUGACCGAAUGUGGAGAUAAUGGAGUAAUGAAAGAGAGAAUGACGAGGUGAAUGAGAAGGUAUCAUUUGCAGAAGAGCUGGUACCAGCCGAAGUUGGUGGAGGAAAAAAAAGAAACUAUCACGAAAAGUGGAGAAGAAUAAUAGUCGAUGGGAGAAACUAAAGGGACAUGAGUGGAGACGGCGGUGAAGAGAAGAUGAUGGCAUCGAUAAAACAAUUGGUGAUGGUAGUAGUCCCGGUGCUUAUUUUACAGAUGGAAUACAAACAUAUGUAAUAUAUUUGUGUUUCAUUUCUAUUCGAUAUGUAUAAAUUGUUAUAGAAUAUAAAAAAAUAAAAAUGGUCAUCAUCUUCAAACAUUUUUUACUAAUUGACGGUGACGUGUAUGUGACGGCGUCAAACGAGAAGGUACAUCUCUCCAUACUAUGCGAUCAAAAGGUUUUUGAUUGUACUAUUUUGUUACAAUAUAUGUAGGAUACUCCAAUUACAAAUAGAUCCACAUACUCAUAUGUCGGUUCAUAUUUACAAAUCUAUUUCAUUUACUGAUUCACUCAUUUGGAAUGACCUAGAAAUGGAAUAGAAACAGCCAAACUAUACAAACAGGAAAUCCCCACAACAUUUCGGGGUAUGACAUCCCUAAUGAAUCUCACAUACAACAUAAAAUACUAUACACCACAGCACAAAUAUCUACUCCAGAAUGAGAACUUACAGUUCAAGUUCCUUCUUCAGUCACAGAAUAAUCUCGAACCGGAAGAGUUAUUCACGGAGGCGAUAUGCCGGGCUCGCGGAUUUCGAUUUAGAAGCGGCGAAUCUUGUGUCUCCCGUCUCUGACAGAGGCGUCAUAACCAAGCAUUGUUUAGGGUAGUGUGAGAUGAUGUAUCCAAGGGAGUAAUUAACAUGUAUAUUUGCAACUUCUCAGCUUCGAGGAAGAGAUGGAGAUUUAGAAAAUUCUAAAUAAUAAGUAGCUUUAUGACCCAACUCGUCACAUUUAGCACAUUCGGAGGUAACCAAAAAUAUACUACAUCAACUAUUGUAAUGAACCACUCUUAUCUUCUAAAGUUGUUCUUUGAUAAUUUACUUCUAUUUAAUUUCUUUUUUUGAAUUAUACAUGGCCCCCACCAAAGUGGGCCAUGCUAGUCACGUGUUAGCAGCCUAUGUUAAUUUAACUUCACCUCCACCAAUAUCUUAGUUUCAUCCAUUACGGGUUAAUCAAGCAAAGGCUUGCUUUGUUAGCAUUACUUGUGUAAUACUUUUGUUAGCGUUGUCAUUAUUAUUCAACUUAGUUUUCAAUUGUUUUGGUUGCAUAUCAGUCAACAGACAAGUAGCUUUGAUUCUUAUACCUCUACAAAAAUGGCUAAUCUAAUCCAAAAGCUUAGCAGUUCACGGAAGAUAAAACUAACAAUUUUUUUUAAAAAAAAUUGCAAGUGUGUGUAACUUUCUAGUGGCUAUCAACUUACGAGGACAAAUCACUCUUCCACUUUGAGCUUCAUUAAGAUACAUAAAAGGACUGAUAAAUCACGAUUUGAUCCAAAAUAUGAUCAUCACAGGAUCAACAUUUUGUUUGGACCACCACUAUAUAAUAUAUUAAGGUAACUAGAUUAAGACUGCGCCUUGCGCGGGAUGAACUUUAUAUAUACUAUUUUCCUCUAUUAUAUGUUUUUUACAUAUUUAUGAAAUAAUAAAUAUAUAUUGAAUAAUUAAAAAGUUAGUAACUAUUACAUAUAUAUUUAAAUUGGUUUUAACACAAAGAAUAAAUUUCAUUAUUCCAGACAUUCACUUUUUUCUAUUUUAUAUGGUAUAUAAUUAAAUUUAAAUGACAUGCACGUAUAUAUAUAUAUAUAUAGUGUUAUUUUUAAUAUUGAUAUUUAUAUAUUAAAUGAUUCUUUUUACUCAUAUAGUUUUUUGAUAAUUUGUAUAUUCUUAUAACAAAAACUCUAAAUCACUGAUAACAAAAUUUUCAUUGUGUGAUUAAUAGUUAUAGUAAUUUAUAAUUUUAAAAAAAUUCAAGGCUAAGUUUAAAAUUUAAAUAUAAGUUGUCAAUAUUUUUUUAAAGCUUUUACCAAAAUUUUUUUGUUCAAAGCAAAUUUUGAAAUUAAAAUAUUUAUAUAUUUUAUAUGGUAUAUAGUUUGAUUUAAACGAUAUUAAUAUAUAUAUACAUAUCUUUUACACUUAAUAUUUAUUAAAUGAGACUUAUUACUAAUAUGAUUUUGUAUCAUUUUCAUUUUAUCCUAACAAAAAAUUUAAAUCAUGAAUCACAAAAAAUUGAAUGUGAGACGUUUGACAGUUUUAGUAAUUUACAGUGGUUUAAAAAAAAAUCAAAAUAUAACCAAAAACAGAAAAUCUAAUUUUUUUAUUAAAUGGUUAAUUUAUUUGUUUAAUUUAUUUUAUAAAUUUUAAAUUAAACAAAUAUGAUAGAGAAUACACAAAUUUUCAAAUCUUAAUUAUUCAAAAUCAUUCAUUUUCAUAUAUACUUUAGCCACAUUAGGAAAUUCCAGAAUUUUAUUUAAGGAAAGAAUGAAAAAUAUUAAUAAUGAAUUUAUGGUUAGUUUAAUAAAAAAACUUAUUAUAUAUUUAGAUGAAACAACUUAUUUCUCUAAAGAUUCUAAAAUUCAAUGUGGUGAUGACACAUGACUACCUCAAUUGUUGUAAUGCUUCUCUUUUAAUAUAUUUGAGAUUUCAAGUUUAGGGAAUCAGAUCCCGAGGCAUAUGACUAGAUAGUAGAUGCUAAGCUAUCAUCAUCACAUAGCAUGUGAAUUCUCUGGCAAUGCAAUAUGUAUGCAAUCUAUGAUAAGUACAAGUGUUUUAAAAUUUUAGUAGAAAAUAUUUGACCUUUGCCAUUUUUUUCUCUCUCCUCUCCGCCGGAAGAAGUAACUUCAUAACUUUACCAGUCAUCCACCACCAUGACCAAUUUUAGCGAACAUUGGUUGAAAUUCAAUACAUGAAAAUACAUCUCUCAAAUAUAUUGACGAUUGUGUGUUUUUAACUGAACCUAUUAAUGCAUGAUUGUAUCUAUCUAUAUCUUCAACUUUUUUUUGUCCCAAAAUGCACAUAUGUAUCAUAGACACUUGUUAUCUAGGAGUAUUUGAAUUUAAUACGUAAAGUUCUCAAAAUUGUAUUGAAGGUUAGUGAAAUACACUCAUCUAAGGGAUAAGAUUUUCUUUCUGCGAUUUAAGGGAUACGAUCGUUAGAUAAUUAAUGAAAGGAAAGUAUCUUCUAUUUGAGAUUAGAAAUCUAUGGGUCCAUCGUUUCCAACCCUAAAAUUUGAUUUCCUUUUGGGGUCAACGUAAUUCAAAGCCUUUCAUCUCUUUAUAUAGUAGCUCAUUCUCAACUAAGUUUCUCAUUCCCAACUAAGUUCGUAUCUAACCACUGAACUUCUUCGAUUGUCUCUCCUCAGACAUGUCCUACCCUCAUCCUAUGUCUUUCUCUCUAGUUUAACACGCUGUGGACAAGACAAGUGAGAGCAAGAAACAUGGGAUGGGGAUAGAGUGUGAAAAUGUUGUUUUUGUUCCCUCUCUCAACUUAGUUCUUAUGUUUAGCCUAGUUAUCUACCCCUAAAACAAUCCAUUGGUUGUCUCCUCAGACAAAUUCUGUCUGCAAACUCUAUCCUAAAUCAUGGAUCAAUGGCUCUCACUCGUUUGAGACGUUGUGUAGAGGUUUCACUGGUUGAAAAUUAUCCACAUCCUCUCAGGCAAGUGAGAGGAGAGACAUGAGAGGGAUAAUUGAGCAAUCGUGACAUGCUCUCUUUAUUUUUGAUGUUUUGUCACAGAUCGCACUAAUAUUAUUUUGCUCUUUAGAAAGACCUUUGUUUAAUUUAACUACUAAUAAGUAUAUUUCUAGGGAAACCAUAUUACAUAAGUGAGUAACUGUAUCAACAUUUGGUUAUAUGCAGUUCUGUUUUUUUUUUUGUUCCAGAUUUUUUUCCAAACUAUAAUUUAGGUUAAUUCUUCAUAAAUUUUGAUUAAGAAUCUCAUUGAUUCAUAUGUUUUAUUAGAUAUAAAAGUAUAUUCAUUAACUUUACAAGUCACUGACUCACACCUUUGGAAACAUAUACACUUUAAUUCAACUGAAUAGCUAGACUUCCGGAAACAUAGUUUUGAUAUCAACAAUCUUUUGUGGAUUAUAUUUCGAACUUACACUCAUGAAAGAUUGUUUAUAUCAAAAUAUGUUGUCGUAAAAUCUAGUCAUUCAAUUUUAAUUAAAGAGUAAUGGUGUAGGAGAAUAUUAUAAAGUAACUAAUAAACCAUUUACCGAAACAUAAGAAUAAAUAGGAUCAAUAAUCAAAAUCCAUGAAGAGAUAACACAAAUUAUGAUUUAAAGAAAAAUGUGGGAAAGAGAUGAUUGUCUUUAUCUUUUUAAAAUCAAACUCUAGGAAAAGAGAUGUUAUUUCAAAAUAUCAUUGAAAAUUUUGCUUUAAAGAAUGCUCAUAUAUAGUUUAUUAUGAUCUAUCUUACUUAAAACAUUAUUUGAGAAAAUUAGUGAAUUCUUAAUGAUUGAAAAAUGUGCUUUCAUAUGAUAUAUAAGAUGAAAAACAUUAAUAAUGUAUAUACAAAAAACGUUUAAGGGAUUGUAUAUUGCAUAGAUUUGACAUGAAAUACAAAUAAACCAAUGAAUAAUGUCCAUGCAUGUCAGAAAGAGUUAUGUGCGAGAAGUCUAGCUAGUGAUCAUCUGUAUAAUUGGAAUGCAUAUCCGGGAAGAUUAUGUUUGGAGAAUGAGAACUAUAAUAAUUUGUGUGAAUGUAUCCAUCAAAGAACACUCAAAUAAUAUAAUAUAAGAGGUAUAAAUGUAAGAAUAUUUUUUUGUCACCAUUAAAGUCUUUGUCAUAUAUUUAUAACAUCAAGAAUCAAAGAGAAUGAUCAAAAUGAGUCAUUAACAAUCAUUUCAUCGUAAUGGCGACGUAAGUGUUCUACAAAAUUGUUUCAUAAAAGUAGAUAUGUCCGUCGAAAAUCAUAUUUUUUUCCGGCAGUUUGAAGAUUUUGCAUAUAUAUUUUUUUUAUUUUCAAAAAAUAAUAUUCAAAAGAGUUAUUUCAUCAUACUAGAUUUUGACAUUUCAAAAUUCUCGAGUCAUGUAUUCAUGAGAGCGAGUUAAUGUGUACAAUACUUUUUCAGUUAACCAUAAUUUAUUCAAUGUGGUUUCCUAGUAUACUACACACUGAAGUAUACUUUUAAAUAUAAUCUACUCAAUCUUAUAACUACGCUAAUCUAUAUUAUAAUAGUUGAGUUUUUAAUCACUCCUCAGCGCGUCACGUCAGCGUUUCGUGGGUUCCACUUUUAAAAAGUGUGAAAAAAUGUCAAGCUCAUGGCUCGAACCCGGGUUAUUGAGAUAUAAACACCAACAUUUAUACCACUAAGCUAACUGAUACUUUGUACAUUGAUGGUCGAACCUAAUAUAUAUUUAUGAAAUUCGGAAGCCCUUACUUCUUCGGCUUCCUCUGAGGGACGGGCCUACAAGUGUAUUAUGGGUUUCAUUUUUUAAUGGGAUUCAUCACGUUAUAUGAAAAAAAACUCAAGUUUGCAACAAUUAUGGUUUUCCUAUAUUGUAAACUGUUGUCGUUUAACAUGAGUUCGGAUUCUUUUCAUCAUUGUCUCAAACAAGUCUGAGUUACAGAGUUGCGCCGUGUGUGUUCGUAAUCUAUUUUUUCACCGGUGAACUCUUCAUGUCUCCAUAUUAAAUCGCUUUAUCAUAAAUGUUCCUGAUUUGUAACCCCUUUAUAAACCCUAUAUAUAUAUGAUUCUCAUCUUUGAUGAACCCAAUUUGCAUCUUCUAGAAAAUGUUUCUCUCUGCCUCUCCAGUUUUUCAAACCGGCGUCCCGGCGUCCGUCACUAAACCUUCGAGUCUCUCCGUCUUGGUCGUAGUAGUCAGAGCAUAGCCUUUGGUUUCCCCCGCUUCUGGGAUUCCCUGAACUUCAAGAAAGACAAGGAGUUUGUGGGAAUCACGGUUCUCUUCCUUUAUGAAAAGGUAAGUUAAUCUUCGAUCUAUCACACUUAUUUAACAUAAUUAUUUUAAUUAAUUUCCUAAUUCUUUGUUGAAUAAUAUUAUUUGUAGAUUCCGUGAUUCAUGGGUUUACUCCCGUCAGACGUGCUAAUCAUUACAUGCCAUCUUUGAAAGAAGGUUCCACUGUGAAAGUCGAUCAUUUUGAGGUUGCUAGGUGCUCAAGCAUGUACACGAUAACUGAUCAUCCAUUCCUCAUUCGUUUCAUCUCACUAACCAUUAUUGAUGAAGCCAUCACGGGUGCUCCUAAGAUCAAUCUCCAGUCAAGAUUAGAAUGUUCGACAAUUGCCAAGUGAUUGCGAACACAAACCUAGAAACUGGUAAACAUAGCAUAUUUUGCAGCUCCAAGCAAGAUUACAAUCAGGCAAAUUCAAGUGGAAUGACAUACCAACAACUGAAACUGGUAAUUAGUCAACAGCUUGUCCCAUAUUUUCCUUAUUCCUAAAAAAUCCACUAUGUUUCUGAUCUAUUUUUUCAUCUACACAACUUUAGCCUCUGUCAUGGAUAGCUCUCUCCCAAGGAUUGCAUUGACUAUGGUUUCUGGGAAGAAAAAGACUUGCUCCUGAAAAAAGAUUGUGACAACCUUGUUGUAAUAUUUUAGUUUAUGCUGAACAAAAAACUUUGAUUUCUUUUCUAUUUAGUAUAGUGGUAGUUGUUGACAAUCAUUAGUCAUUUGCCAAUAUGGUUUUUAUGCGGCAUUUCAGAUGGAAGCUAAUUUUUCUGGAAGCUCCUCGACUUCAAGACAGAAUCAGAAGAUAGAUGUUGGUGGGAGGUUGAUCAAGGGAAUACUUCAGAGAAGUAAUACGGCCUAGCCAGACUUCAUCCUUUGUACAUCUUGAGCAAAGAGUGGAACCCACAAAACACGAGAGAAGAAAGACAAAACACGAAAUUAACAUAUUUAGACCUUCUCUCUUGCAUGUCUAACAUCUGGCACCGACGAAAGUCAACACCCACGGCAGACGAAACUGAUGCAAGUAAACCUCUCAUCAAUCAUGCUUAAAAUCAAUCUACGUUUUUCAAUCUCACAAACUAAGAAACAAUUUUACCUACAUGAAUCGGGAAAUUAGUGCCCACAUUCCCAACAUAGAGAAAAAGAGGAGUUGAAGUCCUAACAGUUUUCUCAGUAUCAGACUAAACCACAGAUUCAAGGCCCAACUAUUUUGAAACCCUAACAUUUUAAAGUCAUGCUUUAAAAAAAAUAUAUAUAUUUGGCCAUAUUUCAGACUUUUUUGUCAACCUCAAAUCAUCUAUAACAAAGUCCAGAAAAAAAUAUAAAUAAAAUAAUUUUCUAAGUACGUAAUUCUAAAAAUGUUAUAAGUUUUUUUAAAUAUAUUACAAUUCUAUUUUUUUUUCUUAAAAGAAUUGGUGAAAUAAGAGGAAAAUUUUAUUUUAUUGUUUAUUUAAAUUGUUAAAUCCAAAUUUAUUAUCUGUUUCUAUGCACUAUUUGAUUUAUAUACAAAAAACUUCUUAAGUAAACACUAACAAGUUCCAUCACACUCAACUUUGAACAUAAAAGAUAUAAAAAUAUCAAAAUAUGAUUUCGUCAUUCAUUCUUAUAUCAAAAUCAUCAACCUAUGUAAUUUUCAAUGUUUCAUCCAUCACAUUAUAGACAAAAAACAAACAAACAAUAAAAUCACGUAAACAAAACUAUACAAUGCACUUAUAAUGUAGUCAACCCCGCGCUUGCGCGAAGACUAUGCACCUAGUAAACCUAAGAAUUUCCUUUUACACAGUCACCAACAUCCCAACCCACAAUUUAAUAAUUUUAUGCAAUAUCUGUUAUUUAUCUGCAAUUAUAUUAACUAACACAUCUUCUUUAAUUUUUAUGUACUUACUAAUGUUUCUCUCUCUCUCUCUAACCCUUUUUGUAUUUUGAAUUGUAUACUUUAUUUGUUUAAUAGUUAUGUAUUUACAAGUGAUAUAAAGUAUAAACGUAGAAGAACAAUGUUUUCUGAGAGUUUUUUUAUUAUUUUUUUGAGAAACAGAAGAACAAUGUUUGCUUUUGAUUUUAAUAAUAAUGUAGACAAAUUUGGAAAAAGCAUUUAUGUCCGUUUUCAUUUCUAAGACUUUUAUAAUAAAAAAAUUGGUGUUGGUUUAUGCUACUCGCGAAAUAUGUUCUAAAUAUAGAUGUUUUUUACUUUUUGGAUGUAAAAAUUAUUAUAACUUAAUAUUAUAUUUUAAAAACAUAAGAUGAUAAUAUUAUAACUUCAUUUUGGUUUCACCGUAAAUAAUGUUCUUAAUAAUUUGCAGCUUUUCAGUGGCCUUCUCUCGACGUUUAUAACUUUAAGGGUCCGUCUGGUUCAAACGCAGCAGUUGAAUUUUGAAUUGUAUACUUUAUUUAUUUAAUAGUUAUAAACGUAGAAGAACAAUGUUUUCUGAGAGUUUUUAUUUUAUUUUUUUGAGAAACAGAAGAACAAUGUUUGCUUUUGUUUUUAAUAAUAAUGUAGACAAAUUUGGAAAAAGCAUUUAUGUUCAUUUCCAAGACUUUUAUGAUAAAAAUAUUUGGUGUUGGUUUAUGCUACUCGGGAAAUAUGUUCUAAAUAUUGAUUUUGUUUACUUUUUGGAUGUAAAAAUUAUUAUAACUUAAUAUUAUAUUUUAAAAACAUAAGAUGAUAAUAUUAUAACUUCAUUUUGGUUUCACCGUAAAUAAUGUUCUUAAUAAUUUGCAUCUUUUCAGUGGCCUUCUCUCAACAUCUGUAACUGUAAGGGCCUGUAUGGUUCAAAUGCAGCAGUUACAGUUGCGAGUGCGGGAGUUUGUGGAUGCAGGUGGUUGCAGUUUCAAGUGUUUUUAAGCGUUUUGUAUAACUGGCACAAUGUUUGAAAAUUGUUGUGUUUGCGGAAUAUUUGUGACUGGUUGAUUAUGAGAUAUUACAGUGGUUUAAUAAUAAAUUACCAAUAUAAACAUAUUCGAACAUUAUAAAAUAUAAAAAUAUACUAUUGUGAUCAAAUAUAAUAAUUUUUAAUAUAAUAUGAUUANNNNNNNNNNNNNNNNNNNNNNNNNNNNNNNNNNNNNNNNNNNNNNNNNNNNNNNNNNNNNNNNNNNNNNNNNNNNNNNNNNNNNNNNNNNNNNNNNNNNNNNNNNNNNNNNNNNNNNNNNNNNNNNNNNNNNNNNNNNNNNNNNNNNNNNNNNNNNNNNNNNNNNNNNNNNNNNNNNNNNNNNNNNNNNNNNNNNNNNNNNNNNNNNNNNNNNNNNNNNNNNNNNNNNNNNNNNNNNNNNNNNNNNNNNNNNNNNNNNNNNNNNNNNNNNNNNNNNNNNNNNNNNNNNNNNNNNNNNNNNNNNNNNNNNNNNNNNNNNNNNNNNNNNNNNNNNNNNNNNNNNNNNNNNNNNNNNNNNNNNNNNNNNNNNNNNNNNNNNNNNNNNNNNNNNNNNNNNNNNNNNNNNNNNNNNNNNNNNNNNNNNNNNNNNNNNNNNNNNNNNNNNNNNNNNNNNNNNNNNNNNNNNNNNNNNNNNNNNNNNNNNNNNNNNNNNNNNNNNNNNNNNNNNNNNNNNNNNNNNNNNNNNNNNNNNNNNNNNNNNNNNNNNNNNNNNNNNNNNNNNNNNNNNNNNNNNNNNNNNNNNNNNNNNNNNNNNNNNNNNNNNNNNNNNNNNNNNNNNNNNNNNNNNNNNNNNNNNNNNNNNNNNNNNNNNNNNNNNNNNNNNNNNNNNNNNNNNNNNNNNNNNNNNNNNNNNNNNNNNNNNNNNNNNNNNUACAUAUAAUUUUUGAAAAUUAAGAUCUUGUUAAAAUCUUUUCAAACAGAUUUCUUAGAUUUAUUAAAAUAUAUAUUUUUAUAUUUAAAAUGAAAAGAUAUCAAAAGAUAUUAAGAUUAAAAGUAGUUCAAAGAUUCUCUGUGUUAUUAAUUUAAAUAAAGUACAUUUAAUAAAAUUUCUAAAAGAUGGUCCAAAUUAAAAAAAGUCACACAUGAAAGAAGUCCAUUCUAUUUUGAUAGAAUAGAUGUUUAUUUAUUUAAUUUUUUAAUUAGUUGAAAGUUAUAAAUUUUUUUUUAAAAAUGAAUAUUUAUAUUAAAACUUUUAAAAGAAUAUUUUGUUGCGUUUUAUAUAUGUGUAUAUCUUAUAUAUGUAUAUUGAUUUUUAAAAAUUUCUAAUGAGCAGCUAGUUUAAAGUUUUUAUAAAACAAAUUAUGAUACUGUUUUUGAAUUUAAAUUAAUAUAUAAAAUGUGUAUAUAUUUUUAUUUAUUAUAUUUUUAUUUUUAUUUUUAAUUUAAAAUUUUAAAAUAUUUUUAAAAAUUAAUUUUUUAUUUAUUUAUCCAUCCGUAACCGCCAGCAACCGCAAACGCUAGCUGAGACCAGCUUUUGAUUUUACGAGGUUCGAAGCAAUUUGGAGCGAUUUGUAGCGGUUUGUAUGAUUGUUUUGAAACGUUGUCAACCGCUACUAACCGCAAAAGCUGCGUUUGCGGGUGGUAGCGGGAAAACUAGUCAAGCCUUAAGUCUAAAGAGGGACCAAUGCUAAAGGGGGAAGUGCAUAAAAAUUUAUAGUUGCAUUCUUUUGUUUUUUUUUCAUAUAAGAUUUUCUAUUGAAAUAUUUUUUACGCCCACAAUUCAUUUUUUUUUCAUUGCAGUCACUUUUAAAUUCAGUUAGUUGAACCUGGCAUAUGUGUUGGUGUAUUCAAAUCCAAAGUAUUAACAAUCGAUUCAAGCUCAAAGAUGAAGAAUCCAGAUAGCUCAAGAUGAAGAAGAUAAUUAAAGAGAAAGUUUGUUAAAAUUGUUAAUCUUAACCUUUACAAUGAAUUAACCAUAAGUUAUUAUAUACACAGACCGAUCAAACUGACAACCAGAUACUAAACCCAUAUACCAAACCAAGUAUCCUAAUACAAAGGAUGAAAUGGGGUAAAGUUACUUUGAUGAUCCAUAACAACAUGGUUAGAAGGUAAAGAGGAAGAGGAAGAAACUAAAUAAGUGGAGAGUUUUAAGGUAGAUGAGCUUCUAACCUAAAACCAAUUAGUGAUAAGAGUAGUGGUCUAUCUAUCUUAUAUAUUGAUUAGGAUCUCUACGACCGAUGUGGGAGACUAUGUCUGUAAUACGCCACUCGAGAUGAUGGCUCUCCGAGCGUCAAUCACGGAAUGUUUAGGCAAAGAUCGAUGGGACAACUUUGGGCCAGAUCGAUAUGGAUCGGGUUGGACUGUUUAAUUUGAUCGGGCUCUGAUACCAUGUUAAGCUAGAUAGACUUACUAGUGCUUAUCCCUUUCCCAUAUUGAAACGCCACAUCUUGGGCAACUUGUCAUGUCCUUGUAUUCCUUACGGUAAAGAAUGCAGUCGUUUGUGCAGGCAUGAAUCUGAUCGUAUCCAAAACCAAACACUUUCAAGGAUUUCUUCAUUCCAUCUGUUGAACUUGGAAGGACAUUAUCUCCGGGAAGCAUGUCAUGGACUACCGUCAGGAGCUGGUCGAAGUAAUUCUCAGACAUACCACUCUUGACUUUAAUGCGGUAAAGCGCCAUAAUUUCUGAAACCUUCGUGUAGUUGGGACAGCUAGAGUAUAGUGGAGUUUCAGCAUCUUCCACUUUCUUCCUAAACUCGGAUUCCUCUUUAUUGUCACCUUCUUCUUGCUGAACUUCAUUGUAUUCAUGGGGCUGUGAAGCUUCACCAUCAAAGAAGGCAGUUCGGAACAAGUCAUAAGCUUCAUACUCAUGACUUCCGAUAUCUGAUGGCUUAGCAGUCUUCACAUCUCCAUGUUCAAACCAACUCUCCUUCCUCUUGUAUUUCUGAUCCAUACCCUUGAUAAUUAAAUGAUCCACCACUGUAUCUGUCAGCUGAUGGCACAAGUUGCGGCAGUCAAUGUAGGGACACAACAUAACAGUAGGAUGACCCAAUCUCAAAGCUGAUUCUUUCACAAAAGCAGAUGCUCCUUCCUGAUACUCAAGGCUAGCCCUGUAAGUAACAAACAUUUUGAAACAUCAAACACCUUAAUACUUAAACAAACAAAUGAAAAUAUAUAAUAAAACAUACACAUACCUUGGUAGCCAAACCCAAUUCUUGUCCGUUGUAAAAAUAAACCAGUACUCCAGAUCCAAGUGUACGUACAAUACACGAAUAAGGUUUCGUAAAUCACUAAAACAGAAAAUUAAAAUCUCAUAACAAUACGGAAGGAACGAGAAGCUCACCACUAAAAUAAGUGUACUCCUUUGAUUUGAGAAGAUAUCUGCAAAAGAAGCAACAAGUAUUAGUAAGAACAAAACUUAAUGACGAAAUUGAAGAACCCUAAAUCGAUUAAUCUUAGUAUAAACCGUAGAUCUAACAGAUGAAAAACCUAAAUUAAUUAGAAACAGAUUAAAACCCUAAAUUAAUUCGAAAAUUGAGGACAAAAUUGAAGAACCCUAAAUCGAUUAUUCUGACCUCGGACUGUGGAAACGAGUUUACUCCUUCGACAGCUAAAGAAGGAAAGAGAUUAUGAAUCAAACAGAGAGGUGGAGUGAGGAUUUUGUGUUUAUUUUGAUAGAACAGAGAGGUGGAAUGAGGAUUCGAGAGAGAGACAAAAGGUGUUCGAUACAACUGAGGUGAAAGGAAGUGAGAGGGUUGCUUUUUUUGCCUUAGAAUGUUUUUGGGAAAACCAAAAAUUUUAGGUUCAAUUCCCACAUAUUGGUUUACAUAACAUUUUUAAUUUCAUUCUGCUAUCAAUAAGUAACCGCGAAAAAUACUUAGCUAAAAAAUAUGCCGCGUAUCGAAUUUAUUUUUCCGCCUUAAUUAAAGAUAGCAUUUCAUUAAAGCCAAACGCUAUAGAAAAAUCCGUGUGUCGCAAACCAUAGCAAAAACAAAAAAAACGCUAUACUGGUGUGCUAUGAAAACUCGAUAUUCUUGUAGUGGGUCCAUCUAUCUUAUAUAUUGGUUAGGAUCCCUUUCAACUACCGAUGUGGAAGACUAUGUCUCUAAUAGAGAGGCUCUUUGUGUGUUCAAUUUGUGAGGUAGCUGGAGCAUCCAUAGAUAUGGUUGCAGUUUGAGUUUAUGCAACUAUUGAAGCAGCCUGAGAUGUAGCUAUAGGCUAUAGAUUAUACAGCAGUUUCAGAACUAGGGUUUGUGAUGACAGUAUAUAUCGUGCUAGAGUCUAGUUUUUCUGCUUUCCUAUGUGCAACACUUUCUUAGACUGUAACGAAUGUAUUAGUCUAUAUAGCUGCAGCUGUUACUAGUGUAGUAAUUAAUCUCUGAUGAUACACAGGCUAAUUCAUUAAUAAAGGGAUCACUAUCCAGCAUGGAAGAAUUAGUUGUAGUCAUGUUCUUGACUAGUGGAGCAUUGAUUGAGGUAGUGUGGGAUGAUGUACCCGAGGGAGUGACGGACUUCUGAUCCAACUCGCCACACUUAGCACACUUAGAGCACCCGCAAUGGGAAUCCUUAAGUGGAAAUCCUUAGAGAAAAAAUAAUUAAAUAACCAGUGGACCCCACCAAAAGUUAAAGAUUCAAUCUUUAAAAUUCUUAAAUAAAGACUAUUUCUUAGUGAAUCUUUGCACUAUUUGCGGGUCCUCACGACAUGUGGCGACCCGUGAUUGGUUGAUAUUUUUUUUUUUAAUCUCAAAAAGAAAAAAAUAAUAAUACUUAAAAAAUCAAAAUACACUUUUUCUAAGGACUCCUCUUUGGAUAUCACCAUUGCGGAUGCUCUUAGAAGGAAACCAAGAGUGUACUACAUCAACUAUUGUAAUGGAAAUGCUUUUAUCCUCUAAAGCCAUUCUGUGAGGGAAAGUUUCAUUUAACUUCACAUCGACCAAUAUUUUAGUUUCAUCCAUUGCUUGUGUAGUAGCCAAGGAGUUUUUGUGUAGUACUUUGUUCGCAUUGUUUUUAUUAUUGUACUUCAUAGUUUUUCACUUGUUUUUCAGUAUUGAGAAAAGUUAAUAUAUUUUAGCUGCAUCUCUUUUAAUAGAGCAGUAGUUUCCGUUUCUCGUAGCUAUCCACUUACAAAGACAAAUCACUCUUCCACAUUUAUCUCAUUAAGAUAUAGAAAAGAACUAAUAAAUCACGCUUUUAUAUAUUCAAAAUAUGAUCAUCAUCACAGGAUCAACAUUUUGUUUGGACCACAACUAUAUAAUAUAUAAAGGUAAUUUUUAGUUCUGGGAAUCAGAUCCCGAGGCAUAUGACUAAAUAUAUGUCAUGAUAUAGGUGCUGAGCUAUUAUCAUCACAUAGCAUGUGAAUUCUGUCGCAAUGCAAUAUGCACAAUCUGUAGAAAUUAGUUGAUGUUCUAUCAACAGAUUUCGAAGAAUUCACAAGACUGAGAAAACGUUUUCAGUUGUUCAAUUCUUUGUGCACGCAACUGUGGCAAACUCAAAAGCUGAUCUUAUAGUUAGGAAUGCUACUUCUAUUUACUGAGAUUUGUUUUUAGUGGUUGUUUCAUUCCAUUUUAACUUUCCAAACCAUUUCAUGUUUGAAUUAUCGAACAAUUUUUGCCGUUAAGAAAAUAAAUUAGUAAAUAAUUAACUUACAACAUUUAAUAUAUCUAAAAUUUAUUUUAAAAGGAAAAUUGUUAUAGUUUUAUCACAUUUUCACAAUAAUGCCAAUUUGUAUAAUAUAUAAAUAUUAGCGCCAAUUCAAAAUUCAUAAAAAUGAUCAAUUAUUUAUGAUAAACAAUGCAACUUUGUUUAAAUAUCCACAAUAAUAAUUCAUUCACUAAUGUUUAAUUGAAGAAAAUUUUAGUUCAAUUUAUAGGAUAUGCAUAUUCUCAUAUCAGAUUCUAUGUUCACUUUAUUAUGUUCCCAAAAAUUUUGAAUGCUAGUGAAAUACAUUAAUCUAAGGGAUAAGAUUUAUUUUCAACAACUUAAGGGAUAAGAUCAUAAGAUUGUGUGACUCAUGAAUAAAAGAAAGUUAUCUUCGAAGGAGAUUCGAAAUUUUUGGGUCCAACGUUUCCAACCCUAAAAUUUGAUUCCUAUUUUUGGCGUCUCAAAGUCUUUUAUCUCUUUAUAUAACAGCUCAUUUUCAACCAAGUUUUUAUCUACCAUAUAAUUAAUCAAUUGUCUCCUCAGACAUAUUGUACCUCAUCCAAUAUCUCUCUCUCGUUUGACAUGCUGUGGACGAGGCAUGUGAGAGCAAGAGACAUGGGAAGAGGGUAGAUUAUGCGCGCAUAUGUUGUUUUUGUUCGAUCUCUCAGCUAUGUUCUUAUUUGUAGCCUACUUAUAGUACCUCUAAACCAUUCCUUUACUUAAUUGUCUCCCCAUAUAAAUUAUUUGUGCAUACUUUAUCCAUAGUUUUGCUCGGUCUUUUACUUGCUUAAGCUUUCUAUUUAUUUAUAGAUAAUAAUUAUAAACAUUGACCAAAAAAAUAAUAGUUAAAAACCGUCACAAGAGUUGUAUUACUACUAUUGUUAAUACUUUAAAAAAGUACUGCGCGGGUUUUUGUUUUCAUUUAUUUUUAUAUAAAUAUUUUGUUUUCAAUUCUAAAUUGGUAUAUAUUAUAAUAUAUAUGUGUCUAUCAAUUUUUUAAAACAUAAUAAGUUUACGGUAUAUUUUUUCAUUGAAUAGAUUGUUUCAAUCUUUCACAUGUAUUUGUAUCUUCUUCUAUAUAUAUAUUUUCGGAUUAUUAUUUCAUUAUUAAAAUCGUAACUAUAUAUAUAAAGAUUAGUAAAAUAUUAUUUUAAUGUCAUAUUCAAAGAUAUUAUAACAUUUCACAAAUUUAGAAAGUUUUUAAAAAAUUAAACUUUUCGCUUCAUAGAUUUAUAUUAUCGAGUAAAUAAUUAAACAUUUAGUUUUUGUUUAAUUUUUAAAAUAAACUAUAUAGUUUAAAAUUUGUUUCCAGUGGUUUAAAGUAGUAAAGAUUAAUCAUUGUUAGAUAAUAUGAUUUUUGUUAUUUUAAAAAAAAUCUUUAUAAUUUUAAGAGUUAACAUCGAUAAAUAUUUAAAUAUUUAACAUAUGGAUGUAUAGUAUUACAACAUUAAAUUAUAUCUACUUAAUUUAUACUAUUUAUAAAUCCAAUGGAUCAUCUAUUGUUUAAAUCUAAUUAUUGAUAGUCCAAUAAAAAUUUAUGGUAGGCCCAAAAUUUAAAUGAUAAGAUUAAAGAUUAAAUGUAACAUGACUUUUUUAAAAUAAAUCUAUUAGGUCCAUUUUAUAAAAAAAAAACACACAUGAAUCAAGGUUGUGACUUCUGUUUUAGUAUUGACGUGUUGCUAGAGAUAUGUAUGUUUUAAUAUGAAAGUUAAGUUAGAGUAGGCCAUAGGGACGCCUAAAUUAUUGAUGAUAUUGAUACUUCAUAGUAAAAUCUACUUGCUUGCUGCAACAUGACAUUCCGUUAAUUUAUUCAAGAUGUGAAAUCAAUACAAUAUUAUCAUGUAAAAGGUGUGGGUUUCCAAUGGCACUAAAAUUUCCCAUUUUUUAAUUACAAGUUGUUAGGAAAAUGAAGAACAAAGUAUAAGAAUGAAUGUAUGUAACAAAGCCUAAAUCUUCAGCCGGCCAGAUAAAUCGAAUAAUAUAAUGCGGGAAAACAAUUAUUCAACUGAAAAAUAGAUUUUAUGUGGGAACUAUUUUUUGAACAUUAUGAAUAGUGUAUUCAUAUGUCAAAAAUGAAAUUUUAUUUGAAUUAGAAAUGGAGAUCUAAUGUGUGUGAUUUGAGAAACUUGUAUAAAGUAGCACAUACACUCAUUGGAUAUUUGAAUUUGGAUUUGGGUUUUGAUUUGUUAGUUGGACUUCAUGUUCAUUAACUUAAAUCAAAUAUAUGUUGAUCUUUUAUAUUGAUAAAAUAUAUAAAAAAAAAUAUAUUUUAAAGUAUAUUAUUAUGUUUGAAUUGGUCAAAACAAUAAUAAUUUCAUUCUUUAAUUUCUUGGUCAAAAUGUGAAAUAAAUUCACAUACUAGUUAACAAGAAUUAAAGUCUUCAUUAGUUCACCAUGGAGGUUUCAUUUUUGUGUUGAAGAAUGAAAUUUGUGCUUCUCAUUAUUUUUCUAUAAAAGGGCUUGUAAGCAUUAUAGAAAAAAUAGAUUUUGAACAACAAAUCACUUUCUCCUACUUUGAAUAGUUAUGUUAGUAUUUUUUUUAUUUAUUUUGAGUGUGAGAGUACAACACAAAAUUAGGUUCGAUAGAUUCUGUUUUUUGUGAUGGUAAACAGAAACAAUGCUGCAGUUAUAUCCUGAGAAUCUGAACGCCGUCACACUACGGGACGUUUAAAGAUUUAAGGAAAUAGAUUAACUUUUUCGACUCUGCAAUUCUUCUUUAUUUUUAUAUUUCGGUAUUAUAAUUUUAAUUUAUGUUCUUAUUAUUUUUUACAAAUAUUUUGUCUCAUGGUUGUGAAAUAAGGUUCCUACAUUUUAUUCUGUCGCUUUACCUAUUUGCAAAGUACAGUGGUGUCAAGAAAGCGACCGCAUAUUUGUCUAUUCGUUUGGGUCCAUCCGAAUCUAAAUCCUAGGUUUUCAUUCGUCUGUCAAGGAGAAAGGCAUGACCGCCAAUUAUAUGCUAUAGCUGCUACCUCGUCAAGAAGAAGCGUUACUUUUUUUGUUAGGCUGUGUACUUAUCUUCGAUUCUGAUAAUAUAUUUACUGUAUUUACAGGGCCUUUACUAUCAGUUACAAAACAUUAAAAAUUGUUCGGGUAAUCAUAUGGGCUUCCGCUCAUGAACUGAGCAAGGCCCAUGUCACUGAUAUUCUCCCUAAAUGUUAUAAUUUUCUAUUUUGUGGUACAUGUUCUGCCACAAGAGACUGAAUUAGCGACUAGUUUUAGCUCAAAAACAUAGAUCGAUGCUCUUGGGGUUCCGAUGCCAUCAUCAUCUAUCCUCUCUUAGUUUGUUUCAUUGAAUAAACCUUUGUAAUCUAAAGUCCUUUAUAAAAUAAGUAAAUUUCUUCAUUAUUAUCUUCUUCUAGUUCUUUUAGCUUAUGUUUUCAGUGCAUACUAUUCAACCGUCAUUUUUUUUUUGUUACAACAGAUCGACUUUCUUAUUUUUGUUACACACCCUUUCCCUCUCUCUCUUUUUCUUCUUUGACUAAAAUAUCAUAAACACACACAUGGUUAAUGGAAAAAAACAACAUAUAUUUUCAAACUCCUUCAAAAAGCUGUAGGUGCUGUCCACAUCCAUAUUUAUUUCUAAAGCACCAAAUUCAGAGCAAUCAAGCUUUAAAUUUUUUUUUGAAACCACAGCUCUAGAAAUAACCUACAGCUGUACAAGUGCUCUGUAGAGCCAAAUAUCCAAAGCAAUUUUUUAGUGCUUUCAUAAAAUUCUACAGCAAUAAAAUUUAAAGCCACAGCAAAAAAUCUACAGAUUUUUUUCUACAGCAAAAAUUUUAAAGCUACAGUCAUUACCAAUCGGACCCAUAAAAUAUACAAUGAUAAAAGGAAGGAGAAAAAGUUAAGCAACGGUCUAGUAAGUGCAAGUUGCGUCUUUCGCAUUAAUAGUCUUUGUGUUCUUCGUCAACUUACCUUUAUGUAUUUUCAUUUUUUCCCCUGACAACUGCUCACAAGUAGAAGUGAAGAUUUACUUGAUUCAGUUUUGGGAUCACUCAUAAGCAAAGAUGAAAAUAUGGUAAGGCGUUUUUUCUUAGAGGCAACCAUUCAAAAAAAAAAAGGGUUUUUGCAAAAGUGACUCAAAACUUGGAGUCAAACAGAAAACUAACCUUUUCUUUUGACUCCUUUUUUUUGAGAUUUUAACCCCACACCUGCAUUUUAUCUACGAAAAUGCCAUUAACAUUUUUUUUUUUUCCGAAAAUGGCUUCUUUACUGUCUCAACCUCAUCUUCUUCAAGUAUUUACAAUAUUGCCACUGAAAUGAAUAGUGGCAACAACCUUGUACGAACUGUUUGGAGCUUUUAAUGCCCUUUAAUGCACGUAAAUCUCUUUACACUCUCUCUGUUUCAAUUGUUAUGAACUAAAAACAACAUUUCUUUCACUUUCUCUCUAUAUUCAUCCAAAAAACUCAAGCUUUUGAUUCAAAAUAUGGGCUAUGGUUGACAGAGCCAUAUUUCUUUCGUUUUGACUUACGGUUGCUUUCGUUUGAGGUUCUGGGUGGUUGGAGAAGACCCUGUGUGCAAACGAAGUCAUCUCACCUAGUUUAAGGUACGAAUUUGAAUUUUUUUUUCAAGAUCUGUUCGCGUAGAAGACUUACUAGUAAGUCAUCUGUAUGUAGAAGACUUACUGAUGAGUCUUCUGGUCAAACGGACGACUUAAAUUAAGUCGUCCAGCUUUGUUUGUUAAAAAAAAACACUCCAGACGACUUAUAUAUAAGUCGUCUACGAGAAACGGGCUAGUUUUGCAUUUGACCGAAUCGUGUCAGAUCUUUGACUAUUUCUGGACGACUUAUAAUUCAGUCGUCUCUGGGAAAGUUAAAAUUUUAAUAUUUUUAAUAAAACUUGACGACUUACGUGUAAGUCGUCCUAUGUUAGUUUUGUAAUUGAAAAAUAAAACUUCAUAAUUUAACUUUAACCAGAUGACUUAAUAUAAAGUCGUCCCUCCAGAAGACUUAAUUUAAAGUCGUCCGGGGAAAGCAAAGUCGUCCAGAAUUUUUCCCAAUUUUCUGGUCAAACCUUGCUUAUCCCGGACGACCUUAAAUUAAGUCGUUUAGCUGGACGACUUUCAUCUAAGUCGUCUGGAGAAAGUUAAAUUUCAAGUUUUAUUUUUCAAUUACAAAACUAACCUAGGACGACUUACACGUAAGUCGUCAAGUUUUCAUAAAAUAUUGAAAUUUUAACUUUCCCAGAGACGACUGAAUUAUAAGUCGUCCAGAAAUAGUCAAAGAUCUGACACGAUUCGGUCAAAUGCAAAACUAGCCUGUUUCUCGUAGACGACUUAUAUAUAAGUCGUCUGAAGUUUUUUUUUUAACAAACAAAGCCGGACGACUUAGAAUUAAGUCGUCCCUUUUAAUUUUCAAUUGCAAAAGUGACCUCUUUAGACGACUUACCUUUAAGUCUUCUGGACGACUUAAUGCUAAGUCGUCUGCGGCAAUGUUUAUUGAACUUCUUCAUUUUCUCUAUGUUUAUUAAUGUGUUUUAUUUUGAAUAUUUGCAGAUGAUUUUUCAGUUACAUGCAGUGUAUGGAGAAUGGUUGUUGAGAGAUUUCCGUUGGGAUUUUGUGGUUGAUGAUCUCAAAGGAGCAAGAUUGUUUUUAUUGAAUGAAGAUUCAACACAUGGUGAACUUGUUGCAAUGGCUCAAGAAGAUUAUAACCUGGACAUGAGAACAGUGAGUGUGGAGAUUAGCUACUCAUUACCAGCAGAAAUGAUGAUGGCUCCAGGCAGUCUUCCCAUUCAUGUUACAAGUGAUAGACAAGUUCGAAACUUGCUGGAGAUACUCAAAACCCAUAGAGUAUGUCUUUGUGUAUCAAGCCGCAGCAAGGUCGAAACGGUUUCAGAGAAAAGGGAUAUUGAUGAAGCUGGUGAAUGAGAAAAAGAUGUUGGUGAUAAUGAUGAAGCUGGUGAAUGGGAAGAAGAUGUUGGUGAUGAUGAUGAAGCUGGUGAAUGGGAAGAAGAUGUUGGUGAUGAUGAUGAAGCUGAUGAAUGUUUUGAAGAUGUUGGUGAUAAUGAGUUUGUUGAAGAUGAAAAUCAAGAUGGGGAGGAGGAAAAUGGGGAGGAGGAUGCUGAUAAUUCUAUUGUUGGUGAAACGGAUCAGAAUGGUGGGGAUUACAGUCUUUAUGGAAGGUUCCAGAUGAGGACGAGGAAGAUGAUGAUAAUAUUUGUUUUGAAGAAAUCCAAAAGACAUAUGCUAAGAAAAAUGCUAUUGAAGGAGGAAAAUCGAAUGGUACCAGUAUCUAUGUCAACCAGAGUUUUGUUAGCAAGGGUGCACUGCUUUCAGAGCUGCGGUUGGCAACAGUGAGGGGUAAGUUUUCUUUCAGAUUAUACAAAUCAACGAAAACUCUCGUUGUGGCAACAUGUCGGGUUAGCUAUUGUGGAUGGAAGGUCAGAGCGAGUGUCAAACAUGGGACAAACACGUUUUGGGUAACAAAGUAUGUGGAAAAACAUUUAUGCUCAGUGGGAGACCGAAUCGCUCAGCGGAGACAUUGUACUCCGAAGUAUGUAGGUAGUCUUUUCAUUGAUCGUGUUGGAAUCAUUAAUGGGAUAACUCCGCAGCAUAUCACUGAUGCAAUGAGGAACAUGUUUGGCAUGGCGCUUGAUUACACCACUUCAUACAGAGCACUGUUAUAUGCACAAAGAUUGGUGAGAGGAUCAGCAGAAGAAGGGUAUUCGCGUCUGGCAUCAUAUCUCGAGCAAAUCUCCAUUGCAAAUCCUGAUUCUAUCACGGCGAUAGAACUUGAUUCUAUGAAAAGAUUUAAGUAUCUAUUUCUCUCUUUUGGAGCUUCUAUCAAAGGUUUUAAGUAUCAGAGAAGGGUCAUUGUGGUGGAUGGAACUCACCUAAGUGGAAAGUAUGGAGGAACUAUGUUAGUUGCAGCCGCACAAGAUGGCAAUUUUCAGAUAUUCCCAUUGGCUUUUGGGAUCGUGGAUGAGGAAGAUGUACCUUCUUGGGAAUGGUUUUUCACAAAAUUGGCUAGUUGUAUAUCUCAUGACAAGCCUCUGGUGAUAGUCUCCGACCGGCACAAGGCCAUUAAAAGUGCGUGUGAUAAGGUGUUUCCUUGGGCAACCCGAGGAAUAUGUUAUUAUCACCUUCAAGAUAACAUUGUCAAAAAGUUUAAAGGGAAACAUCUCAUGUACUUGGUGAAAGGGGCUGCUUAUGCUCACACGGUUUACGAUUUUGACCGGUACAUGGCUGAGAUACGGAGUGCAAACCCGGAACUUGCAACGUAUUUGGAGAAAGCCGACGUCAGGCUAUGGUUAUUGUAAGGGGAACAGGUUCAACAUAAAAACAAGCAACAUUGCUGAAUCUAUUAAUUCCGCACUGAAGCGAGCAAGAGGAUUUCCGAUUACGUUCCUGCUGGAGUUCAUAAGGCAGAAGUUAGGAAAAUGGUAUUGGAAAAGGAGACAAGAUGCUUUGAGUCUCACAACUGAACAUAGCCGGGGUGUUGAAUACUUGCUUGCUGUUCGAGAAGAGAUAGCGGAUACGAUGACGGUCGAACCAAUUGAUGGAUGGCAUUUCUUUGUCAAAGGUGGCAAAAUGGACUGUGUGGUUGAUUUGGAACAUGCAAAGUGUGAUUGUGGUGUCUAUGGAGUGGAGAAAAUACCUUGCUCUCAUGCUAUAGCUGCUGGAACACAUGCUGGUUUGCAUAUCUCCACACUUGUAUGUCCACUGUACUCAAAGAAUUAUCUGUAUGCAGGAUACUCAGAGAAUAUAUAUCCUAUCGUGUCACAACAUAUUGAGGAACGAGAAUGCUUUCCUCCAGAACUAAAGCGUGGUCGGGGGAGACCGAAGAAAUCAAGAUGGCAAUCUUGGUUGGAGCUAUCUAGGAUGAGAGGACACAAACCCAGGAAGAAACACAGGGCACGGAGAUGCUCAAACUGCAAGGAAACUGGCCAUACGAAACCACAAUGUACACAACCAGUUGACUAGUUGUCCAGACGACCUAAAUUUAAGUCGUCCAGUCUUGAUUACCCGUCCAGACGACUAAAUUUUUAGUCGUCCAGUGUAUUUUAUUUUUAGACGACCUUCUACUAAGUCGUCCAGUGUAUUUUAUUUUUAGAAGUCCAGUGUAAGUCGUCCAGUUGGAAAACCUUCCAGACGACUUAUAAUAAGUCGUCCAAACCUUCUAGACGACUUAUUUGUAAGUCGUCCAGUUGGAAAACCUUCCAGACGACUUAUAAUAAGUCGUCCAAACCUUCUAGACGACUUAUUUGUAAGUCGUCCAGUUGGAAAACCUUCCAGACGACUUAUAAUAAGUCGUCCAAACCUUCUAGACGACUUAUUUGUAAGUCGUCCAGUUGGAAAACCUUCCAGACGACUUAUUUCUUCCAGAAAACUUAUAUAUUUACAAAUCUAUACAAAGACAAGCUGAAAUACAAAUACUUCGCUCGUUAAAAAAUCAUGUUCAAAUACAAAGACAAGUUCAAAUACAAACACAAAUCUAAUCAUACAUGCCCACGAACUUAUCACCAUCCACAUUUUCUUUCAAAUGCUGAUCAACAAGCUCCUUCCAUAUAUCCACCGCCAUAUUAUCCCUCAUUUUCUUCGCGUUGCACCUAGCAAAGUCUUUAGGGUCAAAGGAGACCCCAAGAGCAUGACAUUCAAUGUACUUUACAGCGUACACGCCACAAUCACCAUUGUUGGCCGUGGGUACACCUUUCAGCGGUCUCUCAUAUGUGUAUGGCUCCAACCCGUAUUUGACCCGUAUUUCGUCGGUGGCUGCGCACUCAACAAGCAGAUAAGGGACCAUCUGGAGAAAAGGCUCCAUUAUCGCAUCCCAUGCGUCUGGUACACUAGAUGAAGGUAUGCUGUCCCAGACGACUAUGUGCCUCUUAGGGAUCGAUAUCCAAAUAGAAACCCAAUGCUUGUCGUUCAAGUUCACUGGCGCAUAGAUAUCAUCAAUGUCCUCCCCCCACUUCUUGUUUGAUUGGCAAAAUGAAGGUAUUGAUCCGUCAUAAAAAUUCGACGCCCCACCAGGUAGAACUCUUCCUAAACCUUUGUGAUCAGGUUCCGAUGUUUUGAAGAGCUGAUACUGCUCUCUCCAAGACUGGGAAAAGUUGUGAUCCAGGAAGCACAUUCGCUUGCUCCUGAAAGCUUGUGGGUUCUCCUGAUACCUCUGCCUUAGCACAUUAAUCCAAGCAUCUAUAUGCUGCAUAUUAAAUAUAACAAGUUAGAAGUUACCAGACGACUUAAAUAUAAGUCGUCUACGUGGUCGUCCAAGUAGACGACUUUCCAGACGAUUUAUCUUUAAGUCGUCUGGAAAGUAGUCUACUUGGACGACUUUGUAGACGACUUAAAUCGUGUGCAGAAGACUUACGCAGUCUUCCAGCCAUUCUCUGGCUGUCCGGAGGAAGUGGUACCACCUUGUUGGUGAUGUACGUGGUUUGUCCUCGGUCUUAGUUGAAUAAUGACUGCAAACAAAAAAGCAAUCAGUUUUGGACGACUAAAUCAAGCUAUUAUGGGUAAAGCAAUCACUUACGGAUCAGUUUUCAACCAAUCAGCGAGUUCCUUCAACUUAUCUUUGUUUACUGGCGGAAAUGGAUUAUAGGCUGCCACUUUAUCUUUUUUUUUCUCUGCCGUAUAAGGAGAUCUCACAGUGGGAGCAGGUUUCUUCGCUCGUUUACUCUUUGCACGCUUGUCCAAUACAACCAGGCUCGAUUCUGAAACUGGAUCGCUUGGCUCGGUGGAAGCGAGGCUCGGUUGUUGAUCGGUGGAAGCGAGGCUCGGUUGGUGAUCGGUGGAAGUGACAGCAACAAUCUCUUUGGAGGUGACACCAUCUGCUUUAUCCUCCGGCAAGAUCUUAUAUACCGAGUUCGCCUCGGUUGCUGUAUCCUCCGGCAACCAUCUCUGCAAUAAAAGUUGCACACAAGUUAACCCUGGACGACUUAAAUAAAAGUUGUCUGAACGACUAGUUGACCCUGAACGACUUAAAUAUAAAUCGUCUGGACGACUAGUUGACCCUGGACGACUUAAAAUUAAGUCUUCCGUGGUCAACUAGUCGUCCAGACAACUUACGUUUAAGUCGUCCGGGGUCAACUAGUCGUCCAGACAACUUUUACAGUCGUCUGGACAACUAGUUAACCCUGGAUUUGAUACUAACCUCUUUGAUUUGAGGAGGCUGUUUCUUUUGAGGAGGAGGAUGUUUCUUUUGAGGAGGAGGAGGCUGUUUCUUUUGAGGAGGAGGAGGCUGCUGUUUGGUUUGAUGAGGAGGAGGCUGGUUACUAACCACGGUUUCAUUGGCAUGAGGGGUAGGCUGUUUAUCUUGAGGGGUAGCCUGAUUGGUUAGAGGUGGAGGGGUACCCUGAUUGGUGACACCAACCUUCUUCUCCACAGCUUCCAAUCUAUCGGACAACUUCCAAAACUCCCUGAUGCACUUCUUAAACCCUUCUUUCAUGCAGUCAGCUGCGCCCUUGAACAUAAUUUCCAAAUCCUCUCUGGUCACCCCUCUAGCCUCUUCUCUAGCCUCUUCACUAGCCACUUUAGGAGCCUCUUUACGAGCUUUCUUCCGAGGUCUUGGAUUGUCUUCCUCCUCCUCCUCCUCCUCCUCCAACACAACCAUCUCUUUGGCUUUCUUCGAUGGAGUCACAACCUUAGGUUUUGUAUAGACCUUAGUACCAGUGACUUCCCAGCAAUCCAUGGUCCACUUCAACGGUCUCCGCUCAUACAUGACUUUAAUGAUGUUCUCCGCGGGCAGGUCCUCAACAUCAGAGUCCCAUUUUGGCCACAUUUCACUAAUGUCCUUCUCAACAAAGUUGAUCACGCGGGUCUGCAGUAAAUAGAAGAAUCGAGUUAGAUAUUUGAAAAAAAUACUAAAUAGACGACUUAAUUAUAAGUCGUCUACUAAGUCGUCCAGCUGGAAGACCUUCCAGACGACUUAUAAUAAGUCGUCUAAUAAGUCGUCCAGCUGGAAGACUUUCCUGACUCAAGAUAGCAGCUUUCAUUGAUCUGCGGCCUCUGCUGCCCUCGUAAGCCAGUAUCGGUGGAGACGGACUGUCUGCUCUGGGACCACCAAUACUAGCACCCAAUUCCGGCAUAGCUGUGUACGCCCAGACCUGAAGAACUUGUAUAAACCCAUCCACGGUGUAACAGCCAGUAAUUUCUUUGUUCCACAAAGAGUCCAUCAGCACCUUAAACGCGACUCUCCCCCAUGGAUAAUUCUCAAACCGUUCUAAAUCCAUCACUAGCCUUGCCAGAGUAGAUCGUGUAGCGGUUGAAAACUUUCUCCCUUCAAUGAAUCCAGUGAAGAUGGAGAGGUACGCGAGCGGCUUGCGAUCUUCCCUGGACCAAUCCCCGCAUCUCUUCAGUGCUGCUAUUAUCUGAUCAGUAGUUGGCCCAGCUUCCAGAUGAACUCCCAGCAUCCCCCAGAAAGAAACCAUCUCUUGGGUAACGUCACAUUUUGGUGUCUCAAGGUCCUCGAUGUACUCGCAGUUUAGACCAGUGAGGUUUUCAAACUCUAACAGUGAAAACCUCAAAGGUUCUGGACCAACGAGAGACCACAUCUCAUACUUCUUCUUAAUGUCCAGCUUGAAACUGAGCAUGUAGUGAACCAGCCUUGAAGCCCAACCAAAUCCCUGCUCCUUGAACUUGAUGAAAACUCUCAAACUCGACUCCUUGAACUCUUCAAAUUCGUCAUCAGUAAGAGCUUCCCUAAGAGCAGUAUGCAACUUGCUGUUAUCCGUAUGAUACGAAAUGCUAUUGUGGGCUUCUGGCUCUUCCCCUGAUGUGUAUAACCUACGGGGGAGUUCUGGAAUAUCCAUCCUUUUUGUCUGCAAAAUAAUCAAAGACAACAAUAUAAGUCCAGACGACUUAGUAGACGACUUAUAAUUAAGUCGUCUGGAAAGUCGUCCAACUGGACGACUUUCCAGACGACUUAAAUUUAAGUCGUCUGGAAAGUCUUCCAAAUGGACGACUUAUAUUUAAGUCAUCUACUAAGUCGUCCAGUUGGAAGACUUUCCAGACGACUUAAAUUACUUACAAGUCUUCCAGUACAAAGCGGACCUGAUUAGUCGCAGAAGGAGUUGGAGUACUCGUCAUUGCGGUUAUAGAUCUGAAAAAAUAAACGUGAAACGGUGAGAAUGAGUAAAUUGAUAGAGACAACGUUUUAUGUUCAUCUUUUCCUCGAGAUUGAUGACUUACCGGCGUUAGGGUUUACAGAGAAACGGCGCUAAGGUUUACAGAGAAGAAGCGGCGGCGCUAGGGUUUAGAAGAAGCGGCGGCGCUAGUGUUUAGAGGAAGCGGCGGUGAGAACGUUGGUGACCACGGUGGCGAGGGCGACGGUUUGUUCGGAAAUAGUGGAAGCGGCGGCGCUAGGGUUUAGAGGAAUCGGCGGCGCUAGGGUUAGAAGAAGCUGCGGCGACAACGGUGAGAAUGAAGUGAGAUAGAUAGCCGACGUUGAGAACGAUGGUUUGUUCGGAAAUCGUGGGAAUUCGAAAUCGCCUUUGAGAGAGAACUGUUAGGGUUUCUGAAUUUCGCGAAAAAUGAAACAAAAAAAAAAUCACCUUAUAUAUUGGGUAAAUAAUCCGGUUAGCUUUAAAAGUACAUUGGUAAACUUUAAGGUUUGGUUGGUCCGGUUUAGACGACUUAUUCUGGCUGAUAAUGUACAACAGACGACUUAAUAUUUAGUCGUCUGUUUUCAGACGACAAAAUAUUAAGUCGUCCUAGACCCUAAAAUGAACCCCUAAACUAAAAUGACUAGAUUAACUAACUAACCACGUUAUAAAAUCAAAUUAUACUUAAAUAGUGUUUACUACACAGAAAUGAACACGCAUAAGUAAUUUAAAAAUUUUCAAAAACGGUUUUAAUGCUUUCCAAAAUCUAACCCUAAGAACACAUACAAUACUACAACAUAUGUUGAUGAAACAUAAACUAAAGAAUAUCAUGACUCACUACUUUCACUCAUCUAUGCUGAAAACAAUUGAAAUUUGUUAUAUCUUAAUUUAUACCUCCUAAGACAUAUGUUAAUUACAUAAUUCCCAUUUUUCACUUAUCAAAAUAUUUUUUACAAAAUUUUUAAAUUAUGUUUAAGACUAACUGUCCAGACGACUUUCAGUUAAGUCGUCUGGACGACUUAUUUUCAAGUCGUCUAAACAGACGACUUGCGAGGGGUAGAAACGUAAAAAAAAUUCCGUUUUUUUGUUUGGUCACAAGGGGAUAGUUGUAAUUUCAAUAGCCUUUUAGGUUACUUUUGCCUUUGACCCAAGUUGGGGUAUUGUUUUGGAUUUGACUCCAAGUUUUGAGUCACACUUGGCAAUUCUCCCAAAAAAAAAUUGAACAAUAUUAGUAUUCCAUACAUAUUCUUCUGAAAAAAAAGGAAGGUGAAAAGUGAAAGUCAAAAAUCAACAACAACACUGGUGUGUGUGUGUGUGUACAAGGAGGAGAAUCAGUCACGUAUCAAAAGCCUCAAGUCGUUAGAAUCCUCUUCUUGUUGGAAUCUUGUGUGAGCUUUUUGAAGGAGUUUGAGAACAUUAGACAAUGCUCCAUUGCUUCGACUCUCGUCUCCCUUCUUCUCUGCGUGAGAAUAAGAUUCUUCUUCCGAAUUAUUCAUCAUCUGGUAUCUGAAAUAAAUGUAGUGUGAGACCUGCAACAAGUUUGGCUUGUGUUGAGGCCAAACACUAGCAUUAUCAUCAACAAUAACCACUCUUCGUUGAUCAGCAGAGAUACGAUCAAGGGUCUUCUUAGGAAGGGAUUUCUCUCUGGUUAUGACUCUAUUUCCAAAAUAUCUUUUACCAGGAUCAAUAACACUCAAUACAUACCGCGCGUAGCCGUAAGUGCCCAUCGUGUAAACGUGCAUGCGGAAAAGCUUGUUGGCUUCUUUCAGAAACUCGCGGAGGAAAGGUCGUAACUUUAUCAUAUGCUCGGGAUUUUCUUCGUUAAACCUCAGUAGAUCAACCCUUGACUCAGGUUCUUCCAUCAAAUAUUUUUCUUUAUCAGAAAGCUGUGAAACAGGGACAUAGUGGAGAAGCGUUUGAUCCAAGUCAAGCAUGUAAUUUCAUCUUCUUCUUCAUCAUCUUCUUCUUCUUCUUCUUCUUUUCUUCGUUGUUGAGACACGAGAGUUUGUUUCUUCCUUUGGUUUUAUCCAAUAAACUAAAGAAUAGUUGCUUUAUAAACGACGCCAUAGUUUCUAUUGGCGUUGUAAGGAGAAGACGAAAACAACUACGGAAACAGAAAGACUUUUUUUGAAAUAGACAAACAAUAAACCUAAUUUGAUGGGAAGCAACAACGAGCGAAUGAAUAAUCAAUCGGUGAUAGUGAUUUUGUAUUUAUAAUGGAGGGAGAGAGAUUGGAGCUUUGGAGUUGGGUAAGGAAAAAAGGAAAAUUUCAAAGUGAUCUACGUGCGUGUUAAGUUUUAACGCCUAAUUCUAGUUAUUAUGAUUAAUUGACUAUUAUAUCCUCUCGAUUAAAGCCAACAAGCUUCUCCUCCUCCUUCUCAGCCGCCGCCAUUAUGCAUUCUCUGACGGUAUCUCCGGGAGCACAGCCAUCAUAUCUCAACACAGUUGUUGUGCCGUUCCAUGCAGAUGCAGUUGCUGAUUUGUUGAUGUUUAAAGCUAAAAAACCUGUAUAGGAUAUGUAGAAUUAUUGAAUGAGAGGAAGAAAAUAAUAUGUUUUUUUUUUCAAUUAUCUUUACAUCCACACAUUAGUUUAGUAGCUGUCUUGUAAUUUAUUUGAUUAUGUCGGCUUUGUCUUGUUUGAUCCCAAAUCUACCAUUUUACUGAAAUGGUUAACGUUAAAAAUGUACAAUCACCUCGCAUAUGUAUAACUUAGUUUCUGUGAAUCAUAUAACGUCAUCAAGUACAUUUUUUACUUUUAGGUCCUAUGGUUUUUUUUUUUUUGGUUUGAUAACGCAGAGGUCACUGUUAUAUAUUUGUAUGUUUCUUCAUUUCAUCCUUAUAUUACUUGAAAGUAGGCUUUAAGUAAGACCAAAUCCAAUGUACCUUAUUGUUAUAUUAAAACUCUUAUACAAGGAAAAAUAGGAGGAUAACAAAACACACAUAAUUAACGGAAAGAAACCAAACAACAAAGAGAGGAGAAAGAAAGUAAAACAAAAUUUAGCUAAGUGGCACGUUUGCAUCUGUUGUAGUAAGUGCAAGGUGCGUUUCUCUGGUUAGCUGUUCCAAUGCUGCGAUCUUACCAUUGCAAGAUUACUGCUUCUGCAGAGCUUUGUAGCUUAGUUUCCUCCUCUGUUGUUGCAGAAUCCUCCUCACCACCGCCUCAACUCCCUCCUCAUCCUCAACCGCUGCAGUUAUGCAUUCUCCAACGGUGACUCCAGAAACACAACCACCAUAACUAAACCCACUUGUCACGUUCCCUGAAGAUGCAAUUGCAGAAACCGCCGCAAGAAGAAGCAGAAGAGAGACAGUAAAGAAGAAGAUAACUGAUCUUGUCAUGUCUUAUGCUAAAAAGCUAGGAGAUAUGGAAUGGAAUGAGACAAAAGUUAUUCUUGUUAUUCGACCGUCAUUUUUUUGUUACAACAGAUCGACUUUCUUAUUCUUGUUACACACUCUCUCUCUCUUUUUUCUUUCACUAAAAUAUCAUAAACACACACAUGAUUAAUGGAAAAAAGAAACAGCAUAUAAAAAUACAAUGAUAAAAGGAUGAAGAAAAAUUUAAGCUGAACGUUGGCAACGAUCGUAGUAAGUGCAAGUUGCGUCUUUCCCAUUAACAGCUUUGAUGCAGUUACCGGCGAUUUUACAGGGUAAAGCCGGCUGUCGCUGCAGAGGUUUUGGGCUUAUAACCCUCCUUGGUUGCAGAAUCCUCCGUACCACUGCCUCCUCCUCAUCCUCCUUCUCAGCCGCCGCCAUUAUGCAUUCUCUGGCGCUAUCUCCGGGAGCACAUCCAUCAUACCUCAACUCACUUGUGCCAUUCCCUGCAGAUGCAGCCGCGAGAAAAAGCAAAAGAGAGGCUAAUACUGUGAAGAAGAAUAAGGAGAAAACUGAUUUGGUCAUGUUUAAAGCUUAUAAAAGCUAGGAGAUGUGGAAUUAUUGUAUGAAGAGAAGAAGGAUAAUAUCCUUUUUCAAUUAUCUUUACAUCCACACAUUAGUUUAUUACUUGUCUUGCAAUUAUUUGAUUAUGUCGGCUUGUCUUGUUUGAUCCCAUAAUGUACAAUCACUUCACAUAAUGUAUAACUUAGUUUAUGUGAAUCAUAUAACGUCAUCAAAUACAUUUUCUUACUUUUGACAACUCAGAGGUUACUGUAUAUUUAUAUCUUUCUUCAUUUCAUCCUUAUGUUACUUGCAAGUAGGCUUUUAGUAAGACCAAAUCCAAUAUAUCUUAUCCUUAUUCUUAUAUUAUACUCUUAAACAUGGAAAAAAAAUAGGAAUAUAACAAAAACACAUAAUCAAGAAGAGAAGAAACACAACAUAUACAACAAAGAAAAGUAAAAACUAAGUGGCACGUUUGCAUCUGUUGUAGUAAGUGCAAGGUGCGUUUCUCCGGUUAGCUGUUCCAAUACAAUUACCUGCGAUCUUACCAUUACAAGAUUGCUGCUUCUGUAGAGCUGCGUAGCUUAGUUUCCUCCUCUGUUGUUGCAGAACCCUCCUCACCACCGCCUCAACUCCCUCCUCCUCUUCAACCGCUGCAGUUAUGCAUUCUCCAACGGUGUCUCCGGAAGCACAUCCACCAUAUCCAAACCCACUUGUGGUGUUUCCUGAAGAUGCAGUUGCCAAAUCCGCCGCAAGAAGAAGAAGAAGCAAAAGAGAGACAGUAAAGAAGAAGAAAACUGAUCUUGUCAUGUCUUUAAGCUAAAAAGCUAGGAGAUGUGGAAUGAGAACAGGAAGAUGAUAAUACAUCUCUUCUUAUAUUGUUAUGUGCAAACUAGUUUACAAUUUUUUAUUCAUUCUUGUUGGUGUAAUAAUUGCGGUUGGUCAUUGACUCCAGUGUAGCAUACAUAUAAUAUUCAAUAUGGUUGUGUUAUUAUUGAUCAUCUGGUUAAAAUAAAUCAAAUUCUCAGACAUUUUCUAUAAACAUUUUGUUUCUUGUGAAAACAGAAAAACAACAAGAAAGGGAUACAGACAUAACAGUAAAAAAAAAUACGGAAACAAAAUGAAACAAGGAAUUACAUAGGAAGGGGGCAAAACACUAUGUAUGAAGACACCUACCUGUGAGAGGCUUUAAUCCUUGCAAUCUCAAGCAAAAGUUUUUGCAAAGCUUGUGGCUUAGAGAAAAAUGGAGCAUGAUCAGCACCUUUUAACCGGUAAACUUUUUCAGGAGGACUACUAUUGAUCAUGUUUUCUUGGAGAGCCAACGGUAUAGCAUUGUCAUCUAGCGUCUCUAUGUAGAAACGUCUCACUGAUCCGUAGUUACCAUCUGAGAGACAGAGUUUCUCAAGAAACGGCGCAAAUGGGAUUGACCUCAUUGACACAGAAGCUAAUGCAACAUCCUUUGAAGGGCUUUGAUUGAACAAAAGGUCUUUAAGAAGAGACUUGUCUAAGUCAAUGCCCGUUGGAGGGUGUUCACUGCCGUUUGUGUAGAUAAAUAUCUGAGUUUUUCUCAUUAAGUCGCUCUGACCUGCCUGCAGCGAGAACAUGUCGAGUGUGCUCUGGCCAUUAGUCAGCAUGGCUGCAGAGAGGAACACAGCUUUGAGAUCUUGGAAGGAAACUGUUCCAUAGCGUAAGAUAUACAUGCUCCACCGAAGUCAUGACCAACCAAGAUCACCUUCUCUCCUGUGUGAAGCUUUUCAAGAACAUCAGUAAGUGGCUUCACGUACUGUGACAAGCUUGCGAUGCUGUUUAUGUUGCACGAGUUGAUACCGCAACCAGCUAAGUCUAUGGCGGUGACUUUGAAACCAUCUUCUUCUAGGAGAGCAAUGGUUUUGUACCAACACCAAGCGCCGAAACCUCCUCCAUGGAUGAGGAUAAAAUGGUUUGUUUCCAAGUCAUCUAGCUUUACACCCUAUUCAAAGACCGGAACAAAAUAUUUCAACUUCCAAAUAAAUAAUGAACCCAAGAAAAUGUAUUAAACUGUUUCCUGUUUUGCACUUAGGUAAACAGAAACUGAAUCAUCCACAAAGACAAAGGUGAACAAAUGGUCAAAACAAUAUAUAUAUAAACAGUCCUACAUGGAAGAUAGGUACAACACAUGAAGAGUGUAACUAAACUUCAACAAUGAUGUUUGGCUAAAACUAAAAGGUAAUAAAAAUGAAGUACAAUCUCAAGAUUUAAGAUAAAUACUUCCAACACCAAAAUUAAAAGUAGUAAAAUCUCAAGAUUAAGAUAAAUACUGGCAACAUCAAGACUAAGAUAAAUACUUGCAACAUCAAGAUUAAGGAAGUAAAACAUCAAGAUUCAAGAUUAAGAUAAACAAUUGCAACAUCAAGAUUAAGGAAGUAAAAUCUCAAGAUUAAGAUAAACACUUGCAACAUCAAUAUUCUCAUCCUCCUUUUGUGACUAUAUAUAUUCUCAUUGUCACCACAAUCACACCAUUGUCCAUAGUCAAAGAAAAAUAACUGAUGAAAAUAGAGGCACCAAGGUUUUUCAAGACUCUAACACCAACUUCUAAAGUGGUUGAGCCAACAAAGUACACUAAAGAAUCUACAUUAUACUAGAAUCCAAGGCACUGAAUGCUAAGAAAAGAAACUAAUCAAUGCUCAUUACAUAUCACAUUCUUCCCAUAUCAUAUAUUAAGACACUAUACACAAUCAAUUCAAGUUCCGAAGAAUGUCUCUAUUCAAAAUACCAUUGAGACAACUUCCAAGUUCUAGCUUUGAAUUAAGACACGAGUUUUUUAGUAUAGGUGGUUUAGAUUGGUUAAGGGCUCUGGAAUGUCCGGUUUAUUUGAGAUUAUAUUUAAGAUGUAAACCAGUUGGUUAUUCUUGGUUUAGCUUUGUUUACGAUUGUAUAAGAAUCAGUUGUAACAAACUUUGUCAUUAAUGAGAAUCUGAGUUUACAUCAUGAAAGCUAAAAUGGUAUCAGAGCAUUUUCCGCGAAAAUCUCAUUGAUUUAGCUCAAAUUCUUCGAUUCUCCACUCUUUUUCGUCGAAUCUCACCUCAUUUUGUUGAUCGGAAGCCGAUUCUGUAGCUGAUUUGAUCUCGGAAGCAUCCAAAUCACCUUUGCGAAUCUCUCUGUGUUUUCAAAUCGUUAUUCGAGCUCCAAUCUUCUUCAAUGGCGAAACAAGGACGAAAAGCACGAGGACGAACACCGAUUUCACCAGAUCAAACUCCGAUCUCAACUCCUAUAGAUCAGAAUGAAGUUGCGGUCACUCCACACCACCAGUUGACGAACAAUCAUGAUCGUUCGCUUCACGCAGCAUUUCCGAUGAAGAAGGAAUCAUACGACAACGUUCACAGUCCGUUCUUUCUCCAUUCUGCUGAUCAUCCAGGUCUAUCAAUCGUUACUCACACUCUAGAUGGAACGAAUUAUAACAACUGGUCGAUUGCUAUGAGAAUGAGCUUAGAUGCGAAGAAUAAGCUUAGUUUUGUAGAUGGAUCUCUUCCUCGACCUGAUUUGGAUGAUACUUUGUUUAAGAUCUGGAGUAGAUGUAAUAGUAUGGUGAAGGCUUGGGUGUUGAAUAUAGUGAACAAAGAGAUCUAUGAUAGCAUUCUUUACUAUGAAGAUGCGGUGGAGAUGUGGAAUGAUCUGUAUCUGAGGUUUAGAGUGAGCAAUCUUCCACGAAAGUACCAGCUUGAACAAUCAAUCAUGACUCUAAAACAAGAGAAUCUUGAUCUCUCGACAUAUUACACGAAGAAGAAGACAUUGUGGGAACAAUUGGCUAACACCAGAACUACCACAGUGAAGAGGUGUAAUUGCGAUCAUGUGAAGGAGUUGAUUGAAGAAGCUGAGACGAGCAAAAUCAUUCAGUUCCUUAUGGGUUUGAAUGAGAAUUUUGCAAACAUUCGAGGACAGAUUCUGAACAUGAAACCAAGACCAAGCUUGACAGAGAUUUACAACAUGCUUGAUCAAGAUGAGAGUCAACGUUCUGUUGGAAGUGUAUCAAAGAACUACUCUCCUUCUGCGUUUCAGGUUCAUGCUUCCACACCUGUUGAGCAGCCGCAUACACUCUUGGCUCAGACAAAUACUCAGAAACCUCGGUGCUCUCAUUGUCACAAGAUUGGACAUAUGGCAGAUAAGUGCUACAAGCUGCACGGGUAUCCUCCGGGUUCUGGUCCCAAAUGGAAGAAGCCGCAGACGAUUGGUUCAACGAAUCUUGCUCAAUCUGCACUAGAACUGCAGGCAGAUAAGCCAGAUUACUCAAAGGAAGAGAUGUCCAGGGAUCAGAUACAGCAUAUGAUUUCUUAUCUUAGCUCCAAGCUCCAUGUUUCAUCAGUUGAAUCCUUAUCGGAUAAAACUUGUGCCUCGACUUCAACCUCUGUACCGAUGAUCUCACAGGUCACAGGUACAUUCCUUGAUCUAUAUUCCAAAUCUUAUUAUGACAUGCUUGUUUCUUCAAUAUCUUUAGAACCGGCUGUGUCUCUUAGAGCUUGGGUAUUAGAUUCAGGGGCUACUCAUCACGUCUCCCAUACUAAGGACCUUUAUGUAGAAUAUAGAGCCUUAGAACAGACCUAUGUUACUCUACCAAAUGGAUAUACGGUUCAUAUAGAGGGCAUAGGAUUCAUUCAAUUAACUGAUGCUAUCUCUCUACAUGAUGUUCUUUAUAUUCCUGAGUUUAAAUUCAAUUUGAUCAGUGUGAGUGUUUUGACUAAGACUUUAAAUUCUAAAGUUAGUUUUACUUCUGAUCAAUGGUUUAUUCAGGAGCUUACAAGGGAAUUGAUGAUUGGUCAAGGUAGUCAAGUUGGAAACCUAUAUGUCAUGGAUUUCAAUAAAGAUAAUCAGUCUGUUUGUUUACAAGGUAUUUCUACCACUUGUUCAUUUCCACCUGCUUGUUCUAGUUUUACGAUUGAUUCUACAAUAUGGCAUAAUAGAUUGGGUCAUCCCUCUGAUUCUAAAGUUGAUGUACUUUCUGAUUUGUUAUGUUUCAAAACUUUAAGAAAUGAAAAACAAAAACAUCAUGUUUGUCACAUUUGUCAUCUUGCAAAACAAAGGCAUUUACCCUUUAAAUCUCGCAAUAACAUUUGUGCUUCACCUUUCGAACUUGUUCACAUUGAUACAUGGGGUCCUUUCUCGGUUCCUACUAGUGACGGGCAUAGGUAUUUCCUGACAAUAGUCGAUGAUUAUAGUAGAGCUACUUGGAUUUACCUUAUGAAGAACAAAUCUGAUGUUUUACAUGUUUUUCCGGGAUUCAUUGCCAUGAUUGAGAAUCAAUACAAAACGAAAAUACAAUCAGUUAGGUCAGAUAAUGCACAUGAAUUGAAGUUUACUGAUUUGUUUCUUGCUAAAGGUAUCAUUGCUUAUCACUCUUGUCCUGAAACACCUCAACAGAACUCUGUGGUAGAGAGAAAACAUCAGCAUAUAUUGAAUGUAGCUAGAUCUCUCUUGUUUCAGUCAAACAUUCCAUUAGAGUUUUGGGGAGAUUGUGUGAUGACGGCUGUGUUUUUAAUCAAUAGAUUACCCACUCCUGUGCUUGAAAACAAAUCUCCUUAUGAGAAACUCACUAGUAAAGUCCCUGAUUAUCAUUCUUUGAAGAGUUUUGGAUGCCUAUGUUACUGUUCUACGUCUCCUAAAGGUAGAAAUAAGUUUGAACCAAGGGCUAGAGCUUGUGUUUUCUUAGGCUAUCCUAGUGGAUAUAAAGGGUAUAAGCUACUAGAUAUAGAGACACACGCCAUUUCUAUUUCAAGGCAUGUCCUUUUCAUGAGGAUAUUUUUCCUUUAGCUACGUCUAACAUCAAAGAUGUGACUAAAGAUUUCUUUCCUCAUUUUCAUUCACCUGCAACCCCUGAUGAAGUUCCCUCUGGAACUACAUCUUCUGAUGUGCAUUCUCAUUCUGAUGCAUCAUCUUCUGAAACUUUGGUUUCUUUCGAAUCAAAGUCUAACAGACAAAAGAAACCUCCCAAACACCUGCAGGACUUUCAUUGUUAUAAUACUACCUCCACUAUACCAUUCCCUAUAUCAAACUAUAUUUCUUAUUCUCUAUUAUCUGAGCCUUUUCGUGCCUUCAUUAAUACAAUCACAAAAGAUUUUGUUCCAAGAACGUAUUCAGAGGCGAAGGGACAUAAGGUUUGGGUUGAAUCAAUGGGACUGGAGAUUGGAGCUAUGCAGAGAACACAUACGUGGAGUAUUACAACAUUACCUCCUGAGAAGAAAGCAAUUGGUUGCAAAUGGGUGAAUACAAUCAAGUAUAAGGCUGAUGGCACAGUGGAGAGACCUAAAUCGAGACUAGUGGCAAAGGGUUAUACGCAACAGGAAGGAUUGGAUUAUGAAGAGACAUUUUCUCCUGUGGCUAAACAUACUUCAGUUCGUAUGCUUCUUCUUCUUGCAGCUAAGAUGAAUUGGUUUGUGCAUCAGUUGGAUAUAUCCAAUGCUUUCUUGAAUGGUGACCUUACUGAGGAGAUUUAUAUGAAGAUUCCGCCAGGAUAUGAAGAGAUUACAGGUGAAGUGCUUCCCAAGAAUGCAGUCUGCAAACUUCAUAAGUCCAUUUACGGGUUAAAGCAAGCCUCGAGACAAUGGUUUCUCAAACUUUCUUCUACAUUAACUGGUAUGGGUUUCUCCAAAUCACAUUCAGAUCACACUCUAUUCAUGAGGUUUAAAGAUGACGUUAUCAUGGGAGUGUUGGUAUAUGUGGAUGAUAUACUUGUUGUGAGCAACAGUGACAGUGUGAUCAGAAAGUUUAUUGACGAGUUGCAGUUACAUUUUAAACUUCGUGAUCUUGGUCCAGCUAGAUACUUUCUAGGCUUGGAGAUUGCGAGAUCGUCACAGGGGAUUUCAGUCUGUCAAAGGAAAUACAUCUUAGAGCUUCUUGAUACAACAGGGUUUCUUGGUUGCAAACCUUCAUCAAUACCUAUGGAUCCGGGUGUUAAACUUUCACUGGAAGAAGGUGUUCCGCUUCAAGAUUCUUCUUCUUACAGGAAAUUGAUUGGGCGACUGAUGUAUCUCCACACGACAAGACCUGAUAUUUCUUAUGCAGUUAACACCUUGUGUCAAUUUUCUCAUGCUCCUACAGAUAUUCAUCUCACUGCAGCACACAAAGUCUUGCGGUAUCUGAAAGGCACUAUUGGCCAAGGGUUGUACUAUCCUGUAGACAACAAGUUUGAUCUACGAGGGUUUUCUGAUGCUGAUUGGGCAGCAUGUAAAGAUACUCGACGUUCAGUUAGUGGCAUUUGUAUGUACAUCGGUGAUUCUCUAGUAUCAUGGCGUUCUAAGAAACAAGAUACAGUUUCUUGUAGUACGGCUGAAGCAGAGUUUCGAGCAAUGGCGUUGGCUACUAAGGAAAUGAUUUGGUUAGCUCGGUUGUUACUUGAGUUCAGAGUUCCAUUUCAUCCUCCUGCUCAUUUGUAUUGUGACAAUACCUCUGCACUUUAUAUUGCCAAUAACUCUGUUUUCCAUGAGAGGACGAAAUGGAUAGAGUUGGAUUGCUACAAGACCAGAGAAGCUAUUGAGAGUGGCUUUCUUAAGACCAUGUAUGUGAAGACUGGGAAUCAACUAGCUGAUACACUGACGAAAGCUUUACAUCCCGCACCUUUCCGAGACCUCAUUGGCAAGAUGGGAAUGAAGAACAUCUUCAUAUCUCCAUCUUGAGGGGGGCUUUUAGUAUAGGUGGUUUAGAUUGGUUAAGGGCUCUGGAAUGUCCGGUUUAUUUGAGAUUAUAUUUAAGAUGUAAACCAGUUGGUUAUUCUUGGUUUAGCUUUGUUUACGAUUGUAUAAGAAUCAGUUGUAACAAACUUUGUCAUUAAUGAGAAUCUGAGUUUACAUCAUGAAAGCUAAAAGAGUUUGAGGAAUGUCUUUGACUUAGUCAACUAAAGAUUAUUCAAAGUCAAAAAAACCUUGUAAAGAAACUGAUGAGGCUGCAACAGAGGAUCCGUGGAGGAUCUUGACCUCGAGCUGGAGCUCCGAGGCAACUGAUUCUUCUUCGAACCAGAAACAGGAUAACGCUGCGACGUGGACCGAUCAAACGGAAGCGAUCCAGCUUCGCCGCUGUUUUGCUGUCCGAACAAAAUGGUAUCUUCGAGCUUGUUGUCCCUCGUAGAGGAAGAAGAAGACGAUCUGCGCCUGUUCCUAGGACCGGAAGCUGAUCUGGGUACGGAUGGUUGCCGCUUCGUGAUGGGUCGUCUCUUCUUGACGGGCUUAGGCGGAGCAAACAAAGAACAGAGGUUUCCCAUGAAGAAACUUGAGAGAGAGAAACAGAGUAAGAAAGGUUUGGGCUUUAUGGAGUUUUUAGAGAGAGAGAGAGAGAGAGAGAGAGAAGGUGGGGGUUCAGGUGAAAGUGGUGGCGAGAAGCUGGCAACUUUUGAACAGCCUUCUCAUCGUGUGCAACGGUGAGUCUAGAGAGGGACCAUGCUAAAGGGGAAAGUGCAUACAAUUUUAUAAUUACAUUCUUUUAUUGUUUUUUUUGUUUUAUAAAAAAGUUUUCUAUUGAAUAUAUUAUUUUUUAUAGGAUUAAUUUGACUAAUAACCAAAAUCAUAAGUGAAAUUAAAUGUAGGACACUCAUGUUGACGGAAUGAAAAAAAUGUCAUUUACCUCUAAGUCAUCCGAUUAUAUCCUUCGUAAAGACAAGUUGCAAGUAUCAAAGGAAAAAAAGAGAUGAAGUCGACGGUUUAUUUACUAACUCACGUCUUUACUGCAUACGUUUUCACUUUAUUUAGUAAAUAAGUGGAUACAAUAUAACACUCUCACAUUAUCUGUUGUAUUCAAUUUGUAUACGCCGUGAGUCUAUUUCCAUUUCAUAAACAAACACAUAAGGAAGAAGACGAAUGCAUGAAAAAGUUAAUGCUUACCGGAUUGUGCGUGUACUAUUAUAUCUCGGUUUCACAUGUACUAUUUUAUUUCGCUGACAUAGUACAUCACCCAAACACUACAAGAAAACAGCGGUAUUCUGACGGACAUUCCGACGGAAAAUGAAAUCCUCAGAAUAUCCCGAGGAAUUUCCGAGGAAACAAAAAAUUUGGUUUCCUCGGAAUUUCCUCGGAAUAUACCGACGGAAUUCCGAGAAAAUAUCAAUCCGUCGGAAUAUUCUGAGGAAAUUCCAAGGAAAAAUGUGUUCCUCGGAAAAAACCGAUGAAUUCCGAGGAAAUAUUAUAGCCGUUGGGGGAUUUUACAAAAUUCCGAGAAAAUUCCGACGAACUAGCCGUUGGCGUCGGAAUUCCGUCGGAAUUUCCUCGGUCUGUCGGCAGGAUUUAAACUAUAAAUACAAGCAGUCCUCUUCCUCUUCAUUCACUCCAUAUCUUCAUCCUCCCUCUUACUCUAUUUACACACGAAUUUGAUUCAUAAAAAAUAUGUCUUCUUCAAAUUAUUUUCGUUCUUGGAUCGAUCGACCUCAUUUGGAUCCGAACACGAGAUUGCUUACGGAAGAAUACCAACGAGGUAUAACCGAAUUCAUGGGGUUAGUUCACCGACAACCGGAAGCAAAAACAUGUAUGUUAAGAUGUCCUUGCUCUAAUUGUAAAAAUAGAAAGGUUAUUAAAGAGUGGGAUGUUUGGACUCAUCUAUAUUUGAGUGGGUUUACACGAAGUUACAAAAUUUGGUAUCAUCAUGGGGAAACUGAUUAUGAACAUGGUAGUACUAGCGAACCUCAGCCAGCGGUUAGAUUAGAAGAACCAAUUAGAACGGAUGUAGAUUAUGGUGUAGGUACUGAGCAGAUGGUAAAUGAUCAUUUUAGAGGGGAAGAUUUACCCAAUGCACAAGCUAGGAGAUUUUAUGAUAUGUUGGAUGCUGGAAAGCAACCAUUGUACGAAGGUUGCAGAGAUGGUCAUUCAGCUUUAUAAUCUGCUACAAGAUUGAUGGGCAUUAAAACAGAUUAUAAUUUGGCUGAAGACUGUGUGGAUGCGAUUGCUGAUUUUGUAAAAUGUAUUCUACCCGAGGAUAAUGUAGCUCCUGGUUCAUACUACGAGGUUCAAAAACUCGUAGCUGGUCUUGGUUUAUCGUAUCAGGUAAUAGAUGUAUGCAGCGACAACUGCAUGAUUUAUUGGAGGGCGGAUGAACAGCGGGUUACAUGCAAAUUUUGUGGAAAGCCUCGUUAUAAAGAUACGAGUGGAAGAGUUCCAGUGCCAUAUAAAAGGAUGUGGUAUUUACCUUUGACGGAAAGGUUGCAGAGGUUGUAUCUGUCUGAACACACAGCGCAACCAAUGAGAUGGCAUGCGGAGCACUCAACAGAUGGUGAGAUCAGACAUCCUUCAGUUGCAAAAGCGUGGAAGCAUUUCCAAUCAAAGUAUCCCGACUUUAUGUAUGAGAGAAGAAAUGUCUACCUUGGAUUAUGUACUGAUGGUUUCAGUCCGUUUGGCAAGAGUGGAAGACAGUAUUCUCUAUGGCCCGUCAUUCUUACACCAUACAACCUACCCCCAAACUUGUGCUUGCGACGAGAGUUUUUGUUUCUCUCGAUUCUCGUUCCCGGACCAGAGCAUCCUAAGAGAUCACUUGAUGUGUUUCUUCAGCCACUAAUAUAUGAGUUGCAACAACUAUGGGCUCAAGGUGCUGAAACAUACGAUGUUUCGUGUAAAGAAAACUUUCAAAUGAGGGCAGUACUAAUGUGGACAAUAAGUGAUUUUCCAGCAUAUGGUAUGUUGUCUGGAUGGACAACGCAUGGAAGGCUAUCAUGUCCAUAUUGUCAAGAUAACACUGAUGCUUUCCAACUAAAAAAUGGAAGGAAAACGUGUUGGUUUGACUGUCACAGGAGAUUCCUACCACCUGAUCAUCCAUAUCGUAGAAGUGGGAAUUUGUUUACGAAGAACAAGAGGGUGUUUGACUGUCCACCUCCGGAAAUUUGUGGGAAAGAUUUGAAGAUACAACUAAGAGAUUUUGGUGCAGAAAGGACGCCAGACGUCGGUGGACAUGAGCGUUUUCCGGUAGAUGCUGUUAGAGAACUACAUAACUGGCACAAAAAAAGUAUUUUCUGGGAUCUGCCAUACUGGGAGGAUCAUCUGCUAAGACAUAAUUUAGAUGUCAUGCAUAUUGAGAAGAACUUUUUUGACAAUCUCAUGAACACGAUCCUUAAUGUUCAAGGUAAAACAAAGGAUAAUUUGAAGUCAAGACUGGAUUUAGUCGAUAUAUGUGCUCGUUCAGAACUUCAUGUUGAUGAGAAUGGUAGGGCUCCUUUUCCCAUAUACCGACUUGAUGCAGAGGGAAAAGAUGCGUUCUUUGAUUGGAUUUCAAACGAUGUGGAAUUUCCAGACGGUUACGCAUUAAAUUUGCGUAACUGUAUCGACAGAAAGGAAUGAAAGUUUACUGGCUUGAAAAGCCACGAUUGCCAUGUAAUGAUGCAGCGCCUCCUUCCGUUCUCCUUCAAGGAACUAUUAGCACGAAAUGUUCAUGAAGCAAUUGCAGGGAUAAGUGGUUUCUUCCGCGAUUUAUGCACGAGAUCAGCGACUCUUGAAGGUAUUGAAAAUUUGAAGACUAACAUAGCCGUGAUUCAGUGCAACCUUGAGAAGAUAUUUCCUCCCUCAUUUUUUGAUGUUAUGGAGCAUCUUGUUAUUCACCUGGCAAGAGAAUUGGAACUUGGUGGUCCUGUGCAGUAUAGAUGGAUGUAUCUGUAUGAGCGGUAUAUGUUCCAUUUGAAGAAGAUAGUGAAAAAUUUAAGUAGGGUGGAAGGUUCUAUAGUCGCAUAGAUGAUCAAUGAAGAAACUUCAAACUUUGCCGAGUACUACUUUCCAGCAGAAGUUCAGACCAAAAACAGAAGACCUGCUCGGCAUGAUGAUAGAGGCGAACGGGCAACAUAUCAUGUUACGGUUCCAGACAUUUUCACAGACGUUGGACGAUUUAGCAGAAAACCAAAGGACCGUCGACUUACUGAGCAGGAGCGCAGUCAUUUGCAAACAUAUUUGCUCACCAACUGCGAAGACGUUCUUCAAUAUGAGAAGUAAAUAAAUUAGCUUACAAAUUUUUAUUUUAACAAGUUGAAAUUUAAAUCUUAAUUAAUUACAUUAUUGUCAUCAUAUACAGGAUUUUCAUGGCAGAAAAGCGGUUCGAGUAUAGAUACGCCACAGAGGACGAACUAGAAGAAAUGAAGCAGAGAGAAUUUACUGGAUGGAUGUUUACUUAUGUGAGUGCUUUAAACAAAUUAAAAUAUAUUUUAUCACAUAUUUAUACUAAUUCACAUUUAUUGAUAUAACAUAUAUAUAUGUGCUAUUAAUAGGUGUCUGCUGGUUUGGCCAGAGGUGAAACAUUUGACGAUUGGAUACGUGAGAUGGUCGUUGGACCAAACUUUGUUGUGAAGUCAUAUCCGAGAUUUUGUACUCGAGGAUAUGCAUUCACAACUCAGAAGAGGAGACGUUCGAGUACGACUUAUGAUGCUGGCGUUUGUUCUGCAUCAGGAGAUGAUGUAUACUACGGACACAUACAUGAGAUUUUGGAAAUCAAGUAUUUGGGCAUGGUUGGAUUGCGCUGUACUGUUUUCUAUUGUGAUUGGCACGACAACACUCCAGAUCGAGGUGUGAGAACAAAUGCAUUUGGUGUUACAUCAGUAAAUUCGAGGCGAAAGCUGCAAUAUUAUGAUCCUUUCAUUCUUGCUUCUCAGGCCGAUCAGGUAAUUAAAUGUUAAUUAUUCAGAAUGAUUCAUCAUAAUGUGUAUUAAUUUAUAAUUUUACUAAUAAUUUUCUAAAUGUUACAGGUUUGUUAUAUCAAGUACCCCCGGGUAAGGAACAGAUAUGAUCCAUGGGUUACUGUUACAAGACUCAACCCGAGAGGCCGAGUUCAGGGAAGUUCUGAGCUGGAAGACCCACUACAACCAAGCACAUCCGGCAACUUAAGUGCAACAGAAGAUUUAGCUGGAGUUGGCCUUGUAGUCGAUUUAACCGACUUCGGAGAGGAAGUCGUCGUUCACGUAGAGGAUGAACCAGUGAUUGGAGAGUUUCACCAAGAUCCAGAUUCAGAUUCAUCUGGUGAUGAUGACUCGAAAACAGACUACCAUUGAUUUUUUUUUUUUUUUUAAAGAAAUACCGAGGAAAUUCCGAGGAACACUUGAUAUUCUCGAUCGAUCGAUGGGAUAAUCUAAUCGAUCGAUCACAUUGUUACGCUUUGGUCCAUCUUAGUGAUCGAUCGAUGCGUUUUCGGACAUAUAUCCAUCGAUCGAUCCGUUUAUAAAAAAACUUACAAGAUUUUCCGAGGACAUUCCGAGGAACGGUUGAGAUUCUCGAUCGAUCGAUGGGAUAAUCUAAUCGAUCGAUCACAUUGUUACGCUUUGGUCCAUCUUAGUGAUCGAUCGAUGCGUUUUUGGAUAUAUAUACAUCGAUCGAUCUGUUUAUAAAAAAACGUACGAGAUUUUGUUCUCGAUCGAUCACAUUGUUACCCCAAACCCUGUUUCCUCGGAAAAGCCUCGGAAUAUUCAGAGAAAAUUCUGAGGAACACCUGAUAUACUCUAUCGAUCGAUGCGUUUUGGUACAUAUAUCCAUCGAUCGAUCCGUUUAAAAAAAAAUUGACGUAUUGAAACCCCAAACACUAGUUCCUCGGAAUUUCCUCAGAAUAUUCCGAGGAAGAAAAGGGUUUCCUCGGAAUUCCCUCGGAAUAAUCCGGGGAAAUUCCGAGGAAAUAGGGUUUUUAAACCGAAAACAACGUUUUGCGGUUUGAAUAACACCUAUAUAACCCUUAUUAAGUGUCUUACGUUCAUUAUGAAGUCACAAAUUUGUUCCUUACCGUAUAAUUAACACUUUUCCGAUUGUAUGAACGAAAUCCCACAACAUAAGAGAAACACUUAUACCUUUUAAUGAACGGUAAAGGGAAUACUUUCAAUUAGUUUUGAAAUUUGUUAUUUCAUAGUUUAUGCUCAUCUAUACUAAGAAUCCUCAAUGGUAUGCAUUACAAUUGUAUAAGAAAUGAAAUACGGCAAAAAAAAAUUGAUGUUUUGAAACCCCAAACACUAGUUCUUCGGUAUUUCUUCGGAAUAUUUUCAUUUUACCGGGCAAAUAUUUCGCGAAAAUUGAAAUUAGAAUUCCGACGGAAUUCCGACGGAUAAUGUCCGUCGGACCCUAGGUUUUAUAACCACGAGCCCCUUCUUCUUCCCCAUUUCUCUCUUCUUCCUCUGCGCGACUCCUCUCUNNNNNNNNNNNNNNNNNNNNNNNNNNNNNNNNNNNNNNNNNNNNNNNNNNNNNNNNNNNNNNNNNNNNNNNNNNNNNNNNNNNNNNNNNNNNNNNNNNNNNNNNNNNNNNNNNNNNNNNNNNNNNNNNNNNNNNNNNNNNNNNNNNNNNNNNNNNNNNNNNNNNNNNNNNNNNNNNNNNNNNNNNNNNNNNNNNNNNNNNNNNNNNNNNNNNNNNNNNNNNNNNNNNNNNNNNNNNNNNNNNNNNNNNNNNNNNNNNNNNNNNNNNNNNNNNNNNNNNNNNNNNNNNNNNNNNNNNNNNNNNNNNNNNNNNNNNNNNNNNNNNNNNNNNNNNNNNNNNNNNNNNNNNNNNNNNNNNNNNNNNNNNNNNNNNNNNNNNNNNNNNNNNNNNNNNNNNNNNNNNNNNNNNNNNNNNNNNNNNNNNNNNNNNNNNNNNNNNNNNNNNNNNNNNNNNNNNNNNNNNNNNNNNNNNNNNNNNNNNNNNNNNNNNNNUUUUUAUUAGGUUCAACCGAUCCGGGAACGGGAUCAGCGCAUGGAUCAACCGUACGAUGUACUCGGCCCUCGACAGGGGACAUCCGACUUUCACUCACUUCCCUACCGACAAGCAGGUUCUGUGGUUUCGUCAGUUUGCGGUAAGUAUUCUUAAUUUUUACUUAUAUUUUUAAUCUUUAAUAUAAAUUUUCUACUAAUUGUGUUUUAUUUUCAGCAAGAGUUCAACUGGAAUUCCGAUGAGACGCUCUUUAUCUAUCACCACUUCGUCCAUAAAGUUAUGGACAACUAUGGGAAGCAGAUCCACGAGUGGAAGAAGAAGUGGGAAAUCAAUAAGGUUCGAUUUAAUUUAUUAAACAAUUUUUUAAUUUAUUAAACUAUUUUUUUAUUUAUUAAACUUUUUUUUUUGUUUUUAAAAGGUCCCAAAGUCGAUGAACGACACGGUCUGGAAGGAGUUGUGUGCGCAUUGGGAUAAGGAAGAGACGAAAGAAACUUCUUCCACCAACUCCACCAACCGCAGGAGCGACCGUAAAGGGAAGGGCAUCUACAAGCAUAAUGGGUGCUCAAUCUAUUGCCACUCUGGGAGAUCGCAUGGUAAGUUCAACCGCUUUUUCUUCAAUUAUUUGAGUUUCAAAAUUUUAAUUUAUUGUGCAUUUCUUCUAAUUUCUAAUGUUUCUUUAAUUUAUGUUUUUUUCAAGGCGGAAGAAAAUGAUGGCGAGCCGGUUGAUGAUCUCGCCGUAAUGAGGAGGGCGUAUACCAACAAGAAGACCGGCCAGAUUGAUGACGGUCUUGUGAGGGACGUGGUCGACCUGGUCCAAACUCAGGUGGUAGACGAAGUGUCUCAGCUUCAAACCGAGGAUGACGCUUCGACGGCUUCGACCAACUUGUCCCGGUUUCGAAUCAACGAAAUCGUUGAAUCCGUAAGUUCUUUUUUUUUAAAGUUCAAUUCAUUUAUUUCUUGGUUUAAAUUUGUAAAUUUGGCUAUUUUCUAUUCAGUCGGUUCCAAAGAAGAAGGGACGUUUGGUCGGUUUGGGUCGUCGCACCCGGUCGGUUCCUCCUUCUUCUGCACCACCGCCCGUUGUUGAUCCAGAAGUACUUACGACUCAGUUGAAGGACAAGGAUGAUCGCAUAUCUUUGUUGGAGACCCAGAUGACGGCUCAACAGGCGGGCUAUGAGGCACAGAGGAGGCUGAACCAGCAAAUGAUGGAGAUGAUGCAGAGGAUGUACCCGAACGAGGUGUUCCCGGACGUGCCAGACCCGUAGUUUUUUUUUCUCCAAAAACUCGGAAUGUUUUAUUUUUAUUUGUGAAACUUUGAAUAUUAAUUAAUAUGAUUUCAAUUUUAAUUUUAAUUUUAUAUUUUCAAAUAUAAAUUUCAAAAAUUUUAUUUUUAAAAAAAUUAAUAUUUUUUACAUUCCGAGGAAAUUAAUUAUAUUUUUUACUCGAUCGAUCGAUGCGUUUUUGGACAUAUAUCCAUCGAUCGAUCUGUUUAUAAAAAACGUUCGGAAUAUACCGAGGGACAUCUUCCUCGGAAUAUACCGAGGGACACCUUUCCUCGGAAUAAACCGAGGGACAUGUUCCUCGGAAUAUACCGAGGGACAUGUUCCUCGGAAUAUUCCGAGGAAGAUGUCCCUCGGUAUAUUCCGAACAUUUUUUUAUAAACGGAUCGAUCGAUGGAUAUAUGUCCAAAAACGCAUCGAUCGAUGAACUUCCGAGGAAAUAUCCCGACGAAGUUCUCCCUCGGUAUAUUCCGAGGAGAUUUCCGACAAACUAGUGAUCCUCGGAAUUUCCUCGGAAAUUUGUUUCCUCGGAAUUCCGUCGGAAAAUUCCGAGGGAUUUCCGAGGAAAGAAGAAAUUCCGAGGAAUAACGUUAUUCCGACGAAAUUCCGACGAUUUUUCCCUCAGUAUCCUUGCUGUUUUCUUGUAGUGAAACCUUCUCUCGGAACUAUAUCUACAAAACCAACCACAUCUGAUAAAUAAUAUACUCAAACUCCUACUUAGUUAAUCUAAACCCUACUCAUAAAACUAUAAACUCAAAUAUAAUUUAUAAAUUGUUUUCUGAUAUUAAACACAUGAAGGCACAUUUACUUGGUUUGCAGGGUUGCAUAUGUUCUAUUCCAUAUAGUCCAAAUAGUAUAAUAAACCAAACCAAACCUAUCUCAGUGACAUAGUACAUCACCCAAACGUUUGGUGGGAACUAUACAUAUAAAGCCAACCACAACCGCUAAAUAAUAUAUCCAACCCCCUACUUAGUAAAUCUAAACCCUAGUCAGGAAACUAUAAACCCAAAUACAAUCUAUAAAUUGUUUUCCGAUAUUAAGCACAUGAAGACACAUUUAAUUGGUUUGAAGGGUUGCAUAUGUUCUACUCCAUACAGUCCAAUUAGUGUAGUAGACUAAUCUUACUGGAGAAACCUACAUAUUAAAUCCGCUCACACCCGCAACUUAUUAUACCUAAACCCCUAAAAAUUAAUCGAUUCAUAACAAUGAUAUGACAUCAAAACAUAACAAAUGUUUAUUCACUGUACAUCCAUAUUUAUAUUCUAUUUUUGUCAAAUAGAAUAGAACAAUACAAAUAACACGUUGCAACUGAGUGACCUAAUGUGGAGAUAUGGAGUAACGAAAGAGAGAAUGAUGAGGUGAAUGAGAAGGUAUCAUUUGCAGAAGAGCUGAUACCAGCCGGAGUUGGUGGAGGAAAAAGAGAAACUAUCAUGAAAAGUGGAGAAGAAUAAUAGUCGAUGGGAGAAACUAAAGAGACAUGAGUGGAGACGGCGGUGAAGAGAAGAUGAUGGCAUCGAUAAAACAAUUGGUGAUGAUGGUUGUAACACCCCCAAACCGUUCUAGGCAUAGGUCGAACCACCGGCCAACAAUCAAACAAGAACAUGACCGACGGGCCGACCGUCUACCAAGGAUCGGGAGCGCUACAUGACGGGUUAACGGCCGAUCCGGCCAAGGUCACGAAAAGUGCAAUUCGUGAUUAGGCCAGUCCGUCCGCUAACACGUCCCGUCAGACCAAAGCCUAAGGCUUCUCAACCCGUACUCCGAUCUGACGUUGUGUUAGCUUGGACAAGCUAAUAUCAGAACAACAAGGCAUUUACACAAAACAUUCACUUUAUUUAUUUUAUAUAUAUUGUAUGGUUCAAAACACACCACAUAAUAUACAAGCGGUGGCAUGCCAAGAAAGUGAAAGUACAUACUUAUAGUCUGAAAGCAUCUUAAGCAAAAAGAUGCAAAUCUACACCAGCCAGCCUAGCCUCCCGCGAUCUCUACAAGCUCGCUACUGGUCACCUGAAACAACAACAAGUGAGGAGUGAGUAAUCUAGCAUUACUCAGCUAGUUACAAUCCCCAACUAACAAAUACAACCCCUCGCUAUCCCACCCCAAGCAAUCUAAAGCGAGAGGUUAACCUAAAAACAAAUCAACCCAAUUCAACGAAUAAUAAUAAGCAAUAUCAGAAAUACGCAGCUGGAAAAAGAUAGUAAGAUAUCUAGCAAUAUGCUAAUUACUAGCUCAAUACCAAACUCAAAUUCGACUUAAACCAGGGUUCAAUAACCCGAAACACGAUAUAAUAUAUAUAACAAACUCGGGCCCUGGUGACGUUAUGUUCCUCCUUCACUAUCGGCAAUAUCCUAUCUUCCUACCACAAAGGCCAGAAGAAGGAACUUUCAACCGACCGCGGCCCACAGUCCUUCGGGUCACCGCGCGACAGCCCACAGUCCUUCGGGUCACUGCCAUAUUACACCGUCAUGUAAUCACUCAGCCAUAGGCCAUGACCCCGUCUAUCUGAGUCUUCCCGAUCCAGCGAAUAAGGGGUUUCCAUGAACCCGCCGGGUACGAGGUCUGAAGGAACACUAACUCACCCCAACAUGCCUAGCAUUGUGGGUUACACAAAUGCUGUCGGCCGAUAUACGAUUAAUACUAAACCCGGUAAAAAUAACACAAGGUUCCUAGUAUUAAUCACCACACAAUCAACACAUUCCACCUCAAACAUGCCUAGCAUUGUGAGUUACACAAAUGCUAUAUGGCCAAAAUAUGAUUAAUACUAAACCCGGUAAAAAUAACACAAGGUUCCUAGUAUUAAUCGCAAAUUAACACAAUCAAUCAUAUUCCAGAAUCUAGCAUUAAGACUAAUUCUAGAAUACCUAACUAUCCACAACUUAGCGAUAUCAUCUAAGCAUUCCGCAUUCGCUAACUAACCAAUCAACCUAACCAUUAGCAAGCUACUACGGUUCUCAAACAAUAACAAGCAUGCCAUCAACUCAAUCAACAUAACCUCAAUUAUUCAAACUGUUACUUAGUUAGACCCGGCCAUCUGCCAUGAUCCAACUUCCAAGUAACGGGACCCUGCAUGAAAACAACUCAGCAAUCAAUCAAUUAUAACUCACAGUUUUUGGUUGACCGUGGCCUUGAUUCAAAACCCGACUUCUGCGAUCCGAACCCUUUCUUGACCUUCUCAAGUAGACCCACGUCUAGACUGGUCUUGAACUGGUCUCCACUAGAACUGAUCUCUCUUCACUUGAGCAGAACCUUCUCGAGGUGCUGACUCAAAAUCGGCAGAGUAACUGUUCUCGAAAACUGCUUAAAUCGUUCGAAAACUAUCGAAACUUGAUCUUUGUUUCCUUGCUUUCUAUCUCAUGUUUUGAACUGACUUUCAAAUGUUCUGAAUGUUUUCAAAUGAGAGAGGGCCGUGGGCUAUUUAUAGAAAACAGCAACCAAUCAGGAACAAGCCGUGUGGCAGCCCGUGUGUCGCUUUGCAUGGCUCCGGACGCAUGCGCGGCGACACCUCGUGCUCCACAUGGCUGGCUGCAUGUCUCAGUCUCAUGCAGGAUGACACACCCACGUCCAGAUGGCCAGAUGCAUGACUGAAGUGCAUGCAGGUCGACACACCAUCUCACACAUGGCUGGCCGCAUGCUUCGGUUGCAUGCUUCGCAACACCUCGUGCUUGGCCGUUCCACCUCGUGCUCCACAUGUCUACUUGCAUGUACAGGUUGCAUGUACUGCAACACCUCCUACUUCCCUUGACACACACACUGCCAGGAGCUUGCCACCACGUCCUGAACACACACACAUCUAGCCACCUCGAGCUUCUCGGUCAAUUGUACGAUAUUGGCCUUCAAGUGAAUUUUUUGUCCCGCGAUCAUUCCCAAUAUUUUUCGACGUCCGUUCUGAUGAUCUGAUUAUUUUUAAUAAGCUCCAAAUGAAUCCUGACUUGAUGGAAAAUAUUUCUCGAUUUUCUGGCUUCUUCGAAAAAUUCCAUAAUACCGAAAUUAGGGUUUUUCGCCCAAUUUCCGGUCUUCCUGUUGUGCUUCCAAAAGUGUCAUGCUUCAAACGUCCUUUGAGUAAAUAUGCCACAUUGUCUAACCAUUGUGUAGUGGGAUACUUGACUCAUGGUCCAGACAAAAACAAUCUGAUUGUCCGCGACUCGACCACCCAAAAGAUACUCGACCAUUAUUUUUAUUUUUAUUUUUUAAUGGGUUUCUACAUUCUCCCCCCCUUAACAGAAUUCGUCCUCGAAUUCUAAGGUUCUGAGGGGCCUCCUUCUUCCAUCACAGCAUCCUCUCGGAAGAACUCAGGGUGAUCGGUUUUAAAUCGCGCUUCAUCUUCCCAAGUAACAUGAAUUCUGUUUUGUCUUCCCCAGAACACUUGUACUUGAGCAAUCUCACGAUUCUUCAGCUUCCGAAUACGCCGUUCUCCCAAUCUGAUUGGUCCUUCCGGAUACGUAAGGUUUGUCCUAAACUCCUCUAGUCUCUCGGGUUCAACAGUACUUGGAUCCCGUAUACGUUUCCGUAGCAUGGAAACAUGAAAUACAGGAUGUAGAUGCAUAUCCACUGGCAGUUCCAAACGGUAAGCUACCUCACCAAUUUUCCCGAUGAUCUUGUACGGACCAAUGAACCUGACUGCAAGUUUCCCGACCAUGCCAAAUCUGUCAUUCCCUUUCUGUGCAGUAACUUUCAAAUAGACCAAAUCUCCUAUCUCAAAAGUUACCUCUCUUCUUGACUGGUCUGCGUGCUUCGUCUGGCGGUCCUGAGCCUUCUUCAUGUUGGCCUGAAUCGUCUCCAGCUUAAUCAUGGUCUCCUGAACGAUAGGUGACCCAAACAUUCUUCUUUCGCCCACUUUCGUCCAACACAUAGGCGUUUUGCAUGACCUUCCGUAUAACGCUUCAUAAGGUGACAUCCCUAUGCUCGAAUGAUGACUGUUGUUAUACGAGAACUCGACCAACGGUAAAUGCUUCUCCCAAGUUCCUGCCCAAUCGAGAAUACACAUCCGAAGCAUGUCCUCGAUGGUCCGAAUGGUUCUCUCCGUUUGGCCAUCUGUUUCUGGAUGGAACGCCGUGCUUCUGAAUAGUUUAGUUCCCAAGGCUUCUUGCAGUGCUUCCCAGAAUGAUGCCGUGAACCUUGGAUCGCGAUCUGAGACGAUGUCUGAGGGUACACCAUGUAACUUCACAAUUUGGUCGAUGUACAACUUGGCCAACACUUCAACUUUAUCAGUGUCCCGCAUAGGCAACAAGUGUGUAACCUUGGUUAACCUAUCCACAAUCACCCAUAUCGAGUUGUUCGAUCUACCUGGAGCAGUGGGUAAUCCAAUGAUGAAAUCCAUGGAAAUAGAGUCCCAUUUCCAUUGAGGUAUCAGAAGACUCUGCAAUAAUCCUCCUGGAACUUGAUGUUCGACCUUGACUUGUUUACAAGUUACACACUGCGCGACCCAUUGCGCUACUGAUCUCUUCAUUCCCGGCCAAUGAUAGUAUCUUCUCACGUCUUGGUACAUCUUCGAACUUCCAGUAUGGAUACUAAGUAAAGAAUGAUGAGCAAUCCUUAGUAUCUCAUCUCUCAGCCCUUGUCCUUUAGGAACCGUGAUCCUCCCAUUAAUUAGCAAGGUUCCAUCCUCCGCCAAGUAGUAUCCAGCACUAUUUGGCCCACCUUGUCCUUUGAGUUCCUCAGCAAUCUUCAAUAGCUUCUCAUCCUUAAGUUGUUCUUCUCGAAUUCUCUGAAUCAAGCUGGCCUGAUUCACCGCUUGAAGUCCCAAUGGCUCGCUCGCUUGUCCUUCCAAAACGACCAACUUUACUUGUUUCAAUUCUUGGUUCAACAGCUCCACUUCUUUCUCUAAAUCUGCGUCCAACUUUCUUCGACUUAAGGCGUCCGCAACAACAUUCGCUUUACCAGGAUGGUAGCGAAUCCUUAUAUCGUAGUCUGCCACAAACUCCAUCCACCUACGCUGGCGCAGGUUGAGAUCUGGCUGAGUGAAGAGGUAUUUAAGACUUUGGUGGUACGUGUAUACCUCCACUUCUUCUCCAUACAAGUACGAUCUCCAAAUUCGCAAAGCGAACACCACGGCCGCUAACUCCAAGUCAUGUGUACUGUAGUUAUCGUCAUGUGUAUUGUAGUUAUCCUCAUGCUUCCGUAGUUGUCGUGAGGCAUACGCGAUGACUCGCCCAUCUUGCAUAAGAACUCAACCUAACCCAACUCGUGAAGCAUCCGUGUAAACCGUGUAAGGUUUACCUUGCUCGGGCAAAGCUAACACAGGUGCGGUCGUGGGAGCUUCCUUCAACUUCUUGAAAGUCUUUUCGGUUUCUUCCACCCAUAAGAAAGGAACUCCUUUACCGGUAAGUUUAGUUAAAGGCUUUGCAAUGGAGGAAAAGUCCUUAACAAACUUCCGAUAAUAGCCAGCAAGUCCGAGAAAACUCCUUACUUCCGUCACAGUGGUAGGUCGAGGCCAUUCUCGUAUGGCUUGGACCUUUUCUGGAUCAGCAGCCACGCCCUCUCCUGAUACUAUGUGACCCAGAAACCUAUCUCUCUCUUCCAAAACGAGCACUUGCUGAACUUGGCAAAUAGCUUCUGAUUCCGUAACCUCUCCAUAACCAGUCUCAGAUGCUCUUUGUGCUCCUCCUUACUUCUCGAGUACACCAGGAUGUCAUCAAUGAAAAUGAUCACGAACUUGUCGAGGUAGUCGUGAAACACUUCAUUCAUCAAACGCAUGAAAGCCGCAGGUGCGUUUGUAAGACCAAAGGGCAUAACUACAAACUCGUACUGCCCAUACCUCGUCCGAAAUGCCGUCUUCAUGAUGUCUGACUUGGCAAUAGGAAUUUGGUGAUACCCUGAUGCCAAAUCAAUCUUCGAAAACCAACUAGCUCCCUUUAGUUGGUCUAACAACUCGUCUACCCUCGGAAGAGGAUACUUAUCUUUUAUCGUGAUGUUGUUGAUACCACGAUAAUCGAUACACAACCUCAUGCUUCCGUCCUUCUUCUUCACAAAUAGCACAUGAGCUCCCCAAGGUGAAGAGCUCGACCGAAUGAAUCCCUUUUCCAAUAGAUCUUCCAAUUGCUUCUUUAGUUCAGCCAACUCCGCAGGUGCCAUCCGAUAUGGUGCCUUAGCUAUAGGUUUUGCUUCAGGCUCCAAAUUGAUCGUAAAGGGAUUACUCCGAGGUGGAGGUAAUUCCUUUAGUGGUGCAAAGAUAUCCUCGAACUCUUGGACCACUUCUAUGUCUUCGACCUUAACUUCAUCAUUAGUGGCUCCUCCACUAACCGAUAAGGUCACCAAAUAUACUUCCCCAUCUUGAAACAAAUCUGGUACUCUCAUUGCUGCUACCAAAGAUACGGUCAUACUAGGACUGAUUCCAUAAUAUACCAUCUCUGGUCGUUUACCUCUGCCAAACAACAACCUUCCCUUUCCACAGUCGAUCUGAACUCUGUAGCUCGUUAACCAAUCCAUUCCAAGGAUUACUUCGUACCCUUCCAAAGGCACGACUAACAAAUCUGCCACAAAAUCUUUCUCUUGAAUGACCAAUGAAACAUUCUUGAUACACUGAUCUGCUUGAAGGGUUCGGUCUGCGGGGGUCAAGACGGCCACGUUUAUCCUGUCAACCACAAAACAAUCCCAAAACCGGGCAGCUACUUCAGGGGUCACAAAACUAUGUGUUGCCCCCGAGUCGAACAAUACAUGUGUGGGUUUACCAGCAACAUGUAUGGUUCCUGCCACAGUAACCCAAUCAACAAUAUCUCAAUCACAAAAACUAAUCAAAAUUCGCACAACCAUCAAUCAUCAAUCCAAAAUUUCUAAACGCGCAACCUAGUGAUCAAGCAAUCUAUACUUAACCAGCAUACUAACUAGGUUCCAACAACUAAAUUCCAUUCAAUAAAUAGAGGAGGUUAAGCACCCAAUACCUGUGAUGGGACCGCUUGACGGUCCUGCAUUGUCUGGGUUUUCUACCCCUAAGGCAUAAACUCUACCUCCUAGGUUUUGCUUCUUUGGUGCUGGCUCAAUAGCUGGACGGCUAGGAGGAGCUCGGAUCGCGAGAGGGGUCGAAGGGAUUGGCUUGUUUGGACAUGACGAUGCAUAAUGGCCCUUCCUUCCACAGAAGAAACAAGUAACAUCUUCCAUCCUCAGCGAUGAAUAACCCUGCUGGUUACUCCAUUGGUUAUUCCGCUGAUUGUUGGGACAAAACCUCGAAAUAUGUCUCGGCUGAUCACAUGUGUAACAUACUCCAGUGUUACCACGAUUGUUGGCUUGGCCUCCAAAUCCUCGCCCUUUGCCUUUGUUAGAUCUUGGACCCUUGUUGAAAUUCAGUCUUUCUCCUUGGUUAAACUUGGUAUGUCCACCAGAAUGUUGUAUAGUCUUCCUUUCCGCCUCUAACACAGUCUCAACAUUAACAGCUUUUUCCACCAACUCCGAUAAGCUGCUAAAGUUGCUUCCAGCUAAACGACUUCCAAGCUCCGGCUUCAAUCCGUACAUAAAGUUACGGAUCAUAGUUGCUUCAUCUUCACGCCCAUCAAAAACGUGUCGCCUCAACCUUGUGAACUCAGAUUCGUAACUCCUCACUGGCCUAUCUCCUUGAACAAUGUUCAUAAAUUGGCGCUCUAACCGAUGCUUCGCUUCUAGAGGAAAAUACUUCCUCUCAAACUCUCCCUUGAACGAUUCCCAUGAUGUGAUGGUGUGUCCACACUGGCUGUCUAUACUGUCCCACCAUCUUGUUGCGUCGCCUUCCAAAUAGUACACCGCGAUCUUCUUUUGAUACUCCUCCAGACACUCCAUAGCCUCAAAGUUCUUCUCCAUCAUAGUAAUCCACUUGCCGGCUUCAAUAGGAUCGGAUCCUCCUUUGAACUUGUAGGAUCCAAUGUUCUUCAUGGUAGAUAAUAGCUUGGAAACUUCAGGGGGUUGAGUACGCCUGCCUUGGUUACCAAGUGCCUUGGUCAUCACGUCAUGUAAAAGCUUCAGGGUGUUUUCUGCUCCUUGAUCUUGUGGUCCUUCAGUGGAACGGUUCUGAUCUGGCCUUGGGUGUGAUUGAACGGAUUGAUCAUGUUGAUGUCUCCGGUCCCAAUUACGACUUGGGCCAAUACUCGCCAAACUGUCUUCCCUCACUCUAGUCAUGUUACCAUACACAGGAAAAGAUCUUGUUCUCUGCAGAGGGGUCCUAUCGUGUCCGAACAUCUCACUGAUGCCAUUUCCAUCCUCCUGAUCUGAUCUGUAACCCAAUCCUCCGCCUGUCCAAUCCAUACCCUCUCCCCAUAUCCGACCUCGUCCAUCAUCACCUAUCCCGCGAUUAGCCAUCUGCACACAAUCAAAAGGGUAAGUCAUAUUCCUAUUACGGGAAGCGGCUGGUUUCCUAAUCAUCUUUUUGCGACUCCUUUGACUCGAUAAAAUCGUUAAAAAGCACUUGUGUCACGCAUGGACGAAACCAUGCUCUGAUACCACCUCUGUAACACCCCCAAAACGUUCUAGGCAUAGGUCGAACCACCGGCCAACAAUCAAACAAGAACAUGACCGACGGGCCGACCGUCUACCAAGGAUCGGGAGCGCUACAUGACGGGUUAACGGCCGAUCCGGCCAAGGUCACGAAAAGUGCAAUUCGUGAUUAGGCCAGUCCGUCCGCUAACACGUCCCGUCAGACCAAAGCCUAAGGCUUCUCAACCCGUACUCCGAUCUGACGUUGUGUUAGCUUGGACAAGCUAAUAUCAGAACAACAAGGCAUUUACACAAAACAUUCGCUUUAUUUAUUUUAUAUAUAUUGUAUGGUUCAAAACACACAACAUAAUAUACAAGCGGUGGCAUGCCAAGAAAGCGAAAGUACAUACUUAUAGUCUGAAAGCGUCUUAAGCAAAAAGAUGCAAAUCUACACCAGCAAGCCUAGCCUCCCGCGAUCUCUACAAGCUCGCUACUGGUCACCUGAAACAACAACGAGUGAGGAGUGAGUAAUCUAGCAUUACUCAGCGAGUUACAAUCCCCAACUAACAAAUACAACCCCUCGCUAUCCCACCCAAGCAAUCUAAAGCGAGAGGUUCACCUAACAACAAAUCAACCCAAUUCAACGAAUAAUAAUAAGCAAUAUCAGAAAUACGCAGCUGGAAAAAGAUAGUAAGAUAUCUAGCAAUAUGCUAAUUACUAGCUCAACACCAAACUCAAAUUCGACUUAAACCAGGGUUCAAUAACCCGAAACACGAUAUAAUAUAUAUAACAAACUCGGGCCCUGGUGGUGUUAUGUUCCUCCUUCACUAUCGGCAAUAUCCUAUCUUCCUACCACAAAGGACAGAAGAAGGAACUUUCAACCGACCGCGGCCCACAGUCCUUCGGGUCACCGCGCAACAGUCCACAGUCCUUCGGGUCACUGCCACAUUACACCGUCAUGUAAUCACUCAGCCAUAGGCCAUGACCCCGUCUAUCUGAGUCUUCCCGAUCCAGCGAAUAAGGGGUUUCCUUAAACCCGCCGGGUACGAGGUCUGAAGGAACACUAACUCACCCCAAUAUGCCUAGCAUUGUGGGUUACACAAAUGUUGUCGGCCAAUAUACGAUUAAUACUAAACCCGGUAAAAAUAACACAAGGUUCCUAGUAUUAAUCACCACACAAUCAACACAUUCCACCUCAAACAUGCCUAGCAUUGUGAGUUACACAAAUGCUAUAUGGCCAAAAUAUGAUUAAUACUAAACCCGGUAAAAAUAACACAAGGUUCCUAGUAUUAAUCGUAAAUUAACACAAUCAAUCAUAUUCCAGAAUCUAGCAUAAAGACUAAUUCCAGAAUACCUAACUAUCCAGAACUUAGCGAUAUCAUCUAAGCAUUCCGCAUUCGCUAACUAACCAAUCAACCUAACCAUUAGCAUGCUACUACGGUUCUCAAACAAUAACAAGCAUGCCAUCAACUCAAUCAACAUAACCUCAAUUAUUCAAACCGUUACUUAGUUAGACCCGGCCAUCUGCCAUGAUCCAACUUCCAAGUAACGGGACCCUGUAUGAAAACAACUCAGCAAUCAAUCGAUUAUAACUCACAGUUUUUGGUUGACCGUGGCCUUGACCCCAAACCCGACUUCUGCGAUCUGAACCCUUUCUUGACCUUUUCAAGUAGACCCACGUCCAGACUGGUCUUGAACUGGUCUCCACUAGAACUGAUCUCUCUUCACUUGAACAGAACCUUCUCGAGGUGCUGACUCAAAAUCGGCAGAGUAACUGUUCUCGAAAACUGCCUAAAUCGCUCGAAAACUAUCGAAACUCGAUCUUUCUUUCUUUGAUUUCUCUCUCACGUUUUGAACUGACUUUCAAGUGUUCUGAAUGUGUUCAAAUGAGAGGGGGUCGUGGGCUAUUUAUAGGAUACAUCAACCAAUCAGGAACAAGCCGUGUAUCGCUUCGCAUGGCUCUGGACGCAUGCGCGGCGAUACCUCAUGCUCCACAUGGCUGGCUGAAUGUCUCAGUCUCAUGCAGGAUGACACACCCACUUCCAGAUGGCCAGCUGCAUAACUGAAGUGCAUGCAGGUCGACACACCAUCUCACACAUGGCUGGCCGCAUACUUCGGUUGCAUGCAUCGCAACACCUCGUGCUUGGCCGUUCCACCUCGUGCUCCACAUGUCUACUUGCAUGUACAGGUUGCAUGUACUGCAACACCUCCUGCUUCCCUUUACAUACACACUGCCAGGAGCUUGCCACCACGUCCUGAACACACACACAUCUAGCCACCUCGAGCUUCUCGGUCAAUUGUCCGAUAUCGGCUUUCCAGUGAAUUUUUCGUCCCGCUAUCAUUCCCAAUAUUUUUCGACGCCCGUUCUGAUGAUCUGAUUAUUUUUAAUAACCUCCAAACGAAUCCUGACUUGAUGGAAAAUAUUUCCCGAGUUUCCGGCUUCUUCGAAAAAUUCCAUAAUACCGAAAUUAGGGUUUUUCGCCCAAUUUCCGGUCUUCCUGUUGUGCUUCCAAAAGUGUCAUGCUUCAAAUGUCCUUUGAGUAAAUAUACCACAUUGUCUAACCAUUGUGUAGUGGGAUACUUGACUCAUGGUUCAGACAAAAAUAAUCUGAUUGUCCGCGACUCGACCAUCCAAAAGAUACUCGACCAUUCUUUUUUUUUUUUUUUUUUAAUGGGUUUCUACAGUGGUAGUCGCGGUGCUUUUUUUACAGAUGGAAUACUAACAUACGUAAUAUAUUUGUGUUUCAUUUCUAUUCGAUAUGUAUAAAUUGUUAUAGAAUAUAAAAAAAUAAAAAUGGUCAUCAUCUUCAAACAUUUUUUACUAAUUGACGGUGACGUGUAUGUGACGGCGUCAAACGAGAAGGUACAUCUCUCCAUACUAUGCGAUCAAAAGGUUUUUGAUUGUACUAUUUUGUUACAAUAUAUGUAGGAUACUCCAAUUACAAAUAGAUCCACAUACUCAUACGUCGGUUCAUAUUUACAAAUCUAUUUCAUUUACUGAUUCACUCAUUUGGAAUGACCUAGAAAUGGAAUAGAAACAGACAAACUAUACAAACAGGAAAUCCCCACAACAUUUCGGGGUAAGACAUCCUUAAUGAAUCUCACAUACAACAUAAAAGACCAUACACAACAGUACAAAUAUCUACUCCAAAAUCAGAACUUACAGUUCAAGUUCCUUCUUCAGUCACAGAAUAAUCUCGAACCGGAAGAGUUAUUCACGGAGGUGAUACACCGGGCUCGCGGAUUUCGAUUUAGAAGCGGCGAAUCUUGUGUCUCCCGUCUCUGACAGAGGCGUCAUAACCGAGCAUUGUUUAGGGUAGUGUGAGAUGAUGUAUCCAAGGGAGUAAUUAACAUGUAUAUUUGCAACUUCUCAGCUUCGAGGAAGAGAUGGAGAUUUAGACAAUUCUAAAUAAUAAGUAGCUUUAUGACCAAACUCGUCACAUUUAGCACAUUCGGAGGUAACCAAAACUAUACUACAUCAACUAUUGUAAUGAACCGCUCUUAUCUUCUUAAGCUGUUCCUUGAUAAUUUUUUUCUAUUUAAUUUCUUUUUUUGAAUUAUACAUGGGUAUCCUUGCCCUCACCAAAGUGGGUCAAGACUAGUCACGUGUUAGCAGCCUAUGUUAAUUUAAUUUCACCUCCACCAAUAUCUUAGUUUCAUCCAUUACGGUUUAAUCAAGCAAAGACUUGCUUUGUUAGCAUUGCUUGUGUAAUACUUUUGUUACCGUUGUCAUUCUAUUCAACUUAGUUUUCAAUUGUUUUGGUUGCAUAUCAGUCAAUAGACAAGUAGCUUUGAUUCUUAUACCUCUUCGAAAAUGGCUAAUCUAAUUCAAAAGCUUAGCAGUUCACGGAAGAUAAAACUAACAAUUUUUUUAAAAAAAAUUGCAAGUGUGCGUAACUUUCUAGUGGCUAUCCACUUACGAGGACAAAUCACUCUUCCACUUUGAGCUUCAUUAAGAUAUAUAAAAGGACUAAUAAAUCAGGAUUUGAUCCAAAAUAUGAUCAUCACAGGAUCAACAUUUUGUUUGGACCACCACUAUAUAAUAUAUUAAGGUAACUAGAUUAAAACCGCGCCUUGCACGGGAUUAACUUUGUAUAUAAUAUUUUUCUGUAUUAUAUGUUUUUUACAUAUUUAUGAAAUAAUAAAUAUAUAUUGAAUAAUUAAAAAGUUAGUAACUAUUACAUAUAUAUUUAAAUUGGUUUUAACAUAAAGAAUAAAUUUCAUUAAUCCAAAAACUCACUUUUUCUAUUUUAUAUGUUAUAUAAUUAAAUUUAAAUGACAUGGACAUAUAUAUAUAUAUAUAUAUAUAUUAAAUGAUUCUUUUUACUCAUAUAGUUUUUUUGAUAAUUUGUAUAUUCUUAUAACAAAAACUUUAAAUCAGUGAUAACAAAAUUUUCAUUGUGUGAUUAAUAGUUAUAGUAAUUUAUAAUUUUUAAAAAAAUUCAAGGCUAAGUUUAAAAUUUAUAUAUUAAGUUUUCAAUAUUUUUUAAAGCUUUUACCAAAAAAACUUGUUCAAAGUAAAUUUUGAAAUUAAAAUAUUUAUGUAUUUUAUAUGGUAUAUAGUUUUUUUUAAACGAUAUUAAUAUAUAUAUAUAUAUAUAUAUAUAUAUAUCUUCUACACUUAAUAUUUAUUAAAUGAGACUUCUUACUAAUAUGAUUUUGUAUCAUUUGUAUUUUAUCCUAACAAAAAAAUUAAACCAUGAAUCACAAAAAUUUGAAUGUGAGAUAUUUAACAGUUUUAGUAAUUUACAGUCGUUUUAAGACAAAAAAAUCAAAAUAUAACAAAUACAAAAAAAUCUAUUUUUUUAUUAAAUGGUUAAUUUAGUUGCUUAAUUUAUUUUAUUAAUUUUAAAUUAAACAAAUAUGAUAGAGAAUACACAAAUUUUUAUCAAAUCUUAAUUACUCAAAAUCAUUCUUUUUCAUAUAUACUUUAGCCACAUUAGGAAAUUCCAUAAUUUUAUUUAAGGAAAGAAUGAAAAACAUUAAUGAGUUUAUGGUUAGUUUAAUAAAAAAACUUAUUAUAUAUUUAGAUGAAACAACCUAUUUCUCUAAGGAUUCUAAAAUUCAUUGUGGUGAUGGCACAUGGUUACCUCAAAUGUUGUAAUGCUUCUUUUUUAAUAUAUAUGAGAUCUCAGUUUAGGGAAUCAGAUCCCGAGGCAUAUGACUAGAUAGUAGAUGCUAAGCUAUCAUCAUCACAUAGCAUGUGAAUUCUCUGGCAAUGCAAUAUGUAUGCAAUCUAUGAUAAGUACAAGUGUUUUAAAAUUUUAGUAGAAAACAUUUGACCUUGGCCAUUUUUUUCUCUCUCCUCUCCGCCGGAAGAAGUAACUUCAUAACUUUACCAGUCAUCCACCACCAUGACCAAUUUUAGCGAACAUUGGUUGAAAUUCAAUACAUGAAAAAACAUCUCUAAAAUAUAUGGACGAUUGUGUGUUUUUAACUGAACCUAUUAAUGCAUGAUUGUAUCUAUCUAUAUCUGCAACUUUUUUUGUCCCAAAAUGCACAUAAGUAACAUAGACACUUGUUAUCUAGGAGUAUUUGAAUUUAAUACGUAAAGUUCUCAAAAUUGUAUUGAAGGUUAGUGAAAUACACUCAUCCAAGGGAUAAGAUUUUCUUUCUACGAUUUAAGGGAUAAGAUCGUUAGAUAAUGAAAGGAAAGUAUCUUCUAUUUGAGAUAAGAAAUCUAUGGGUCCAACUUUUCCAACCCUAAAAUUUGAUUUCCUUUUGGGGUCAACGUAUUUCAAAGCCUUUCAUCUCUUUAUAUAGUAGCUCAUUCUCAACUAAGUUUCUCAUUCCCAACUAAGUUCGUAUCUAACCACUGAACUUCUUCGAUUGUCUCUCCUCAGACAAGUCCUACCCUCAUCCUAUGUCUUUCUCUCUAGUUUAACACGCUGUGGACAAGAAAAGUGAGAGCCAGAAACAUGGGAUGGGGAUAGAGUGUGCACAUGUUGUUUUUGUUCCCUCUCUCAACUUAGUUCUUAUGUGUAGCCUAGUUAUCUACCCCUAAAACAAUCCAUUGAUUGUCUCCUAAGACAAAUUCUGUCUGCAAACUCUAUCCUAAAUCAUGGAUCUACGGCUCUCACUCGUUCGAGACGUUGUGUGGAGGUUUCACUGGUUGAAACUCAUCCACAGCCUCUCAGGCAAGUGAGAGCUAGGAGAGACAUGAGAGGGAUAAUUGAGCAAUCGUGACAUGCUCUCUUUAUUUUUGAUAUUUUGUCACGGAUCGCACUAAUAUUAUUUUGCUCUUUAGAAAAACCUUUGUUUAAUUUAACUACUAAUAAGUAUAUUUCUCGGGAAACCAUAUUACCUAAGUGGGUAACUGUAUCAACAUUUGGUUAUAUGCAGUUCUGUUUUUUUUUGUUCCAUAUUUUUUCUUCCAAACUAUAAUUUAGGUUAAUUCUUCACAAAUUUUGAUUAAGAAUCUCAUUGAUUCAUAUGUUUUAUUAGAUAUAAAAGUAUAUUCGUUAACUUUACAAGUCACUGACUCACACCUUUGGAAACAUAUAAACUUUAAUUCAACUGAAUAGCUAGACUUCCGGAAACAUAGUUUUGAUAUCAACAACCUUUUGUGGAUUAUAUUUUGAACUUACACUCAUGAAAGAUAUUUUAUAUCAAAAUAUGUUGUCGGAAAAUCUAGUCAUUCAAUUUUAAUUAAAGAGUAUAUGUUUUCAAUGGUGUAGGUGAAUAUUAUAAAGUAACUAAUAAACCAUUUACCGAAACAUAAGAUUAAAUAGGAUCAAUAAUAAAAAUCCAUGAAGAGAUAACACAAAUUAUGAUUUAAAGAAAAAUGUGGGAAAGAUAUGAUUGUCUUUAUCUUUUUAAAAUCAAACUCUAGGAAAAGAGAUGUUAUUUCAAAAUAUCAUUGAAAAUUUUGCAUUAAAGAAUGCUCAUAUAUAUUUUAUUAUGAACUAUCUUACUUAAAACAUUAUUUGAGAAAAUUAGUGAUUUUUUAAUGAUUGAAAAAUGUGCUUUCAUAUGAUAUAUAAGAAGAAAAACAUUAAUAAUGUAUAUACAAAAAACGUUUAACGGAUUGUAUAUUGCAUAGAUUUGACAUGAAAUACAAAUAAACCAAUGAAUAAUGUCCAUGCAUGUCAAAAAGAGUUAUGGGCGAGAAGUCUAAUGAUCAUCUGUAUAAUUGGAAUGCAUAUCCGGGAAGAUUAUGUUUGGAGAAUGAGAACUAUAAUAAUUUGUGUGAAUGUAUCCAUCAAAGAACACUCAAAUAAUAUAAUAUAAGAGGUAUAAAUGUAAGAAUAAUUUUUUUGUCACCAUUAAAGUCUUUGUCAUAUAUUUAUAACAUCAAGACUUACAAAGACAAAGCACUCUUCCACAUUUAGCUCAUUAAGAUAUAUAAAAGAACUAAUAAAUCACGCUUUUAUACAUUCAAAAUAAACAUUUUGUUUGGACCACAAUUAUAUAAUAUAUAAAGGUAAUUUUAAGUUCUGGGAAUCAGAUCCCGAGGCAUAUGACUAAAUAUAUGUUAUGAUAUAGGUGAUGAGCUAUCAUCAUCACAUAGCAUGUGAGUUAUCUCGCAAUGCAAUAUGCACAAUCUGUAGAAAUUAGUUGAUCUAUCAACAGAUUUCGAAGAAUUCACAAGACUGAGAAAACGUUUUCAGUUUUCAAUUCUUUGUGCACGCAACUGUGGCAAACUCAAAAGCUGAUCUUAUAGUUAGGAAUGCUUCUUCUACUUACUGAGAUUUGUUUUUAGUGGUUGUUUCAUUCCAUUUUAACUUUCCAAACCAUUUCAUGUUUGAAUUAUCGAACAAUUUUUACCGUUAAGAAAAUAAAUUAGUAAAUAAUUAACUUACAACAUUUAAUAUAUCUAAAAUUAUUUUAAAAGGAAAAUUGUUAUAGUUUUAUCACAUUUUUACAAUAAUGCCAAUUUGUGUAAUAUAUUAAUAUUAGCGCCAAUUUAAAAUUCAUAAAAAUGAUCAAUUAUUUAUGAUAAACAAUGCAACUUUGUUUAAAUAUCCACAAUAAUACUUCAUUCACUAAUGUUUAAUUGAAGACAAUUUUAGUUCAAUUUAUAGGAUAUGCAUAUACUCAUAUCAGAUUAUAUAUUCACUUUAUUAGGUUCCCAAAAAUUUUGAAUGCUAGUGAAAUACAUUAAUCUAAGGGAUAAGAUUUAUUUUCAACAAUUUAAGGGAUAAGAUCAUUAGAUUGUGUGAAUCAUGAAUAAAAGGAAGUUAUCUUCGAAGGAAAUUCGAAAUCUUUGGGUCCAACGUUUCCAACCCUAAAAUUUGAUUCCUAUUUUUGGUGUAUCAAAGCCUUUUAUCUCUUUAUAUAACAGCUCAUUUUCAACCAAGUUUUUAUCUACCAUGCAACUUAUCAAUUGUCUCCUCAGACAUAUCUUACCUCAUCCCAUAACUCUCUCUCUCGUUUGACAUGCUGUGGACGAGGCAUGUGAGAGCAAGAGACAUGGGAAGAGGGUAGAUUAUGCAUAUGUUGUUUUUGUUCGAUCUCUCAGCUAUGUUCUUAUUUGUAGCCUACUUAUUGUACCUCUAAACCAUUCCUUUACUUAACUGUCUCCCCAUAUAAAUUACUAGAAGGGUGCCCGCGCUUCGCGCGGGAUAUUGUUUUAUUGCUGUUAGAUAUGAACUUUUGGAUGAUGUAAUUAAGUGGUCAGUCUUAUUUGUAAAGAUAAUUAUUUGAUGUUUUAUUGUGUUAUGUAGUAUUAGGUAAUAUGUUAAUAUAUUAUGUGUUUGUUUUUCAAUAAUGUGUUGUUAUGUGUAUAAUAGUACUUGUGUGGUGAAGUGAGCUUCUAAUGUAAAUUAUAUUGAAUUUUAAUAACUUUGCAUUUAGGCAUUUGUUAAUUUUAAGAUUGAUGAUUUUGGCGUCAGAAUUGUAUUUUAAUUUGUCACAUUUUUGAACAUUACUCUUUUAAAAUGUUUUUUGCCCACUCUCCAUAUUUUGACCUUGAGCCGUCUCCAUCUAUGUAAUUCGCUUACAUUUCCGGUGUGCGGUGCUUCUCGCCAUCACUGAGAAAAUACUCACCUUUGUGUUCUUGUUUUUCCUCACAUUCAUCUCUUGUGAUAUUAUCUGGUAUUUGUUACAGAUCAUGUUACGAAUUCCCAAUUGUGCGGUUGUUUUUCACUGUGUUGUAGGUUGUUUUGGUCAAUAUUGGUCCUCUUCUUUUUUAGAUUUUGGCUAAUUUUAGGAACUACAUCUCGUUGGGUUGGGUCAGAGUUCAGUUGUCUUUGAUUUUGUCUUCCUCUCGUUGACUUGUCGUCGAUAGUCUCUGCUCGUCUUGGUUUUCAAGAUCUGGUUUUUGGUGAUCUGACUUCUAUGCUCUUUUUUAUAGCUCGAGGAUGGCUCCACGGUUUGAUGAUUUUGUUUCGUCUCUUUUUCUAUCUUUGUUCUCUCAUCUUGUUGCACCUUUCAUUGCUGCUCGCUUCUCUGGUGGCUCUUUUUUCGCCAUAUUUGCUACUCCAGGUUUGGAUAGUGUUUUCUUCUGUGUAUGCUUUGUGUGCUUGGAAGGUUAUUUCUAGUCUAAAGUUUGAGCUCUUUUUUUCGGUGGUAGGCUUCCAUUCUCCCUCCCUCGGGUUGUUUCUUUUCUUCUCUUGCUUUCCUUGGUGUAGGUGUGCGGAGUUAGUCUUUGGAGCUUUGGUCUCUUCUACUUAGAGCUUGUGGUUCUUCGCUGGCAUGAACGUCUUGUAUGUGUUUGUUUAGUUUGUGAGGUGCUUCUUACCUUUUAGCUGGUGGUUGUGAUUCCGGUGCUUGAGGCAUGUGUCUUCUUGUUUCGUGGUGACUCUGAUCUCCUGAUGAUUAUUCUUUCUCUGACCUUUUUGGGUUUUUUGGGUUUUUUGGGUUGGUGCUUGAUCACGCUCCUUUGAGCUCGGAGGAAUGCUUUGUCUUAUAUUUUACUCCCUCUGUUCCAAAAUAGAUGAUGUUUUAGAAAGAUUAUGAUGUUUCAAAAUAGAUGAUAUUUUGAUAUUUUAUAUUAAUUUAAAUUUUAUUGAAUACUGUGUGACCAGUGAUGUUUUAUAUUUAUUUUUAAGGAUUGGAUAAAUUAAUUUUGGUUUAUAUUUUUAAUUUUUUUUGUAGAAAAAAAUGUAUACCUUAAUUAUUGUGCAUACACUCAAAACAUCAAAUAUUUUGGAACAGAAGGAAUAUCUUUUUAUCUUUUCUAACAUCUGCUUGUUCUAUCCAUGAUAUUAUUGGUAAGAUGAGGUAGGUUAGUUUUCUUUGUUGAUCUUUUUCCGGCUCCAAACUUUUAUUGAGUUAGUGUUACUAUAGUGUUUGUUUUUUUUUUGUUGUGGAAGUUGUAGGUUUAGAUUAUGCGUUGUAUUCUAGUUUUUUCUUAUUAGUUUGGUUAUUUGUGGAAGUUGUAGGGCAGUUCUGAGCGAAGUGACCUAUCUUAUCACAUCGGUAACACUCAACCUUUGAUGCGUCUCUCUCUUGCCGAUGAUAUCCGUUUUGUUGAUAUCGAAAUCUACAACGACCUCUUCCUCGAUAUCCAUACCGACCGCCUCUUCCCGAAUCAUACCUCUCAUGUUGUGAUUGGGAGUCUGCAUACAUAAGUUUAUCUUGGCUUUGCUCGUCAUGCUUCUCUUCUUCCUCAUCAUGAAUCAUCUCCUCAUAAAAUAAUAGAAAAUGGUAAAAUAACAAAAAUAAUAAAAAAUAUUUUAAAUUAUUUAUUUAUUUUAUUUAUUUAUUUUUUAUUCAUCUUGAAUUUUAGUGACCAAUAAAAUAAAUUAUCAAAUUUUUUACAAAGAUGGUUAAAAUUAAAAGAGUAAAUAGUGCAUAAUUAGAAAGUAUUUCGCAAAAUUGCAAUAAUCUAUAAGAAACAAAAUUUAAAAUGUAAAAAAAAAAUAUAUGAAAGACACAUGUCAUCAAACCUCUUUACCACUUGUCAUAAGAAUAGAAAAAGCUAAUUUUAUAUAUAAAGAUUUGUGCAUACUUUAUCCAUAUCAUGAGUCUACCACUUCACUCGCUUGAGACAUUGUGUAGAGGAUUCCCCUGUUCGGGAACGCGCUAGGCGCUAGUCGGGCGGUCGGGUUGGGCCUAGCGCCUAAAGAGAAAAUCGGGGAUUAAUCGGAAAUUAUGCGGGGCGGAAUUUAUAGAUGGUUUACUAUGUUAUAAAACAUGUUAAUCUUUAAUUGUGUAUAACAUUAAUACAUUUUCCUGUUUAAGAUUGUAUAAAACACACAAAUAGAAUAUAUAAACUUAAUAUAAUGUAAUUUUCAUCAAAAUUAUGAAUAUAAAUGAUAUUUAUAAAAUUUUAUAUCAAAUAAAUAAAAAAAAAUAUUAUUUAAAAUAAAAAAAAGAUAAAAUUUUUUUUUUUAAAAAAAAUAAAAAAAUAGAUUAGGCGGCCGCCUAGGCGGCUAGGCGGUCAUUUAGGCGGCUAGGCGGUCAUUUAGGCGGUCUAGGCGAAAAAAAAUCGGAUAUCCGAUUUUUUUAACCAAUUUGGCAUAAAUCGGGGCGGAAAAGUGACGCGUAGCGCCUAGGCGGCCGAGUUUUAGAACAGGGGAGGAUUCUAUAGACUUAUUAUUUUAUGCAUAUUUAUAAUUAUAAGAAAUAGCUGUCUUAUUAAGAUGUCUUUUGACCAUUUUUGUAAUCAUAUCUUAUUUCUUUUCUAAUUUUUCACUUAUAAUAUUUCACCAUUAUUUCAUGGAAUAUACUUUCUAACCCUAUUUUUUAAAAUCCUUUUUGAUAAGGUUAAUAUUCAAAAGUGUCUCUCGUAUAACAAUAUAAGUAAUUUAAAAUGUUAAAUUGUGAUAUUUAGUUCAAUCAGACACUUCCAACAAUUUUAUUUAUUCUUCAAAAAAAUAUUAUUUUCAAACGAUUUUACAAAAAUAAUAUUACAUAAAAGAAUGGUUAAUUGUUAUAAGUCAAAUAUAUAUAUUUAGAGGAAUAUCUCCAUAUUUUGUAAUUAGAUUAAAUAAAAAAUUAUUAAAAUAUUUUUAUUUAUUUUUUGUCAUCUAUUAAAAUAUUUUUAAGAUAUACUGUAUUAAAUUUAAAAAUAAAAUUUUUUAUUUUAUUUAUAAUCCUAAGUGUAAAUAUAUAAAACGGAUUGUAACAUUAUUAUCCUUUUACUAAUAAAAAAUCUGAAUCAUUCCCGUCAUCACAAUCCAACCAUCUUCCGUACAUGAUUGUCGGAGGAAUUCAUCUAGAUAAUGAAACAAUCUAACAAAUGAAACAAGUCAAUUCUAUCGAAUUAAACAAGAAUCCGACAUUGUUGACUCAGUUGCGUCUUGCUCGAUUGUUUCCUUGCUCUAAUCUUCAACCACUGUUGAAAAUUAAGGAGAAUAGCGCGUUGUCUAAUAGAUUCCAGACAUUCAUGUACAUAAUGCGGUUGUGAUGAUUGCAAAGAUUUAGACUUUUGUUAGUACAAGAUUUUGUCUUUUUUUAUGAUCAGUUUGAUCACAGUUGUUUAUGUAAAGAGGAAGAUGGAAGAUGUCUGCUGCAUUGAGAGAACUUAUUGACCCAGAAGAGUCAAAAGUUAAAAGAUCUUUUGUUCAUUGUCACUUGUGACUUGUGAGUACUCACCAAAAUCUCAACCCACAAUAAAGUAUACUUCUAACUAGACUAAACGUAAUGAUUAGUUUUGGAUUAAACCCAGUGUUUUGAAACCCGAUCCGGACUCGCGGUUGAACCGGUAAACUCAGUGAUCCAAAAAAAAUCCGGUUUGGAUUUUGUGAAAAAACCCAAUAUUUAGAAACGCGCAAAAACCCACUAAAACCUAGAACCCGACACCGGUUGAACCAGCGGUUGAACCAAUAAAUAACUUUUACUUUUUUUAAGUUUUUAGACUAUGUUUUAUAUUCUAAGUUUCCAAUUAAGAAGUUAGGUGCUGACAAAAAAAAAGAGUUAGGUUUUCCCUUUUCAGUUUUAUAUUUGUGAUUUUUAGAUUUUAAUGAAGAUUUCAUUAUGCCACCAAAAAAAAAUGAAAUGAACGACGGUAGAAAGAACCAAAAUUAGUUGAUGUGAUUUGGUGUUAGUUUAUUUUCGUUAUUGACAAUUUAUUACAAUGAUCUUUUACUUUUGAUUUAUUUUGAUUCACUACAAGAAAACACAAAUUUAACGACGGCGGUUUUUCUCGCUAAUUCCUCGUAAAAUCGGGUUUACGAGGAAUUAGCGAGGAAACACGUUUCGUCGUUAAACGUUCGUCGUAACGCAUAUUUCCUUGCCAAUUCGUCGUAACUUAGCGAGGAAAUGAUUUUGUCGUAAAGACGAAGAACAAUAUUUCGUCGUAAAUACCACAUAAAUAUUCCACGUAAGGACGUCGCUUCAUUUCCUCGUAAAUACCUCGAAAGGUGCCCCUCGUAAAUUACACGUAAAUAUCUCAAAAGUAUUUCCUCGUAAAGAACACGUAAAUAACUUGAAAGCAUUUCCUAGUAAAGUACUCGUUUAUUACUCCUCGUCAUUUCCUCGUAAGGUUUUCCUCGUAAAAUACUCGUUAAGUUUCCAUGUAAAGAAAUCGUAAAUUAGCUACGAAUUUGCUUCACUUUAUUUGACAGAAUAUAAAAAUAUAAUUUAAAAAUAAUUACAAUUAUUUAAUUUAUUAAUAAAAUUAAAAUUCUAAAAAAAAAAUCAAUACCAAAAUAUUUUAUAUAUAAAUAAGUUUUGAAUUUAUAAUACAAGAACCAAAAAAAAAGAACUAAGAGUCGUUCAUCGCCCGGUAGAAGUCAUCACUCGUCCUCUCUACAUCCGCCUCGGCAUGUGUGUGGGAUGAUGACUCGCCUGGAAUGGGAUUUUGUCGUCGCAAGUUCCUCAACAAGGACUUCUAUUUCGGAUUUGUGGCCGCUACAACGUCCAAGAAGCCCUCGAGUCCACCCACACGAGCUGUGAACGCAGAUUGCGUCGAGGCCAACUCAUGACGCAGCUCAGCGGACUCUCUACCCAGCUCAUCGGACUCUCUACGCAGCUGAAUGACUUCAUCAUCCCGUGUCUGACCAUAAGACGAUGUCGCUCUCGAAACAUCAUUGACGGAACCAAUCCCCAACGUACGUCCCUUUUUCUUAGGGACAACCUUAAAAACAAAAAAUAAAUAUUGUUAGUAAAAAUUUAAAGUUAAAUUAAAUGAAUAAUAAAAAAAAUUAAAAUUUUAAAAAAUUUACCUCGUCGUAAAUCUUAUCCACUUCAAGUGUGGAUAAGGUGACGGGUAAUCCGUCGGUGGACUGCUGGGUCAGCUGGGUCUGGCGGUCCUUAACCUGAGCAACCAAGUCGUUGAAGAGUUGUUCGGACUUGCCAUAUAGAAAUUGGCCCGCCUUGUUUUUGUGGGUCCUCUCGUAAAUUUCCAUAAGAGACGGGAGUUGUCCCAUCUCUUUGGCGUAAAAACAUUUAAGAAAGUUAGAAUAUACAUAUAUAUAUAUAUAUAUGUAUUAAAAAUUAAUUAAAUAAAUUAUUUAAUUACCAUUUCCAAACGGACACCGGCGUGGGGUUUUUGGUCCGUAGAGUGAAGCAUCGGCUCGUGGCCGUGCUCAUCUACCGUGAUACGGGAGGCAGAGCAAGACUGGACGAUUCUGAUUGACUCAGGAUCCCGCCAAUAAUGGAUGAGGCCAUCCCACACAUCCAUGGUGAGCUCAGCGGGUUUGCCACACUCAUACCCCUUCACGAUCCAGUCACCCUUCCAGUUGAAGAUCGUGUCCAACAAGCGAACUUUUGCCUUCGCUGUAAAACGCUUUCCUCACCCUCUCAGUGACCCCCAUGGACCAAUGAUAUUUUUGCUGUAAAAAAAAUUAAAUUUAUAAUUAAUUUUUUUUUAAAAUAUAUAAAUCAUGAAAAAAUUGAAGUAUAUAGAAUUAAUGAAUAGUAACUUACAGCGUAAAUUUUGAACCACGUCUUUCUGAUGUAGAUCGGGGUCUUUUUCCAGUUCAGAUGUGGCAUGGAGAAGUAAACUUUCAUCGUGUCGGUUACGUCAGAUGCAAGACAUCCGUCAACCCCAAACCUGAAAAAAAACAAAUUUAAAGUAUAAAUUAUUUAUUAAUGUUAUAAAAGAAUUUAAAAAAAAAUAAAAAAAAUAAUUAAUGUAACAUACCACAAAGUUCCCUCCAGUCGGUCGGGGUUUAUGACUGGUAAACCUUCUCUGCCUGGCUGACUGAGAAUGUCCUCGACAGUGUACUGCGAGUAAGGAGCACUCGGAGGCACCAUCAAAUCGGGAUGAAUCUCGGCGGGCAUCGGAGGAGUCAUCGGAGGAGGCACAGGAGGAGGCAUCGUCGGAGGAGCCAUCGGAGGAACCGAUGGUGCACUAGAAGAAGGCGACCGAGAGACUCUCUGAGAAGGCUGAGUCUCGGAGACAGUCUCCUGACCGGAAGAACUGGUAGCUGAAGAAGAACCGGGAGCUGAAGAAACAACGGGUCUAAACAACUACCAGGCUCACCGAACAUCUGUCUGUAAUGGGGAGUAAGUCUGUUCUUUCGAAUCGUCUGAAAAAAAAAUAAAAUUUGAAAUUAACAUCCACAGUAAUUAACAAAUUCUAUAAAUCUAGCUAAAUUCUCUACAUUAACCACCUAAUCAACACUAAUCAGUAAACCUAUCUAAAUUCCCUACACUAACCACCUAAUCUAUCCUAAACUAACCAAAUUAGAGAGGAAUCAAUCUAAAUACCCUACACUAACCACCUAAUCUACCCUAAACGAAAUAAAUUAGAGAGAGAAAGUACCAUAGCUACGAAAGGGAGAGGAAGUGGAGAGGAAACGGGAGGCGAAGCUCGCGUGUAUAUAUAAGAAAUUAGAAGUCGUCGUAAAUUCCUCGUAAACUUACGUGGAAUGAGCGAGGCCCGUGUUUCGUUUCUUCGUAACUUCCUCGUAAACUUACGUGGAACUAGCGAGGCCCGUGUUUCGUUUCCUCGUAACUUCCUCGUAAACUUACGUGGAACUAGCGAGGCCCGUGUUUCGUUUCCUCGUAAUUUCGUCGUUGGUUAACGAGGAAUUAGCGAGGCCCGUGUUUUCCUUUUACGAGGUCUUUACGACGAAUUGGAGAAAUUAGAUAAUUAUUUUAAGUUUCGUCGUAAAAUCUUUCAAAAUUUCCUAUAAAUACACACCAGUUUGCUUCUCAAAUCAAAGAUAAACUCAUUAAUUUUCUUUUCAAAUCAGAGAUAACUCACCAGUUUGCUUCUCAAAUUAGAAAGAUUUGAAAAAAAAAGAUGGAGAGAAAGAUACGAGAACACAUGUGGGCGGAGACAAGGUUAGACUUACGUAGGUCUCGCUUUGUUUCUUCCCUCCUAUGAUUCCAGUAUCUUUUUUUCUCUUCUUUUUUUAUUGGUUGCUCAGUUUCGAGGAAAUAGCAAGGCUGAUGUUAUUUUUUACGAGAAAAUAGUAAGGUCCGCCUUUACCUAAGACGAGAAAAUAUCGAGGCCCGUCUUUUCCUUAGACGAGGAAAUAGCAAGGCCUGCGUUUUCCUAAGACGAGGAAAUAGCGAGGCCCGCAUUUUCCUAAGACGAGGUCUUUACGACGAUUGGCGCUUACGUGGAAAUAGGUCUUUGGCAAUUAUAUAAUUUAUACUUAUAUGUGUUUAGAAGUGUCCAUAUAUGUUACCUUUCAAAAUAACGCAUCAAUGGAUCCUCGCAAUUGAGUAGAAUAUAGGUGUGUGCACUAUGAUCGUCUUCUUCACUCGACCACCAAACCUCUUUUAAUUUCCCACCGAGUCGCCCAAUCUGGCUAAAGAUGUCUGGAACACCAGCAACUGCAUAUGUUGGUGCGACACCACCAUCAUCAUAUCUUUUUGGAGCUCUUUUCCGGGUACGUACUUUUGACGCAAAGUAGUACGAUGUGAAGUGAGAAGUUUCUUCCAUCAAACUUCCAGCAAUUAUAGAACCUUCAACUUUUGCGAGGUUCUUUGCUUUUCCCAUCAAAUAUUUCAUGGCUCGCUCAUACUGAUACAUCCAUCCGUAAUGUACAGGUCCACGAAGCAAUGCCUCAUAUGGGAGGUGGACAGCUAGAUGCUCCAUGACGUCAAAAAAUCCCGGAGAAAAUAUCUUCUCCAAGUUUCACAAUAAGAUGGGAAUGUUCUGCUGAAGCUGUUCCAUGACUUCUUCUUUUAGAAUGUGUGUGCUCAGAUCCCUAAAAAAUGCUCCAAUGCCUUGUAUAUCCCAAAAACAAUUAAACACAUUAUAUUAGUCAUAUAUUAUUGCAAACUAAACCAUUAUAAAAUUACUGCGUUAUAAUAUACUACCUGCAAGUGCUUCAUGUACGUUUGUUGGAAGUAGCUCUGCAAAUGCAAAGGGAAGUAGUCGUUGCAUAAAGACAUGACAAUCAUGACUCUUCAUCCCGGAGAACUUUUGACCAUUUUCAACACAUCUAGAGAGAUUUGAAACAUACCCAUCGGGGAACUUCACUUCUGAUGCCACCCAGUUGUACAACAUUGACUUUUUUUCUGAAGACAAUCUGAAUAUCGGAACGGGAACUUGUCCAUUGCUUUUUAUAUGUAACUCACUUCUUGAGCAAAUAUCCGCAAGUCCAACCUCGAUUUUAUGUUGUCUUUUGUCUUCCAUGGGACAUUCAAUAUUGUAUUCAUGAUGUUCUCAAAGAAAUUCUUCUCUAUAUGCAUCACAUCGAGGUUGUGGCGCAGAAGAAGAUCCUUCCAAUAUGGCAACUCCCAAAAUAUACUCUUUUUGUGCCAGUUGUGAUGAACACCGUAAGAAUCAGGCAUAUUACGAGGGACAUGCCAAUUACCACCACAACGAACUGUUUCGUUAGCUUCGUAGUAGUCGGUUUCCGCUUCAAUUUGUUCUCCAGUUAUAUAUGGGGGAGUAAUGUCUCUCACAACCCUUUUGUGCCUAAACAAAUUCUUGUUUCUUCGGUACGGAUGGCCAAUGGGCAGAAAUCGACGGUGACAAUCGAACCAACUUGUCUUCCUACCAUUCUUCAGUUGAAACGCAUAUGUCGUUCCAUUACAAUAUGGACAAGCUAAUCUCCCAUGUGUAGUCCAUCCAGACAACAUCCCAUAGGUAGGAAAGUCACUUAUGGUCCACAAAAGCAUCGCUCGCAUAGUAAAAUUCAUCUUCAUUGAGAAGUCAUACGUCCUCACCCCUGUUGCCCACAGAUCCUUCAACAUUUUUAUCAGUAGUUGUAGGAAAACAUCCAGAGAUCUUUUUGGAUGGUUCGGACCAGGUAUUAAUAUGGUCAAGAAUAGCAACUCCCGUUGCAUGCACAUCUCCGGUGGAAGGUUGUAUGGCGUAAGAAAGACUGGCCACAAUGAAUAUUGUCUCCCUGACAUUCCGAAUGGACUAAAUCCAUCUGUGCAUAAUCCCAGAUACCAUUCCGGCUAUUGCUAGCGAAAUCCGGAUGUACUUUGUUAAAAUGUUUCCAGGCUCUUCUAACUUCUCAUCAUCUCCCCAGUAGAUCAUGCAGUUGUCGAUGCAAACAUCUAUCAUCUCCGAAAGCAACCCAAGACUAUAAACCAGUUUCUGAAUCUCAUAAUAAGAAUCAGCAGACACAUUGUCUUCCGGCAAAUAUUCUUUAAACAAGUUUGCCCAUUCAUUCAUGCAACUUUCAGGUAGAUUGUGAUCGGUUUUAAUAUUCAUCAUUCUAGCAGCCAACGACAAUUUAGAGAGACCUUCUCUACAACCACUGUAAAGUGGCUGAUUUGCCGCAUUUAACAUUUCAUAAAAAAAUUUGCAUCUAUAUUAGGUUCUUCAUCUUCAUCAUGAGCUACGAAUGCAUCAGCUACCAUAUCAUGAACCCUAUCAUAAUCUACCAUCUGCUCUUCCUGAUGGUAAUUAUGUUCAUUAUGCAAAUGAUCAACCGGUUCUUCCUGAAAAAUGCUAUUACUACUACUAGCUUCAUUAUGAUCAUAAUUAUAACAUUCUCUAUGUUGAAACCAGAUAUAGUAAUUUGGCUUGAAACCUCUAUUUAUUAAAUGCUUCCAAACAUUUUCACGAUUUGCCAAUUUCAAAUUGUUGCAUUUCCGACAAGGAUAGAACAUCUUACCACUUUCUUGGGCGAGCGGUGUGGAAGGUAUUCUUUCGUCACUCUCCCGUUAGCAUCUCUAUGCAUAUACAUCCACCUCCGCAACUCAAAAAUAUUCUCGGACCCCGACAUUUUUUUUUUCACUUUUUUUUUCUUGUUGGUGUGUUUAAAAUGAUGUUCAAAUGUCCAUAUUUAUAGGAAAUUUUCGAAUAUGGUAGUUGCAAUUUUCCUACGAAUUUACGACGAAAUUUAGUUAGGAAAAACGUGUUAUUUAGUGGAUUCAAAUUUUCCACGCUAAGUAGAUGUAAAAUAUUUCCUCGUAAAUUAAACGCUAUAUUUACGUCGAGUUUACGAGGAAAGAGUAGUUCGUCGUUAAAGCCACGUGAUAUUACACCGGCUUUACGAUGAAAUCAUUUCAUCGUAACUUUACGAGGAAAUAACGAUGAUUUUAUAUUUCCUCGUAAAGUCGACGUACAUUUACGAGGAAUAUUUUUCCUCGUUAAUUUUCCUCGCUAAAUUUGUGUUUUCUUGUAGUGAAUUUGAAGUUUAAUUUAUUAUUCACAUUAGACAUUUAAAUAUUUAUGAAUUUUAUAUCUUGAUUUUUUAAGAUGUCAUAACUUUUACUUUGUUACACAAAAUAUGAAAUAGUCUAAACUUUUUUUUGAUAUUUUGCAUGUCAAAUGAAAAUAAAAAUAUAAAAACUACAAUUAAUUAUUUUCUAAAUACUUUUUAAACAUAAAAUAUAUACAUAUCCAAACUAUUAUUUUAUUUUUUAAAAAACAUUUAGAAAAUAUUAAACUUUAGUUUUUAUAUAUUUAUUUUCAUAGCUAAUAUAUUAUUAUAUAAUAAAAUUAAUUUAUUUAUUAACUCGCGGUUCACCCGCGGUCGACCCAGUGACCCAGUGAUCCGAUAAGUCGUCUGGUUCAGUGUCCGAGUCGGGUUUAAAAACAUUGAUUAAACCCUAAUAAUGCUUAGAGUGCAUUAACUCAUUUCACUCAACUAUGCUUAUAGUGCAUUGACUGAAAUAUACUUAUAACUAGACUCAACUUAAUGUUAAUUUUCAAUUAAAUCCUAAUAGUUCUACUAAUCUUUUAUCCACAGUCACCAACAUCACAACCCAUAACUUUAACAUUUGUUGUUUUUACCACAGUUUCAUUUAUUUAUCAGCAGUUAUCUAAUUUUACACAUGUCUUCCUCUUUUCUUUUACCUUUUAAUGUACUUAGAACAUGUUCGCUCAUUUGUAAAUUUUGUCAAGGUUUUCAAAAUUUAGUAGGAAAAGAAACAAUGAAUAAAAACUAAAUGGGUAGUUCCAAGUUUUUUUUUUUUUUUUGCUAAAAGGUAGUUCCAAGUUGAGAAAAUUAUUGUGUUAAAUUUCUCAUCUUCGACACAUCCAUUUAAUUUUUAUUCAUUAUUUCCUUUAUAUUAAAUGGAUGUGUCGAAGAUUGGGCUAAAAAAGAAAAGAAAAUCAAGUAAAAUCUCAAGAUUAAGAUUAAUACUUUCAACAUCAAGAUUUUCUUCCACUUAUUGAGAGUCUAUAUUCUCAUGGUCACCACAGUGCACAAUCACACCAUUGUCCAUAAUCAAAGAGAAAAGAAUUGAGGCACCAGAUUUUCAAGACUCAAUACCAACCUCUACUACUAUAUACGUAAUUAACCACUAAAUUUGUUGAACCAACAAUUUAUUACAGAAUCUAAAUUAUUUGAGGAUCCAUGACACUGAAUGCCAAAAAGAAAAGGAAACAGAAUAAUGCAUAUCACAUAGUUCUCGUAUCAUAGAGUAAGAUACUGUACAAAAUCAACUAAGUUCCAAAUAAUGUCUCUAUUUAAAUAGCAUUGAGAACCUUUAUAUCUUACUUUUCCAUGUUCAAUUUUGAAUUAAGACCCGGUCUGAGGAAAAUGUAUGUUACCAACGUUAAGAGAAUUGAAUUAGCCAAUGAAGUUUAUUCAAAGUCAAAACCUGAUUGAGGAAUUGAUGAGGCUGUAACAGAUGAUCAGUGGAUGACCUUGAACUAGAGCCCCGAAGAAACUGAUAAUUCUUCAAAUCAGAUAUCGGAUAAUAAUUUGACACCGAACGAUCAAACGGCAGCAGCAGCGGCAAGAGCCUGUUCGAAUUUGGUGUCCCUCCGAAAAAAGACGAUCUGAACUGGUUCCAACGGUUGCUAUUAGGACAAGAACCCAACUCGGAUACGGAUGGUUACGGAAGAUAUAACUAACAUUUUUUUUAUAUAUUGAGAGUGUAACUUUCUCGUGGCAUCCACAUUUAGUUUCACUGAGAUAUUGAAAAGGACUAAUAAAUCACGCUUUUAUUAAAAGUAUGAUCUAAAUUUUGUUAAGACCACCACUAUAUAAUAUACAAAAGUCAUUUUAAGAUAAGAGCAUUAGAUCCUGAGGCAUAUGAGUAAAUAUAUGCCAAGAUAAGUAGACUAUUAUUAUCACACAUAAUGUGAUUUCUCUCUCGCAAUGCAAUAUGUAUGCCAUCAUAUCAUAUGAUAAUUAAGUACAAAAUGUUUUAUAUUUUAGUAGACGAUGCUAGGACUAAAAGUCUGCAGGUAAAUUUGUUCAACGGAGAUAUGCGGUUGCACAAGUCAUAACGUGAGAUGACGUGGCGUCAUCGUAUUGGUUGGAGUUAUUAAUUAUGAAUUGACAAAGAUAAAGAUCGUAAAGCUUGGACAUAACGAUGAAUCAAGAGAUUUAGACUCAUCAAGAUUAAAAACGUCGAUUGCUCGAGAGAAUAAAUGGCAUUGAGUUUAAAGAGUUUGUUUUCAACGUUCUUAGAUUGCAUAGAGUAUUGAGAGAGGUUUUGAGAGAUCUUUGGUUGUAAGAUUAAGGUUGGAUAGAUUAGAAAUUGGUCAGUGUCAAUUCAUAGGUGUGAAUUCGAGUCAAUAUGAUUAAACAAGUCUGUAAUGAUUGUUUAAGGAAUUUUUAAUAAAAGUCAACUGUUUGGAAGAAUCAACUUUUUCAUUGGUAUUUCGUGUUGAACGUGUUUAUGUGUCCUCAGGUUUUACAAUUAGUAUCAGAGGUGGUCGUCUACCUAGAUCUAUAUAUCUAAAACAGGUUGAGGUCCUACGAGGAACAUGGGAACAACAUAAUUUAUGGUGGUUCAUAAAUCACUCAUGUUGGAUGAAAACAACUUUGGACACUGGAAAGUACGCAUGAAACAACAACUCAAAGGGAUUGAGGAAGAUACCUGGACUGUAGUUGAAACAAGAUGGACAGAUCCAAAAAAAUUUACUGAAGAGGAUGAGGAGAUACCUAAACCCAAAAAUAAGUGGACAAAGGCAGAAAACACGGCAUCAAGACUUAACGCAAAGGCGCUAUCAGAAAUUUGUAAUGCAAUCAGUUCUAAUCAGUUUAAACUCGAGCAGGGAUGCUGUCCAGCCAAAGAUGCAUGGGACACACUUGUGGAGUAUUAUGAGGGAACAUCCACUGUUAAAAGAGCGAAACUAGACUACUUGGAAUCUCAAUUCGAGAACUUGAGAAUGACCGAAGAAGAAUCCAUCACGAGUUUUAGCUCAAAUUUGAGCUCCAUUGCAAAUGAAGCAACUGUCCUUGGUAAAAACUUUAAGGAUAAGAAACUGGUCAAGAAGCUGAUACGAUGUCUUCCAGAAAAGUAUGCAUCCUAUAAGGCGUUGUUCAAGGUUAGGAUGAAUAGAUAUGAGAUGAAAUUCUGAUAGUUGGUUGGGAAUCUUAAAGCUGAAGAGAUGGAAGCAACUACAUGUCAAUCUAAGAUAGGAAAAGAAAUAUGCUGAGAAGGAAAGUGACAAACUCCAGGUUCUUCAUAAAAGUCUAAAUUGAAAUAUGAAUGAGUGUCUUGAAUUGCUGACACAAAACUUUAAGGAAGCUUUGAAGCAAUCUGAGAAAGGUCACAGAAGAAACUCGAUCUCACAUGAGUGGUGUAAUAGUAAAGAUAGUCAAAAAUGUGAUUGUCACUGCCAUGAUAUGUGCAAAGGACAAUCUGAGGUUGAAUGUCCAUAUCUUCAAAAGAGAAGUGAUGAAAAGCUUAAUCUUGUCACUCUUGUUGGAAAAGAAAGUGAUGAAAAAGUUUAGCUGGAUUCUGAUUCAGACAGUGAUGGAGAGAAAGAUGUGAAGGCUGAAUAUUGUAAGCUAUAUGACAGUUGGGUUGAAUUAAGUAGUGAGAAUCUGAAUCUGCUCAAGAACAAGUUGUUACUAGAAGCUCAGAAUAAUAUGAUUGAGAUGGAAAAGCCUACGACAUUGAUGUUGGAGACGUCAACAUGUUCAAGGAAGGAGAAUGAGUUGCAUAAGCAGAGAGAAGCUGAAGAGGAAAAUACAUGAGAACUAGAAUCAAAGAUAAAAAGAUUAUCAGAUCUUCUGUCAGAAGAAAAAGAGAAGAGCAGAAGUCUUGAGCAUAAUUUGAAUGAAAAUCACAAGAAUGUCAAGAUGUUGGGCAAAGGAACAAAGGAUUUAGAUACUCUUCUUGCCAUGGGACAGCUUGCAAAACAUAAUUGGGGUCUAGGAUACAAGGAGAAUCGUGUGUUAAGCUCCACAAACAGUGUAUCAAAUCAAACAAGUCUGAUUAAUUUCGUUCGUGCUGAACCAAUUCCUAAUAAUAAACUAAAGAAGGUUGAAUCACAUCAAAUAUGUUCAAGCCGGAAAAUAUUUGUUGAACAGAAAAAUCAGAAGGUCAAACAGGGUGCUACUCCUAUGGCAAACAUGGACACAUGCAGAGAUAUUGUGAUGCUUUGGAAAGCAAGAUUAAGUCAAGGAAGGCUGAAUAAUGUAGUCUCAACCAUGGAUGUUAUUCUUGUGGGAGACUUCGACAUACUCAUCGAUUUUGUUAUGAGCGAAUCAACAAUAUCAAGAAGGUUUGGAGUGAAAACAAAUGUUAUGUUGAGCCAAAAAGCUAUUGUGAGGUAUGGAUUACAAAAUCAGAUUUGUAUUCCAAAUGUAAGGAGACUAAUAUUGUUCAAGAGCUCGUGUGCAACAUAGCAUGUUCAGAAAAAUUGGGAUGCUCAAAUGUCAACAAGAGAUGGGUUAAUGCUGAAGUUGUUCGAGGUAUACUCAGGCGUGUUAAUGAAACCAAUUCCUUAUUCAUCGCGUGAGCAUGUUAGAGGUUCCAAGAGAUGUGACAAAUGCAUUAUAUGUUAUGGAAGUUUUCAAAGAGUUUUGUCACUCAAGCAAGGGAGAUUGAAGAGUUGGCCAGGUUGACGAUACUUGGUGAAAGUGGAGCUUUAUUAGUUAGUAAGCUUGAGUUGUAAAAUUCAGUGAAAAAGGGGGAGAUUGUUAAGACUAGAAGUCUUAUUCAUCGCGUGAGCAUGUUAGAGGUUCCAAGAGAUGUGACAAAUGCAUUAUAUAUUAUGGAGAUUUUCAAAGAGUUUUGUCACUCAAGCAAGGUAGAUUGAAAAGUUGGUCAGGUUGACAAUACUUGGUGAAAGGGGAGCUUUAUUAGUUAGUAAGCUUGAGUUAUAAAAUUCAGUGAAAAAGGGGAAGAUUGUUAAGACGAGAAGUCUGCAGGUAAAUUUGUUCAACGGAGAUAUGCGGUUGCACAAGUCAUAACGUGAGAUGAUGUGGCGUCAUCGUAUUGGUUGGAGCUAUUAAUUAUGAACUGGCAAAGAUAAAGAUCGUAAACCUUAGAGAUAAAUAUGAAUCAAGAGAUUUAGACUCAUCAAGAUUAAAAAUGUGGGUUGCUCGAGAGAAUAAAGGGCAUUGAGUUUAGAGAGUUUGUUUUUAACGUUCUGAGAGUGCAUAGAGUAUUGAGAAGUUUUGAAAGAUCUUUAGUUGUAAGAUUAAGGUUGGAUAGAUUAGAAAUUGGUCAGUGUCAACUUCACACCGAUUAAACAAUUCUAUAAUGAUUGUUUAAAGAAUUUCUAAUAAAAGUCAACUGUUUGAAAGAAUCAACUUAUUCAUUGGUAUUUCGUAUUGAACGGGUUUCUGUGUCCUCAGGUUUUAGAGACGAUAUUUGACAAUGCCCUCUUUAAUCUCUCUUCUCCAAACGGAGAAAUAACUUAUUAACUUUGCAAUCGCUAUCCACCACCAUGUUCUAAAUUCAAUAGAGUCUUUUGUGUUUUGACUGAAUAUUAAUACAUGAUUGUAAUUACAUCAUCAACUUUUUAUCGACAAAUGCAUAUCUAUACUAUAGAGAUUAUGAACAUUUUGUCACAAAUGUACAUCUAUAACACAGACACUUGUUAUCUAGCUAGCAGUAUUUUAAUUUAAUAGGUGAAGUUCAUAAAAGUUUAUUGAACUUAUUACAAUGUUUUAAAUUCAAUAGUAUUUUGUGUUUUGACUGAAUUUUAGUGCAUGAUUGUAAUUACAUCAUCAACUUUUUCUCGACAAAUGCAUAUCUAUAUUAUUUAUAUUAUGAUUUUUUUUGUCAACAAAUGUACAUCUAUAACACAGACAAGUGUUAUGUAGCUAGCAGUAUUUUAUGUUUAUAGGUUAUAUAAGUUCCUAUAAUUUUAUUGAAUGUUAGUGAAAUACAUUAAUCUAAGGGAUAAGAUUUAUUUUCUACAAUUUAAGGGAUAAGAUCAUAAGAUUGUGUGAAUAAUGAAUAAAAGGAAGUUAUCUUCUAAUUGAGAUAAGAAAUCUCUGGGUCCACGGUUCCAACCCAAAAUUUGAUUUCUAUCUUUGGGGUCAAAGUAUUUCAAAGCCUUUCAUCUCUUUAUAUAGCAGCUCAUUCUCAGCCAAGUUUGUAUCUACCCCUAAACUUCUUCGAUUGUGUCCUCAGACAUAUCCUACCUCAUCACAUAUCUCUCUAUCUCUCGUUUGUCACGUUGUGGACGAGGUGAGAGCAAGAGACAUGGGAUGAGGGUAGAAUAUGCACAUGUUGUUUACGUUUGCUCUCUCAACUAUAUAUGUUCUUAUAUCUACUUCUAACACCAAUCCUUUGAUUGUAUCCUAAUACAAAUCUUUGUGCAUAUGAUCUAUCGCAUAUCAUGGAUCUACCAAUUUCACUCGCUUGAGACGUUGUGUAGAGGCUCCACUAGUUGAAACUUCAACAUAGUGCACAACCUCUCAUGCGAGUGAGAGGAGAGACAUGAGAACGGGGUGGCCAUGCCCUCUUUGUUUGAUAUUCUGUUACGGAUCCUAUAUAUAUAGUGCCGGUCAACCAUUUUCAAUUUUUUCUUGAUGCCCUAAGCUCACUUUAAACUUUAUGCCUUUGUUAUUCAUGUAAAAAAAUUUUUUAUGCCCUAUAUACAACUAAAAUUUUAGCUUAAAAUAGGAUCCCUAAGCGGUGGCUUCCCUCGCCUAUGCUCGAGUAUAUAUAUAUAUAUUAUUUUUUCUUUUUUUUCUUUUUGCUUUUCCAUUAGAGUUUGCAAGUAUACACUAGGUUGUUCAAUUACCAAUAAGUAUUUUUCUAGGAAGAACAAGAGUUGUUAAUUAAGAGUGAAUCUAUCUUGCAUAUAUAACUUGUCCUAGGAUGUUUGUAAAUAACAUGAUGGUGCUCGGGAGUUUUAAACCUUUUCACCUAAAUUCAACUACAAAGAUGGAUCAAUUGAGGUGUUCAAAAAAAAUAAAAGAUGGAUCAAUCGUAUUUAGGUCAAGUUUAAAACUCCAAUAUUUUCUAACUGAAACACGCCAAUAUUUGCUAAGCUGUUUUGUAAAAGCGGAUAUAUUUUACAGAUAACCGUGAUAGAAUGUCAUUAAAGACACCAUAUAUAUGCAGAUUAAUUUAUUGUCGGAUAUGAUUAUUGUCUUAUUGAGGUUAUCUCUAAUAUGUUGUUAGCCGUACAUGAUUAGUAAUAUUUGCUUGCUUCUGCUCUAUAAAAUUAAAGCAAGAAUCAGCUUGAAAACAAGGUAAAGAAAGACUUCAAUUCGUGUGAUAUCAAGAAAGUUUCUGGUUUAUUAUCUCCAUGUCUCUUGUUUGGAUUUACAGGAAAGGAGGUCAAAGUUAUGGAUCGUUUUGAGAGUUUGUUCAAACAGAUCUCAUCUUAACCUAGAAGAUUUCAACCAGACAAUACAUAAUUGGUAACUGUACGUACAUUUUCACUUUUUUAGAGUACAUUUUCUUACAGCAUGUAAACUCUAUAGUAUAUGUAUGGUAUCAACUUAAGGGGAAUUGUAUUAGGUAGCAUUUGUUGAUUAUUCAAUUAAGAAACGAGCAUGUUAAUUCUUUAAAUAAAAUAACACUUACUUUUAUUGCAGUAAGUUUCAAAAGCGUUCGAUUCUCUCCUCAAACAGUGUCUGUUUCCCCAUUUCUUUUGUGGCUUCGUUACUAAGUUUUCUGCUUUAUUUGAUAAGGGUUAUAUGUAGAGAGCGAAGCCUGCUAGGUUUUUUUUGUGGAUUUAUUGCCAUCAAUCUCUGGGAAAGAAAAUAUUGAAAUACUCGUUUGAUGAGAUAUAUAUAAUGAACCGGUUUUUUUUUUACAAAGAGAUAUAUAAGAACCGUAAAAAAAAUAAAAAAGAACCGUAAAAAUUAUGUGUUGUUGCUUUUUUUUUUCUAUCUGGAUCCAGUUUUUCUUUAUUUGGAAAUGGAGAACUCGAAUCAUGGACUAAGGUUGUGCAGAAGAAAAACAAGGAGAGUCUUGUUGAGUACAAAAGAGAGAUAAUAACAUCUGUUGGAGAAGGUUACGACAAUUGGAAAAGGUAAGUUUUAUUUUAUCCAGGGUUAUUAAACUCUAAUAAAACUUAUAAAAAAAAACUCUUAUAAAUUUUAGGUUUUCAUUUUUUGCAGAUUUUUAAUUAGAUUUUGGUUUUUUAUUUUGGAAAAACAAUUUAUUAGCCAUUCAAAUUUUAGAUUUUUGUGUAAUUUACUAUAAAUUAUAGAUAAAAUUAAAUGUAUUUUAAUGUACUUUAUUUAUAAUUUGAUUUUUAGUUAUAAAGUUUGGAGUUAGAAUUUAACUAAAUUAAAAUUUUGAUAAUUAUAAACACAUAAAACAACAUUUAGAACUUAAAAGGCUUUAUAUGUUUCAAAAAUAUAAUCUACUGAAAAAUAAAAAUGAAUUUUUUUUUAUCAUUUUCAAAAAAACUAAAAUCUACAAAAAAAAAAACAAACUAGAAAAAUAAAUCAAAAUUCCUAAGCUAAAAAUUAAAAACUAAAAUUAAAUAAAACAAAAUCAUGCAAACAUUUCAGGCCUUAAUAUAAUUUCCUCUUUAAUGUUUUGGAUUUGAAAAGUUUUCCCAAUCAAGGAUCCAUGAAAGAGGACAUGAUAGAUCAUCUGUACAAAGCUUGAUUUAUAUAUUGUUUUCUUUUCUAAUAAAAAAUGUUAUAUCCACGAGUAUUUUGUCUACACUACAACGAUUUUAUUAAAAUUGGUGCCAAAACUCAAGUUCGAUUUUUUAGAGACUACGAAAAUGAACAAUUUAAUAAAAAAGACAUUAAAACAAUUCCUGAAUCCAACAUAUCAUGUUCGAUAGAAAGAAAUUGUUUCAGUCUUUCCUAUCAAACAAAAUGAUCGGUGUUCAUUUUCGUAAUCUUUCAAAAAUGGAAUUUGAGUUAAGGUACCAACUUCUAGUAACACAUUCAUUAUAUAGACAAAACACCCGUAGAUAUAAUUGUUUUUGUUGGAAGUGAAUACAAUAUUUUUUGAAUCAAAGUUUCAGGCAGAUGAUCGAUCAUGUAAUCCUUUACAGCACCUCAGUUUGGAAAACUUUUCACAGCCAACGCAUCAAAGAAGAAAAUAAAUUAAAAUUUAUGCAGGGUCUUAUAACGCUUUUAAACAUAAGUGAAAAUAAAGUUGUCAUAGCUAGUAAAGCAUCACACUUGUCGAUUAGCACUAAGUAUUAUAUUUCUAGCAUUCUAGCUUAUGAAAAAACGUCUCAGACAAGUAAUCUGCACAUGUUAUAUUUUGCUAGUAUUCUAUCAUUGCGUCCAUCAAAAUUUGUUCCAUUAGCACUACAUAUUUUCCUAUAAAUCUGUCAGCUAAGAGAGAAUCUAUUUGUAUUGAUGGAUUGUCACUUGUUUGGCUUAAGUUCCCUUUAGAAAAUAUUGAUUGCGAAUGGGGGAAUCCCCGACUCUUCAGUACUUGCUAAAAUAUUAUAUGAUGAUUAAUAAUGAACUGUUUUGUGUAUUGUUGCUCUCUUCUUUUUUUUCUUUUUUUUUUGCAUUCUGGAUCUAGUUUUGCUUUUUUGGAAAUGUAGAACAUGAAUCACGGACAAAGGCUGUGCAGAAGAUAGAGAAUAUCUGUUGGAGGUGGUAACGACAAAUGGAAAAGGUAAGUUAUUUUAUUCUCGUAGAGGGUUAUAAAACUGCAUAAAUUUUAAAUUCUUUUUUUUUUUGAAAAAAAUUCCAUACUAAUCCAUGAAAAAGAACAUGAUAGAUAAUCUGUCGAAGUUAUGAUUCAGAAAAUAUUGUUUUUACUUCCAACGAAAAAAUGUUAUAUUGACGAAUGUUUUGUCUACACAGUGGUUGUCUUAUUGAAAUUUGGUGCCAAAACUCAAGUUCGAUUUUAAAACCUGGAAAAUAAACACUUUAAUAUGAAAGACUCCAAAACAAUCUUUGAAUCCAAUACUUUGUAUUCUUGUUUCAAAGUCUUUCUUACUGGUUUUUAUUUUCACAAUCCUUUGAAUCGAAUUUGAGUUAUGAUGGUACCAAUUUCCGGUGAUACCACCAUUAUAUAAAAAAUACUGGUGGAGGAUAUGACAGUUUUAUUGGAAGUAAAGACAAUGUGUUCUGAAUCAAAGCUUCAUGCAAGUAUGCAACUAUCAAUCAUGUCCUUUAUGACACUUUAGUUUGGAAAGUUUCACUGCAAAAAAAGGAAAAUACAUUAAAAUUUAUGCAAAGUUUUAUAACGAUCUUAAACAUAAGAGAAAAUAAAGUUGUCGUUGCUAGUAAAACUUCACACUUUUCGAUUAGCACUAAGUAUUGUACAUCUAUCUUAUGCACAUGUUAUAUUUUGCUAGUAUUCUAUCAUUUCGUCCAUCGAAGUUUAUUCCAUUAGCACUAAUAAUUUUGCUUAACAUCUGUCACCUAAGGGAGAAUCUAGUUGCAUUAUGUACGACGAAUUGUCACUUGUACUUAAGUUCCCUUUAGCAAAAAGUUGAUUGCUAAUGGAGGAAUCAAAGACUCUUUGUUAAAUACUCACCGUUUUAGGGGAAGAUAUCGAUAUAUGAUCUCAAUUAAAAUCACUUAAAUGAGCUCUAUUAAGUUUGCCAAAAGGCAUCUUAAUAGCACAUAAAAUAAAUAAUAAUUAAAUAAAAAAUUAAGGGAAUGUUGGUUUAUUAUUCCAAAGAAGUUCGAAAACUAUAACCUAUAUUUUCAAAGUUUUGAAAUUAACUUUCUAUUAAGUAAAAAUACAAUGAUCUUCAUGAUAUUUUCAUAACUAUUUUUUUGUGCACGUUUCACAACUAUUUUUUAAGAAGUUAUAUCUAAAUAAAGUAUUGUUAAUAUAAUGAACAUAUUUUUAAAUACAUUUGUAUUUUUUAUCAUCAACCAACUAAAAUUCUAUAUACUAUACUAUUUUAUGUAUUUUAUAAUUAUAACCAAAAGAUAUCUUCAUGACAUGCAUUUGGACCAUGUUUGUAAUCAUAUCUUAUUGAUUUCUAAUUUCAAUAAUAAUAUUUCACCAUCUUUCAUGUAAUAUACUUUCCAAACCUAUUAAACAUCAUUUCUACAAAGUUAAUAUCGAUGUUUAUCAUAGAAUUAAACAAUAUAAUUAACUUAAAAUGUUAUAAUUACAAAAUUUAAUUCAAUCAGACACUUCCAAAAAAAUUAUUUAUUUGCAAUCAAAUUAUUAUUUUCAAAUGAUUUAACAAAAAUAGUGAAUUAAUAUCAGUGAUAAUUAGAGAAUUAAUGAAAUAUGGUCAAAAUGUGAUAAAGACAGAGUAUUUUAAGAUGGAGCAAAAAAAACUACGGUGUCUAUAAAUUCAAGGGUAAAUUUGCCAAAUGAUUAAAUUUGAAAAGAAAAUUAAGUUCAGAGCAUAGAGCAUUGAUUUUAACGUAAUAAAGUCCAUGAAAAUUAUGUCAACUUCUAUCUGGUAUUACCUUUUUUUUGUUCAAGUUACCAGUAAUAGAGAGAAAAACUGAUGACAUCAACAAUUUGACACCCCACAAUUAAUUAUCACAUAUAAUACAACCAACACCACACUUUUGUUUAACACAUAAAUAUGCAUUUGAUUUUUCUAUACCAUAUCACUAAAAUUAAUAGGAUUCAAAAUCCACUCACAUCUAGUAAAUAUUAAACUUUACUCCAAACCUCAACUCCGAAAUACUAAACCAAAACUUUAAACAUCACCCUUCCAUCUAAAUACUAAACCCUAAACCCUAAUUAUUGAACCCUAAACUCAAAUAUAAACUUUAAACCCAAUUAUCAAAAUCUGAAAAUAGUAUAUAAUAUUAUGUAAUAUUAAACUAAAUCCAAACAAAACUCCUCAAUGCUAAACUCAGACCUGACUUUUGAAUACUAAACCCAAAAAUGCUAUCACUAAACUCAAACCUAAACUCCCACCUUCCAAAUACUAAACCCUAAAUCAUAAUCACUAAACCCUAAACCCAAGUAUAGACUCUAAACCCAAAUAGAAUGGAACAAAAUACAUAGUAUAGUACAAAUUGGUGAGCAAAAAAGAACACUAUUUAUUAAUCGUCGAAUGAAACAUACAUAAUACGGUCACUAAACCCAAACCUCAACCCCCACCUUCCAAAUACUAAACCCUAAAUUUUAAUCAUUAAACCCUAAACCCAAGUAUAAACUCUAAACCUAAAUAGUAUAGAACAAAAUACAUAUUAUAGUACAUAUAGUUGUAAACAAGAAAUUGAUAAAUAAUAAAUUUAUCAAACAAUCGAUGGUACAAUAAUACAACAACCGUAGCAUACUAUUUAGCUUGGUACUUGCGAAUUGUACAAAAAUAUAAAAAUCGUACUAUACUAUAAUUUUCUUUCACUACAUAUAGUAUAGUCGGCGAUUUCAUCUUCUUCACAUCUUCCUCUUUUUACAGACAUGGUGAUACACGUAUUCACUAGCCCAGAGUAAUUAUUCUUCAUCAUACCAUAUCAAUACAACAUACUAUAACAAUUUAAAUAACAACGAAAAAAAUCAAGAUCAACAAUUAACAUUAAAAAAACUCAAAAAAAAAAAUCGUGACGUCACCUCGUCGUUCUCUACGGUGUCAUCUUCUCCUCCAAACUCAAUUCCACAAGCCCAAAAUCCAUGUUUUUCUUCGUCUAGUGGUUUGUAUUCGUAUGUAUGAAAAAAAAAACAGAGAUUGGAGGAGAAGAGAAAGAAGAAGAGAAAGAGAUGUGGAACAAUAAUAAUCACAAUUUAUUAAAUUAUUUAUUUAAUAUUUAUUUUAAUAAAUAAUUGUCAGCAGGUUACACAAGUUGAAUUGAAGGGUAAUAUAACAUUAUUACAUAAAAUACAUGUAGUGUAAAUGAAAUGAAAGUUAGGGGUUUUAGUUAUCUAAUGAAUUACAAUUUGUUUGAAGGUUAUAUGUACAUACAGUAAUAUAUUUUUUUGUCAACACAUACAGUGAUUAUAUAUAUUUUUUUUAAUUAGUUGAUGAUAAAAUAUGAGUAGAUAUUGAAACACCAUUUGAAUAAUAUAAUGAAUCAAUAUAUAUUUAUAAAUAUUAGUAAUUCUUAAAAUAUGUAUUUUUAGAGAAUCUGUAUUAUAUUAAAAAUUAUAUUAUAUCUAAAAUUAUUUAAAUAUAUUUUUAAGAUGUAUUGUAAUUCAAAAAUUAAAAUAUGUAUUAUAUGAUUUACAAUCGUAAUUGUAAAUAUAUGAAAUGGAUGGUAACAUUAUUAUCCUUUACUUGAUAAUUAAUAAAAAAAAAAAAAAUAACAAUCCAGCCAUCUUCCAUACAUGAAUGUAGGAGGAAUCCAUUGCACAACUCAACAUUUUCCAAGAUUUCUGUUACUAGUUCGAACUAGAUAAUGAAUUUUCCUAGAUUUCUAAUACUAGUUUUUUUUGAAACACUUUUUUUUUUUUUUGAAACACAGAUUUCUAAUACUAGUUUGAACUAGAUAAUGAAUUUGAGUCUUGUAAAACACAAAAUUUGAUUUACCAAAAAAAACUCAAGUUCGGUAACCAUAUUUUGGAUUUUACAUGACUCAAACUCAAAUGGUGGAAAUUAAGUAGAAAAGCCUCUUAACCACUCGACCACAUCAUUUUAUUUUAUAGUUUGAGGUUAAUUCGAAGUAUCCUACUGAUCCAGGUAUACCAAGUUUUUCUUUUCUUGACGUUGAGAGCGAUUGAACAUCUUGUAGUGGAGGAGGAAAUCCUUAAUUAAGAAAGCGAGAAUGGUUGAUAAUAUAGACAAAGUUCUAAUAUUUUCAUAAAUAGAGAAGCAGUGGUUGAUGAUGUUAUGGAGACAUGUCACUUGUGUUGCGUCAGGAGAAACUCCCGUUCUUUAUUUACACUGAUCAUAUAUGUUACUAGAUUAUAUAUAUGAAGUUGUAAGUGCGGAUGAGUCAGAAAUGUAGAGCAGAAAGUAAAUGACACACUGAAUUUGUUAACGGGGUUCGUUUUCUACAUCCCCGGGACCUCGUCCAGAUUUCAUUGAUCAAUAGAACAAGAAUGUAAAUACAUCAUUAUUUGCUAACGUAUACAUCAGGCACAAACCUCCUGACACGCUCUUUUCUAGAUAGAUAUCUAUGAAGAUUAAGAAUCAAGCACGCAGGCAUAGAUCUCAUCCGGCCGCACCAGAGCUCACUGUCUUCACACAGCUUCAAUCUUUCCAGACCUCCUCAAUGAAACAAUCUUUGCUAAAGUCCCCCUGAGUCAAGGCUUCAACCUUCCACCUCUCGGAAGGUACAUCACCAUGUACUUCACCAAGUACGUCACCGAGUACUUCACCAAGUACGUCACCGAGUACGUCAACACCAGACACACACCACAGAUACCAACGAGCACGUCACACCAACGCACAGCUUGGUCACACCAAAACGCUUGAUCACCAAAGCACACACAAAGCUCACAAGAGCUACACACGAUAGCUAACUCCACCACACAAAGCGCCAACUCCAACACCACCAAACUAAGUCCACAUCAGACUCCAUCGGACACUACGUCAGACCGUAGGUCAACACUCAAUACUUAAUGAAAACUCUCUCUCUCUUUUCACUUAAUCUUUGGGUGUACUUCUUCUCAUAAGGGCACGUCCCUCCUUAUAUAUAAACCGUAGACUUGCUCUCCAAGUUCAUUAAAUGCACCUUAAUGAACUUCCAUUCCCAUAUAAGGAAACUUUCUAUUACUCUCCAAGUAACACUUCUUCUCCAAGCAAAGCUUCUUUGCUUAAUGGAAAACGUCAUUUGUCUUCAGCAAGAUAUUCUCUUUCCUUUUCCAAUCUCCACUUACACACGCAAUCACCUUAGACAAUCUCCUUGUAAGCAACUUCUCCACUCGAUGUCCUGCCGUGUACGUCUUGACAUACCUCUUGACACACCUUCUGAUGUACAUCACGAACUACAUCAGAACCUCUCUGGAAAUAUCAUCUACAAAAGUUACCGAUCAUUUGCUUCCAUAUCCGUUACAUACAGGAACAAUGUUGAAAGAAUUACUGAGUUCUUGCUCAGUGAUAGGAAGAGUAGACUGUUGUUUGGCUGGGUAGGUGGUUCUUGCCAUGACGUUCCCUUUUUAUCGAAUCAAGUUGUCUAUCGAAUUUUCAUUCAUUUUUCUGUUACAUGACUAGAAGUUGAAAACGUUCAAGAUUUCAUCAAGAAGAACCCUUUUGGACAGAAGCAAGUCAGUCUUGAGUUUAUAGGCAGGCCAUCAUAUGCACACACACAUACACAUACGCAUUUAGAAACUUUAAACUGGUAGAGAAGAGAGGAUUGGUGAAAGAGAGUAGCUGAGACGAGCGUGAUGUUAUUAUAGUUUUUCUUACUUAGAUCUGCUUUAUAGAUUUUGUUUUGGUAAUAAUUAGAGAAAAUCUCAUUCUAUGAUUUUUAGUUUUUUUUCAACUAUUAGAAAUAUCAGUAAAUUUUGAGUCGAUUUGUCAUCUGUUUUGAUUAAAAUUUGGAUAUCCGUAACUCUACGAAACACAAAAAAUACUAAUAUACAAAAUCCGUAAGAAAUAAAGCAAAUCAUAAAUACUAAUAUUUUUAGGAAUGAAUAUCCGAUCUGAUCUGUUAUAUGCAUAUAUUUACAUAAUUAUAUAUAUAACUUAUAUAAAUAUUAUAUUUUAUAUAAGUUUUAUACUGUUUUUAUUAAAUUUGCUAUAUUAGUUAUUAGAAUUUUAUAUGUAACAUAAAACCGGUCGAAUUAAAUUUCAUCUAUCCGUGGAUUGAUCGGUCGUAAGAUGUCUGCUAUCCGGUCUAUAUUGAAUAUAAAUCGGACAAAAAAACCAUAAACCGGUCUUAUGGUUAAUGAUGUCAGAGGGGGCAAAAAAAAAGUUAGGUUCUCUCAUCUUCACCGAACAGUCGAGCGACUUCUCGCCUUCUAAAGGUAACCAGUUUCCUUUUCAUCGCAUUGUUUCUGGGUUUGGCUUCAUCUUAUAAUUACUUGCCUAUCAUUUGCUUUUCGAAUUUUCAAAAUAUCAAAGUUUCGGUCUUUGGAUUUUGAUCUAGAUUUUACUCAAACUGUUGAUGUAAUGGUUCACUCUGGUUUUCAUAAAUGGAUUCGUCAAAUUGGUUCGUGCUUUAGAAACUAGUUAUGACUUGUGAGGCUCUAAUGUUGUCAAAGUUUUGAUCUUUUUGUUUUAUUUUCUCAGGGAGGUUCUUCGGUUAUGGUUAAUGCCUUAGAUUUGCAGAGCUUUAUCCUCCGAGCUCGAGUGCUUAAACUUUACAGGAAAGCAUUGAAGAUAGCUCAUAGAGCUCCUCCUCAGGCUAGAGGUUUGUGUUCUUGUAUUCAUUGCUCUUUGAUGAUUGAUAGUAAGCUUGAUUGUUAAUCCGUGUUGAUGGCUAUAGGGGAAUUGAAACAGAGUAUAAGGCAAGAGAUGGAAACGAAUAGUGAGUGCAAGGACAAGCAAAAGAUCAGGUAUCUGACUAGUGAAGGAUUAGGGCAUAUCCAACUCCACUCUAUUUUUCCCUCUAAAAUAGAGUUUAGAGUAAAAAUGCUCCAAUAGUACUAUAUUUUCUACUCUAUAAUAGUGUAAACCUAUUUUUUAUUCUAUAUAUAGAGUAAUUUUUUUAUUUUUUGUUCAUCAUUCUAUUUUUCAUUCUAAAAUAUAGUACCAUUGGAGCAACAUCCAACUCUAUUAUAGAGUUAUUCUAUUUUAGUGGAAAAAAUAGAAUAGAUGGUUUUAGAGAGGAUUAAACAACUUGAUGAGAUGUUGGACAUGCAAGGCCAUUGAAAAUUGAUUUGUCCUUUUGUAAUGUGUUGUUGUUUCUGAGAUCAAACAUCUUGUCUGAUUAUCACAAAAAAAAAAAGGUAAAGUAGAACAUGUUCGUUUGAUGCUGGGAUAGUUUUAAUACCUGAAAAAAUCAAGUGUGAAAAUAAGUCUUUUUUUUUUUUUUGGUCACAGAUGUAACAAAUAAGUCUAGGUGAUGAUAACAAUGAUGUACUUUUUACUAAUAAAAUCUCUUAGAACACGUUCAACGUGGUCUGUUGAUCGUGUAUUUGACGCUAAUACGCGAUUAAAAAAAAUUAAAAAAGACAAAACCCGAAGGCACGUAUGUUAAUUAGGAGCGGGAUGAUACGUAUGUUAAGGGGCACGUGUCACACAAUAAUUGAUCUGAGCAAUGGUGGAUCCGCGUUUCGUUUCAACUUCUUUCUUUCUCUCUUUCGGUUUCAGUCUCUCUCUUCUCGACGACGAGAAAGGCGAUUCCUUUGGCUCUCGAUGGAUCUUCUCUCCUCGACUCCUCGGCGACGUCUCCUCGGCGACGUCUUCUCGGUUUCGGUCUCUCCUCUCCUUGACUCCUCGGCGAUUUCUCCCCUCUUUGAUUCGUGGCUCUCCUCGGCGAUACGGCGUUGUCUCUCUCGGUGGAUCUCGUCGACGAAGGAAAACGACGAUCUGUCUAUUGGUGGCUCUCCGAGACGCAGAUAAACGCCGGCGAGUGUUGUUCAGGGGAAUCAAAAAGUAAAAAUCUGUUCAUUUGAUUGUCUUUUAGUCUUUAAUAUGCAUGUCUUUUUAGUCUUUGUUUUGGUUGUUUCAGUGUUUCAGUCGGUACAUGGAUUGAUCUAGACGCAUGAUCCAGGUUCAAUUUGUUGCUCAGACUACCCUAAACGGUAAAACUUUGUUCUUUUGUUUAUGUCUUUCUCGUUUAACUUUCAAUUAUCCAUGUCUUAAUUGUUCUUUCAUUUGCUAAUUAGUUUUUUCAUUUGUUUCUAUCUUUGAGUCGGUAUAUGGAUGGAUGAAGACGCAUGAUCCAGGUUCGCCAGACCAAAGGCGUACGCUUGUUGAUAGAGGUAAACAUUUAUCUUUGCUCUGUCCAAUAGAAUAAAGCAUUGUCUUGUACUCUUGUGGAUUUGAUUAACUUGCGAUUGCUGUUGAUUUUGGAGCUUGUUAGAAAUGAAUUGAAUCCUCCGUAAUAAAUGCCCUGGUUAGUGUUAGGUUUGCGUUGUGUUUAGGUAAUAAAUUGAUGCUUCUAUGUAGGUAAUGAAUUGAUGUUAAGGUUUGCGUUGUGAUGAAUGUGUUAGGAAUAUGUCAACUCGGUUUUAUAGAUAUAGAUGGUGGUUGUGAUUAAUGCGUUUAUCCUUCUCUUUCUUCUAUUAAACUCUUCCCUUCUCCUCUUUCUUGAAUACAAUUAACUUCUUUUUCUUCUCUUCUCACUCUGUCGCCUCUGUUCUUUUAUCUUCUAUCUUCUUUGAUCUUCGGAAAUGGAGUACAAUCCAUUUACGCAGUCAUCAAACUUUGUUGGACUACUUAAUAGUCAACAAAGUAUCUCCUUUGGUAACUAUGAAAAUAGUAACCACACUUCACCUCAAGUUCCUACUCUAGUCACGGAUGAUGUUGGUGAGCAUCGAGAACGGAGGAAGUGGACGCCCAGAGAUGAUGUUCUGCUGAUCAGCUCGUGGCUAAACACUUCCAAAGAUCCAGUUGUUGGCAAUGAGCAAAAUUCAGGCGCAUUCUGGACAAGAAUUGCAGCGUACUAUGCCGCUAGCCCGAAGGUUGCUGGCUGCGAAGAGAGAGAGCCUGGUCACUGUAAGCAACGCUGGCACAGGAUCAAUGACUUGGUCUGCAAAUUCUGUGGAUCGUAUGAAGCAGCUACGAGAGAAAAGUAGCGGCUGCAAUGAGAAUGAUGUGCUCAAAAGAGCUCAUGAAAUUUACUACAACAACUAUAAGAAGAAAUUUAUCCUCGAGCAUGCUUGGGUAGAGUUGAGGAACGACCAGAAAUGGAGUGACUUUUCUACUGCAAAAAACGAGGGAAACUCUAGGAAGAGGAAGGGUGAUGAAGGUGAAUAUUCAUCAACCUCCCAAGCUACUCAAAACAAGCGUCCCCCGGGUGUUAAGGCAGCAAAGGCCAGUGGGAAGAAGCCUAUGGUACAGGAGAAUGCGGUGAAUGAGUUUGAGAAGAUGUGGUCCAUUAGACAGCAGGACUUGGUAGUGAAGGAAAGGUUGUGUAAGAUGAGUUUACUUGAGGGUCUUAUUGCAAAACAAGAGCCUUUAGCGGAGGAUGAAGCAGGCCUAAAGAAGAAGCUCAUCAGUGACUUAAUGUUUAAUUAGUUUAAGAUGUUGAAGUUUAACUGCGUAAGUGUAGUUUAGCUCUCUGUUUGUUUAAGUUUAAUUCAAAAUGUUUGCUUAAUGUUUAACUCUCUGUUUUGAUGAUUACUUUAACUCUCUGUUUCAGGUCAAGACAGUGUGCAAUAGUGGAGCAUUGGAGAAGUAUCACGGAGUCUCUGCGGUCUUCUUGUCUUCUGGUCUUGUAGUUUAAUAGUGUUGGAGUCUAGUGGUAUUGGAGUCUUGUGUCGCUAGUCUUGGAGUCUUCUGUCACGAGUCUUGUGGUAUUGGAGUAUUGUGUCACAAGUCUCGGAGUCUUGUGUCUUGGAGUCUUGUCUUAAAGUACUUGUUUAACGUAGCAAUGUUGUGUCACGGGUUUUGGUUUUAAGUUCACGGAGUCUUUGUUUCUUGUAGCAAUGUUCGAGUCUUAUGUAACAAACUCUCUCUAUAUAAUUGCAUGUUGUGUUGAACGUUUUAUUCACAAACUCACAAACUCUCUCUCUCUCUCUCUCAUUCUCACAAACAUUACAACUCGGUUUCAACCAAAGUCAUUCUUUCUUUCCCAACAAAAGUCAUACUCUCUCGUACAAACUCAUUCUCUCUUUCUCACCAACUCAUACUCUCUCGUUCUCACCAAAUAAACUCAUUCACUCCUUCUCAUUCUCACUACAAACCUACUCACUUUCUCUCUUUCUCACCAAUCAAUUAUCUAAAAAUGGGAUCUUCUUCUAAUGACCCAUUUGAACAAUAUUUUGAUCAAUACUAUGAGCAACAUUUUGAUCAAACGUUAGAGAAUUUAUCCAUUAAUUAUGGUGGUCAAGAAGAAGAGAAGAAAAAAAAGAAAAAAAGAAUUUAUAUCGAAAGAAAUCGAGAAGAAGGCGACAUACGUUUAUGGAAUGAUUAUUUCAGCGAAACCCCAACAUAUCCUCAAAAUCUAUUCCGACGACGCUUUCGAAUGAACAAGCGACUGUUCCUGCAUAUUGUUACUCGACUCUCCAAUGAAGUUGAAUUCUUUCAACAAAAGAGAGAUGGUCUCGGCAGGUGUAGCCUUUCUCCACUUCAAAAGUGUACAGCCGCCAUUCGUGUCAUGGCAUAUGGUAAUGCGGCUGAUGCGGUCGACGAAUACCUCCGACUCGGUGCAACUACUACUCGGUCAAGUUUGGAAAAUUUUGUGGAGGGAAUAAUUUCUUUAUUCGGCGAAGAGUACCUAAGAAGACCUACAACUGCGGAUCUUCAACGUCUACUUGAUAUUAGUGAGUAUCGUGGAUUUCCCGGGAUGAUAGGAAGCAUCGAUUGUAUGCAUUGGGAGUGGAAGAAUUGUCCCACCGCUUGGAAAAGGUAAUAUUAUCGGGGUUCAGGUAAACCAACAAUCGUUUUGGAGGCGGUUGCUUCAUAUAAUCUCUGGAUAUGGCAUGCGUUUUUUGGACCUCCAGGUACCUUAAAUGAUAUCAAUGUUCUUGAUCGCUCACCUGUUUUUGAUGACAUAAUAAAUGGUCAAGCUCCGCAAGUAACUUACUCUGUCAAUGGAAGAGAGUAUCAUAUGACUUACUAUCUCACCGAUGGUAUUUAUCCGAAAUGGGCAACUUUUAUCCAAUCAAUUACAUUACCACAAGGCCCGAAAGCAGUUUUAUUUGCUCAACGUCAAGAAGCUUUCCGAAAAGAUGUCGAGCGUGCUUUUGGAGUCCUCCAAGCUCGCUUUGCCAUUGUUAAAAAUCCAGCACUUUUUUGGGAUAAAGUCAAAAUUGGGAAGAUUAUGAGAGCUUGUAUCAUACUUCAUAAUAUGAUAGUAGAAGAUGAACGAGAUAGAUACACUCAAUUUGACGUUUCAGAGUUCCAAGAAGCAGAAGACAACGGAAGUUCACAUGUCGAUCCCCCGUUUUAUACAUACAUGCCUACAAAUAUCGCCAAUAUGAUGGGUGUUCGAACUACAAUUCGUGAUCCACAAAUGCAUCAACAACUGAAAGAUGAUUUGGUUGAACAUUUAUGGCGUAAAGAAGGACAUGAUGACGACGCAUGAUCCUCGGAUUCUUCUUUUAAAUUAUUCUCGUUUUUUUUACUAGUCUUUACUUCAUGUUUUUAUUUAAAAAUCAAUGUUUAAAAUGUUAUCUUGUACUAUGUUUAAUAUAAUAAAUAAAUUUUUCUUUUUAUAAAAUGUUUAAUAUUUUUUUUUUUAAACCCUGAACUAAGAAACUAGCAUUGGAGCACAUUAAAUGUUCUCAUCUCUUAACUAAGUCCGUCCCUUAGCUCACAUUUACAAUUAAAAAUUAAUUAAGAUACCCUAAAUGGGGAUUAGGGUUGAACGUGCUCUUACCAAACAGACCCACUUGCUAAUAAGACAGCUUGUUUGAGUCUAAUGCCAGAAUCAUAUUCUGCCCCACUCGUUAUAGAUAAUAUAUUUAUUUCAUUUGUAACACAUUGAUCUCUCGUUAUAUCAAUAAUGGGGCCUGUUCCUUAAAGUCUUUAUUUCUUCAUCAAUGGCGAUAAAAGUAACCAAAACCUCCCGAGUCAACCCAGCAACAAACUCGUCUCAUGACUCACUCCUUCUCCCACUCACCUUCUUCGACUUACGGUGGAUAAAGUUCCAUCCCACUGAGAGAGUCCUCUUCUACAAACUCCACAAACACAACUCCUUCCACUCUCUAAUCCUCCCCAAGCUCGAGCACUCUCUCUCCACCGUCCUCCACCACUACCUCCCGCUCGCAGGACGCCUAAGAUGGGACCCACAAGAUCCAAAACCACACAUCCUCGGCCUCCCAAACGACUACGUCACGCUGAUAGUCGCGGAGAGCGACGCUGACUUCUCCCUUCUCUCCGGGAAAGGGACACGUCCCGAGACGGAGAUACGUCCUUUAGUUCCAGAGCUUCCGGCUUCUCGCGACGACUCGGUCUUUGUUCUUUCUCUGCAAGUAACACUGUUCCCGAACCAAGGCUUCUCCAUCGGCGUAACAGCUCAUCACUCCGCUAUGGACGGUAGAUCAAUGUCUAUGUUCGUUAAAUCAUGGGCUCACGUAUGCAAAAAUGAAACCAUAGGGGAGUUAACUCCAUGUCUAGAUCGUACCGUCAUCAACGUUCCCGCUAGUCUUGACGCGAGAAUCUUGGAGGUAGUGUCGUAUUUUUCAGAAGACAAAACCAGCUCGAGAUCACUUAAGCUGCCUCCCAGUGGGGAGAUUAGUCCACACACGGUCAGGACCACGCUCGAGUUGACUCGGGAGAACGUUGACAAACUCAAGGAGCGAGCUAAAAACGAGUCGACUCGGUCUCACCUUCACUUGUCAACGUUUGUUGUCGCCAACGCCUAUCUUUGGUCGUGUUUGGUGAAAGCGCGUGGAGGGGACGCGGAUAGACCGGUUCGGUUCAUGUACGCAGCUGAUUUCAGGAACCGGUUGGGUAGUCCGGUUCCGGAGAGUUACUUCGGGAGCUGCGUGUUGUCGGUUGGGUGUUUCGGACACAAAGCGGGAGUUGUGUCGGGAGAAGAUGGAUUUGUCAAUGCGGUGGAGAUUAUUAGUGAUUCGGUUAGAGGUGUUGGUACGCUUGAUGUUGAAGCGCUUUGCGAGUUGUAUAUUGAUGGGACGAUGAGGGUUGAACCGGGUACGCAGACUGUGUCGAUUGUUGGGUCGAACCGGUUUGGGUUAUACCAGUCGGAUUUUGGGUGGGGGAAACCUGUUAGUUGUGAGACAGUGUCUAUUGACAGGAAUGAGGCGUUUUCUAUGUCUGAGAGGAGGGAUGAGUCUGGUGGCGUGGAGAUUGGUUUGUGUUUGAAGAAGGGUGAGAUGGAUUUGUUUAUUGAUCUAUUUCAAAAUGGUUUGUAAAAUUAAAACACUUUAUUUUUGGGUUUUGAUAAUUGGCUAGAAACUUAAACAUUUUAUAUCAUUGCCUGCAACUGCAACCUUGCAAAGUUUGGGGCCUUGGGGUCUCACUAAUUUUUAUGUUUUGAUAAUGGUUGUUAAAUGAAAAGUAGAAUUGUCUGAUAAUAAUCUUCUGUUUAGUAACAUUUAUAGAGCCUUAAUUUCAAAGACACUGAAUAAAAUAGUAACCAUUACUGGAUUCAACCAAAUAUAAAAUCUGGAAGCCUACGGGACUAUAAACAGGUGAAGUCUCUCAGAACAUCUCCAAUGGUUUCUAAACCAAAAAAAAAUAUUAGCAUUAUAAUUAUUUAUUUAUGUUUUAUUUUAUUUUUUAAUUUAGUUAAUCAUCUAUUUGAAUGAUAUGUGUAUUUUUAGUAUUUCAUAUUUUUUUAAGAAUUCAUAACUAAGAAUUUUUUCUCAUUCUUUUUCUUAAUUCACUACAAGAAAACGUGGGAGUAACGACUACGAUUUACGACUACAAAUGUGUAGUCGUAAAUUACCUUCGACUUUACGACUAAGUUAAGACUACCUGAAUGUUCGUCCUAACUUAGACGUAAUUUUGCUACUAAUAGUUCUCGUCGUAAAUUGUUCGUAAAUUAAUUUCUAGUUUACGACUACACUUUCAUGUAUUCGUAAAGUAGUCGUAAAUAUACGACUAAGAAACAUCGACGAUGUACCAUCUGAUUAACGACCAAUUUACGAGGAAUGCAGUUGCACAUUGGUGGUUACGUUAUUAUCAAACGUAAAUUCGUUGUAAACCUACCAAAAUCGAAAUUUCCCUAUAAAUAUGAUCUUCUCCCUCAUUCUUAAGAUGCACAAAAAAAAAGAGAAAGAGUAAAAAAAAAAAUGUCUAGAAAUAUCUAUGAGCUUCGGAGUUGGAUGUAUGCGCAUAAAGAUUCAAGCGGAAGAGUAACAGAAGAAUUUCUCAACGGAGCAGAGAUGUUCAUGUACCACGCCGGACAGACGUCUCUCACACUAGAAACGGGUAAAAUGUUUUGUCCCUGUCGUAAAUGCAACAAUACCAAGUUUGCUGCUAGUGAAACGGUUUAGAAACAUAUAGUAAAUAGAGGAUUUACUCCACAUUACUAUAUCUGGUUUAACCACGGAGAAGCUGAUAAUAAGAAUGAAGCUAGUAGUAGUAAUCAGGUUGAAAAUGUUCGUAACAGAGAGGAACCACAUUUACCUUCUGAAAGUUGUAACCUUCAAGAGGAUCAUAUGGUAGAUCAUGAUAGGAUGCAUGAUAUGGUUACAGAUGCAUUUCGUGAAACAAGAUCAGUAAUAGAGGAGGUAGAAAAUGUAGAGGGGCCUAAUUUGGAUGCAAAAAGAUUUUAUGAGAUGCUAGCAGCAGCUAAUGAGCCAAUUUAUGAAGGUUGUAGAGAAGGUCUUUCUAAAUUAUCAUUGGCAGCUAGGAUUCUAAUUUUGGAUGCAAAAAGAUUUUAUGAGAUGCUAGCAGCAGCUAAUGAGCCAAUUUAUGAAGGUUGUAGAGAAGGUCUUUCUAAAUUAUCAUUGGCAGCUAGGAUGAUGAAUAUCAAAACUGAUCAUAACUUACCUGAAGUUUGUAUGGAUGCAUGACUGAGUUGCUUAAAGAGUAUUUGCCUGAAGAUAAUUUGUGUGCUGAAUAUUAUUAUGAGAUUCAGAAAUUGGUUCAUAGUCUUGGCUUAUCUUCAAAGAUGAUAGAUGUGUGUAUAGACAACUGUAUGAUCUACUGGAGGAAAGAUUCUGAAUUGUUGGAGUGUAAAUUUUGCAAGAAGCUACGAUAUAAACCACAAGGACGUGGACGGAAUAGGGUACUGUACCAGCGGAUGUGGUACUUACCUAUAAUAGUAUAGAUUAAGAAAAAACGAUUCUCUCUAUUAGCUAACCUCGAGAGCCAUUUAGGAAUGUCAAACAGGUCGUCCCGUCCCGCCCCGUCCCGCCCCGCCGCGGGCUCAGCAUCUCGCGGGUCCAGGCGGUACCGUCCCGCGCGGGCUGCGGUCCAGAGAAAGCCGGCCCAGUCCCGUACCGCAUAAUUGCACAGGCCCUUACAAGCCGUCCCGCGGGCUGGACGCGAAAGGAGUGCAGCAUGACGUUUCUCGACGCUGCAGGCUGCUCCAGUGACCACUACAUACAUAAUGAAUGAUAUAUGAACACAUGACCCAUCUACUAUUGGAGCUUAACAAAAUUUUACAUAUAUUAGUCUUGUUCUGUAUUUUUUUUUCAAUCUACGAGAGCAUCGUUAGAGCCACUGGCUAUUUCAGCAACUCGUAUAUAUGUUAAUUACUAGCCAUUCAAUCUGUUUCUUCAGAUAACUUUGAAGAACUAUAGUUUGUUGUUUGAUCGUGAGUAUAAAAAAUUAAGUCUCAACUAAAGUAAAAUUUAGAGAAACACCAAAUGGUCCAAAUCAUAGUAUUCAAAACCAAAAAUCAUGCAACUUAAACAAGAAAUCUGAAAUUGUAAUUGAAGCAAAACACCAAAUCAAGAUAACAUUUCAAACUUGCUCAUCUACUCAUCUUCAUCUUCCCCAUCAACAAUGGACUCAAAUGUUGGUAAUUUCUCUUCUUCUCCAUCACCAUCGAUUUCUUCAUCUACAAAUAUCAGUGUACAAGUCAGUAAUGUUACUCUUACUAAAAUUAUAAUGUGAGUUAUUUACCAUGUGCGUAAGAUUCAUAUCCUUUGAUCCAAUUCCUAGUGCAUAUCAGAGCUUGCACAUUUUCUGGGAGUAGACGACUCCUAUAUUUGUUUAGAACUCGCGAUCCAAUACUGAAGGAGGACUCCGAAGCCACUGUUGUGAUUGGAAUACUUAGCAGAUCACAUGCCAUUGCAGCCAAGUCACCAUACCGAUGCGCAUUAUCUUUCCACCAAUCGAGGAUGUCCAAGCUCUGGAAAUUAGUAAUGUCCAAAGGUGGUUCUUCAAGAUAAGCUUCUAGAGGUGUCUUUCCACUAACAAUUCCACUGACUUUGCGAAAUGCAAAGAAAUCCUAAGAAAAGUUUUAAAAAAAUAUCAGAGAGGAAAAAAAAAUUGGAGGCUGACGACAGAAGGAAAAAAAUUGACCAGAAAAAAAAUGCUUGUGAAAGAUAAACACACUUCUACUCGUGAAAAAAAUGCUUGUGUGAAAAAAAAAAUAAACAGAAGGAAAAAAAUUGAAAACACUCACAUUGUAGUUUUCAAACAGUCCCAUUGAUCCUACCGCACAAGCUUUUUGCGCAACAGUGUCACAUGGCUCAGUGGAAGGUGAGUUAUUCUUGGAGUUUUUGUCGUAUGUCUCAAACAGAAUACUGAGCUUGUCACGCAAGUUCUUCACUUUUGCAUCACGUGUACUUAUGUCAAGCUUCCCUAAACAACAUUCAACAAUUGAAAGCUUAAACCGUGGAUCAAAGACUGCUGCCAUUGCAAAAACACCACUAACUUCAUCCCAAUAUUUGUCAAACUUCUCCUUCAUCGGUCGCACCAUGUAUCUGACAAUCUCAUCUGCGCUUUCCUCAUUUCUCCGAAGCCAAUCAUGGAUCAACCAAACCUGAUAGAAAUACAGGUUUGCAGUCGGGUAAUUCGAACCAGACAUCAAGCUUGUGAUCACAGCAAAAGGACCCAAAAAAUCGCAGAUAUUAGCGGCUCUAGUCCAUUCCUCAUCUGUGGGCGCUGUUUUAUAACCCUUCUUAUCAAAUGUCUCCAACUUAACAAAUGCUUUACGGUACUUGAGGGCUCUUUCAAGCAUAUAGUAAGUUGAGUUCCAUCUCGUCGACACGUCCAGUAUCAGCCACCCACUUUCUACUACACCCGCAGCAUCCACACAUUUUUGGAACAAUUGUUCACGGCUUUCCGAUCCUAAUACAUACUUAACACUCUCUCUUACUUUCUGCAAAGAGUCUCCAAUAACCUUCAACCCAUCUUGCACUAUGAGAUUAAGUAUGUGAGCUGCACAUCUUACAUGAAAAAACUCUCCUCCACACAACAAAUCAUCAUUCAAAUUCAGCUGCGACUUCACAAUGUCCUGCAUGGAGUCAUUACUUGUAGCAUUAUCUAAUGUGACUGAGAACACCUUCUUAUCAAUUCCCCACUCUUUCAGUGACGUGAGGAGUUGAACCGCAAUACUCAUACCGGUAUGUGGUGGUGGUAGAGUACAAAACGUCAGGAUCUUGCUGUUCAACUUCCAAUUCCGAUCAAUGUAAUGUGCUGUCACACACAUGUAUCCUUCCCGUUUCACGGAUGUCCACAAGUCAGACGUGAAGGAGACUCGUCCAGGGAGAGUUGCUAAUUCCCUCUUGAGUGUGUCUCUCUCGCUUUCAUAGAGUCUAUACACAUCUGCUCUCGCUGUGUUUCGACAAAUGGUUUGGACAUCAGCAUUCAAAUACUUCCACGUGUCUCUCACUCUUUCAUACUCCACGUACGAGUAAGGUAGAUCAUGCUGGACUAUUGUCUUAGCUACCAUCUGCCUAAACACAGUAUGAUCAUACUUGCGAGAUACCACUUUCCCUUCGAUAUUGAGUUGUUGCUGCCUUCCUCGAUUCCUUGGAUACAUUUUACAUCUCUCCCGAUGUCUUCUCAACCCACUGGUUCCAUGCGAAUGAGAUUGCCAUGCAUACUCACGUUUGCAAUGAUUGCAUGCAGCUUUCAACUUUCCAUUCGGUUUUUCGACCACCUUGAAAUCUUUCCAGACAUCUGAUUUUUGCCUCUCUUCCCUUUCCUCUUCACCGAUUUCAUCCUCAUCAAACUCUUCUUCAUCCAGUUCAUCACCAAGCUCGGGUAUGUCCUCUGCGACCUUCUCCUUCUUCUUUUGCGACUGAGUAGGCGAAACCUUCUUCUUUUUGGACUUAGUAGGCGACUUUCUUCUCCCUCCACGAAUCACAGACUUCAUAGGAACAGACUUCCCCUUACUACACGCCUGUGCAGACGAGCCAACGCCACCAUCGAUAGUUGAUUGCAACAUGGGUUUCCCCGUGGCUGUUCCGAAACUGGUCUGUCUGCGAGGCUUGGUUUUUUGGGUUGGUUGACUGAUUUCAACAUCAGAAUCAUCAGUAUCAUCAACAAGACUGAUAAGCCUUUUUCUGCUUCCUUGCUGCUUCCCAUCAGCACGAGUUACACCAGCUUCCUGAGAAGCGAUCUGAUCACCAGCCUCAGCUGCUGCAGCAAGAGUAGCUAAGACUUCCUGAGUGGCAAAGUCCACAGUAUUUGGCGGGGUGUAAUUCGGAUCAAACGUCGACUGAUCUUCGGACUGGCUCCUUGAUCCCAUGGUCUCUUUCGCUCUCAAGUUUUGUGGUUUUUUUUUUCACGCCGUGGAAUGAAAUUAACUUUUUAGGGUUUCCUAAAUUUUGUCUAUUUUUUAAAAAAUUUCUUAAUAUAUUUUUUAAAAUCUGUUAUAAUUGUUGAUUUUCAAAAUUCCAAAUUUUAUUAUACAAGUACACAAACACAAGUAAUCAAGCAAAGCAACGUAAACAAGCAAAGCAACGUAAACAACAAGUGAUCCGAUAACCUACGCAAAGCCAUCUAAACAAGUUAAUGUUCUAUCAUAUACGAAAGCAACCUAAACAAGUCAGUGAUUCGAUAACCUACGCAAAGCCAUCUAAUCUCGACUGUGUUCUAUAGACAACUUACUAACCUGAGGUCAUUAAAGCACCUACAUUGGACGAAGCUGGUAACUACUAGAGCAGCUGCUCAACGGACUCUUGUUCUCCUUGUGAUAAAUCCAAUCCCUCAAGACAUAAAACAAACAAAAAAAAGACGUGUAAACAGUAUGAUCCACGUACACAAUGCAAAGAAGAAAAUUAUAAGCGGCUGGUUAUCAAUAUGAAUCGACAAGCAGGGACAAAAUUAAGUAAGACCAUACAUGUUCAGUUGGGUCCUGUAUCUUCUUCUCUUCAACAAGGAGGCGGCUGGUUAUCAAUGAACAAGCUGGUGUGCUUAUAUCGUUUUGAGCCUACACCAGAUUUCACAGUGAUUACCAUCCGCCUCCUUCUCCAUCUACAUCAACAAAAAACAUAUAAGAGACUUGAUUUGAGAUUAAAAAAACAUACACUUGCAAUUUUCAAAAACAAAAGACUAAUCAGAGACUGAACACAAAUACAAGAACAAACUGAAUCGAGUUAAGACAAGCAGUGACUGAAUAAAAUAUUCACUGUCUGGUAAAACUAUACAGAAACCAUAUAUUUUGGUGAUUCAUCUCACAAAAGAAAAACCAACAGAAGAUAUUAAAAAAAAAACUUGUAACAUUACAAGAGAUGGAGUCGAGUGCAACUAAAGAUGUGUAAGCUCCGUUUUUACCCUGAAAGAAAUCUCACACGAUCAAACAAGCAAAGUUUCAAACUCUAAAGAUGAAAAAGGUAAACAAGCGCACUAACCGGAACAGAGUUAUUAACAUCAGAAGGAGCUGCGAAGACGGCAGAGGCGGUGAUGACCAACGGUGAAAAGUUGGAGCGACGACGAGGAUUAGAGAGAGGAGGAGAAGGAAGUGAAAAUGAUGAAGAAGAAGUUGGGUUGAGUAGUGGAACCCAAAAUCGCUAAUAUCCUCUGUUUCUCACGGAUUCCACCUAUAAAAAAAAACAAGUCUUUUUUUAUGAUGAAAUCUAAGGGAAACAAAAGGUGGAAACUUGAGAGAAAUAGAACAAGAUGUACAUGCAUGUACCGCAGGAGAGCGCAGGAGCACCGUCGAUGAAGAAACCAUGACCGGAGCUGAUGAUCUUCUUCUUCAAUGGAGAGUUCCUUCGCAAACUUCUUGUUAUGUUUCCACGAAGAUUCAGAGUAGGAGAUAGAAGGCGAAGGGUAGACAGGAAGCAUCAUCGAAGAAGAAACCAUGGCCGGAGCUCCAUCCCGUGCGGUGGCGACACCACUUUCACUCUCGCUCUCUCUUUUUUUUCAGGUGGCCGAUCGAAUGAAGAGAGAAGAAGCUGUGGGACAUUAGGGUUAACCGCGGUCUUCUUCGGCGCAUCCCGCACAGAGCCCAUCCCGCGCAAGUCUAUUCCCGCGAGGCACGCGACAUUGCGGGAUGUCGGAUCUUCGGCCCAAGCCCGCCCCGCCACAGGUUUAAACGGGCCUAUCCCGCGGGCCAAGCCUUCAGAAGAUAUUUAAAAAAAAACUUGUAACAUUACAAGAGAUGGAGUCGAGUGCAACUAAAGAUGUGUAAGCUCCGUUUUUACCCUGAAAGAAAUCUCACACGAUCAAACAAGCAAAGUUUCAAACUCUAAAGAUGAAAAAGGUAAACAAGCGCACUAACCGGAACAGAGUUAUUAACAUCAGAAGGAGCUGAGAAGACGGCAGAGGCGGUGAUGACCAACGGUGAAAAGUUGGAGCGACGACGAGGAUUAGAGAGAGGAGGAGGAGGAAGUGAAAAUGAUGAAGAAGAAGUUGGGUUGAGUAGUGGAACCCAAAAUCGCUAAUAUCCUCUGUUUCUCACGGAUUCCACCUAUAAAAAAAAACAAGUCUUUUUUUAUGAUGAAAUCUAAGGGAAACAAAAGGUGGAAACUUGAGAGAAAUAGAACAAGAUGUACAUGCAUGUACCGCAGGAGAGCGCAUGAGCACCGUCGAUGAAGAAACCAUGACCGGAGCUGAUGAUCUUCUUCUUCAAUGGAGAGUUCCUUCGCAAACUUCUUGUUAUGUUUCCACGAAGCUUCAGAGUAGGAGAUAGAAGGCGAAGGGUAGACAGGAAGCAUCAUCGAAGAAGAAACCAUGGCCGGAGCUCCAUCUCGUGCGGUGGCGACUCCACUUUCACUCUCGCUCUCUCUUUUUUUUUCUUCAGGUGGCCGAUCGAGUGAAGAGAGAAGAAGCUGCGGGACAUUAGGGUUAACCGCGGUCUUCUUCGGCCCAUCCCGCACAGAGCCCAUCCCGCGCAAGUCUAUUCCCGCGAGGCCCGCGACAUUGCGGGAUGUCGGAUCUUCGGCCCAAGCCCGCCCCACCACAGGUUUAAACGAGCCUAUCCCGCGGGCCAAGCCUUCUUUUGACAUCUCUAACAAGAAGACCUGUUUGAUAAAAAUAUCGAUCUAACAAAAAAAAAGCGGUUAUUAUUUAUUUAUUUAUUUAUUUAUACCAAUUUUCUCUUAGUGACAUCUCUAAAAGCUGCAUCAGUUAAAUCCUUUUGGGGAACCAGCUUGUGUUUCGGUAGAACACUAGAUAAACCGAUCAAAAUAUGUUUCAAUACAGGUGGUGGAACCAUAUCCUCUGCAAUCUAGAACGGAUAUAUAGAUAUACUUAACUGUUAAUGAUAUGAUAUUUCUUAAUGAGAAAUGCAAAUAAGAAGAAUGAAAAGCAAGUCUUUUACUUUGCACAUGGGUGCUACCAAGACUGCACCGGUCCAAGCAUUUGGUUGUUUGAAAUGUAUCUUGAGCGACACUGCUCCACCCAUUGACUGCCCAAACAGAAAGCUAGGUAGAGAACUAAACUCAGGUUUCUCUACAAACCAAAAUACAAAAAAUCAAGAUUAAUAUCAGAGUUUACCAUUCCACAAUGUGAUUAAGAGUUUGUACCUUUGAUGUUGGAGUAAUGCUCAAUGACAUCUUCAACAAGAAGAUCAAAGCUAGAAAUAUAGCCGUGCAAGCCUUCCGAUAAACCAAACCCUGGAUAAUCCAUAGCGAAAACUCCAUAUCCCGACAAUGCCAAUCUCCUUGCGAUCCCUGCCGAAAAAGACGUGGGUGUAAGCAACCAAACAAUGAGCUAAGUAUUAGCCAUUGGUUUUUAAAAAAAAGGAAGAAACAAACAUGCCUUCGAAGAAAAACGUGCAAGUAUCUCCAUAACCAUGACAGAAACAAACAAGAGCUCUGGGCCUAGAAGCUUCAGGAAGCCAGCUUUUUGAGAAGAUCUCAAAUCCUCUCGAAUUCACCUCAUAAGACUACAUUUUUCACAGCCAACAUUAUUAAAAAGUAAUCAAGUUAACUUCUAUUCAUGUAGAAAACAUAUCUUUCUUACCUCCUUUGUCUUAAUUCCAUCUCCUGGUGUCUAAAACAUCAUGAGAACAAAAAACAAACAACGCUGUUAAUCAAAAAUCACCUAAUAAUUCAGACAAAAUUAGCUGAAGUAGAUUGAGUCUAACGUCUCAACCUUUUUUAUAUCUAUUUCGAUCGGGGAAGGACGAUCAAAGAUUCGACCGAUUCAAAUUUAAUUUUAUGUUUUUGUUUACCUUGAUGAGGAUAUGAUCGAGAUUAUGCUGAAUAUCUCUAAAGCAAUCACGAACAUGACGGCGAGCCGGAGCUUCGUCCAUGUUAACAUCNNNNNNNNNNNNNNNNNNNNNNNNNNNNNNUUAUAUAUAUAUAUGUUGAUGAUCGAGGUUGAUUAUGAUGAUCCAUUCUAUCCUCAGUGGUUUCACGAAAUGAUACAAGGUCCGGUCGCUAAGUCACCACAGCAUCUAUGUAUUUCACACGAGGCUACACUUUUCAUACUUACGGAUAUGGAAGUCGUCGAGCAACAAUGAACUAUGGAGUAUGUGUGAAAGGUGAAACUGAUUUCUAUGGAAUCUUACAAGAGAUCAUCGAAGUAGAGUUCUCCGUCCUGGUGAAGCUGAAAUGCGUUCUCUUCAAAUGUGACUGGUUUGACCCAACCGUCAAUAGAAGUGUUCGGUAUAGCAAAUUUGGAGUUGUUGAUAUAAAUGCUACACGGAGGUACAACAAAUUUGAACCCUACAUAUUGGCAUCUCAAGCAGACCAAAUUUGUUUUAUUCCAUAUCUGAGGAUUAGACAAUCUGGAAUAUCUUGGUUAGCCGCUAUAAAAGUUACACCUCGGGGUCGAGUCUUGACUGAUGAACAACCGCCUUUACAAGAAGAUACCGUAAAUGAAGUAGAAGUACCAGAGCAAGCUACAAAUGAUAUCUUACUUGUUGAUCCAUACAACCAGGGAUAUGAAGAACUUCCAGACGAUGCAACAGCCCACGAAGAUGAAUUUGAAGAAAACGAUGAAGUGGAUGAUGUUUUUGAUGAUGAGUGAUCGAGUUUCUAUUGUAUUAUUAAACACUUUGUAUUACAUAUAAUAUUUAUCUAACUUAUCCGAUCAUGAUUGUUCAAUUAGGAUGUUUGAGGUUUGUGGUUUGGGGUUUGGAAGUGUAUAACUUAUGAUGUUUGUGAUUUGGGGUUUGGGGUUUCGGUUUUAGGGUUAAAACAAAAAUCGAAGCUAAUUAGUCGUAAAUUACGACUUUCUUACGACUAGUCUAAAAGAUAACGAAGCUAAGUAGUCGUAAAUUACUACUCUCUUACGACUAGUCUAAAAGAUAACGAAGCUAUAAAACAAACAAAAAAAAGACGUGUAAACAGUAUGAUCCACGUACACAAUGCAAAGAAGAAAAUUAUAAGCGGCUGGUUAUCAAUAUGAAUCGACAAGCAGGGACAAAAUUAAGUAAGACCAUACAUGUUCAGUUGGGUCCUGUAUCUUCUUCUCUUCAACAAGGAGGCGGCUGGUUAUCAAUGAACAAGCUGGUGUGCUUAUAUCGUUUUGAGCCUACACCAUCUUUCACAGUGAUUACCAUCCGCCUCCUUCUCCAUCUACAUCAACAAAAAACAUAUAAGAGACUUGAUUUGAGAUUAAAAAAACAUACACUUGCAAUUUUCAAAAACAAAAGACUAAUCAGAGACUGAACACAAAUACAAGAACAAACUGAAUCGAGUUAAGACAAGCAGUGACUGAAUAAAAUAUUCAUUGUCUGGUAAAACUAUACAGAAACCAUAUAUUUUGGUGAUUCAUCUCACAAAAGAAAAACCAACAGAAGAUAUUAAAAAAAAAACUUGUAACAUUACCAGAGAUGGAGUCGAGUGCAACUAAAGAUGUGUAAGCUCCGUUUUUACCCUGAAAGAAAUCUCACACGAUCAAACAAGCAAAGUUUCAAACUCUAAAGAUGAAAAAGGUAAACAAGCGCACUAACCGGAACAGAGUUAUUAACAUCAGAAGGAGCUGAGAAGACGGCAGAGGCGGUGAUGACCAACGGUGAAAAGUUGGAGCGACGACGAGGAUUAGAGAGAGGAGGAGGAGGAAGUGAAAAUGAUGAAGAAGAAGUUGGGUUGAGUAGUGGAACCCAAAAUCGCUAAUAUCCUCUGUUUCUCACGGAUUCCACCUAUAAAAAAAAACAAGUCUUUUUUUAUGAUGAAAUCUAAGGGAAACAAAAGGUGGAAACUUGAGAGAAAUAGAACAAGAUGUACAUGCAUGUACCGCAGGAGAGCGCAGGAGCACCGUCGAUGAAGAAACCAUGACCGGAGCUGAUGAUCUUCUUCUUCAAUGGAGAGUUCCUUCGCAAACUUCUUGUUAUGUUUCCACGAAGCUUCAGAGUAGGAGAUAGAAGGCGAAGGGUAGACAGGAAGCAUCAUCGAAGAAGAAACCAUGGCCGGAGCUCCAUCUCGUGCGGUGGCGACUCCACUUUCACUCUCGCUCUCUCUUUUUUUUUCUUCAGGUGGCCGAUCAAAUGAAGAGAGAAGAAGCUGCGGGACAUUAGGGUUAACCGCGGUCUUCUUCGGCCCAUCCCGCACAGAGCCCAUCCCGCCGAUGAUCUGCGUAGAGAGUCCGCUGAGCUGCAUCAUGAGUUGGCCUCGACGCAAUCUGCAUUCACAGCUCGUGUGAGUGGACUCGAGGGCUUCUUGGACGUUGUAGCGGCCACAAAUCCGGAAUGGGAGUCCUUGUUGAGGAACUUGCGACGACAAAAUCCCAUUCCAGGCGAGUCAUCAUCCCACACACAUGCCGAGGCGGAUGUAGAGAGGACGAGUGAUGAAUUCUACCGGGCGAUGAACGACUCUUAGUUCUUUUUUUUUGGUUCUUGUAUUAUAAAUUCAAAACUUAUUUAUAUAUAAAAUAUUUUGGUAUUGAUUUUUUUUUUAGAAUUUUAAUUUUAUUAAUAAAUUAAAUAAUUGUAAUUAUUUUUAAAUUAUAUUUUUAUAUUCUGUCAAAUAAAGUGAAGCAAAUUCGUAGCUAAUUUACGAUUUCUUUACAUGGAAACUUAACGAGUAUUUUACGAGGAAAACCUUACGAGGAAAUGACGAGGAGUAAUAAACGAGUACUUUACUAGGAAAUGCUUUCAAGUUAUUUACGUGUUCUUUACGAGGAAAUACUUUUGAGAUAUUUACGUGUAAUUUACGAGGGGCACCUUUCGAGGUAUUUACGAGGAAAUGAAGCGACGUCCUUACGUGGAAUAUUUACGUGGUUUUUACGACAAAAUAUUAUUCUUCGUCUUUACGACGAAAUCAUUUCCUCGCUAAGUUACGACGAAUUAGCGAGGAAAUAUGUGUUACGACGAACGAGUAACGACAAAACGUGUUUCCUCGCUAAUUCCUCGUAAAGCUUCUUUUACGACGAACUCACGAGGAAAACCGCCCUCAUUAAACUUAUGUUUUCUUGUAGUGAAAAAAUAUAUUUAGUAUGUCAAUUCGUACAUGAUAUUGAUAUGACAAUUUUGAGUGUUCAAAAAUAUUUUUAAAUUUAUUAAAAAAUUAUCUUUAAAAUAUAAAUAAACAAAAAUACAAAAUUAUAAUAGGUUAGUAAUAACAAAAAAAAAUUAAUAUUUUCGUAUCAAUAAAUUUCUUUAAUAAAAAUUGCAUCAAAGUCUAAGAAAUUGUAAAUUUUUCAAUUUUAUGUAAUAUUAAAAAUAUAUCAGUAAUUUAAUCAAAAAAAAUUUAAAUUAUUAUCAGCAAAUUUUAACUAAUUUUUUUUUUAUUAAACCCGGACCGAGUUGUAUAUGGAUGGCCGGGUCUACCGGUUCAAAGAUCUAAGUCGGGUAUGAAAAUAUUGUUUGGAAAUCACACUAAUAAAGUAACUUUUAAAUUAUUUAUUUUCUUAAAAAAUAUAAGUUUAUGUAAAUUUGAUCAAAAUGAUCAACCAAAAAAUGUCCGCCCUUUAAAAUCUAUUACUAAUUAUAAACACUGAACAAGUAAGAAACCCUAUCGAAGCAUCCAUUAAUAUAAGAGGAAUAGCAUUGCCCGUCAAGUUUCGACCUAAAACAGUUGUUUCCAUAAGUUUUACCCAUAUAUUUGUGGAAUAAAUCUUGCAAAACCAGAUGUUUAGUUGUUGGAUAUUUGAUUGCACACCAAAAAACGAAGAAAAUAAAAUAUAUGGUCUCACAAAAAAAAAUUAUUUUCUGUACAGUGUCCACAAUGAUAUAUUCAACGUUAAGUCGCUAUAUAAAAUGUUUUUUUCCUUUAUUAUUUAUAAAUAAAAAAUAAUUCACAUUUUAAGUGUUUCUAUGUACUUCCAAAUGUAAUUACUUAUUUUUAAAAACAUUUUCUGAAAAUAAUAGGCAAGGAUAUACAGACUAGAGUUUAAGAUUGAUUUAUAACUUUUUUUUGUCAUCAACAUUGAUUCAUAACUUUUGAUUAAUAGAAUUUUAAUAAACAUAAUUAUCAAUCAUGAAUCUUACAAUUUACCAUUAAAUAAUGUAUUGAAAACGUAAAAAAUUGUAUUUUUUCUAAGCAAUUUUUUAAACAACAUGAAUCUUUUCAAACAGAAGAAAAAUGAUCAAAAAGUUUAAUUUCCCAACAUAAAUAAAUGUAUUUUUUGGAGAAAAAUGAUAACAUGAUUAUAACCUUCAAGAGGGAAAUCUAUAUAAUCAAGAAAGGGGACAUACCUCCCGUAAGCGAACUGAACCGNNNNNNNNNNNNNNNNNNNNNNNNNNNNNNNNNNNNNNNNNNNNNNNNNNNNNNNNNNNNNNNNNNNNNNNNNNNNNNNNNNNNNNNNNNNNNNNNNNNNNNNNNNNNNNNNNNNNNNNNNNNNNNNNNNNNNNNNNNNNNNNNNNNNNNNNNNNNNNNNNNNNNNNNNNNNNNNNNNNNNNNNNNNNNNNNNNNNNNNNNNNNNNNNNNNNNNNNNNNNNNNNNNNNNNNNNNNNNNNNNNNNNNNNNNNNNNNNNNNNNNNNNNNNNNNNNNNNNNNNNNNNNNNNNNNNNNNNNNNNNNNNNNNNNNNNNNNNNNNNNNNNNNNNNNNNNNNNNNNNNNNNNNNNNNNNNNNNNNNNNNNNNNNNNNNNNNNNNNNNNNNNNNNNNNNNNNNNNNNNNNNNNNNNNNNNNNNNNNNAUAAAGUUGAGUGUUAUGAGUAAAACUAGAGAGAAUUUAUGUCCCAAUAACAAGAGAGUUUACUAGAAUUAAAAAAUCAAUAAAAACUAAACUUUUUGAAUAACAAAUGAUUUUAUAUAGAAUUUAAAAGUCCAUAAACCAAUAACUAAUGAUUCUAACAAGAUUGUAAGAAUACAUAAACCAAUAACAAUAGAAUCUCUAAAUUUUAUAACUCCUUCAAAAUUUAACUACCAAUAACCCCCCUUUAUACAAAUUGAUUUAAUAUAUAUCAAAUCUAUAUUAAAUAUUAGUAAGAAAAUAGUAAAAUCUAUAAUAUUUAAUAAAAUUUAUUUUUAAUUGGACGAAGCUGGUAACUACUGGAGCAGCUGCUCAACGGACUCUUGUUCUCCUUGUGAUAAAUCCAAUUCCUCAAGACAUAAAACAAACAAAAAAAGACGUGUAAACAGUAUGAUCCACGUACACAAUGCAAAGAAGAAAAUUAUAAGCGGCUGGUUAUCAAUAUGAAUCGACAAGCAGUGACAAAAUUAAGUAAGACCAUACAUGUUCAGUUGGGUCCUGUAUCUUCUUCUCUUCAACAAGGAGGCGGCUGGUUAUCAAUGAACAAGCUGGUGUGCUUAUAUCGUUUUGAGCCUACACCAGCUUUCACAGUGAUUACCAUCUGCUUCCUUCUCCAUCUACAUCAACAAAAAACAUAUAAGAGACUUGAUUUGAGAUUAAAAAAACAUACACUUGCAAUUUUCAAAAACAAAAGACUAAUCAGAGACUGAACACAAAUACAAGAACAAACUGAAUCGAGUUAAGACAAGCAGUGACUGAAUAAAAUAUUCAUUGUCUGGUAAAACUAUACAGAAACCAUAUAUUUUGGUGAUUCAUCUCACAAAAGAAAAACCAACAGAAGAUAUUUAAAAAAAAACUUGUAACAUUACAAGAGAUGGAGUCGAGUGCAACUAAAGAUGUGUAAGCUCCGUUUUUACCCUGAAAGAAAUCUCACACGAUCAAACAAGCAAAGUUUCAAACUCUAAAGAUGAAAAAGGUAAACAAGCGCACUAACCGGAACAGAGUUAUUAACAUCAGAAGGAGCUGAGAAGACGGCAGAGGCGGUGAUGACCAACGGUGAAAAGUUGGAGCGACGACGAGGAUUAGAGAGAGGAGGAGGAGGAAGUGAAAAUGAUGAAGAAGAAGUUGGGUUGAGUAGUGGAACCCAAAAUCGCUAAUAUCCUCUGUUUCUCACGGAUUCCACCUAUAAAAAAAAACAAGUCUUUUUUUAUGAUGAAAUCUAAGGGAAACAAAAGGUGGAAACUUGAGAGAAAUAGAACAAGAUGUACAUGCAUGUACCGCAGGAGAGCGCAUGAGCACCGUCGAUGAAGAAACCAUGACCGGAGCUGAUGAUCUUCUUCUUCAAUGGAGAGUUCCUUCGCAAACUUCUUGUUAUGUUUCCACGAAGCUUCAGAGUAGGAGAUAGAAGGCGAAGGGUAGACAGGAAGCAUCAUCGAAGAAGAAACCAUGGCCGGAGCUCCAUCUCGUGCGGUGGCGACUCCACUUUCACUCUCGCUCUCUCUUUUUUUUUCUUCAGGUGGCCUAUCAAAUGAAGAGAGAAGAAGCUGCGGGACAUUAGGGUUAACCGCGGUCUUCUUCGGCGCAUCCCGCACAGAGCCCAUCCCGCGCAAGUCUAUUCCCGCGAGGCACGCGACAUUGCGGGAUGUCGGAUCUUCGGCCCAAGCCCGCCCCGCCACAGGUUUAAACGGGCCUAUCCCGCGGGCCAAGCCUUCUUUUGACAUCUCUAACAAGAAGACCUGUUUGAUAAAAAUAUCGAUCUAACAAAAAAAAAGCGGUUAUUAUUUAUUUAUUUAUUUAUUUAUACCAAUUUUCUCUUAGUGACAUCUCUAAAAGCUGCAUCAGUUAAAUCCUUUUGGGGAACCAGCUUGUGUUUCGGUAGAACACUAGAUAAACCGAUCAAAAUAUGUUUCAAUACAGGUGGUGGAACCAUAUCCUCUGCAAUCUAGAACGGAUAUAUAGAUAUACUUAACUGUUAAUGAUAUGAUAUUUCUUAAUGAGAAAUGCAAAUAAGAAGAAUGAAAAGCAAGUCUUUUACUUUGCACAUGGGUGCUACCAAGACUGCACCGGUCCAAGCAUUUGGUUGUUUGAAAUGUAUCUUGAGCGACACUGCUCCACCCAUUGACUGCCCAAACAGAAAGCUAGGUAGAGAACUAAACUCAGGUUUCUCUACAAACCAAAAUACAAAAAAUCAAGAUUAAUAUCAGAGUUUACCAUUCCACAAUGUGAUUAAGAGUUUGUACCUUUGAUGUUGGAGUAAUGCUCAAUGACAUCUUCAACAAGAAGAUCAAAGCUAGAAAUAUAGCCGUGCAAGCCUUCCGAUAAACCAAACCCUGGAUAAUCCAUAGCGAAAACUCCAUAUCCCGACAAUGCCAAUCUCCUUGCGAUCCCUGCCGAAAAAGACGUGGGUGUAAGCAACCAAACAAUGAGCUAAGUAUUAGCCAUUGGUUUUUAAAAAAAAGGAAGAAACAAACAUGCCUUCGAAGAAAAACGUGCAAGUAUCUCCAUAACCAUGACAGAAACAAACAAGAGCUCUGGGCCUAGAAGCUUCAGGAAGCCAGCUUUUUGAGAAGAUCUCAAAUCCUCUCGAAUUCACCUCAUAAGACUACAUUUUUCACAGCCAACAUUAUUAAAAAGUAAUCAAGUUAACUUCUAUUCAUGUAGAAAACAUAUCUUUCUUACCUCCUUUGUCUUAAUUCCAUCUCCUGGUGUCUAAAACAUCAUGAGAACAAAAAACAAACAACGCUGUUAAUCAAAAAUCACCUAAUAAUUCAGACAAAAUUAGCUGAAGUAGAUUGAGUCUAACGUCUCAACCUUUUUUAUAUCUAUUUCGAUCGGGGAAGGACGAUCAAAGAUUCGACCGAUUCAAAUUUAAUUUUAUGUUUUUGUUUACCUUGAUGAGGAUAUGAUCGAGAUUAUGCUGAAUAUCUCUAAAGCAAUCACGAACAUGACGGCGAGCCGGAGCUUCGUCCAUGUUAACAUCNNNNNNNNNNNNNNNNNNNNNNNNNNNNNNNNNNNNNNNNNNNNNNNNNNNNNNNNNNNNNNNNNNNNNNNNNNNNNNNNNNNNNNNNNNNNNNNNNNNNNNNNNNNNNNNNNNNNNNNNNNNNNNNNNNNNNNNNNNNNNNNNNNNNNNNNNNNNNNNNNNNNNNNNNNNNNNNNNNNNNNNNNNNNNNNNNNNNNNNNNNNNNNNNNNNNNNNNNNNNNNNNNNNNNNNNNNNNNNNNNNNNNNNNNNNNNNNNNNNNNNNNNNNNNNNNNNNNNNNNNNNNNNNNNNNNNNNNNNNNNNNNNNNNNNNNNNNNNNNNNNNNNNNNNNNNNNNNNNNNNNNNNNNNNNNNNNNNNNNNNNNNNNNNNNNNNNNNNNNNNNNNNNNNNNNNNNNNNNNNNNNNNNNNNNNNNNNNNNNNNNNNNNNNNNNNNNNNNNNNNNNNNNNNNNNNNNNNNNNNNNNNNNNNNNNNNNNNNNNNNNNNNNNNNNNNNNNNNNNNNNNNNNNNNNNNNNNNNNNNNNNNNNNNNNNNNNNNNNNNNNNNNNNNNNNNNNNNNNNNNNNNNNNNNNNNNNNNNNNNNNNNNNNNNNNNNNNNNNNNNNNNNNNNNNNNNNNNNNNNNNNNNNNNNNNNNNNNNNNNNNNNNNNNNNNNNNNNNNNUCUAUAAUAUUUAAUAAAAUUUAUUUUUAAAUAUAAGUUAGAUUUAAAAAAAAAUUACUGCACUUGGUGCAGGAAAACACCUAGUAACCCCUAUAUAAUCGUGUAUACUAAUUUUUUAUCUAAGUGUUUCAAAAUCCUCAACGUCGAAAUAUCUUUAAAAGACAUUUUACAUGUGUCUUGCCGUAAAAUCAUGUCCAAAGACUGUCAAAAAGGUUUACAAGAUAUCAAAACAUAAUCGCUAAAUAAAGACGUCAAAAAUCAUGUCCAAAGAAUACUUGCUGCCUAUUAGCGUUUAUAAUUGACCCAUGCAUUUACAAACAAACAAAAAAGCUUUUAACCAAAAUCUUUGAUCAGUCACGACCUUUCUUGUAUGACCUAUGGUUAAUGGAAUAUAUUUGGAAAUGUCAGAUCAAAUUUUAAGUCUUGUUGAUAAAAUAAAAAGUUGUAAACAAAAGAAAAUGACACCCAUAAUGUUAAAAAAAAUGACACUCACACCUGAACAUAUCUGGAAACACUCUUACUGUAAGAUGGUCUUAACUAGGAGGUUGUUUGUUCAAAGUCAUAUUAUUAAUUAUGAUUCAGUAAAAAAAUAUACUACUGUUAAUGUAAGAUGAAUAUAUAAUAAAUAAGCUAGCUGUCAUUUAGUUAUAGGUUUUUUUUAUUUACGUUUUAGACGUUAUAGAGGCCUUAUUAAGAAUUAAUGACAAAUAUCCUAAGGAAAAAAAAAUGUAGGUUACAUGCUAGCUAGAUUAUUACAUAAAACAUUCGCAAAUUUUUAUGUUUUCUUUUCUUUUUUUUUUUGAAACAUCAAUCUUUUAUGUUUAAAACAUACUUUUUGUGGGUUGAUAAUAUAAUUUCUUACAAAUUUGAGUAUUGGUAUGGUAUAAAUUACACACAAAAUAUAUAUAGAAAAUAAAAAGAAAAAUCACAAUCAACGUGAGAUGGCCAUCGUAUUAAACUAUAUUAUAUUUAUAGCUUUACAAACAAUUAUUGAAAUUCCUUAUCUACACAACGUAGUUGAUACCUAUCAUUACUUUUUUAUAUGUUCAGGAUGUUUCCAAAUAAGAUUGGUCUUCACUAUUUUUAACAAUAAAAUGUCUAUAUAAAUGUCUAUAUUUUAAUGUAUACACACAUUCAUGGCCCCUGCGUCGUUUCAAAAGAGUUUGGAUAUAAUUUAUAAAGCAAGUCAUGGGCUUGACAUAGAUAAGCCUAUAAUCCACCAGGCUAAUAACUUAGUCUAUUUUUUUUUUAAAUCACAAGUGCUGAAAAAGUAUAAUUUUCAGAAUCUACAUAUAACUUAUAACUUUAAAUGAUAUAUAUUUAAGAAGUUUUUUCAUUUUUUGUUUGGUAAAUAUACUAGCCUUCUACCAAAAAAAAAAGAAAAAUACACAAGCCUUAUAUUUAUUUACCACCAAUAUUUUAAUAAAACCGACGAAUAAAUUAGUGACCGAUUUAAAUAUAAAUAUAUAAUUAGGUAAAACUCCAAAAAUAGUAUUUUUAAAAUACCCAAAAUAGCAUGAUAAACUUUUCAAAAUAGCAUUCAUUUGAGCAAAAUUUUUUUUUUUCACAAAUUACUAAAUUUUACCUUGAUUUAUAUCCCUUAAAAUACCAAAUUCGAAAUCAUAAUCAGUAAAUUCUAAAAUCAAAUAUAAAAUCAUUACAUUUUUUUAUUUUUUUUCAAAAUAUUAUUUUAUUUUUAUAUAGCGUGCUAUUUUUGUAAAUUAUGAUUUAGUAAUAUUUUAGAGUAUUUCUCUCAAUAAUUAAAUUUUAAAUUGUGAUUAAUAAGUAAUAAGAGUCUUCAUUCAGUGGCUUAAUUUAUAGUUUGAUAUAAAAUGUAGACUCCAAACGUGAAAAAUACACAGUUACACAACUAUUUUAUUUAUAUUUAUUUUUAUUGUUUCUUUUUACAAAGAGAAUACAAGCUCAAAAUAUCAUUGAGAUUACUAUAUCCAUCUACACAAUCUAUAUUUAAACACCUACGUAUGUGUAUUUUUACAUUUCAACAUUUAAAUUGAGAAAACAGUAUACUCUUUCAAUAAUCCUAUGUUUGUGUAUGAUCCUUUGCCUCACAUCUCCCCCUCUCUAAAUCCCCUAAUUAACCCAAAAUAUAUACACAAAUCUCAAAUUACACAAUGCAAAUGGCCCCACCAAUCAUAAAAUUCGUACACUGCAAUUCGUCACUGUCACCGGAAAUUUUUUUCACACCGGCGGCGAACACACAGAUCGAUUUAAGAGGCGUACCAGUUUAAACCAGGUAACUGAUACGACGUCGUUAACUCAUCUCCUAACACACCACCUUGUUGUUGCAUCAACGGUGGUGUCUCUUCCAUCAUUGAAGAAGACAUGUUUGAACAGUCUCCUCCUCCUGCUCCGCCGUGAAAGCGUUUGCUCGGAGAUACAUCAUGCUCUUCCUCCGCUGCAGGCCAAAAUGGCACCGGAAGAGCUCGUUUCAGGUUCGCCAUCAUCAUCGGUCCAGAGGAAGAAGCAGGAUUCAAACAGUUACCGACGGCGUUAGGAUCACUAUUAACGGGGCCAGCAACGUUGCUGCAGACGGCUAUGUUGUUGUUGAUCAUGCCACUUCCGUUGUACAAACCGUGAUCGCCGUCGGAGAAAAUUCCGUAACCGCCGGGGAAGAAGUUCAUAGACCUAGAGACAUUAUGGUGAAGUCCGGUGGUAGCAGCCGCCAUUGAUAACGACGGAGGGAUCUUUCUGAAGAUGUAAUCGAUCAUGUCAUGAUCCUUAUCGUUAUCCACAUGUCGACCUGCGUUGUUCUUCUUGUAGAUGCGACAUAGCACCCAAUCAUCAAGCUAACAUAAGAAUAUUCCAAAAAAUAUUAAAUUAAUAAUGAAAUCAUCAAAGACAAUAUCAAGAAUAGUUACUAGUAUGUUAUUAAUAUUAUUACAUACCCGGAGGGAGUUUUUCGUGUUGCCGAAGUCACAUCCUGGUGGUCUGUUGUUCGGUUUGUUGUCUAUGAGACGAUACUCAUGCAUGAUCCAAUCACUUUUAAUACCUUUUGGAGGUUUGCCCCUGUAGAAGACCAGUGCCUUCUUCACGCCGACCUUUUGGUUACCGUCAGAGGCUAGCACCGGUUUGUCAGUACCCGUCGCUUUCCAGUACCCUGACGUUGCCGCUCUGUUCGGCCUAGCUCCGUUCGGAUACUUCCGAUCUCUAGGACUGAAGAAGUACCAUUCCUNNNNNNNNNNNNNUCCGAUCUCUAGGACUGAAGAAGUACCAUUCCUGCUCACCAAACGAUGCCUUGGCUAUCAGAACAAAACAAAAAAGUUAGAUCUCACGUCAAAGAUAAAUUAUAUCCGGAGGAAGGAAGAAAAAAUUCAUAAAAAGUUUUAGAAUAAAAGAAGAUGUAAAAACUAGGAUGAUGAGUGAUGCUUUAAAUGAAACUAUUAUUAUCUGCUAUGGUUUCGGGUCUAGCGAGGUUAUGCAUGGGCCUUGACCCAGAUGCUCCUGGUAUUCAAGAAAAGAAAGAAAUGAUGAUGAUGAUUAUACGUACCUGGAAGUUCCCAUGGAUCAAAUUUGUAGAGAUUGACUUCGGCAAUGAUGGCGACAGGUAAAGGAGCGGAGGCGGCUUUGGGUUUAAGGUAGUGAACGACUAGUUCUUCGUCGGUUGGGUGAAACCGGAAUCCUGGAGGAAGGUUAGGCUGCGGCGGCGGUGGAGGACCACCGGGAGAAUCGGUGCUCUCCAUGGCGAGUUCCUUCUACGUUUAGAAUCUAGCACUGUGGUCGGAUGAUUUGGUUAUGAUGGUAGGAGAAG